This 242982-nucleotide long non-coding RNA is filed under the name Hordeum vulgare. RNAcentral describes it as "long non-coding RNA (HVUL_LNC004316)". The stretch from base 213599 to 213730 matches the Rfam family "MIR1120/MIR1122 microRNA precursor family". The record is from RNAcentral. Lineage: Eukaryota; Viridiplantae; Streptophyta; Magnoliopsida; Poales; Poaceae.
CAUAGAAAUGCCCUUCUAUGUCGUUACCGUCCGGUCAACGGGCUUUGACCGUCUUCUGAACAAUAACUCGGUGAACAGUUCAAUAAAAAAUAACACCAAAUCUGAAAUUUUGUGGGAUCAGAGUUACUUGGGUGGGCAAGGUGCGUGCAAGUUUUCAUGCUAUUUACACAUUCCACGAGCUCGUACCAAAGGAAAAAAAAUAUGUAUGCCUAUGAACAGUAAAUUCGAAAAAAUAGCAAAAUAAUUCAAAAAUAUAUGAUUUUUUUUGGCAUCAAAGAGGCAUGGGUGCACAAGGUGGUUCCAAGUUUUUGUGAUCAAAUGACAUGUGAGGAGCUCUAGCAAAAAACAUAGUGCAUUUUUUCAAAGAUUUUUCCGAGCCAAAUUUUACUUUUUUUCUCCAUGAGCUCCGACAAUGUCGAAACACUACAAAAAAUUGCAAGCACCUUGCGCACCCAAGCACCUUGGACGCCAAAAAAAUCAGAUUCUUUUGAACCUGUUUGCUUUUUUUUGAAUUUUUUGUUCACAGGCGUACAGUUUUUAUUUUUUCCUUUGGUACGAGCUCCUAGAAUGUCGAAACAGCAUAUAAAUUUACACGCACCUUGCGCACCCAAGUACCUUCGAUCACACAAAUUUUCAUAUUUUUUUGAAUUUGUUUGCUAUUUUUUUAUUUACUAUUCAUCACGUUACUGUUCACCAGACGGUCAAAACCCGUUGAGAGGAUGGUGACGCACGGAAGGUCAUUUCUAUAAGAGGAAGUAACAGAAGAGGAACAAAUUUAAGCACACUUCAAAAUUAGGGGUAAAUCUGAGUAGUGGGUUCGAGUUAGGGACAUAUAUGUAAAAACCCUACAAAUUUCAUCGGAACACAAAAAGCGUGAAAGAUAUUUUUGUUAAAUACAAGAUCUUAGUUCUAUAUUUUAUUCAACUCAUCACUGCAUUGACCACAUAUAGAAGGGAAAGGGGAGCAGAAACUAAGUGUAUAUAAAUUUUCAAAGUGCAGGAAGCAUGUAUCUUGUUCAAUCAAUUAUAAAUGAUUAAACAGUACACAACACAUGUACAUAAACUGUUGUUACGUGUUCAGGACUCGAUGACUCAUAAAAAUCCCAUCGCUAGAUUCCGUUAGAAUUCCACAGAACUAGGAAUAUUUCACAACUUAAUGGCUUAAAGACGAAGCUUCUAUUAACCAACUGCACCCUAAUGUUCACGUGAUAAAAUAAGAAUAGGGCUUAUUUAGAACUUUCAAGAUUGUAUCACGAAGAAUAAUGAUCUGAAAAUUAAUCACAUACUCAUCACAAAUAAUGUGACAACAAUUCAUACCAAAGUUUUCACUAUCGAUUUCAGCAAGGUUAGUUAGAUAAAUAAAUUUUAACCAGAACUGCAUCAAGGAACAGAUGAUAAAGGAGCAUGACUUCUGUCUCAGUUGAGUGCAGCACACGAGUAAUAGUUACUGUAGAACUACUGUUAGAGACAACUAGGCUUGAGCGGUAUUUCAGAUUUAGGAACAACAGUAUAAAUAUGACUAAAUUCCACAAAAAAUAACACAUAUAAUGGAAAACUGUCGCAAAAGUAUGAAUGAAGAUUUUAUUCAGAAAACUACUUAUUGAAGGUCAUAUUCCAAAGAACUAAAACCACUUGGCCAGAAAACUGCCACUCGCACAUCCAGUGUGCCGCCUACAAGGCUUCGGCCUGCACCUGAGGCUAAUUCAUGCCAAACUCAAUUAUGUUGAUUGUGCUUUUUAUUCUGCUUGCUUUAUUGCUGCGGUAAUCAGAAUUCCAGCUAACUAGGAGACGAGCAAUGUUUGACAAUUAAAUCAAACUCGCAAAAAAGUUGUGGCAUGAAUUGAAGAAACUUUGUUUAUUAAAACCAUUAUUUCCUAUAUCAAUUGUGGUAUGUUAUGAUGUACAACAACAAAGCUUUUCAAUCCCAAACAAGUUGGGGUAGGCUAGAGUUGAAACCCAUAAGAUCUCAAAACCUAGUAUGGCUCUUACUUGUGGAUAGCUAACUUCCACCCAUCCCUGUCCAUGGCCUAGUUUUUGGUGAUAUUCCUUCAAGUCUCUCGUAACGGACUCCCCUUAUGUCAAGUUUGGUCCAGCCUGAUCUCUCUUGCUUUAUCCUUCCUCUAUCCACCGGCGCUUCCAGAGGCCUGUGUUGUACAUGCCCAAACCAUUUCAGAUGAUGUUGGACAAAUUUCUCUACAAUUGGUGUUACCCCAACUCUAUCACAUAUAUCAUCAAUCCGAAACCGUUCUUUUCUUGUGAGGCCACAUAUCCAUCUCAGCAUACUCAUCUCUGCUACACCUAACUGUUGGACAAAUCGCCUUUUAGUAGGCCAGCAUUCUGCGUAAUAUAAAUUCGCAGGUUGAACCUUUUAGUUGGACAUAUCACUUUUGUGGUGCUCUCGUCACGGAGGAAGCCAAUAGCUCCAUACGGCUUUGAUUCCAUGGCUCACAUCUUCUUUGAUAUCACCAUUCUUCAGUAGAAAUGACCCCAAAUAUCAAAAGGUAUCCUUCUAUGGUACCACAUGCCCAUCAAGGCUAACCUCCUCGUGCCUAGUAGCACUGAAACCGCACGUCAAGUUUUAGUUUUACUAAGCCUAAAAUUUUUCAGUUCCAAAGUCUUGUCUUCACAUCUCACUUUCUAUUAACGCCCGUCCGACUAUCAUCGACUAGCACCCACGACAUUCGCAAAGAGCAUACACCAUGGGAUAUCUCUUUGUACAUCCCUUUUGACCUCAUCCAUCACCAAAGCAAAAUAUAUAUAUAAGGGGUCAAAGCUGACCCUUGGUCAAGUCCUAUUCUAAUUGGCAAGUCAUCAAUGUUGCCAUCACUUGUUUGAACACUUGUCACAACAUUAUCAUACAUGUCCUUGAUGAGGAUAUUGGACUUUGUUGGGACUUUGUGUUUGUCCAAAGCCCACCACAUGACAUUUCGCUACAUCUUACCAUAGGCCUUCUCCAAGUCAAUGAACAUCGUAAGCAGUCCUUCUUUUGCUCCUUGUAUCUCUCCAUAAGUUGUCAUACCCCGGAAAAUAGCUUUUCUGGUCAACCUCCAUAUUGUUAGGAAAGUAACUUAUCUCUAUUGAAGGCCCAAGGGACAUAUAUAUAUAUUACACAAGACUUGAGGUGGAAAGAAAGCAAACAUGGACUAAUAGGGACUCCUAGACCAAUACUAAUACUUCCUAACCCCCCCCCCCCCUCAUACUAAUACUAAUACUAAUAUGUCCAAAGAAUGUUGUUGCUCCCUCUAUGUCCACGUAUAGGCCUCUUGAACCAUACCUCUGAGUCUAUUCACAUGUUGACUUUCCACGUCACACGUGAGAGGGGGUGUUGAAGUGUAUAUAUGGAUUGCCUUAGACCUUUCCAUCAGUUCGGUCUUUUGGUUGCAUUGGCUAGUGCAUGAAGCUUAACCAUAAUUACACUGAGUUACUUGAAGAGAUUUUGGUGUUUUGGAAGCACAAAAUCACAAAUAUAAACAUCUUGUUGAGUGCAAAAGGAGGCCAAAAUCAUUCCGAUUUGGUGAUAAGGUGAUGGUCUACCUUCGAAAAGAGAGGCUGCCUUUAGGUGUUAAAGGGAAGCUUAGGAAGCGAAGGUAUGGGCCCUUCUCUAUCAUGAGGAAGAUAAAUGCUAAUGUUUAUGUGAUAGAUCUCCCAAGCGACAUGGGUAUAUCCAACACUUUCAAUGUUACGGACUUGAACCUCUACCAUCCAGAAGAAACGCUCUAUGAAGAUAAAUCGAGGGCACGUUCCAAACAACCAGGGGAGUGCAUGAAGCUUAACACGGCAUCAAAGUUUAAGGUCUUGAGUUCUAGUCAUGGCUUUCGCAAUUUAUGUCCAAAGAUUGUUGUUGCUCCCUCUAUGUCCAUGUAUAGGCCUCUUGAGCCAUACCUCUGAGUCUAUUCAUGUGUUGACUUUCCACGUCACACGUGAGAGGGGGUGUUGGAAUUGUAUAUAUGAAUUGCCUUAGACCUUUCCAUCAGUUCGGUCUUUUGGUUGCGUUGGCUAGUUCAUGAAACUUAACAAUAAUUACACUGAGUUAUUUGAAGAGAUUUUGGUGUUUUGGAAGCACAAAAUAAGAAAUAUAAACAACUUGCUGACUGCAAAAGGAGGCCACAAUCAUUCCAAGUUGGUGAUAAGGUGAUGGUCUACCUUCGAAAAGAGAGGCUGCCUUUAGGUGUUAAAGGGAAGCUUAGGCAGCGAAGGUAUGGGCCUUUCUCUAUCAUGAGGAAGAUAAAUGCUAAUGUUUAUGUGAUAGAUCUCCCAAGCGACAUGGGUAUGUCCAAAACUUUCAAUGUUACGGGCUUGACCCUCUACCAUCCAGAAGAAACGCUCUAUGAAGAUAACUCGAGGGCAAAGUUCCAAACAACUAGGGCAGAAUGAUGAGGAACAAUAGUUGAGGAUAAAAGAAAAAAGAAAAACACAUGCCAUAUUUGUUUGGCUAGUUCUAGAUACCUCGAGUCUAGUGUAGUAUUUCUCUUCUUUUCUAACCUGCCUACUGUUUUCUAGAGUCCUCUAGUUGUGAGUAGCCAUGAGUAGAAUNACACAUGCCAUAUUUGUUUGGCUAGUUCUAGAUACCUCGAGUCUAGUGUAGUAUUUCUCUUCUUUUCUAACCUGCCUACUGUUUUCUAGAGUCCUCUAGUUGUGAGUAGCCAUGAGUAGAAUGGUGUAUCUUAAGUAAUGUUUUCUGGAGUGUUCUAUUCAUAAGUAGAAGUAUGUGAAGGCUUCCCAAAGUCCUAUAAAUACAGGUCCUCGCCUUUAGUUUGUGGUACCCACUAUCUAUAAUAGAACUUGUUCUUCCUAUCUAAGAUCUUGGACUAGAUCGUGUGGUCUAGGAGUUUUGGAUUGAACUCCUGCUGCCAUAUUAGCCUCUAGAGCGAUAUCUAGCGGAACACGUUGAAGUGGCUCCUUCAACUCUAGUGUUGCACACUUCGUAGAAGCAAGUUGGAGUUGCUCCUCCACGACUUUUUGCUGCUUCAGCUACCUUCCAAACGCAAGUCGGCAUAUUCAUCCACAUACUGUUUGCAUCACCUCCUUCCUCCCAAGAGUCCUCCUUAAUAACCCCUCUCAUGUGUUGCCUCCCCCUUAAACUAUAUGUUAUAGUAUGGUCGCAAAUAAGGUGAUUUCAAUUCUUGCCCCUGACUAAUAAAAUCCUGUAAUCGAUAUGUGCUUCUGAAAUGAAAACAUCAAUAUGUGCAGUUUUGCGAUAGUUCAUUAUAGACGUAGUUUUGCUGAUUUUACUCCAUGAAUAGUGAACUCACAUACCCUACACUAUAUUUGGAAAAUAGUUGUACACAUUUUGCAAAAGUAAAUCAUGACUAGAAUGAUCAUACUGUAUGUAUAAAUUAAUCAGCACAUCCAAACAAUGCGACGCAACUAAUUUAGGUGCGAAAAGGGAAAGAUUCAAAGUAGCCACCUGUUGAUCAUGAAGACGGUUUUCACGCUCAAGAUCUUCAAUUUCUUGCUGAACAAUGAAAAGAAAAAAAAUAGUUCACACCAAAAAAGAAAGAACAGAAGAACCGAAAAUGUCUGCUAAGCUGAAACUGACUUGAAGCGCCAAGAUAUGCCUCUCUGACUGACCCAAUUCUUCUUCCCUUUGUGCUUGUUGCCGUGCAAGAAGCUGGAAUUUACAAAUUGUAAGCUGAAACCUGUGAGAUGUCAUAUCCCAGUUGAUUAGCAAGGUGUUAUAAGUUGGACGGGUAACUCAAAAGAAAGAAUGGGCAAGACAUUAGACACCAUCUCAAGUAACUAGUUUGGACUUUGGUUUCUUGGAAGUUUGCUGGAGCUCGAGUGAGCCGGAGAGGAAAUUGGCAUCGGUGCUCCCAUCCAAAGCCAACGAGCUCUAGCCGCAUCUGCCCAAGUAGCAUCUACCCAGCAUAACCUUUCAGAAGCUACGGUGGAAGCAAGGUGGGGUGCGUGCACCGAUGAGGCCCUGGUGAGCACAGACUCAGCACCGGUCCUGGACUAGGUGGGAAGACGCUGAGCUUGUGAACCAUGCUGGCAACCCGUGCGUGGCUGCUCAUCCGGAUCUUGUUUGUGUUGAAAUAUAUUUCCUGCCAUUCUCUAUCAGUUCGGAUCUUUUAGUAACUGGCUGGUGCAUGAAUUCAAUAGUUUGAUUGGAUUAGCUAUGAGUGAAUGUGUGAUAGAUUGUUCAGCUGAUUUAAUUAAGCUGUGUGAUGGAUUCCUGACAAGGUUCUAUUUGACUAUUUUUUCCUUGAUGCCAUUUUAGUUGAUCUUUUUUAUGUACAUUGCAGCUGAUGACCAGCUCUUCCCCUCUGUGGCCACGUGGCCCAUGCACAUGACCAAUAACAAGACCUUGAAGUAGUCGUUAGUUGCCAAUGUGAGACGGAGAAUAUCAAAUGAUAUAGAGCUCGUGCUUAGCUACCCACCAGGUAGAGAAUCCACUCGUAUAGCCAAAUACAGGAACAGUGGUUAGAAAUUUAUAAUACCCACAAGAUUUUUGCAACAUUUUACUAGCGAUUUCCUACUUAACAUUUUCGAAUAGUUUAUUUGAAACAUAACAUUACCAGAAUUUGCUGCUCAGCCAAUUCAAUACUUAGUGCAUCCUGUUUAACGUAUCCUGCAAAUACAAAUAGUGUCAACGGUGCCAAAUUUUAACCAUUCAAUUGAUGGGGAAAACAUAGGAAUAUUAGAAAAUGACACAGUAUUGAGAAAACCAAUUACCUGGACUUUGAUUGUCACUGUUGCUCACCUGUAGCGUCAAUGCAAUACUCUCAUCAGCAGUUUCAAAACAUAACUCCAUAUAUUUACAUGUAAUGCAAUGUGAAAUAUGAGAAGGAAACUCCCACUGUUGCAUGUUAUGAAAGCAAUCUAUCGCUAAGCCCAUGGGCAUUAUAUAUAUUACACAUGACUUGGGGUACAAGAAAAGUAAACAUAGCCUAAUAGGACUCCUAGACCAAUACUAAUACUUCCUAACAUUGUGAACCUUGAUUCGCAGUGGGAUUGUUAAGCUUCAUGCACUAGCCAACGCAACCCAAAGUCCGAACUGAUGGAAAGGGUUAGGCAAUCCACAUAUACACUUCAACACCCCCUCUCACGUGUGACGCGAAAAGUCAACACGUGGACAAACUCAGAGGUAUGGCUCAAGAGGCCUAUACGUGGACACAUAGGGAGCGGCAGCAAUUUUUGAAUAAACUGCAAAAGCCAGGACUUGAACUCAAGACCUUAGGCCCUGAUACCAUGUUAAGCUUCAUGCACUAGCCAACGCAACAAAAAGUCCGAACUGAUGGAAAGGGCUAGUGCAAUCCACAUAUACUAUAACACCAACUCUCACGUGUGAGGGGGAAAACAAUUCAACACGUGCAACCAGAAGAGAGCGACGAUGUGCGAAACUCAUGUAUAACUCAAGAGGUAUCUGUGUGGACACAAAGGGGGGCUACCAACAUUUUUUUAAAUAAAUUCUGAAAGCCAAGUCUUGAAAUCAAGACCUUAGCCCGGCAGUGGGCACGCAUCGCCUCUCUCAAGGACGGGGACGCGAACACCUCCUUUUUUCAUCGACAAUGCUCCUAUCAUCACCGGAAGAAUCGAGUGCACAGCCUAAACGUCGACCACAACACACUCACCGAUCAUGCCGACAUCGCCUCCACCACCUUUGCGCACUUCGACGAGCUCCUGGGCACCGGGAUCGACCAUGAUUGCACCCUGGACCUCUCGCAGUUGAUCAUGCCCUCCCCGGAUCUCCUUGAGCUAGACGCGCCCUUUGAUGACGAGGAGACUUGAUGCAUGUUCAAUAGAUUGUCGGCGUGCAAGGCUCCGGGGACCGACGGCUUCGCCGCCGAGUUUUUGUGCGCCUGCUGGCCCACGAUCAAGGCCGACUUCGCCAUCGUCUUCCGACAGCUCUACGACAGGCACGGACAUGGGUUCUCGUGCCUGAACUAAACAUUGCUCUUGCUGCUUCCCAAGCGUGUCGACGCGGGUUGUCUGCGUGACUAUCAGCCGAUCAGCCUCAUACACCUUGUUGCCAAGAUCUUCACCAAGGUGCUCUCGCUCCGCCUCGCGCCCCGGCUCGACGCCCUCGUCCGCAACAACCAGAACGCCUUCAUCCACGGGCGAAGCCUACAUGACAACUUUGUGCUAGUCCGCCAAUCUGCUCGCUUGUUGCACCAGCUGGGCGCAUUGCGCGUCUUAUUAAAGCUUGAUCUCGUGCAGGCUUUUGACUCCCUGUCAUGGCCCUUCCUCUUCAAGGUGCUAAGGUAGUAUGGCUUCGGGGACAGAUUUCUUGAGUGGGUGGCGAUCCUGCUAUCCUCGGCCAGCACCAAGGUGCUGCUAAAUGGGAGCCCUAGACCCCUAUUUGGCAUCGCCAAGGCCUACGCCAAGGUGAUUCCAUGUCGCCGCAGUUGUUCGUCCCGUUGCUCUUUGGCAGGGCAUCUGGGCUACGCGUCAAUUUCGCCAAGAGCACUACAACGCUCAUCAGAUGCAACGACGACACCAUGAGGCCCAUCGUUGAGAGCCUGGGCUACCCAAUUGUUGGUCUCCCCGUCACAUACCUGGGCAUCCCGCUCACCAUCAAGCGCCCAACCACAGCUCAGUUGCUCCCUCUCGUCGACAAGGUCGCUAGGAGAUUACCCACCUGGAAAGCCUAGCUCAUGAAUAGAGCGGGCCGCCUCGCUCUGGUGAAAUCGGUGCUCGGAGCGAUCCCGCUACACCAGUUGCUCGUGUUGGCGCCGCCGAAGAAGAUCCUCAAGGUGCUUGAGAGGAUCCAGCGAGGUUUCCUUUGGGCUGGCCGUGUCGAGGCUAACGGUGGCCACUGUCACGUUAGCUAGUGUCGGGUUGCACGCCCAAAAUGCCUUGGUGGGCUAGGAGUGCACGACUUGGAGCGCACCGGCAUGGCACUGAGGACUCGUUGGCUAUGGUUCAGCAAAACCGAUGACCGUCGUGCAUGGGUUGGACUCGACCUCCAGUUCUCUGCUGAGGAGCGAGCCUUCUUCUUCGCGAGCACCCACACGAUCAUUGGGAACGGCGAGAGCACUAGAUUCUGGAAGGACCGAUGGAUCAAUGGGUGCUCCGUCUACGAGAUCGCGCCCCUGCUCCACGCCUGCAUCCCCAAGCGAUGUAGGAAGAACAGGACAGUCGUUGAGGGCUCGCAGGCCCACCUUUGGGCGUGCGACAUCCACGGCGUCCUAGGAGUCCAUGAAAUCGGGCAGUACUUGCUGCUUUGGCGUCUCCUCGAGAGCGUGUCACUCUCCAUUGAGCCUGACAAGAUGGUUUGGAAGUGGAACGAGGCCGGCACCUACAUCGCUAGAUCUGCCUACCACGCAUCCUUCCACGGAUCGAUCGCCUCCGACGACUGGAAGCUCAUCUGGAAGAGUUGGGCGCCGACGAGAGUGGAAUUCUUCCACUGGUUCAUCGGCUUAGAUCGUUGCUGGACGGCGGAUCAACUCGCUCGGCAUGGAAUGCAGCACCAUGCGGCAUGCCCCUUGUGCGACCAGGCCCCGGAGACGCUGCACCACCUCCAUGCGGCAGGUAUGGCAUGAGAUCCUUGCUUGGAUGCACGUGACCUGUAGACCGCUCGACAACGAAAGCUCCCUGCUCAACUGGUGGCACCAUGCUAGGCACGACACCCAUCAGCUGAUGCGCAAGGGACUUGCAUCUGUGACGCUCCCGAGUCCUGACGCCUUGGAUGAUUUGGAAGCAUAGGAACGAUUCCCUUUUCGAUCGUGCGCAGCCGUCCGUCCACACACUCGUGGGCAGGAUCAAAGAUGAGGCCAGGCUUUGGGCCACUGCUGGUGCCGAAGGGCUUAGGGUUGUGCUGGCAGCUUCAUGGGGUGUGCACUAGUGGCCAUCCGAUAUGUGUAUCCAUCUCCUAGGAGGACUGUAAUUUCAUAACUCUCUUUUCUCAAUGGAAUGAAACGCAAAGGUCCAUUGCGUUUUCCCAAAAAAAAGCUCAAGACCUUAGCUCUGAUACCAUGUUAAGCUUCAUGCACUAGCCAACGCAAGCAAGGGUCCGAACUGGUGGAAAGGGCUAGGUAAUCCACAUAUACACUUCAACAUUGUGAACCUUGAUUCAUAGUGGGAUAACUACAGUGUUGAAGAUAGCCAGGCGGCAUGGCUGCGACAAAUUGGGUUGACGUAGGUUGGGACAAGAGAAUAAACUGGAGAGAUAAGAUUGAUUGUUCUUGCUUGCCUUAACCUGAGGCACAUGUCAUCCUUUUAUAGCAGAUGCUUAGACCAUUGACCUUUCCUAACACAAUAUCUCCCCUAAUAAUAAAGUGCGCAGCGCUUCUGUCGUACAUCGUCGACACUUUUGCAAAAAAGCCCUCGCAGUUUCAGUUAAUUAACACGCAGUCCAACUUUAAGUCAGAACGAACCGUUUUCUGUCGUUUUACAUAAAAGUCCUCACAGUUUUAGAUAAUCAACCCGCGGUCCAUCUCUUAGUCAGAGCCGACCCGUUUUUUGCAUUUUACAAAAAAAACUGAUGUUUCAGGUAAUCAACCCGCCGUCCCUAUUUAUGUGAGCCGAAACGUUUUUUUGUUUUAACAAAAAAAAACCUGACUUUUCAGUUAAUCAAUCCAUAUUUUAUCUAAAACAAAAUUAUCCAUAUCUUUUAAACCGUAACUCCGAUUUUAACAUGUUAUAUAUGAAAUUUGAUUGAAAAAAGGUGUAGAAUCUAAAUAGGAUGUUAUUUUUAGCUGUGGAAUACUUCUUAAAUAUUAUUUUUGGUGCAAACUUAAUCUGUAGUGCACGUCUUUUUUUCUCUCUUUCCGACGACCAUACGAAUUGCAAUAAAUAUCUAUUAAAUUAAAACCAAAUUGAGAGGAAAGAAAACAUCGUUAACCACACAAGCACACCUUUGGAAAAUCUCGUGGGGAGAAACAACAUAUUUCUCAUCUUAUUCCGAGUGAUUGUACAUUCAAACGCGUUUUUGUUGUGUGGGCACUGAGGCUAUCGUCGACAACACAAAUGUGAUGCCAUGUGAAAAUAUAUUACGUUCAAAGCGUGUGUUAUUUUCUCUUCCGUUGCAACGCACGGGCUUUUUUGCUAGUGACUUCCUAACGAAUUAUACUACUUUAGUCUUAAACGUCAUAAUACAAUGCUAUUACCUAAAGGACUCUUCUCCCUUCCUUCCCCGGCACGUGACCUGCUGCUGUUGCAAUAUCCCUGACCCUCUUGCCAGCCUUCUUGGCUUAUCCACUGUACUAGUGUCCACAACACUACACCCUUCCCAGACUAGCAGCAUGCCCUCAAGCUGCAGGGUGGCGGCAUUGUUGAAAUUCGAUCACAUCAUGCUGAAUUGUUUGCUUGGCAGUAUAUUUUGUUGGAUCAAUCCCUUGGUCUUCUCUCGGAUCCUUUUCCUUUGUAUGCACAGCAACCCCAUACAAAAUUCAAAGCACAACACCUCUGCAAGCUACUUUUCAAAACAAAAAAACUGUUGAAUGUGUGGCCCAUCACUGUUGGCCCAGGAGGCCCAGGUCCAUAUCCCAGGUCCAUAUUCGACCUAAAAGGAGAGGAACUCAAUCUUGUCUAGAGCUAAGCACCGCUACACCACAGUGAAGCCACAGGGUUCGCCUCUCCUCUCUCAACAUGGUAUCAGACCAGGAGGCGGUCUAGUCGCCGGUGACAGCAGGGCCCGACAAGAAGGGGGAAGGCGGCGGUGGACUUGGGUGACGGCGGGGCAGCUGCGGCACGCAGCAGGCAAGCUCGGGCGAGCGGCUAGUGAGGAGCAUGCGGCGCUGCUGCAUGCGAGCUGUGGGGAAACACUGGUGGCCGUGGCCCGACAUCUUCCUCCUCUUCUCUUCUCCGGUGGCUUGAGUUUGACUUUUCUUGUUGCUGGACUUUCCGCAUGUGCAUCGACUACACCGACCUCAACAGAGCCUGUCCAGAGGAUCCUUUCGCCCUUCCCCACAUUGAUCAAAUCAUUGACUCGACGGCGGGUUGCGAGCGUUUGUGUUUUUUGGAUGCUUACUCGGGAUACCACCAGAUCAAGAUGGUUGUGGCACACCAGGAGAAAACGUCCUUCAUAACCCCCUUCGGAGCCUUCUGUUACGUGUCUAUGCCGUUCUGGCUCAAGAGUGCGGGGCGACUUAUCAGCGUUGCAUCCAGAAUUGCUUGCAUAGACUGAUCGGACAUAAUGUCCAUGCCUAUGUUGACGACAUCAUAGUCAAGUCCCAGUAGAAGGAGUCACUCUUGGAGGAUCUCAAGGAGACUUUUGACAACUUGCUCUUAUACCAGAUGAGGCUUAACCCUACCAAGUGUGUCUUUUGUGUUCCCGUAGGAAAGUUAUUGGGUUUUCUAGUGUCAGAGCGCGACAUUGAAGCUAAACCCGAUAAAAUUGAAGAGAUUACUUCGCUAGGCAAGCCGGCCAAUGUCAAUCAAGUUCAGCGAAUGGCGGGUCGCAUCGCGGCUCUAAGUCGCUUUAUAAGUCACCUUGGGGACAAAGCCAUCCUUCUUUAUUAGUUACUCAAUAAAACUGAUCGUUUUGUUUGGACGGAUGAAGCCAACGAAGUCUUUGAAGCCCUGAAGCAACAAUUAGCUAAGCCGCCAGUAUUGGCUGCUCCAACAGACAAGGAUCCUAUGCUCUUGUACAUCGCGGCUAAUUCUAAGGCAGUGAGCGUGGCAGUGGUCAUCGAGCGAAAAGAAGAAGGAAAGGAAUAUCCGGUUCAGCGACCAGUAUAUUUUAUCAGCGAAGUCCUGACCCUUUCCAAACAACGCUACCCGCAUUGGCAGAAGCUGGUCUUUGGGGUGUUUAUGGAGAGCCGGAAGCUGAAACACUACUUCCAAGAGCACCCCAUCACGGUGGUCAGUUCUGCCCCCCUUGGUGACAUUAUACAAAAUCGAGAAGCGAGUGGACGGAUUGCUAAGUGUGCCAUCGUGUUAGGACCUCAUCAUGUGCGAUAUACCCCUCGUACAGCCAUUAAGUCGCAAGCACUAGUGGAUUUCAUCAACGACUGGACCGAGUUGCAGAUUCCAGAAGACAGGCCUGAUCACACAUACUGGACCAUCCACUUUGAAGGGUCUAGGCAGUUCGAAGGUUCGGGGGCUGGCAUGGUGUUAACUUCACCUCAGGGCGACAAAUUCUGCUAUGUCCUCCGACUCAUGUUUCCAUGUACCAACAAUGUAGCAGAAUAUGAAGCUCUGCUCCACGGGUUGCGACUCGCCAAAGAGAUGAAUCUCACCCGAGUCAGAUGUUUGGGUGACUCAGAUUUAGUGGCACAGCAGGUUUCUGGCACUUGGGAUUCCAGAGAUCCCUUGAUGGCGGCUUACAAGCGAGCUGCGUCGGACGUGGCGGGUAAUUUUCAUGGUUAUCAGGUGGAUCACAUCGAUUGGCGACUUAAUGAAGCGGCAGAUGCCCUUUCAUGCCUCGGAUCACAAUGUAAGCCGGUUCCCCUCAAUGUCUUUUUGGAUGUGUUACAUAACCCAUCAGUAAGGCUGCCUUCAGAAGAAGAUUUGGCGGUGCCAGAUCCUGAGUCUCAACUUGUGGCGACUCUUCGUGCUACCCCGGAUUGGGUGGUUCCCCACAUGGCAUAUCUCACAUGAGACGAGUUACCCACUGAUGAGUUGUUGGCUCGCCAAAUCGUCCGUCGAUGCAAAUCCAUGGUCAUACAUAACGGCGAGUUACAUAAGGGAAGCACUUCAGGAGUAUUUCAAAGGUGUGCCUCUUCCGAGGAAGGAUGUAUGAUGCUCAAGGAAAUUCAUGCAGGAGACUGUGGUCAUCAUGUCUGAUCACGCUCCCUGGUUUCCUAAGCUUUUAGGCAUGGGUUUUAUUGGCUGACGACCCAUGCAGAUGCUGAAGAUAUAGUUUGUCGAUGUGAUGGUUGCCAAAAAUUUGGACGUCAGAUGCACGUGCCGGCUCAGGAAUUACGGAUGAUUCCAAUUACUUGGGCAUUUGCGGUCUGGGGGCUAGACAUGGUUGGUCCUUUUAAAAUGUUGUCCAACAAAAAGACUCACCUAUUGGUGGCAGUUGACAAGUUUACUAAGUGGGUCAAAGCAGAACCAGUUAGUAGCUGUGAUGCAGAAACGGUUGUCAAAUUCCUGAAGAAGUUGAUCUUCCGUUUCGGAUAUCCUCAUAGUUUCAUUACUCAUAAUGGUACUAAUCUAUCAAAGGGCGCAAUGCAAGAGUUUUGCGGAAGAGAGCAUAUCCGGCUUGACGUUUCUGCAGUCGCACACCCCCAGUCUAAUGGACAGGCAGAGAGGGCGAAUCAAUAAAUAUUGCAAGGAAUCAAGCACCGGUUUAUGGUACCUCUGUAGCGUACUCCGGGAUGUUGGGUUGAAGAAUUGCCCUUAGUUUUAUUGAGUAUCAGGACCACCCCAAAUCGCUCCAUGGGUUUUACUCCUUUUUCCUUGGUCUACGGGGCAGAGGCAGUAUUGCCAAGUGACAUCAGUCACGAUUCACCAUGAGUCGCCGCUUAUGUGGAAUAGGACAACGAGUUGGCACGUCAAGAUUCAUUGGAUGCUUUGGAGGAAGAGCGAGACUUGGCUCUAUCACGAUCGGAUAUCUAUCAAUAGGACUUGCGACGCUAUCAUAGUCGUCGCGUCGAGAGUCGGACUUUUCAAGAGGGUGACUUAGUGCUCCAUUUGAUUCAAGACCACACUGGUAUGCAUAAGUUAUCACCCACAUGGGAAGGACCGUUUGUCAUCCGCAAGAAUCUUCCGAAUGGUUCAUACUACUUGGUGGAUCAUCGCCCUGAUAGGCCAACAACAGAGGUUGAGACAACUCGCCCCUGGAAUAUCGCCCACUUGUGGCCUUACUACACCUAGAGCCAUGGGCUCCUUUCUUUUUUACAAUCUCAAAACUUGUAAUCUUUUAUUUAUAACGCAAUAAAGCCGGCACCCACGAUCUUGGGGGUCCUUUUCCGUUUCAGCUUUUAGAAAGCAUGAGUCUUUAUUGUUCCCUAAGUCAUCCAAGCAUGGACGCUAUUAGUACCAAAGAGCAUAAGCCGCCACGUUGCACUUAUUUCAAAACUGGGUACUGGUAUGCCAAAGAGGACCAAAAGUUGCUGCGUUGCACGGUGCAAACAUGGGCGCCUUAUAUGAUUUUGAGAACUAAGCCGGCUUACUUGGGGGCUACUAGCUCCCAAGUCGUUUUGCAGUAAGAGCGGAUACGCUUCUGUAAUCCUAUGCCUGGUUUUUUCCCUAAUCAUAGAUCACUUGGGGGCUUCCACUCACUGAGUUCACCCUGAGUACCCUCUAGGCUAGCGAAAAAAUACCGCAUUACAAAUGGUUAUACUGGACUAUGUGUUGGACGAGUCGCCUUAUGGACCCAUGUACUCUUGGCAAGUCAAUCCACUUUUUGGACCCUGAACUCGCCUUUGUUAAAACAAGAAAGGUACCGGCCAGAGCCACACAUGGAAAAUAGAGAAACCAUUGGUUCACUGAAUCUGCUUCACUGAAGCUUGACUCACGCCUGAUCAGCCGGUCUAAAUAACUUGGGCUGUUGCAAAAGCCUUCUUGGGGUAGCACUAGAGUUUUGCAAACUCGUCCUAUCCUGUCGUAACUCAUCGAGGCGACAAAUUUUUAUGAUUAUCUUCGUGGCACUGCCGCAAGGUUUCGUAAAGUAUUUUAAUGACUCACCGCGACUCACUGAGCCGUCUCCUUAUUUAUAACUCGCCAUGACCCACUGGGUUGGUUUAUCUCUUCCUAACUAUCAAACAUAAGGAUGGAGAAAGGCGAUUCAUGAUUCACAAAAAUAAUAACAAUUCAGAACUAUCAAGCAGAAGGCAUGGCUGGAAGAUUGUUUCCCUGAAACCUAAAGACUAUUACAUGGCUCACUAGGCCAUACCGGGCAUCAUAUCCCGGUCAAAACAAAAAAGAUCAAAUUGUUUUUGAAGAACCAAGUACAUGCUGAGUAAACCCAAGACGCCUCCGGGUCACCCUGCCUUGAGCUCUCUCCAUCUUUGAUUAUUAAGUCGCCCAGUUUCCAAUUGCACUUGGACAAGGCGACAAAUUCAUCUUCAUCGCUCAGGAAGACAGAUAGAUCAGCUUCAAAUUCAAAGGGGUUCUUACGCCAGCGGGGAGUCGGGCUAGUAACUUUGAACGAAGGAGGAGUCAUCUUUUUAUUAUAGUCAUCAUACACAGCCUGGUAUUUGUUCAAGUCCAAGCUGGCCGCUAGCUGAGUCGCCGCAAAGCGAGACUCUUUCACAACCCGGUGGUAAUCAUCUUCGGUGAACUCCGACUCGUCAUCUUAAAACUUCGGAUAACCAGCAGCUACCUCCUCUGGCUUAAGUUCGAGAGCGUACGCCAGGCACCGACUUAGGGUAGUCAGUGCUCCCUUGCGGGCGGCUGAUCUCUUCAGUUCUUCUACUUGAGGUGGCAGUGUUGACAAGCAACCCAGCAUAUGCUUGAUGGAUUUUAUUGGCUCCUUGUUGCCCAUCACUAGCUUCAUCGUCAUCAUGCCUCCCGUAUACAACUGCUCUAUAAAGGUGUAAAUCGCCUUCAGCUUCAGGAUGCAAUCAUUUUGGAGAUUGGCGGCUCACGAACAUUACAACAGAUAACAUGUGACAGUCAGUAUUUGCAAAAAUAUAUUGAACCUUCUUUUUAGACGAAGGAAAUUGAUUAUUACCAAAGAUGGCUUGGCUCAUGUUGGAGAUGUGCUUUUUUAACCCGGAGAGCUCUUGCAGAGUGGCUUCUAGCUUCUCCUCGGCUUGUUCCGCCCGCUUCGUGAUGGCGGCUUGGUCAGCAUGGGCUUUCUUCUCAAAUUUUUGGUGAUUAGCCUUCAUUUUCUCCAUAUCAGCAAGGGCCAACCGAUAUUUCUCUUCAGAUUCGGUCCGAGCAUUCUGUUGUUCGGCUAAGUCUUUCAUCAAAUCAGGUAAGGAUGACUCUGCCCGGGUCAAGGAUUCCUGCAAACAAAUUUUGGGGAGGCAAGUUUCAGAACUGUUACAAGCAACAUCCCUGACACUUGGGGGCUAAUGUAUGAUUCUUUUCAAAGUCGUACAAAAUUCAAGACCCGACUCAUCUUUCAAAAGAUGACCCGGUCCUUGGGGGCUACAAGGUUGAAGUUUUUAUCUUAUUCAAGACUCGGCUCAUCUUUCAAAAAGAUGACCCGACCCUUGAGGGCUGUAGGUUGAAGUUUUUAUCUUAUUCAAGACCCGGCUCAUCUUUCAAAAAGAUGACCUGGCCCUUAAGGGCUACAGGUUGAAGUUUUUAUCUAAUUCAAGACCCGGCUCAUCUUUCAAAAGAUGACCCGGCCCUUGGGGGCUACACGUUGAAGUUUUUAUCUAAUUCAAGACCCGGCUCAACUUUCAAAAGAUGACCCGGCCCUUAUGGGCUACAGGUUGAAGUUUUUAUCUAAUUCAAGACUCGGCUCAUCUUUCAAAAGAUGACCCGACCCUUGGGGGCUACAGGUUGAAUUUUUUUAUCUAAUUCAAGACCCGGCUCAACUUUCAAAAGAUGACCCGUCCCUUGGGGACUUACGAAGCCAGAGCAGAGUUGUUGAAAUUCAAGCUUAUCAUAAUUAGGAAGCUUCAGCUUGGUGAUGUCUUGCUCUGUAGAGGAAUGGGUCUCUUUGGAUGCAUGUUUUGAUAGCACCGUUGUUGCAGGCUUAGAGUACCCGGUACCAGUAACAAUUACGGUAUCUGGGUCUUCAGCCGCCUUGGAAGAGCUUGGCGGGUUAACGUUUUCAGUGGCCUCCUUCAGAGGGCUUGGAGGGUCAGUCCGGAUGUCAGGAAUGUCAUCCACAAGGUCAUCAUGAGUCGCCGCUGGGUCUUCGUCGAAUUCUGGCACAGAGGUGCUCAUACCAAACACCUCAGUUGUUUUAGGAGUAGAAGACAAAUCGCCAAUUUUUCUCUUCUUCGCUUGUGCUCUGAGAUGAAAAGACAUCAAAGUUAGGACAAGUAUCAUUAUUGGGAAGGAAAAAGGUUAAUAAAUAAUUUAACCUUGUAAACGAAUCAUUGGGGGAAGAGCCGACAUUACUGAGUCGCCAGAUGAAGGAGGAGGAACCUGAUGGACAAAAGUUCAAGGAGUGAACGAAUUGCGAAUAACAUUUUCCACAAGAAGGGAAAGGUGUUAACAGGAGUAUACCUCACCGUUUCCGGCCAGUUGUUUUUUCGGGUAACCCAGAAACUAAGUUGCCAGAAUGGCUUUGGGUCUGAUGUUUGGGGGUAUAUCCCGCCUUCUUUAAAAGGAAAUGAGGGUCCAGAUGAGCAUUUGGGUGAGACAUGGGAACUUUUCAACAAAUCCGCCUGGCUGGCCUAGGAGAAGAAGAAGUUGAGUCGGAAGAAAUGGAAAUUACCUCGACGACGUCAUCUUGGCUCUCAUAGUCAUAUUCCUACGAACAAAGGUAAGGAGGCAUAAGCAUAAGUCGGAACAUAGUGAUGACAAGCAAAAGGGUAAAUUUUUACAUCUGAAUGUUCUUCGCCGGCUCGAGACUCGCCCAUGACGGAUGACUCGUUGGCGGCGGCUUUGCCUUUGUUCUUCNNNNNNNNNNNNNNNNNNNNNNNNNNNNNNNNNNNNNNNNNNNNNNNNNNNNNNNNNNNNNNNNNNNNNNNNNNNNNNNNNNNNNNNNNNNNNNNNNNNNCCACUGGAAAGCGCUGGGCCCAGGAGGCGCCUGCAGGGAGGCACCCCCAAGCCGCGGGGAAUGACCCAGCCGCCACCCCCGCGGAGGAACUGCGAGGAACCGGAUUCCCGACCUCAGGAGGACGAUUCAGAGAAAGCGACGAGACACAAGUGGCGCGGGCCGCCCGCGAAGACUACGGUGCUGCUGUGGGCAUCGAGGGCCGGGCCUCAGAGGCACCCCCUGACGCAGAGAAGCCAUGCGAGGUAAUUUUUUGGGUUCACCGCCCUUGGGAGUGUCUUCUCACCACAGGAACUUCAAGUGUUCAGGGCACACCUUUACGCGUGCUUCCAUAACUUCUGCUGCCCCCAUUCGGCGAUCUGACAUCUUGCCUUACUUGCAUCUUUGGACGAUCCCCCCCCACUCGGGGGCUCCGGCUGGUGCGCGUUGCCAUGUCGUGGGACCUGGGGAGGCCCCACGGCUUCCCAAUGCCACAAUCAACAGGAUGAAAUGGGGGCCGCCUAAGCGUUAAAAGGGGGCUCCGCAGCAUCGAGCCUCAGGGGAUUUACCGGUCAUAAGGACACCUGCCACCCUUGAUGUCGUCCAUGGACAUUCGGUCGUUAUCAUGGGUGGCAGGGCUUGACCCCGUAGCUGCGUUCGUUCAUUCGGUCGCAAGCAACGACGGUUGCGAAAUGUGCAGGACUGGGUCUUGGCGACGCACAGCCGCUCGAACGUUAAAGGGGGCUCUUGAGCAUCGAGCCUCAGGAGCCUUACUGGCCAAAAAGCCACUUGGCCACCCUGGUGCUGUCCAGGCACAUUCGGUCGGUAUCAGGGGUGUCAGGGCCUUGCCCCGUGAGGCGACUCACGGCGGUAGGGGAAUGUGUGGGACUGGGACCUCCCAACGUAGAGCAGUAGAAAAGCCCUCAAUCAGUCUGAGGAGAAGGAGCGCGCGGGACCUGCAUCAACCCGCGACAUCUCUGCAUCGUCCUUCAGUCCUUUCGGAACCUACUUUAUCCCGUGACACUCUCAUGUAAUAACGAGCCAAGGCUGUAUAUGUCCAGGGCCCCCUCGAGGACGCGGAGGAAUCGGAGGGCACCGAUCUUGCCGUUGAAGAUGUGAAUCUUGCUGAAGUGGACCCGGUAACCUGAUUCGAUUGAACCAGCCUCGAGACCCAACUCGAAUUGUCGAUGUAGCACUUUCCAUGGCGGCUUUUGGUUAUGAGACCAACCGCGUAGCUCCCAAACCCUGGAAGGGCUCCCUUUGAGAACUCAACUCCACCAUGCACUAGCCCCAAUCACGACAGUUGUCCUCGUGAAAAUACUUAGUGGUGAAUCCAUCGCAACUAUGUGGCGACUCAAAGGGGUUGAUCGGGAACGAGAGACGAGUUUACCCAGGUUCGGCCCCUCCGAUGGAGGUAAAAGCCUACGUCCUAGUUUGUGUGUAUGGAUGAUGAAAUCUAUUACGAGGGUGCGGUUUCGCUUGACCUAGAUCUCGAUUGUUUGUAACUUAAGUCUACCUGCCCUAGAGACUCGCCUUUAUAUACAGGUCGAGACCCUUAGGUUUACAAGAGUCCAGGUCACAUUAUGAUUCGUGAUCUAUUAUGUCUCUAACUCGCCUUGCUCCUUAAGCAAGGACACUCCCAACGACCUUCUCCCUUGUGGGCCAUGACCCGCCAUCUUCGUGUCUUGGGCUGCUGCCGACUCUCGUUGGUAAACCGCCUUGUGUCUCCCGCUUUGUAGGUCAGGGCCCAUCUCGAGUAUGAACGAAGAGCCGCCACCAUCCUGACCCGGCCUCCUACGACCGAUCAUAUGGCGGGACAAUAUCCCCAACACCCGGGGUUCGAGGAUCCCGAGUCCCCAAAUCAUGUUUACAUUCUCGGUAAGACACUCUAUGGCCUUAAACAAGCCCCACGAGCGUGGUAUAAGCUCCUUACUGAGAUGUUACAUGAUCGUGGAUUUGAAAUUGGGAAAAUUGACCCCUCAAUUAUCUUUGGUUCUCCUAACAAAGCUUUUCUUGAAGAGUUUGCCGACUAAUGACCAAAUAAUUUGAGAUGUCUAUGCUGGGAGAGUUGAAGUUCUUCCUUGGAUUCGAAGUCAAGCAACGAAUUCAAGGAACCUUCACCAAUCAAGCUAAAUAUACCCAAGACAUUCUCAAGAGGUUCAAGAUGGAUGAUCUCAAACGAGCCAAGGCAAACACCCCCAUGCCCCUCAAAUGCCAACUUGACUUAGAUCCCAAUGGCAAAGCGGUGGAUCAAAAGGUAAAUCACUCUAUGAUUGUCUCUUUGCUUUACCUUUGUGCAUCUAGACCGGAUAUUAGGUUGAGUGUGGGAAUUUGUGCACGAUAUCAAUCUGCACCUAAGGAAAGCCACUAUGUGGAGGUCAAGAGAGUAUUUGGCUCAUUCCCCAAACUUCGGAUUAUGGCAUCCCAAAGUUUUUCAUUUGAUCUCAUAGGGUAUUCAGACUCAGAUUGGUGGGAGACCAUGUGGAAGGUAAGUGAACUUCCGGAGGUUUCCAAUUCUUUGGUGACUCUCUAGUAAGUUGGUCUUCAAAGAAACAAAACUUUGUUUCUCUCUCGUCCACCAAGGCCGAGUAUGUUGUGGCUGCAAGUUGCUGUGCUCAGUUGCUUUGGAUGAGGCAAACUUUCAAGGCUUACAGUGUCAAUUGUGACAAAGUGCCUCUUUGGUGUGAUAAUGAAAGCGCUAUCUCGAUCUCCAAUAACCUAGUUCAACACUGCAAGACGAAACACAUUAGUAUUUGUCACCACUUCAUCCGGGAUCGUAUCAAGUGUGGGGAGAUUGAUCUCAUUCAUCUUAACACUAAGGAUCAACUUGCAGAUAUUUUCACGAAGCCAUUGAAUGAAGCAAUAUUUCACGAGUUAAGGCAUGAGCUAAAUAUUAUUGAUUUGAGCAAUGAGGACCAAUCUUAGGCACACCCCACCAUGUUCAUCAUAUUAUCUUGUUUAGAUGUAUGCACGAAUUUAGGGGAGUGUUGUUAUCUCAAUGAACUCUCCCUUCCCCUAUUAUGCGUAAAUCGACCAAGUCUUUCACAUUAGUCAUUUUAGAUCGAGUUUUGGUCUUGGGCCCAAGGUUAAAAUCUUCGUGGUGACAUACCAAUUGAAUCAAACAUAGGUGGCUUCGGGCACCGCCAUCUUCUAAGUGAGGCAUUUGAUUCUUGAGAGCAUGUUCUAAUUUUUGUGGGUCAUCCCAGGUUAAUUUUCUCUCUGGUUUACUUUAUUCAUAACUUGGGGUAUCACCUUUAUCGUGACUAUGUUUCAUGUCUCAUUCCACUUUGGGUUGACAACUAUGUUAUUUAUUUGCGUGCACCACCUCUUGGAAUUGUUUUGGGUCCAUCUCGGGUGGUACUACCGCUCUUACAGCGGUACUACCGAUCAUAAUAGGUACUACCACUGUUAGUAGAGGUACUACCACCAGGAAAUACUAGCGCUCCUAGCGCGGUACUACCGCUUAUGUGAAUCCACAGGGGGUUAUGGGGCAUGGGCAAGGGCAGUUUCCACUCCCCAUGCCCAUUCAUUCCCACUCCUCAUGGUGUUCUCUCUCCACGCAACCCAAGGGCUCCGGUGGCCGCCACCGAUCUCCGUUUUCGGCCGCUCUUUCGUGAUUCCAACCGGUGGAAUCGACCCUCACCCCUUUCUCCUACCAUGGAUACCAAUAUUGCCCCUGUUCUCUCUCCUUUUGGUCUAAUUUCCAGAUCUUGGUUUUGGGCAAUGCGAGAUGUAUCCCUCGCUUUUUUUGUCAAAAAUCGCGGCAUGGGUAAGAUGAGGAAGGCGGCUAGGGAGUAGACUUGAUGUUCUAACUAGGAAUUAGGUGCUCUUGGCAUCCUUAGUAGUACCAGAUCUGACUAGUGGUGGUUUUCACCCCGUGGUCUCUACUGUGAGUGGUACUAUCGCUCCUAUGGGCAGUACUACCGAUCGUAAGAGGUAGUACCACUCCUGGCAUCGGUACUACCGCUUUGGGCAGUCAAGAACACAUACUUCCUACUGUUCCAUCACCUUCUUCUCCCAUUUCUUGGUUUCUUGUUGAAAUAUGCACAUCGUUUACUCUCGUGUUUUCCUCAGGUUAUGUUUUGGAUCUCAGGUUGUGGCAGCUCUGCUCAUCAGGAGCGUAGGAUGCACUCCAGCUGUGGAAGCACACAAUGUUACAGUACAUCAGAGGCAGAUACCUCAAGUCAACCACAUGGGUUUGUUUUGAAGAGGAGAGUGCUAGUCCGGCUGCUUCCAAGUCUAAGGGGAAGGGCCCUACUUUCAGGCCUUUGAAGUCCCAAUCCAUGGCCACUCUGAAUGCUAAAGACUUCUGGAUGUCCCGCAAGGCCUAUCCCUAUGGAUAACCCCACAAGCCAUCUAUGGGCAACCGCCCCUUCUGGAACAGGAAGUAACUGUCAGUCUAUAAUGACGUUCUGAAGAGAAAGGCGAACAUGUAUGUUCCAUAUGCCAAAUCCAUCGACGUUGAAUAUAUAAAGCUGAAUGCCAGGUACUUCGGGACUACUCUUUCUCUCUGUGAAAAGAUGGUCAUUCUCAACAUUAUGAAGUUCAACAAAGACUUAGAUGCCGAUAUUAUUGAUGUCUUCUUUGCCAUGGUGCAUGUAGGAACUGAUGAGGACAUGAGUUUGACUUGGAUGACGAAUGACAAGUUACUUUACAAGUACAGUACGGAGAAGAUCUCCUCCACCAUCGGCAAGUCCACCUGGGUGCUGGAAAAAUUCCUAGACAUUAUGCACCGCAUUUUCAGGCACACUCUCUUUCCCGUGCAGGGAAUCUGGAUCAGGUACACUCAUAAUUGGUGGAUAUGCUCUUUUUUUGCGAAUUUCAUAAGUUCAAGGUUAAUGUGAAGCCAUUUGAUGUUUCUCAUGUUUUGUGGUCUGAGCUAUGUUCUGUUGUUUCUAAGCGUAAGUGCCCCAUCUACGGGCCCUAUCCAAUGCUUCUGAUUGAGAAAACUUGGGAUGUGACUUUUCGUGACAAUAUGUUUGAGUGUGGGGAGCUAGUAUCACACAAAGUGGUCCAACUUUGUCAGAAGGAUAAGUGGGCUACUCACACUUCUCCGGAGCAGGAUGUGCCAGAAACUCAGGAUGAUUCUGAUGAGGAAUAAGCUAAUGAGGAAUUUGUGGCUGAAGGUGACACUGCUUCCUGUGGCAUGCCCCCUGCGGCCGAACCAUCUUGGGCUCAGAAGCUCAAGGAAAAGAUGAAUAAGCUAUUCUGUAUGUAGGCCAAAGGUCAGUACAUGGCCCAUGCGGCUGAGAAGACGGCUAUCAGUCGUCACAAGGCUCUUGGUAGGCACGUUGGUUUUGAGAUUGAGAGCGGUUUUGAAAAUAGACUUACUAAUGAGGACACGUGGAUCGCUCAACACUGCCCAUGGGAUUUCAAUGCUGAGUUGCCUGGCUCUCCCGCUCCUCCUCGCACCAUUCAUCUCAGCUCUGAGUCUGGAGAGUAUUGAAGUUCGUCACCAGAGUUACCACCCUUCAUGAAUCCUCUUUGUUCUCUUUGUCCUUUCUGCCAAAGGGGGAGAGAGUUUAGGGAUUUGCAUUUGCGAGGGUCAUGAGUGUUUUUUCGUUGCCCAUUGUUUAUUCGCUCGUGAACUCCUUUAUCAUUUAUUUGCUUUUUUUGUAUGUGUGAGACUAUGUCAUAUGGUGUGAGACAUUUGCUACCUUAAUUUUAUCCUAUGUGUUAGUUUGUGAGAUAUUUAUACUGUGCCCUAUUAUUAAUGCUCACAUUACCUCUUGCAUCUAUAUUACAUUCUGAUUACCCUACUUGCAAGUAGUGGCUGUCUACAAAAUAUAGGGGUAGUGUUGAUCCUAGUGUGUGUGUGUACUCCAGAAGCAUACUUAAAUAGUGUACGCAUCUAGGGGGAGCCUGUCUAUAUUUGUGGAGAGUGGGGUUUGCAUUAUAUAUCUUGUUUAUAUCUUCUAUGCAAAUCCCGUGUUGUCAUCAAUCCACCAAAGAGGGGAAAUUGUAAGGGCAUAUUUCUAGCUUAGUGGUUUUGGUGAUUGAUGAUAAUGCGUUUGCGGACUAAUCAUGUGCACUACGCCUUUCAUGCAUUUUACCAUUUGGCACAAGACGAUUCAUACCCCUCGUUAUAUUAAUAUGAAGACGGUUUUCCCUCCUUCUUUUUUUGUUGGUGGACUUGAGUCGUAGGAAAAGCCGUACUAUUAAGAGGGGAUCCACAUCGGAAAGGUUUGGACGGAAUCAUCACGUACACAUUCCCACACACCCUCUUUCCUACCUCAAUGGAGCAUCUAACCUUGCCCUAGCCCUGGCUAGAAGGAUCCAAGCGGUAGUAACACACCUUGGAGCAGUACUACCUCUUAUGAUCGGUAGUAACGCCCUGGUGGCAAUAGUACUGCUCUAGGGCAGAUUUGCUCUGGCCAGUUUCGCUGCCCGUGGGUCUCAACACUCUUCGUGCGGACUGAGCGGUUUCUUGAGUGGUAGUGAUGGGCGGUAGUACCGCCCAACAAGCGGUUGUAUCGCUUGUUACUAGCACACCAGAUUCCCUUGUUCUUCUGGAUAGGUUUUGCAGCAUGAUCUGAGCGGAUAUAGGAGGUGUUACUACCUCUUAUGAUCGGUAGUACCACUCGUGGCAGCGGUAGUACCGCUCUAGGGUACUGCGAGCCUCUGCCUCCCGCAUGGACUGCUGCCCUCCGCCCCAAGCGGUAGUACUGCUCCCCUUGGAGCGCCAUUACCUCUUAUGAUCGGUAGUACUGCUCCCUGGAGCGGAAGUACCGCUCAUGUGCGGGCUGAGGAGGUGGGUAACGUUUGGAUUUGUCCUCCCACUAUAUAAAGGGGUUCUUCUUCCCAUAGAAUCUCACAUUUCCCAACCCUAAGCUCCAUUCUGGCUCUAAGAUCCAUUUUCACCCGAUUUCUCUCCCUAACUAACAAAAUUUGUUGAUACUCUAGGGUUUGCUUGUCAUGGUCUCGAUCUACACUUCCACCAAGAGAAGUUGUAUUUCUAUAAUUCCCCAAGAGUGUAACUUGCCUUAUUUGGAACCUUUUGUAUGUGGGUCCAUCUUGUCAUUGCAAUUAGAGUUAUAUUCCAUGUGGUAUUUCAUGUGCUCAUGUCUUGUUUUCCUUUGCAUGCAUGCAUCCUUAUCAUUCCAUGUCUCUUGUGUUUGUGUUAAUGUGAUCAAUGUAUGUGGUGUGACAUGUGAUGAUGUUAUGUGAAGUGAUGUGGGGUGUUGUUUGAAAGUAGGGUGCAACUUAUGCUAGGUUUCCAAAAGGAUUUCAAAACUUCUUCCUCUCAAUUUAUAUCAAGCUCAAGUUUCACUUGCUCCAUCCCUCUUUCAAAAAUGCUCAUGUUUUAGUAUGAAUUGUGGUGGAUGUGAUGCUAUGUUUUUAGUGUUUUGAAACUUAGUUUUAGUGGUGCAAAUAUUCACAAAACAGCUCAAUUAAUUCUGUUUUGUAAAUAUUUAGAUGCUCCAAAAAUUCCUUUUCCAUUUUAUUUAAAUAGGUCAUAAUUCUUUAUGACCAAGGGCAUUUUUGUUUUAUUUUUAGCUUCAACAGAUUUGCCUGUGCAUUUGUUUUGCCUCUGUUUGUUUUGUAAAUAGAAAACCCAAGUGGUUUUAUUUUCUCUAUCUGGCGCAUCCAGGUGGGCCUUCUCCCCCUGGCUGGCCCAACUCCCUCUCGCGUGUAGCCCUUCCCUGUAGACGCUGUCUUCCUCCCUCCUUCUUCCGUCAGUUUAGCCAGUGAGGAGAUGAGACAGAGAGCGACGCCGUCAUGGACGUCGAGGCCGCGCGUCCCUUGCCUCCUCCUCCUCCUAUAAAGAACCCUUGGCGUCCGUGCAGGGCUUAGGGUUCCUUCAAGCCGCCGCCACUUCUUUCCCCAUCUCCUCCUCCCUCUCCCUCGUCGGCAGCAGGUAAGCGCGCGCCUCCUCCGCCAUGGCCGAGUCGUAAGAAGCUCAUCGCCGUCGCUGUCGUGCCCCUGCGUCCUCUCCAAGCCUUCGGCGAGCGCGUGGGACCUCCAGGGGACUCGUUCCCGCAGCUAGGAGGAGCAUAUCGGGUCUGCUUCCCCUACAUCGACGACAGCUUCUUCCUCUCCGACGAACCCCUCCGCCGCGGCUUCUUCCACUUCUUCCUCUACUUCCUCUCCGACAGGCACGGCGUCCUCAUCCAGUGGGUGAGCUAGCAUCUUCCUCCCCCUUCCUCGUUGCCAGAUCGUGAGUAGGAGCCCGUAGCCGCGCCGUGUUCUUCUCUCUGUCGCCGGCGCCGCCGCGCGUUGUGGAACCGUAGCAGUAGGCCUUCCCGUGGCGCGUUUAGUGUAGAAAUGGAACCCUGGGAGCCCCUUCUCCGUUCCAUCGAUGAGCCGUAGGCCAAUAUAAAGUAGAUCGCCAGCCUGGUGCUUCCCCUGUUCCGGCCACCGUCGGGCAGAGGAAGGACCAGAGGGGUUGCUCAAUAGAGAUUCCUCCUCUUCUUUGUUAAGAUCCGUAGCAGCAGCGUAGUGGUAGGGGUGUUUUGUUGCAUCAGGUGGUCGUGGGUUCGAAACCCCGCGGCACCACCAUUUUUGGUGUGUUAUUUCGACACAGUAGCUUCAGGGGUGGUUUAUCCUAUAUUACCACUCUCUUCUGUCGAGCCAGAUGGUGUAGUGUAGUGGUGCUAGUUGCUCGUGGUGAACCACGGGGUCUUGGGUUCGAAUCCCCCAAGCCCUUUUAUUUUUUUGCCUAUUUCCUUUGAUGUUUUUAUUUGUUGCUAUGUUAGUUGAUGUGGUGUGCUACGACAGCAUGAGUGGUAUUUCUUUUGCCUCCCAACCAGCAGGUUGUCCUUGAUUAUGUGCUAGAGAGCAUGUGUAGGUAUAUCUAUGUGUAGUGUAUGUGUAGGUGAUGCUAGUGUUUCUGUGACCAAGCAACUAUGUGCAUGUGUGCUUGUGUGGUGCAAGCACCCCAAAGUUUGUGUAGAUGUAUAUCAUCAUGUGCAUGUGUGUGUGUUACUCAUGUGCAUGGGUGUUGAGCUCAUGCACUAGCUUGUGCAAGUGUGUGAGUGUGUGUGUGNNNNNNNNNNNNNNNNNNNNNNNNNNNNNNNNNNNNNNNNNNNNNNNNNNNNNNNNNNNNNNUGUGUGUGUGUGUCACACAUACCCAAGGCAUGGUUUUCCUUGAUAAGCACUUAUGUGCAAGCUUGAUGUGUAGGUGUAGGAAUGCAUGUUGUGAGUGUAAGUAAGUGUGUGUGUUUAACUAGCAUGUGUAGGUGCUUGAUAUAUGUGUGCUUGAUGUAUGUGUGGUGUGGUGGUGUGCUAAGGCACAUGAACAUGAGGUCCACCCCUCAUGUGCCUCAAGGGAUUGAUGAGAGUGUGCAAGUGCAUGUGUAGGUGAUGAUCUAGUGAGAGCUCAUAUGAUAUGGCACUAUUUGCAUCAUGUGAUUCCAUGUAGAUUUUCCUUUCAAGUUUGUGCCUAUUUGUUCUAUGGAAGUACCNCAAAUCAGAUUCCACUUUGGAACAAUUUCUGGGAAUGUCAUAUUUCUGUUUUGUUGAAUGUUUAGAGCUUGGUUCCAUGUGAUGUGAUGAGCCCAAGAGGAUGGUUCCUUGUUGUGAUAGUAGAGGAUGAACCCCUCUAAAACAUGGUGGUUUUGUUUCUCGCUUAGGAGUUUAUAUGUGCAAGUUGUGCUUAGUCAAAGUAGGCAUGUGGCUGAAAUUUCAGGUUAGUGAAAAUCUGUGAUUUUCACUAAGUCUGAGAAACAGUUGUUAUUUUCUUCCGUUGUAGUUGUGCUUGCAAAAGUUCAUGUGUUGGGAAUCAGCCCUUGCAAUCAACUAGAAAGUUGGAGCUUUUGUGUUUGUCUAGCUCGCUGUAAAUUUUCAUUCCAUUUGACUUCUUGUAGAUAUUGUUUUGGGUGCUGUCAAAAUUCUUCAGAGCAUAAACAACUAGUGAGAAUCUGAGAAUUUCACUAAGUCCGUGAAAACUGAUGUUUUUGUCCGAGUUAGCAACUGUAGAUCUUUCUAUGUGUAACUCCUUUGUAUUAUCUUUUUGCUCAUGCUUGUAGAGCUUUUGAAUAGCUUCUGCCACAUAUCUUAUUUGUCACAUUUGGGGUGGCUGUAGAUGCUUUGCAUGUAGCUCUCAAACUGCUAUGAUGCUGUUUAGGACAGAAUAUAUAGUUUUGAUGUUUUGAUGUUUGUGAGUGCAUAGUUGAUGGUGUGGUGAGAUUCCUUGCACCACCUCAUCCAUACUUGUUUGUUUUGUGAUUUGGCAACCUGGGAAUACCAGAAAUAUGCCAUUGGAGUGUGUUGUGAUGGAUUUGAUCCGUAGGACUCCAUUUCUUGUUUCGUUGUUUCCGGUUGAUCCGUAGCUCCGUUCGUAAUGUUCUUUAUAUGUUUUUGCAUUGUUUUCGCGUGAUGCAUCUGUUCAUGUCAUCUAAAUGCAUGUCAAGAUAGCUUAGAGUGCAGUUCUGUACAGAAGAUUGUAGUUUCUUCUCAUGCAUGUGCAAGUGACUAGAAUAGAGAUGCAUGUCAUUCUCAUCUCAUGCAUCAUGUGUUUGUUGCAUCAUGUGGUGCUGUUGUUCAUUGGAUGCUAUUUUUAUGUUGGGUAGCACCAGGAUCGGAGAGCGAGUACGUGGAUCCGGGAGAGUACGUGCAGUACGAACAAGAGCAGUUCCAAGCUGAAGACAUCACACGCAAGAUGAUUUGACCUUGAUACCAUCUCUAGUCUUGUUGUGCCUUGAUUCACGUUUCCUUCGUCAUAUGCUCGCUGCCUACCACUGACAUAAUUGCCACCUGAUAUUGCGAUGAAACCCAAACACUUCCCCUCCUUGCUAAUAUUGAAUGGCUAAGUAGGCUUGCUCAACUUCUAAUGUCAGCGUUGCUAGUUGCAGGUGCAAUUGUCUCAUGUGAUAACAUCAGUUUGAUAUCAUUAUGUUAAAUCUAUUAUUUAAUUAAUGCACCUAUAUACUUGGUAAAUAAAGGAAUUCCUAGCCUUUUGCCGGGUGUUUUGUUCCAUUAUUGCCGCCAUAGUUUCCAGCUACCAGUGUUUGAUUCCAUAACUGAGAGCUCCUAACACGUUCGUGGUUGUUAUGGGGACCCCCUUGAUAAACCGUGUAGUGUUAAGACUUGUACGGCAUGACCCGACAUUGGUUUUAAUUUUCUAAUCACUUAAUAAUAAUCUGCAUAGGGAAUAGCUACCCCGAGGAAUUAAUCAACAACCCGGGCCAGUGCUCCUCAUGAGUGUUGGUCCAAACUAGAGUCAUGUGCGGGGCCAACCCGAGGCAACUCGGGAGAUGUCUAUCAGGCCACAGUACGCUGUGGUCAUACGGCGUGUCCUGAGACUGAGAUACGCGGCUCUUAUCGGGGUCAUUGACACGUGGGGAGGUCCUGCUAGUCUUGUCUUACCUUAGCGAUAUAUCUUGCGUAUAGGAAUCCCGGUGAAGCUUUGGUUCUCCCCAGAGUUGAGGUUUUCCUCUAAGGAAUCCGACGAGAUCACGAGAUUCGUGAUAGAGGAUUACUUUGCGGCUCGUGACCAUUUGUGAUGUACUAGUUGGAGCACCCCUGCACGGUUUAAUCUUUCGGAAAGCCAUGCCCAAGGUUAUGUGGCAACUUGGAAUAUUUGUUAACAUCCAGUUCUAGAUAACUUGAACUAAUUCUAAUAAAAUUGCCAACUAUGUGCGUAACCGUGACUGUCCCCUUCGAAGACUUCUCUUCGAACGGGAACACGGUGGGGUUAUCAUUGACGUAAGUAGGUGUUCAGGAUCACUUAUUGAUCAGCUAGUCUUCGCCCGCUAGUAUAGACCAUCUUCAAUUAUUUGUUCUACGUAAGUUAGCCACCAUAAAUGCUUAGGAUGCUGCAACCUAAACACUGAGCCUUCCUUACCUAAUAACUUGACUAGUUCUGGCACCGAGGUCAUAGAUUGCUGAGUCCCCAUGGCUCACAGAUUACUUCAACACCCCAACAGGUACAGGUACGCCCGACACAGGUGAUCCCGAUGGCACGCAGCUGGCGUGGCAGUACGAUGAGGAGAACGACCGCCUAUACGUGAACUAUCCAGAAGACUGAGGCGUGGUCGUGAUCGUGGGCAAGCAUGUAGGGUAGCAUAGCCUUUUCUCAUGUUAUGUAGUCUGUAGCGGAACUACCUUGUUUGGAUAAAAGUGUGAUGUAAACUCUGAUUUAUCUAUGAGAUGGCAAACGAUUCCCUAUUUGUCAUUCUUUAUUAUGCAUGUGCUAUGUUAUCGUGCUUGCCAAACGCUUAGAUGCGCUUCUUUCCAUUUUGGGGCCUCGUUCCCUAAAUCGGAAUGGACCACAUCUUAGUCGUUACAAGUUGGUAAUAAGAGCCUUACGAACAUUGGAGCCUUUGUGUGAUCGUACUUGGCCGAGUCGAGUCUAGUAAAAUGUUUUGAGUCUUAGUUAUAUCGGAGAGUAGGAUUCUUUUUUCUCCUCUUCCAUGUCUGGUGAGGUUCCCGACUUAGGAAAUCUUAAUUCUACUCCUCUUCUCGCUCAAAAUUUUUUUGGGAUCACGCGGGUAUUUUUGAAGUCUAUAUGAUAUCGAUGUGAUGGAGUUCUGUCUUGGUGCCUCCUGUUUGCCUUGAUUUCUUCCGGGGAGUUGAGCUCCAGGGGAUUCUUGUGCACAUCGCCAUCAUUCAGAUUUCUAAGUAUCUCAGAACGAAGGAUGUUCGUAAUUGCUUCAAUACUAGUAGUGGCGAGAUAACCCCGAUGUCCCCAGUACUGGUGCAGAUUGUUCGGGAGUACUGCCAUACUUUGUAUCGUUGUGAUCACGAGGGUCUGUAGUAGAUGAAGGUCCGAGAUGCUGGUUAUGUGUUGAUGGAUGUGAUACAGUGGACGGGUUAGUAUAGGAGUUGUGUGAAUAUUACUCCUUGUAUCCGUGUACCAGAUUGCAUGACCAGAUAUUUUGGGAAUUCAUAGGUGGGAUAUCAAGUAGUGACUUAUAGGACAAUCAUCCUACAGAUGCAUGAUGUGAGGUUGGGGUUCGACAUUUAGUGGGUACGUUUGUUCAUCGUCGUCUUACAGCGGUUCUCGUUGUGUCUUAAAGAGUUCUUGUAGCUUGCUACGACUCGGGGAUACUUCAUAAGUCGUGUACACUACCUUGCAUUGGAUGGCUACUGUAAAUUCGAGCCCGUGCGAUCUUAUCCACGAAGAUAUCACAUGUAAUCUCGAUCAUAUGUUUGUUCCGAGCAGUUCUAGCUCAUAAUUGUUUGCAAGUGGUCUUAAUCAGAAUUUUGUCGACAAUCACUUUGAGGAAGCAUUCCUACUAUUUUGUUCAAGUGCAAUUGCUAUAUUCCUGUUCAGAUAUUCCUGCUCUUUUGAUUCAGCUAUACCUUCAAUUUAUUUUGUGGGCUAAUGUGUUGUCCGUCUUCAGGAUGGCUCCACCAACUCGUCAGAAUCCAGGUCGUGAGGAUGUGCCGCCACCACCUCCUCCUCUGGAGAAUCCUCCUCCGCUGCCGCCUCCUCCUGCAGAGGCUUGGCAUGCGGUGAUGGCUGCUACAAAUGCAAACACUCAGAUGCUGAUACAGUUGUUGCAAGAGAGGACUAAUCAGCAGCAAGGCAACUUCAAUCAUGGUGGCAAUCAAUUUGCUAAUCUGAGUCAGUUCCUGUCAAAUCAGCCGAAGACUUUCACUUCGUGUGACCAGCCGUUUGAUGCUGAGGAUUGGAUCCGUGACAUGAAUAAGCACUUUGAAUGCAACAAUGUUCGUCCAGAGGAUUUCGUCAAGUUUGCAACAUUCCAGCUGAAGGGGCAAGCAUCUAUCUGGUGGCAACAGUUGAAGGAUUCUAGGGGUGCUAGAGUCAUCACUUGGGAUGAGUUCUGUCGUGACUUCAGAUCCCACUACGUUCCGUCCAGCUUUGUGGAGGAAAUGCGUGAGAAGUUCAGGCGGUUGAAGCAAGGUGGUAACUCCGUGUACAAGUACAACGUCGAGUUCCACGAGCUAGCCUGAUACGCCUUGCAGGAUACCCGUGAUCAGAAGAGCAAGAUUUAUCAGUUCAGAGGUGGCUUGAAAGAAGAUUUGCAGUUAGCUCUCGUUUUGCACGAUCCCGAGGAGUUCGAUAAGUUCUACAACUUAGCUCUCAGGGCUGAGGCAGCUUUGCUCAGGGUGGAGAAUUCUAAGAAGCACUUUAGAGAUUCCAGCACGUCUUCCUCAACUCAAGUGGUUCAGAAGCAACAGAAGUAUUGGGUGUCUCCUCCUCCUCCUCGGCACACGCAGCAGUUCAAGCAUUUAGGUGGCCGUGGUUCUUCCCACCCACCCAACCCAGCUUUUCCGCAGAGAUUCCAGCAGCAGAAGCAAGGGCCUCCUCAGAUAUAGUACCGUCAGCCAACAUAUGUUACUUGUCACAAGUGUGGGCAGAAGGGUCACUAUGCCAACAAGUGCACUUCUCAGCUCCGUCUUCCGCCUCCUCCUCCAGGCAAACCUCCAAGCAAUACUCUCGUGAAGUUCAAACCCAGGUCUGCUCGAGUCAACGUGGUGAAUGCGGCUGAGGCAGAAAACUCGUCAGAUGUAAUUAUGGGUAACCUCCUCGUCAAUGAUAUUCCUGCUAAAGUGUUAUUUGAUUCUGGUGCAUCGCAUUGCUUCAUGUCCCGUCCAUUCUUUGCAAAGCAUGAGUUUGUUUUUCAAGAUUUGCUUAAGCCGGUCUCAGUAGUUUCUCCUGGGAGAUUGAUGAAUUCCAAUUGUCUGGUCCCGAAUGUUUCUGUCAAGAUGGGUAGUUAUUCUUUUCUGGCGUCUCCUAUUGUCUUGGGGCAAUUCUGACAUUGAUUUGAUCCUUGGUAUGGACUGGCUGGCCAUGAACAAGGCAUCGAUUGAUUGUGAAGCUAAAGAAGUGAAGCUUACUCACUCUUCAGAGGACGUGAUUAUCUUCGCGGCACGCGAUGACACAAUCCGUCUGUUCUCUUUGAAUGAAAAGGGUGAGAUUAAUCCUAUUUUGCAAGUCCCAGUGGUCUGUGAAUAUGAAGAUGUGUUUCCAGAAGAACUGCCAGGAAUGCCUCCACACCGAGAAGUUGAAUUUGUUAUUGAGCUUGAACCAGGUACCGAGCAUGUGUGCAAAUGUCCGUACAAAUUGGGUCCAGAAGAGCUGAAGGAACUUAAGAGGCAACUCGAUGAGCAGGAGCGUUUGGGUCUAAUCACACUGAGCUCGUCUCCUUGGGGUUGUGGAUUUCUGUUUGUCAAGAAGAAGGAUGGCACGGACCGAUUGUGUGUCGAUUACCGUCCAUUGAACAAGAAGACAAUCAAAAACAAGUAUCCACUUCCGAACAUAAAUGAGUUGUUCAAACAGUUGAAAGGGGCUAAGGUCUUCUCCAAGCUCGAUCUCAGAAUGGGCUAUCAUCAAAUUCGCAUUCGCGAAGACUACUUUCAGGACUAGUUUUGGCUCGUAUGAGUAUACGGUCAUGUCUUUUGGUAUGGCAAAUGCUCCACCGACAUUUUGUCCUAUGAUGAACUACAUAUUCUCUCCGUUCAAGAAUGAGUUCGUCUUGCUGUAUCUCGACGAUAUUUUGGUCUUUUCAGAAACUGAGGAAGAACAUGAAGAACAUCUCAGUCGGGUGCUUGAUAAGCUGAGAGAGCACAAAUUCUAUGCCAAGUUUUCCAAGUGUGAGUUCUGGUUGAAAGAAGUCGUCUAUCUUGGGCACGUCAUCUCUGCCGAGGGCAUCAAAGUUGAUCUGUCGAAGGUGCAAGGCAUUGUUGAGUGGGAGCCUCCGCAAAAUGUGAAGCAGCUUCGAAGCUUUCUCGGGCUUGCAAGUUAUUGUAGAUGGUUCAUUGAGAACUUCUCCAAGAUUGCUAAGCCUCUCUCAAGUCUUCUUUAGAAGGGUGUGAAGUAUGUCUGGUCUCCAGAGUGUCAGUUGGCCUUCGACACACUCAAAGAGAAGGUCACCUCUACUCCAGUCUUGGUUCCUCCUGAUGACUCCAAACCUUAGCAAGUGUUCUGCGACGCCUCUCUUCAAGGUCUUGGUGCACUUUUGAUGCAAGAGAAGAAAGUGGUUGCUUAUACCUCCAGGCAGUUGAAGCCAGCGGAAAAGAAUUAUCAUGUGCAUGAUCUUAAGCUGGCAGCAGUGGUACAUGCUCUAAUGACUUGGAGAUACCUCUUGUUGGAAUGAAAGGUUGAACUGUUCACCGAUCACAAGAGUCUCAAGUACAUCUUCACCCAGCCUAACCUGAAUCUCCAACAAACUCUUUGGGUGGAAAUGCUCCAAGAUUUUAAUCCGAGCGUUGAGUACACGCCAGGCAAAGCUAAUGUCGUGGCAGAUGCUUUGAGCAGGAAGGCUUACUACAACAGUCUCAUUCUGAAGCCUCUCCAGCCUGACCUUUGUGAGUCUUUGAGAAAGCUCAACCUUCAGUUAGUACCUCAGGGAUUUCUUGCAAAUCUUCAGAUCUCUCCUACCUUGGAAUAUCAGGUCCGAGCAACACAGCUUCUUGAUGCAAUGGUGAAGAAAGUUAAGAUUGGCUUGGCAAAGGGACUUCCCAAAUAUAAGUGCUUCAGUGUUGAUGCCAAAGACACGUUAUUUUUUGAGGAUCGUCUUGUCGUUCCGAAAGGUGAUAUCAGAAAGGUAACCAUGGAAGAAGCUCAUAACUCUCUGCUCUCAAUACAUCCAGGAAGCUCCAAGAUGUAUCAGGACUUGAAACAGACCUUGUGGUGGACUCGCAUGAAGCGUGAGAUUGCUCAGUUCUUAAAUGAAUGUGAUGUAUGUCGAAGGGUGAAAGCAGAGCAUCAACGUCCAUCAGGUCUUUUGCAUCCAUUGCCCAUUCCCGAGUGGAAGUUCGACCAUAUUGAGAUGGAUUUCGUCACCGGGUUUCCGAAGUCCAAGAAGGGUAACGAUGCCAUCUUCGUCGUCAUCGACAAGUUGAGUAAAGUGGCUCAUUUUCUUCCAGUCAAGGAAUCCAUCUCCGCAGCUCAGCUUGCAGAGAUGUAUGCUUUGAGGAUAGUGUCUUUGCAUGGCGUGCCUAUGAUGAUUUCUUCGGAUCGUAGAAGUGUCUUCACUUCCAAGUUCUAGGACUCUUUUGAGUCUGCGAUGGGCACGAAGAUAUGCUUCAGCACAGCUUUUCAUCCUCAGACUAGUGGUCAAGUGGAGAGAGUCAAUCAGGUCCUUGAGGAUAUGCUGAGAGCCAGCGUUAUCUCUUUUGGCAUGAAGUGGGAAGACUUCCUGCCUUUUGCUGAGUUCUCAUAUAACAAUAGUUAUCAAGCUAGUUCAGGCAAAGCUCCGUUUUGAGAUUCUCUAUGGCAGGAAGUGACGUACCCCGAUCAACUGGUCCGAGACCGGUGAGCGUCAGAUUCUUGGGAAUGACUUGCUAGAAGAAGCUGAAGAGAUGUGUCGGGUCAUUCGGGAUAAUCUCAGAGCAGCGCAGUCCCGUCAGAAGAGCUAAUAUGAUAGCAAGCAUCGUGACAUGUCUUACGAGCUCGAUGACUUCGUCUAUCUCAAAGUGUCGCCUAUGAAGGGUACACAACGUUUUGGUAUCAAAGGCAAGCUUGCGCCUUGUUUCGUGGGUCCUUUCAGAGUUGUUGGCAAGAGAGGCGACCUUGCGUAUCAGCUUGAGCUCCCUUCAAACUUUGCAAAUGUGCAUGAGGUGUUCCAUGUCUCUCAGCUCCAGAGGUGCUUGAAGACUCCCGAGCACACUGUUCAUCUUCAAGAUAUCGACCUUCAACCCGACCUAUCCUAUCGUGAGCAUCGAGUUGCGGUUCUCGAGGCGACUGAGCGCAAGACCUGCAACAAGACUGUCAAAUUUCUCAAGGUGCAGUGGUCACACCAUUUCGAUAAAGAGGCCACUUGGGAACGCGAGGAUCACCUCUGUUCUGAAUUCCCAGAGUUCGUUCAGUCCUAGAUCUCGGGGCGAGAUCUUUUUGUAGUGUGGGAGAGUUUGUAAUGCCCCAAGAGUGUAACUUUCCUUAUUUGGAACCUUCUGUAUGUGGGUCCAUCUUGUCAUUGCAAUGAGAUUUAUAUUCCAUGUGGUAUUUCAUGUGCUCAUGUCUUGUUUUCCUUUGCAUGCAUGCAUCCUUAUCAUUCCAUGUCUCUUGUGUUUGUGUUAAUGUGAUCAAUGUAUGUGGUGUGACAUGUGAUGAUGUUAUGUGAAGUGAUGUGGGGUGUUGUUUGAAAGUAGGGUGCAACUUAUGCUAGGUUUCCAAAAGGGUUUCAAAACUUCUUCCUCUCUAUUUAUCUCAAGCUCAAGUUUCACUUGCUCCAUCCCUGUUUCAAAAAUGCAAAUGUUUUAGUAUGAAUUGUGGUGGAUGUGAUGCUAUGUUUUUAGUGUUUUGAAACCUAGUUUUAGUGGUCCAAAUAUUCACAAAACAGCUCAAUUAAUUCUGUUUUGUAAAUAUUUAGAUGCUCCAAAAAUUCCUUUUCCAUUUUAUUUAAAUAGGUCAUAAUUCUUUAUGACCAGGGGCAUUUUUGUUUUAUUUUUAGCUUCAACAGAUUUGCGUGUGCAUUUGUUUUGCCUCUGUUUGUUUUGUAAAUAGAAAACCUCGGUGGGUUUUCUUUUCUCUAUCUGGCGCAUCCAGGUGGGCCUUCUCCCCCUGGUUGGCCCAUCUCCCUCUCGCGCGUAGCCCUUUCCUGUAGACGCCGUCAUCCUCCCUCCUUCUUCCGUCAGUUUCGUUAGUGAGGAGAUGAGACAGAGAGCAAUGCCGUCAUGGACGUCGAGGCCACGCGUCCCUCGCCUCCUCCUCCUCCUAUAAAGAACCCUUGGCGUCCGUGGAGGGCCUAGGGUUCCGUCAAGCCGCUGCCACUUCUUUCCACAUCUCCUCCUCCCUCUCCCUCGUCAGCAGCAGGUAAGCACGCGCCUCCCCCGCCAUGGCCGAGUCGUGAGAAGCUCCUCGUCGUUGCUGUCGUGCCCCUGCGUCCUCUCCAAGCCUUCGACGAGUACGCGGGACCUCCAAGGGACUCGUUCCUGCAUAUAGGAGGAGCAGAUCGGGUGUGCUUCCCCUACAUCGACGGCGGCUUCUUCCUCUCUGACGAACCCCUCCGCCGCGACUUCUUGCACUUCUUCCUCUACUUCCUCUCCGACAGGGAUCGCGUCCUCGUCCAGUGGGUGAGCUGGCAUCUUCCUCCCCCUUCCCUGUCGCCGGAUCGUGAGUAGGAGCCGUAGCCAUGCCGUGUUCUUCUCUCUAUCGCCGGCGCCACCGCGCAUCAUGGAGCCGUAGCAGUAGGCCUUCCCGUGGCGCGUUUAGUGUAGAAAUGGAACCCUGGGAGCCCCUUCUCCCUUCCAUCGACGAGCCGUAAGAAAAUUUGAAGUAGAUCGCCGGCGUGGUGCUUCCCCUGUUCCGGCCACCGUCGGGCAGAGGAAGGACCAGAGGGGUUGCUGAAUAGAGUUUCCUCCUCUUCUGUGUUAAGAUCCGUAGCAGCAGUGGAGUGGUAGGGGUGUUUUGUUGCUUCAGGUGGUCAUGGGUUCGAAACCCCACGGCGCCACCCUUUUUGGUGUGUUAUUUCGGCACCGUAGUUUCAGGGGUGGCUUAUCUUGUAUUACCACUCUCUUCUGUCGAGCCAGAUGGUGUAGUGUAGUGGUUCUAGUUGCUGGUGGUGAACCACGGGGUCUUGGGUUCUAGUCCCCCAAGCCCUUCUAUUUUUUUGCCUAUUUCCUUUGCUGUUUUUCAUUUGUUGCUAUGUUAGUUCAAGUGGUGUGCUAGGACAGCAUGAGUGGUAUUUAUUUUGCCUCCCAACCAGCAGGUUGUCCUUGAUUAUGUGCUAGAGAGCAUGUGUAUGUAUAUCUAUGUGUGGUGUAUGUGUAGGUGAUGCUAGUGUUUGUGUGAGAAAGCAACUAUGUGCAUGUGUGCUUGUGUGGUGCAAGCACCCCAAGGUUUGUGUAGAUGUAUAUCACCAUGUGCAUGUGUGUGUGUUACUCAUGUGCAUGAGUGUUGAGCUCAUGCACUAGCUUGUGCAAGUGUGUGAGGGGGGGGGGGUGGGUCCCCCCACAUACUUUGUGUGUAGUUGUAGGUGAUCAUGUGAUAUAUGUGUGUGUGUGUCACACAUGCCCAAGGCAUGGUUGCCUUGAUAAUAACUUAUGUGCAAGCUUGUAUGUGUAGGUGUACGAAGUCAUGUUGUGAGUGUAAGUGUGUGUGUUUAACUAGCAUGUGUAGGUGCUUGAUAUAUGUGUGCUUGAUGUAUGUGUGCCGUGUUGCUGUGCUAAGGCACAAGAACAUGAGGUCCACCCCUCAUGUGCACAAAUGGAGUGAUGAGAGUGUGCAAGUGCAUGUGUAGGUGAUGAUCUAGUGACAGCUCAUAUGAUAUGGCACUAUUUGCAUCAUGUGAUUCCAUGUAGAUUUUCCUUUCAAGUUUGUGCCUAUUUGUUCUAUGGAAGUACCUAGGUAUUAUACAUGUUUUUGGGGUAGAAUCAUCCUAGGAAUCCAAUGGUGGAAUCAGAUUCUACUUUGGAACACUUUCUGGGAAUGUCAUAUUUCUGUUUUGUUCAAUGUUUAGAGCUUGGUUCCAUGUGAUGUGAUGAGCCCAAGAGGAUGGUUCCUUGUUGUGGCAGUAGAGAGUGAACCCCUCUACAACAUGGUGGUUCUGUUUCUUGCUUAGGAGUUUAUACAUGCAAGUUGUGCUUAGCCAAAGUAGGCAUGUGUCUAAAAUUUUAGCUUAGUGAAAAUCAUAGAUUUUCACUAAGUCUGAGAAACUGCUGUUAUUUUCUUCCCUUGUAGUUGUGCUUGCAAAAGUUCAUGUGUUGGGAAUCAGCCCUUGCAAUCAACUGGAAAGUUGGAGAUUUUGUGUUUUUCUAGCUCUCUUUCAAUUUUCAUUCCAUUUGACUUCCUAUAGUUAUUGUUUUGGGUGCUGUCAAAAUGCUUCAGAGCAUAAACAGCUAGUGAGAAUCUGAGAAUUUCACCAAGUCCGUGAAAACUGAUGUUUUUGUCCAAGUUAGUAGCUGUAGAUCUUUAUGUGUGUAACUCCUUUGUAUUAUAUUUUUGCUCAUGCUUGUAGAGCUUUUGAAUAGAUUCUACCACAUAUCUUAUUUGUCACAUUUGGGUGGUUGUAGAUGCUUUGCAUGUAGCUCUCAAACUGCUAUGAUGCUGUUUAGGACAGAAUGUAUAGUUUUGAUGUUUUGAUGCUUGUGAGUGCAUAGUUGAUGGUGUGGUGAGAUUCCUUGCACCACCCCAUCCAUACUUGUUUGUUUUGUGAUUUGGCAACCUGGGAAUACCAUAAAUAUGCUAUUGGAGUGUGUUGUGAUCGAUUUGAUCCGUAGGACUCCAUUUCUUGUUUCGUUGUUUCCUGUUGAUCCGUAGCUCCGUUCGUAACGUUCUUUAUAUGUUUUUGCAUCGUUUUCACGUGAUGCAUCUAUUCAUGUCAUAUUCAUGCAUGUCAAUAUAGCUUAGAGUGCAGUUCUGUCCAGAAGUUUGUAGUUUCUUCUCAUGGAUGUGCAAGUGACUAGAAUAGAGAUGCAUGUCAUUCUCAUCUCAUGCAUCAUGUGGUGCUGUUGUUCAUUGGAUGCUAUUUUUAUGUUGGGUAGCUCCGGGAUCGGAGAGCGAGUACGUGGAUCCGGGAGAGUACGUGCAGGACGAACAAGAGCAGUUCCAAGCUGAAGACAUCAUAGGCAAGAUGACAUGACCUUGAUACCAUCUCUAGUCUUGUUGUGCCUAGAUUCACGUUUCCUUCGUCAUAUGCUCGCUGCCUACCACUGAAAUAAAUUCCUCCUGAUAUUGCCAUGAAACCCAAACACUUCCCCUCCUAGCUAAUAUUGAAUGUCUAAGUAGGCUUGCUCAACUUCUAAUGUUAGCGUUGCUAGUUGCAGGUGGAAUUGUCUCAUGUGAUAACAUGAGUUUGAUAUCAUUAUGUUAAAUCAGUUAUUUAAUUAAUGCACCUAUAUACUUGGUAAAUAAUGGAAGGCCUACCCUUUUGCCUGGUGUUUUGUUAUGUUAUUGCCACCAUAGUUUCCGGCUACCGGUGUUUGAUUCCAUAACUGAUCGCUCCUAACACGUUCGGGGUUGUUAUGGGGACCCCCUUGAUAAAUCGUGUAGUGUUAAGACUUCUCCGGCAGGACCCAACAUUGGUUUUAAUUUGCUAAUCACUUAAUAAUAAUCUGCAUAGGGAAUAGCUACCCCGAGGAAUUAAUCAACAACCCGGGCCAGUGCUCCUCAUGAGUGUUGGUCCAAACUAGAGUCGUGUGCGGGGACAACCCGGGGCAACUCGGGAGAUGUCUAUCAGGCCACUAUACACUGUGCUCAUCCGGCGUGUCCUGAGACUGAGAUACGUGGCUCUUAUCGGGGUAGUCGACACGUCGGGAGGUCCUGCUAGUCUUGUCUUACCUUAGUGAUAUAUCUUGCGUAUAGGAAUCCCGGUGAAGCUUUGGUUCUCCCCAGAGUUGAGGUUUUCCUCUAAGGAAUCCGACGAGACCGCGUGAUUCGUGAUAGAGGAUUACUUUGCGGCCCGUGACCGUUUGUGAUGGACUAGUUGGAGCACCCCUGCAGGGUUUUAUCUUUCAGAAAGCCAUGCCCGCGGUUAUGUGGCAAGUUGGAGUAUUUGUUAACAUCCGGUUCUAGAGAACUUGAACUAAUUCUAAUAAAAUUGCCAACUGUGUGCGUAACCGUGACUGUCCCCUUCGAAGACCUCUCUUCGAACGGGAACACGGUGGGGUUAUGAUUGACCUAAGUAGGUGUUCAGGAUCACUUAUUGAUCAGCUAGUCUUCGCCCGCUAGUAUAGACCACCUUCAAUAACUUGUUCUACGUAAGUUAGCCACCAUAAAUGCUUAGGAUGCUGCAACCUAAACACUGAGCCUUCCUUACCUAAUAACUUGACUAGUUCUGGCACCGAGGUCAUAGAUUGCUGAGUCCCCAUGGCUCACAGAUUACUUCAACACCCCAACAGGUACAUGUACGCCCGACAGAGGUGAUCCCAAUGGCACGCAGCUGGCAUGGCAGUACGACAAGGAGAACGACCGCCUGUACGUGAACUAUCCAUAAGACUGAGGCGUGGUCGUGAUCGUGGGCAAGCAUGCAGGGUAGCAUAGCAUUUUCUCAUGUUAUGUAGUCCGUAGCGAAACUACCUUGUUUGAAUAAAUGUGUGAUGUAAACUCUGAUUUAUCUAUGAGAUGGCAAACGAUUCCCUAUUUGUCAUUCUUUAUUAUGUAUGUGCUAUGUUAUCGUGCUUGCCAAACGCUUAGAUGCGCUUCUUUCCAUUUUGGGGCCUCGUUCCCUAAAUCGGAAAGGACCGCAUCUUAGUCGUUACAAUUUGCUCCAUGAAUCCCUCGCGAAUCUUGUUAUUCUCGGGUGUUUGAGCACCCUAGAUGGUUGAGGUCACUUCAAAGCCAUAUUCCAUUCUGGUGAAGCUUCGUGGUUUCGUUGGGAGCCUCCAAUUCAGUUAUGGAGAUUGCCCCAACCUUGUUUGUAAAGAUUCGGUCACCACCUUCAACGACACCACUAGUGGAAUCGUGGCGCCUCACAUUGUUUGAGGGCGUGAGGAGAAUACGGUGGCCUUAGUGGCAUCUUGGGGAGCAUUGUUUCUCAAUACCGUUCCAAUGGUGACAUACUUCCCCUCAAAGGGAACGAGCUUUGGAAACACAUCCUCGUCUUCAUCGGCUCCACUUGUGGUUAUUUCAUAGCUUUACUUGUAUCAGUUACUUACUUGUUGUUAUUGUUGCUAGCAUCACUAGGUUGAUCACUUAGUUGCAUAUCUAGACAACCUAUUUGUUGCUAAACUUAAUUUGUCAAAGAUAAGCUUAAAAUUGUUAGUUGCCUAUUCAGCACCCUCCAGUCAACCAUAUCGAUCCUUUCAUCUUGGACUAACAAUUUUACCUACUAUAUUUCACAUAUAGUCCACAGAGAGCAUUGGCCUAAAGGAUUGUGAGGAGAAACCCCUUGAUGCAAGGAAAGGAAUAUGAUUGGCCAUGCUUCAAGCAAGAGGACUCUACAUUCUACAUUUGUGAGAAAUCACCUUUGAGUCCAUAGGAAAGCCAAUACUAUUAAAUGGGGUCAGGUAUCUAUGAUGAAUUGGUUUCUCAAGUGCUUAGAGAUAGCCACCAAAAAUACUCAUCAAUUAUCUCAAAAAAUAUCUGUCCAAAGCCUACACAUAAAAAAUCGGUGCCACCACGAAUUCCAUUUCAACCCUACCGAUUUUCCAGAGACACAACCUUUGCCAAACCCUAAUAUCUCGUUACCACCAACUUUCAUAUCGGUGCCACCGAAAGACAGCGACUAACUUUCUGGUAUCUCUAUUUCAAGAAUAAGAAUUUCCGAGAUUGUAAUUGGUACCACUGAGAUUUGGAAACUACCCUAGGUCAUCGUAUCGAUACAACAAAGAUUUAUAUAUCGUUCUCACUAAGAAUUCAAAAGUUGCCACAUUUAGUGUAACUCAGUACCACCGAUAUUCAUUUUGAUGUAAGUGAGUUGGGGAAUAAUGUUGUAACGGUUGGAUUUUGGGGGAUGCCUAUAUAUACCCCUCCACCCCCUCUCAUUCGCAAAGGAAGCACUCAGAACACGCACACACACACUUGUGAGAUCCAUUUUUCUGAGAGAGACACCUACUCAUGUGUUGAGAGCAAAAAAUUCGAGUCCAUCCAUUUGAAACUUCAUCUCUAGCCUCCCCAAGUUUCUUUCCACAAAAUCAAUCUCUCCUACCCCCAAAUCUAUGAGAGAGCGAUUGAGUGUUUCAGAGACUAUCUUUUGAAGCACAAGAGCACGAAGUACAUUGUUCUACCGCAUUUAUUACCUUUUGGAGGGUGGUGCUUCCUAGAUUGGUUAGGUGUCCAUUAGGAGCCUCCUACUUCGUGUUGUGGAGUUGAACCAAGAAGUAUGUAUGGGCAAGGAGAUCACCUACUUCGCGAAGAUCUACUAUUAGUGAGGUUAGUCCUUCCUGGACGUAAGACAUGGUGGAGUAGACAAGGCCGCUUCUUUUUGAACCCCUUGUGGGUGGAGCCCUCCAUGGAAUCUUGUAGCCAUUACCUCCAUCACUGAAGUCUCCACUAACGUGGAUGUAUGAUAGCACCACCUAUCGAAACCAUGCCAAAAAUCGUCGUGUUCAUCUUUGCCUUUGAUCUUCCUAAACUCUACUCCUUACUUACAUGUGAAUGUAUUUACUCUCCGCUGCCAUCUGUGCAUGUGUAGGGUGCACUAGACUUGUUAGAAUUGCUAAAAUCUGCCAGCCGUUAAAAUUGGGAAAAGGAUAGGAUUUUGAUUUAUGCAAGUAGUCUAUUCGCUCCCCCUCUAUACACCCCUUCUAGCGAUCCCACAUGUAAGAAAAAGGACAAUGACAUACAAAAAGAACGAGGACAAACUCCUAUGUGAAUGUUGGAGGGACAUUGGACAAGACCCCAAGGUCGGUGUUGAGAAAUAGGAAUCAACCUUUUUACUAAGAGUUCAUCGUCAAUAUCAUGAAUGCAAGAAGUUCGUGCCGUAUAAGAUGGAGAGUACACAUGGGUGGGUGUCUCUCUCGAAGCGUUGGAGGGUCAUAAAAUAAGAGUGCAACAAGUUUUGUGCCACCUUUUUAUGAAAAGGAGGACGACCCCGGCCUCCGCAUGACAACAAUGCAUGCAACCAUAUAUUAUGAAUAAUGGAAAAUCCAGCAGCCAAACAACUUUGACGUGAAAAUAAAGAAGAAAAUAAACCCUGAGGCCGUAUACCUCGCGACAAUAGCUCCCCUAGAUCGACACUAAACUUAUGUUACAAGACACAUCAGAAAACGAAAAAUACACAACUCCUAGGCUACCCCUUCAAGAAGGAAUCACCACACGUGUGACGAUGAUCGCGAGUCCACCACAAGGUUGGACUCCAUAUUCUCAUCCCCAAAUACAAGCUUAAAUACACCACUUUUAGCGAGGACACGACGCAUGCACGACUCGACAUAUCCCAAUCAGAGAUCUUGUGUUUUGACCAGAGUGCAUAAACUCAUCGUUGAAGCCGUCUAUACCAUCCAUCCUUAUCCGUCUACCUACGCCUCAAUAGCCGCAACAGAAGACAAAGAUGUCUCACACCACUUGCCUCCCGCUACUGUCGCAUCACCUUUGACCCAACAACAAUAGACUAAACAUGGAACGACUGCCACAACCACCAUGAAUUACCUGCCAGUAGCACGCAUGACUUGACGUCUUCCAGUAAUAUGUCUCACGUAGCAUCCGCCGGUAGCCCAUCCACCGGUGACUUCACCUGCCAGCGACAGGCACACCUGACAACUCCGAAAGAGUCACAUGUGUCACUUGUAGAGCCGCAUCGAACGUGAUCUGUUGAUGGAGGGGACGUCACAUACGUGCCACCAGCCUCAGAAAGGCCGUCACCACCUUGAGAUCCAAAUGACUCGGGAAUCCGCUGCCUUUGAGAUAGAAGAGUUUUUGCUCCAAUUUCAGGAACUACAGAAAGCACCCACCAUCUCUACCGCCAUUGUCAUUGCCCAUACAAUGAAAACUGCCACCGUGAUCGUGCAUCAAGUGUCGUCGAUGCCAAAGGAAGCCUCAGCCACCACAUGCGUCCUGCGAUGCCCCUGGAUGUGGGUUCCCAAGAUCCACCAUCACCGGUGCCGCCAAAGUUACACAUAUGAAUAUGUGCCACCCUUGAGAGCAUGGAGGGUCCACCCGUGAGUGGCCCUGACAUCAAUGAUGAUGAAGUCAUCCCUAGUUUACCUCAUUUGUCGUCUUCUCCUCAUGAUAACUCUCAACUAUCAAAUGAAGCUUUUACAAAGAAGACCUAUUUGACUCUCAUGACAAGGAGCCUUGCCGAACAAAUAUAACAAGAGUUGAAUGCGCUCAAAACCGAUCAUAAUUCAACUAUGCAUGAGAACUUUAUACUACCUAAAUCUUGUGUGCUGAUUUUACUCAGGUACAAUGUUGAAGGCAACCAACAACUUUCAACACUUGAAUAAACAAGUUUUGAGGCCCAUACAACAAGUUUGAAGCGAACAAGUUUCACCACUAAUGUAAAACAUGUUCUGGUGAGAAUGCCAACUAGUUACACUUCACAGAAGAAUAACAAGACACCUCACCAAUCUUUUGUUGCAUGCACCGUUUUAGAAUUCGUCCCAGAACUUGCUGCAUCAUGCAACACAAAUACUCCCUCCAUCCCAAAAUAAAUGACUCAAAAAUGAAUCAGUUUUGUACUAACUUUAGUACAAAGUAGAGUUGCUUAUUUUGGGACGGUGAGAGUAUAUGAGUAUCCAACACGUGUUGCAGUACAUAUUGCACAACAUAUGAAGUCUACAUCUAGGAAAAUCAAACAGUGCAUCAUUUGGAGUCGAUAGUUAAAAGGAUAUGAGCGUUGCAAUGCAAGUUGUCCAAAGCAUUAGUUACCGCGCUAGGCUCCAUGAGUUUGCUCCCUUGACCACAUGGUUACCAUGAAUUUGAGCCCCUCUUCUGGAUUGGUUUCGCACCUAAACUAGGAGGGAUGUUCCUAGUAUAAAUACCCUCCCCCACUACAUCCACAACACUUUGGCAAUUUUAUUUCAGCAUAGGUUAGCUAAGUGCAACCAUAAUCUUGUUUGAGAGUUCACUUCCUCCUUAGCUCUUGUAAUAUUGCCCUUGAGAGAGGGUAAAAACACUUUGUGAUUGUACAAUAGAAGCCGUUGAGCUGGCUACCAGUUUGUGCUUCCAACUUAAUCCGUGGUUGGUUGGAUUGGAAUCUUGAGAGUGUGGUUGUGUGAAUACUUGUUGUUGUUUGUUGCAUAUGUAGUAGCUAUCUUCAUUCUCGUUAGGUUGCACUUGUUAUCCAUAACAUGACAACGUUGUUGGCUGGGAUCCAGGGUUUACUUUCUACCCAUUAGGUGGCAUUGAUUCGCAUCAUCGAGCAGAUCCCCCAUGAAGAUCAGGCAACCCCAUGUCAUCUUGGUAUUAGAGCUUCAGUUCACAUAGUAGGAUUUUCUAUCCCUAGUUUAGUUCGUGUUCUUGUUCGUCCUAAAGUCCAGAAAAUAGCCCCACAAAAAUUACUUUUACCAGCCUUUAAUGUAUUAUUUGGUGAGUUUUAUGAAGUUCUUAUCCACUAGAUGUUUUGUUUUUGGUUGUUGAGUUUCCCCCGUCCAUUAUUGUGUGUUUUUGCCCAUUUUCGUGCACAUGUUCCAAAUCUGAAUGCUUCCUCGUAUGCCGGCUUAUUCCAAUACACCGGCUCAUUUGGUCAUUCCGACUUGUUUUUAUUUUCAUUCUUGUAGCGUUUCUGUAAUAAUAGUGAUGACCCCUAACACGAGCAAAGCCUACGGCUGGAUCAGGACCAAAGUGCCAGCGCUUACCUUGGAGGACCUCAUAGGCCAAGGGCUCUUGCGGAUUCAAGAAGAAAUUGAUUGGCGAGCCCCCAAAGAGGAAACUAUUCCAAGGACCGAACAAGGAGAAUUUUUCAUCUUCAUAGAUCAUCUCCACAAGGGCUUUCGGCUGCCCAUGUCAAAAUUCUUUAGAGAUCUGCUCCAUUUCUUCCAGUUUAGGCCACAAGAUAUUGGCCCUAAUAAUAUGACCAACAUAUGCCAAUUUCAAGUUCUUUGCAAAGUAUAUCUCGAGAUCAAACCAACGGUCACUCCCUUUAGGCAUUUCUUCUAUAUAAACUGUCAAACUGAAGUGAAGAAUGGUCCUAGUGUAGAGCUUGGUGGGAUUUCGAUUCAGAAAAGAAAGAACAGUGCCUUUCCUGAAUCAAAACUGGCGAGUCAUCCUAAAGGUUGGAACACCACUUGAUUUUAUUGUAAGUGUACUUCUCUAGAGGGUUAGAACCCCCUACUGGGUUACAGACUGGAUCGUCUUGACGAUUCAAGUGAAUUCCCGGGUUGGCCAGAUGAAGAAGGGAAAAACUGUUGGCACCCAUACUCUUAAGGUUGAGAGCUUUGAUUGCUCAUGGUCUCAUCGGAAUUGAUCCAAUCCGGUGCUAGAUAAGCUCGAGAAUUCAACCACUUAGUUUAAGGGGCGAGUUGAUGUGUAAUUGUACCGACAAGUUGAUAGAUGCUCAACGCUUCAGCGAAGCGGAUUUGAUUGAGAAUGAAAUCAAUAAAGCCACCAUUUUUUGGUGACUCAAAGGAGAAAUGCAGCAUGACCGGGUUAGCUCCAUUUUUCUUGACCAACCCGGUUCCACUAGUAAGUAUUCUUUAAACUUGUCUACUUUCUUCAUCAAAACUUCCUCACGUAUCAUUCUCAUGUUUUUGGCUUGUAUUAUGGUUGCACACAAAUUUUGAUUGGUUGAAAGCCAGGUCCCAGACCCCUAUUCUUCCUUCAUCUGGACAAACGUCUCACCGAACACAUGAGGCCUCCUCGGGAGAGGAAUCUGAGGUAGAACUUGACUCGCUUGGCUACCUCUUUGUUGAACUUGCUAACGCUUCUUCUCCCGAGGGUAAUACUGAAACUAGUCAAGCCGACAACAUUGAGGUAAUUUUUAUCUCCUCCAACUCCUCCAAGGUCAGAUUCUGAAGAGGACGAGAUGAGAUGUUAGAAAAGUUAAGUUUUCACACCCAACUGCUUACUUAGAUCUGAAUUUUCUUUUGAAUAAAAAUCAACACGCCGCUCAAUCGAAGUGCAAGACCUGGAGCAACUCGCUGGAAUUGUCCCCCGGCUUAUCUCUCGAGCCGGCCACCCGCAAGCAAAGUGUUGAGGUGACACAUAGUCCAACUACUUCUCAUCCCCAAGAUGGCCUUUUUAAACAACCUCCCAGUCCUUUUGAUUCAAUUUAUCACGCAUCACCAUCCUAUUCUCGCGACUCAACAACAACACAACUUCCAGCUUUUACCAUUGAAAGUGUGUUAUAUCGACUAGAGGGGGGUGAAUAGGAUAUUUUUUACAAUUUCAUCACAAAGGAAAAUCCUAGUGAGGAAAAUCCUUAGUCAUGAACUGAGUGCAGCGGAAAUAGUGCUUAGUCAGAAGUGCAAAAACAUCCACAACAAAAUACUCAGCGUGGAUUGAGAGAACCGGUUUGCACAGGUCACGAAUACAGGAUAAGCAGGUGAUGAAUAACUUACGUGAAGAAUUUGAGGUGAGGAAUUCACAGAAAGUCUUCAGUCAAAUUCUUCAAAAAGUACAAAUGAAAGUCGUCAACAUGUAAUUGAGGAAAUGAAAAGAGUUGAGGAAAUAGAACGAGUGGCUCGAUGAAGACAAUUGUUGAUGACCCAGUUCCAACUACUGUGACAGUUGUACGUCUUGUUUGGAGCGGCUUGGUAUUGAAACAAAAGGACACACGGUCCCGGGACACAACUUUGCUACCGUAUUCUCCUUGAGAUAAGGACACACAAUCCUCGCCCAACACUCGUGGUAAGUCUUCAGUGCAUACUUUCAAACCCUCACAAACUCGAUCACUCGGCGAUCCACAAUUGACUGAUGGAUGCUCUAAACCAUGACGCCUAACCGUCUGGAGGAUGCACAAUCCUCAAUGGUAAUAAGUAUCAGUUCCACACAGGAAUAAAUUCUUCAGUGAUGCUCAAUCACUUGGGUUUUGGUUUGGGUUUGGGUGUUUGGGGUAUUUCCUCACUUGAUGAUUUUCGCUCAAAGGCUUUGAGGAAUUUGGUUGCGCUAAAUGACAAGUGUCAGUUUCUCUCGGAGUAGCCAACCAGCUAAUAGUUGUGGGGGACGACUAUUUAUAGCAUGGGAGCAUCCCGACAUGAUUUCACAUAAAUGCCCUUAAUGAUAUGACCGUUGGGUGGAUAAGAUUUGGGACACGUGGCGCGUGGCGUGGCAAUGGUUGGAACUUUUAACUGUGAAAGUCCUCAUGUCUCUCAUGUUCCUCACUUUGAGGAUUUGGUAGGUGUAGGUUUGGGUUGAGCAUCAUGAGGGAAGUCUUUCCAUAGUUUUACCUCGACCCCCUUUAACAAUAUGGUGUUCCUAUGACUCAAGAACGGAGAAUAUGAAACAAAAAGAGUAAUUAUUCAAGCUUCAAAGUCUUCAGAGUAUUUUCUUCGGGACACACCAAAUUCCUCAUCUUCAAUAUAUUCAUGAGGAAUAUCAAUUUUUUUGCAAUUUCUUCACGAUAAAAUUCUUCAAGGAAUGAGCGAAGUCUUCACCCGAAGACAUACAUUUUUAGGGGUCAAUGUUCUUCGAAUAACUCAAACUCCUCAUCGACUUAUAGAGCAUGUGUACACUUACAAACAUAUCAAUCUCUUAACAUAUAAGUCUUCAAUCCACCAAAAUCUCUAAGGGGCGCUAGAUGCACUUAUAAUCUCCCCCUUUUUGGUGGUUGAUGACAAAUAGGUUAAUUUUUCAACGGGGAUAAUAAUAUGAAAUGUAAGUACAAAGUUUGAGGAAUUCGAAAGCAAGAUACGGAGAAACUCUCCCUGGAGAUGUGCAUAUUUUGAGGAAUUUGCGUUGGACAGCAAAUGCACAUCGAUGUUAUAUAUCAUGGAGAUACCCCCUGUAUCUUGUAAUUCAUGCAUGCAUUUGACAUAUAGUUUGAGGAAUUUGAAAUGCAUGAUGAAAAAUAGGGUCUGACGAAUUUCAGCAUGCAUGCAUUAAUUAACUUAAGGAAUAAGCAUGCAAAGAAAAACGUUCAGAAGUGUUAGAACACCAUCGGGCUUAAGUUACAACUCAUUACAUCAAACACUUCAAAAGAAACAAGAGUUUGUAACUUAAUAAAGUUUAUAAGCCCAUAAAUUUUUCUCGCUUGAAGACUAACUCAGAUUUCUCCCCCUUUGUUAUCAAGUGAUGAAAAGUGACAAAGCUGAGGACUAACGCCCAUGAAGAACUUCACUUCUGUGUUGGAGGAGACGUGUCAACAUUCUUCGUGUUAGUCUUCCUGAUUGGGCAUGUUGCAGUAUCAGUAGGUUGUUCAUCACAAUCAGGAGAGUGGAAUGAGGAAUAUGAGCUAUCCACCAGGCCAGGAACUGGGAUCUUCUUGAAUUUCUUCUUCGAUUGACAUGACCAAUCAAAGUAUUGAGUGAAUUCAUGUUCUUUGAGUUCCUUAGGAGUCUUGAGAUGUGACAGUAUGGCCCAACUGCGAUCAAAUACCUCAUGAAGAUAAUAGUGAUUUUUCUUCACUGCAUUUUUAGUAUCAUUGAGGGUUUUCACAAUAGAGCCAAGCUAAAAUUUAAUCCACUUAUGGUUUUGAUCAACUUUCUGACGAAGACUAAGGAGAAGCUCUCUAUUAGUCAUCACCCAUGGACCAGUUGGACUAGGAGGUUUUGCUCUACCAUCAGAUUCUUGGGUGGCAAUGUCAUCAUAGGAGGAGUAGGAUGCAACCUUGCAAAAUUGACCAUCCAGCGGCCGAUAUUCUUCAUCAAUCACAUACUUCCCUUUUCCCUCAACUGGUUCAAAAGAUUUCUUGAUGACUUUGAGAGGAGGCAGAUAGCUGAGGUGAUUCUCAAAGUCAGCAUGAUAGUUGAUUGCGGAUCUAGUUCUGGUGAAUCUCAUGAUCAAAGGCGCUUAAAUCUUUAGCUCAAUGGCGACAAGGCAUUGUUGGCCAAAGUCCUCAAGAAGAAGUUGUGAAGGUUCAUUUUUAUUCCGUGAAUGACGUUGAACAACAUGUUGUUCAUUAUUCCGACGACAUCUUCUUCAUUAUCAUGCCCUUUGAUCGGGGCAAAGAAAUAGGCCAAUAUCCUUUAGACUGUUCUGGGCACAUACUUCAAUUCCUUCACCAUGAAUCUAGUCCUUGGAGGUUGCCCGGAGCUAAGGCUUCAUGAGGGCUUCCAUUAGAUGAUUUGGCAACUUUUUUUCAUCAUAUAUGUUUAUUGCUUCAUCUGAAGUAAUUGAGAUUGGUAGAGCUCGAAGCAAUUCAGUGGCUGGUGCUGUAAAGUGAGUGUGUUGUGUCAUCCAGUCCAAGACCCAAGAGUUGACAUUUUUGGGGUCACCUCAGAUGUGCAGAGCGGCAUAAAACCGAAGAAUUAUGUCUGUGUUCCAAUCACAAAUAUCUGUGCAGAAUGGCCGUAGCCCUGUAUCGUGUAGAACACUCAGAACAGGGGUAAAGCAUGGAAUUUCCUCCAUAUCACAGUGAGGAAUGUGUGUGUGAUGGAAUGUAUUCUUCUUCUUCACAAGAACAGAAGCAUAGUAGUUGAGUUGCGUUCUGGUCCAGAACUUCCUGUGCUGAUACGAAGCUUGUCGUAUGGGUUUGCCCUAGUGACGAAAUGAUGUUCAUCCUAGAAUUCUUCUUUCUAAAACUUUGGCCUUUUUCAGUCUGACUGUCUCGGCUUUGGCUAAAGAUUUUGAUUUUGAAUUUCAUCACCUUGAGGAAUUCUUGCCACCACAAUUGCUGAUUCUGGAUUUGCAACAAAUGGUCAUCAGUUGCUUCUUUAUGUUGUGCCGAGGAAGUUUCUUCAGGCACAGGUUCUUCACACUAAGGAAUCUACUGUGAUGUUGGUGCAGUUUUUGGUACAGCAGAUUCAUCAACAUUUGCAUUUUCAUGAUCUGAUGCAGCCGAUUCUUGGUCUGGUGCUGAUUUCACAAGUGAGCUAUUUUCUUCAAAGCCAUUCAGAAUUUCUGUAGUUGCCGAGGAUACAGUAUUUUAGGAAAUUGAGAAGUCAUUGGCGAGAUGAGUCUUUUCCCUGGAUUCAUCAUGGAUUACACGUGUGGUGCAGCGAAUGUCCACAUUGGCCUCCUUUUCUUCAGUAGCCAUCUCUGGGUUUUGAGGAGGAGGUGUUGAGAUUUGAGGAAUUUGAUCAACUUGAAUUUCCUCAUCUAUUGGUGUGGAUGCUGCAGAACGAUUUUCAUCCAUUUCUUCAUCCUUUUCUGGAAUGGUAUGUUCUUCACCAAAUGGUCCAAUCAUGUACGAUGGUGCAACACUGAGAGGGGUUGCGUCAACUGGAGCCGAUGAUGAAGUAGGCAAAGUCUUCAAAUGUUUUGCCUCUGAAGAUUUUGAAGGUGUUGAAGCCUUUCUAUUCUUGGCUUCCUUCUCAGUAGCUUUUGUUUUCUUCACAUCUAAGACAUAAGGAAGUGCCACUGCCUUCACUUUUGAAGACAUUGGUGAAGGUGCAUUUUCAUCAGGCAUUGCAUAGGCAGUUGAGGCAUGGCAGAUUCUUCAGCAGUUGCAUUCUGAGCAGAUUCAUCAGCAGCAGGUUCUUCGUCUUCAUCAGUCAGUUGUACUAUGUAGCUGGCUUGAGGAAUAGUUGGUUGCUUUUUUGCUGCAACCCUAUUGUUGUAUACAGUAACGACGUCAGUUGCGACCUUGACAAGCCUCACUUUGACACCCUUUCUGUCUGCAUGAAGACUCGUGUAUUUGUAAGUGAGGGUUUUCAACUCAGCUUGAGUAGAGACAAGUUGCUCUGGCGUCAGGUUGCAGAGAUUUUGUUUCAAGUACUUCUCCUUUUAAGCUUUAUUGUCCGAGCUUGUUUAGCUUGUUGAUCCUUCCAUUUUGCUUCAUUUAUGAAAGAAGUUACCAUGUGGCUCGGUCCAGGUGGAAGCUUCAAGUUAUGAAUUGAUGUGUUUGGAUCUUCAUACCAAAGGUCGAUGAAGUCCAACACAACUUUUGGAUCUAGUGCAAGGGGAAUGGUGUUUCCAGUGGCUUGUGCAACCCUUUCUUUUUUGUUCCUGAUGAUGGCUUGAAGAGCUUCAUCAUCAUAUUCCCCACUUUCCUCUGAUGCAGAAGGAAUAUUGAGGACAACUUUGUUUGGGCUUGGCCUUGUUCCUCUCCCAGCCUUCAUCUUUGUCUUCAGAAUGCAAGUUGACAAUUUGUGACUAGAGCCAUAGGAUGAUAGCAUUGAGGAAAUUGGAGUCCCUGUUGGAUGCUGACUAGGUUGUGGCUGCAGAGGAAGUGAAGACUAUGCUGCAAUUGAGGACUUGGCACCCGUUGUUGCUACUGUGUGAGGAAUUUCCUCUUUGGAUAAUGCUGUUGAGGGUUUUGUUUUGACACCAAAUUUCUUCACCAGUGUUUUCUUGAGAGGUUGUUCUGUAGUAGAAGCCUCAGUGGUAGAGGAGGAGGCAGCAUUAAUUUCAGCAGCAACAGAAUCCUCAUAGAACUUAGUUACAACCUCAUUUGCCAUUUUCCUCAGCUUUGCCAAAUACAUGGCUAUUUCGUCAGGAUAAUCUUCAACUGUGACCAUGCAGGAGGGAUGUGCACUUUGUUGAUCUCCCAAAGGCAGUCUUUUGCAAAGAGGUUUGAGAGCAAACUUCUUUGCAUACUUGGGAGUGUUAUACUUGUAUUUCUUCCAUUCCUGAGCUCAUCUUCGUUCAAUCCUCCGAAGCCUGAUCUUGCGUUUUGCUGUUGUUUCUUUCCCAUGAAUUUGUUCAUCUGGUGUGCAGUAAUCAACAUAGACAUCUUCAGGGAUUUCAAAGGCAGUGUUCUGUUCUAGCUUCUUGCCACUCUUGUUUUUUCUGUCCUAGUCCAUUUUCUUUAGUUGAGGUUUUUGCUGAGGAAUUUUUAUUCUGGAGGAAUCUGAUGAUAGAGCUACAUUUUCUUCAAGAAAUGCUGUGAAUUAGUUAAGUUGAUGAGAACCUAGUGAUUCAUCAGCUGAUAUUUUGUACCUGUGAACAUAGUAUAGGUGCGAAGAGUUUGGAGAGGUCAUAUGUGUUGCCCUAUUUGAGGAAAUUGAAAUAAAAUCAAGUUGAGGAAUUUGACCAAUAUAGUGCUGAGGAUUUUUGACUAAGAAUUCCCAUCUUGGGUUCUAGAGUUGUGCUGAUUCGAAAAUUUACACAAUUGAGGAAUCUCGUUAAGAAUUUAGUAACUUAGUGAAAUUCAUCAAGUGUUUAAGACAUGGGUGUGCACAACUGAAGGAUUUUCCGAGGAAUAACAUAUUUCACAUAGAUAAAGAAAAUGAAUGGAUCAACAGAGGCAGUAAAAUAGGAUUUUAAUUACCCUGCUUGAUGAACUCGAUGAACUAUGGAAGUAAAAACUGAAGCUCGUUGGUUCAGAUCUUCAGUGCCCUAACUUGGGGACUCAAUACAGCUACGACGGCAGCGGAGGAAGAUGAUCCGUAGUCGGCGUGAGCCCGGCGAUGGCGAGGUCCAGGCAGUGAAGAUGUUCCUCACCGACGAUGAAGAUUUCUAGUGGCGGCACUAGGGUUGAGCUUGAGCGGAGAAGACAAGAGUGAGAGAAGAUUUUUUUGACUGAAGGGGGUGAGGGGAUAUUUAUAGCUCAGGUAAAAACGGUCCGAAGCAAAAUAUUCUGACGAAACCGACUCUGUUCUUUCGUCUCCGCAUGACACAUGCUACCCACGUACAAAGCGGUGUAUGUCGUGGUUUUGUCACGGCAGAUGUCCUCGUGAAAGGACUUAAUGAAGGAGAACAUCGCACCUUGGUGGCGACUCAAAGGGGGUGAGCGAAAGCGAGACUCACGUUUACCAAGGUUAGGCCCCUCGUGUGGACGUAAAAGCCUACGUCCUGCUUUGUGUAGACUGAUGAUGGAUUCGAUUACAAGGAGGGCGUAACUCGCCUGACCUAGCUCUCGAUGAUUUCUAACUUGCCCUAUCUGCCCCAGAAACUCGCCUUUAUAUACAGGUCGAGGCCCUAGGGUUUACAAGAGUCCUAUCCACGCUACAGAUCGUGGUCUUCCAUAUCUCUAAGUCGCCGUGCUUUCCAAGACCGGAAACCUCCUUCGCCGCUUAUCUUCUGUAUCAAUCAUGAACCGCCAUCCGGCUCAUGGGCCCCUGGGCUAAGGCUUGUAUGAACAAAGUAUGAGUCGCCCCUUUUGUGACCCGGUCCAGUUAAGGCGGGUUACACCGCAGGUAAUAUCCCCAACAUUAGGCCCCAGAUUAUCUUUAAUUUACUCAUGCUAAUGAAUUUCCACGCUCACUUUGGGCGACUUGUAUUACUUUCAUCUUUUGUCGAAUGACAAGCCGCCAUCCCUCAUAAAUUGUCUGAGCCGCCAAGUAGUUAUUGACGACAUCACCUUUUCCCUCCAGUUUCGGGAUUCGUUGACGUAAUUGCCCAACGGAUCUUUUUCAUCAUCACUUUGUUAUCCCGAAAAUCCAAGCGCCAUCAUUGCGAAUUUUCAAUAUGUCGCCUCUAUUCCCGCGCCUGCCCGUUUCACUCCCAGUGCCCGGCCUUUAAAUAGUCGCAGGGGGAGUGGGGGCUCCGUCACCUACCCCCAGUUCAUCUCCCUCGUCAGCUUCGUCUUGCUCGCACCUGCGCUUUGGCCUCCUCGCUGUUCUCGAAGCUCCAUCGCCAGCCACUGCAGUCCGGGCGUCUCCAGGCCAGUCGAAGGCGUCGUCUCCACCGCGGAUCUUCCACAUCCAUAUCCCGGCAUCGUCCUCCUCUCUCAGGUAAACACCCUUCCUCCAUUAGGGUUAGACCUCGAACCCAAUGUUCUUCUAGGUUAGCCUCGGAAUGCGAUGAACUUCUCCCCUCUAUCUUGGAUCCGUCAAUAUGCUUACGAUAGAUCCUUCGUAGUAGUAAAUCACGGUAGUAUCACCGCAUCCCCCGACCAUUUUGAUGUUUACUUCAUAGAUCCAUAUGGCAUCACUGUCGCAUUCUUGCGUUCAUAGCCUUUGCAGUUUUGACAUGCAUCAUUCUUUCAAUUUGGUCCACCCGUAGAUCCAUAGUUUAUUGCUUGCUUUUAGAAACAUGUUUAUCCUCCUUCCAGGAAUAUCCCUAAGGAAAAACCCCUUUGGAAUUGCCGCUCACCUUCUUCCUAUCAUGGCGAGUUAUAAUAUCUCCAUAGCUACGCCUUUGAUUACUGAAUGGCGAGUCAUUACGUCCAUAUAGACAUACUGUAGAUCACUCAACUAGCGAGUUAGAAUAUCCCCAUAGCUACGCCUUUGGUUACCAAAUGGCGAGUCAUAAUGUCCCUGUAGAUAUACCGUAGAUCAUCCAACUGGCGGGUUACCACUUUCAUGGUUUCUAAUAAUCCGCCUUCUUCCUUCCUCUUGUAGUAAUGAGCAAUAUCUCGAAAUGCAGUUGGUUACCAACCAAGAUCACCGAUGCCUAUCUUGAGAAAUAUGUUUUGGCGGGUUAUCUUGAUCGUAAAGAAGUCCUUGGCUGGUGGACUGCCCCAGGCGAGGUGACUCCCAAUCCUGCCGAGAGGGAGGUAGUCGUCUUUGUUGAUCAUCUUGAACGAGGCUUCAAGCCUCCCAUGUCAAAGUUCUUCAGAGACACUCUGUACUUCCUCAAUGUUCACCCUCAAGACUUGGGCCCAAACUCCAUCAGCAACAUCUGCCAAUUCCAAGUAUUUUGCGAGGCCUAUCUGUAGAUAGAACCCACAAUGUUACUGUUCUGGAACUUCUUCUAUAUGAACCGCCAGACCGAAUUCACCAGCGGGCCUAACUUGGAACUUAGGGGGGGGGGGGUUAACAUCUAGUGACGUCGCGAAUGCGGGUUCCCAUCUGUCAUUCUGCCCAACCAUCCCAAAGGCUGGGCCGAGUCAUGGUUCUAUUGUCAUGACACAUCUCCUCCCGGCGAGAAUCCACUUUUGGGUUAUAGAGAAGAUCGCUUACCCAUGGAUUUCAAGCUGCCAGAAAAGCUUACCAAAGAAGAAGAAUCAACCUUCAUCCCCGUCUUCUCCCAGCUAAGGUCUUUGACCAACAAUGGGCUUACUGUGGUUGACCUAGUCCGUUGUUGGGUGGAGUGGAGGAUUCUUCCUUUGAGUAUGAUGGCAGCGAGAACCAUCCCCAAUGUUUCUUCCAUACAAGAUUCACCGAAGAAGACAUCGUCGAAAUGAUCAAGAAGUUAACUAGCGAGCCCUUGGAGAACUGCACCAAGAUUGGGCUCAAGCCUUUCUGCCUCUCCAACCCGGCUCCAGCGGUAACAAUCUAAGCCGCCUCCUUUCAUUCUUUGAAUACGUUUCCCAAUGUCCCUGAUCUGAACUGUCAUUAUAUCAAUGAGAAAGGAACAACAUUUUGGUCUCGAAGGCCCAAGGUAACUGCAUAGAAAACAACCAAGUCGCCUCCUAUGAAGAAGAAGAAGAGNNNNNNNNNNNNNNNNNNNNNNNNNNNNNNNNNNNNNNNNNNNNNNNNNNNNNNNNNNNNNNNNNNNNNNNNNNNNNNNNNNNNNNNNNNNNNNNNNNNNAACGACAUGACGUUUGAUGCACACGCCAACACACACCACCAAGACCAGGUCGGGCCCCGACAACCUGGAGCGGCCAGGCGGGAGCACUCCCUCAGGCGCAUCCAGCAGAAGGUGCAUGCGUUGGUGCAGGCGAACUACGGCAACAGAGACACGCCAGGGUACCAAGGGGGGAGUCCGCACCGAGCAAUGCUGGGACCACCCAACGGCGGCAACAGGAGCAAGCGACUUCGUGCGGAGUCCCAUCACAAGAAGAUCCUCGAGUAAUGCGACCGGGGGGGGGGAGGGGUCCUCCCCCAUCGUAGAGAGGGAACGCCACCCUCGCACUGUUAAACGGCUUUGGAGGUCGAUCGAACACAUACAUGUUGGCUUACAUGGAGCCUACGUACCAGAUUAUCUAAUACCACCUGACCCUCCCGUCGAGGAAGAGCCUCAGGCAUCCACCCCAGGCGCCCGUCCUCCUCAGGACUGAGGAACACGCUGGGGGUCCCCCUUGAGCCGGCCUCUAGGCCCCCACUGGAAAGCGCUGGGCCCAGGAGGCGCNNNNNNNNNNNNNNNNNNNNNNNNNNNNNNNNNNNNNNNNNNNNNNNNNNNNNNNNNNNNNNNNNNNNNNNNNNNNNNNNNNNNNNNNNNNNNNNNNNNNCCUCUGGUCACCCGGAGGUUUAGCGAUCCCGACGUCUAGCUCAUCCGCCGUGUCCUGAGAACGAGGUACGGGACUCCUGUCGGGAUCAUCGACACGUCGGGCGGCCUUGCUGGAUUAGUUUUACCUUUGACGAGAUAUCUUGUGCAUCGGGAUUCCGGUGAUGCUUUGGGUAAUCUCAGAGUUGAGGUUUUCCACUAGGGAAUCCGACGAGAUCGCGAGCUUCGUGGUUGAGGAUUUCUAUGCGGCUUGUGGUAAUUUCUGAUGGACUAGUUGGAGCACCCCUGCAGGGCUAAAUCUUUCGGGAAGCCGUGCCCGCGGUUAUGUGGCAACGUGGAAGCUUUGUUUAACACUGGUUCUAGAUAACUUGAAGUAACUUAAUUAAAACAUGCCAACUGUGUGCAUACCCGUGACUGUCUCUUUCGUGAGUUCCUUCUCCGAUCGAGGACACGGUGGGGUUAUGUCUGACGUAGGUAGGUGUUCAGGAUCAUUCAUUUGAUCAUCAGUAGUUCACGUCCGUUAUGCGUAGAUCUUCCCCCUCUUAUUUCUUGUACUCGUAAGUUAGCCACCAUAUAUAUAUGCUUAGCCGCUGCUGCAACCUCACCACUUAACCUUACCCCACCCAUUAAGCUUUGCUAGUCUUGAUACCUUUGGAAAUGAGAUUGCUGAGUCCCCUGUGGCUCANNNNNNNNNNNNNNNNNNNNNNNNNNNNNNNNNNNNNNNNNNNNNNNNNNNNNNNNNNNNNNNNNNNNNNNNNNNNNNNNNNNNNNNNNNNNNNNNNNNNGAGAGAGGGUCAAACCUCCCUUGUUUCUAUGACAAUGUUGGUACCCAUGUGCAACCCGAAAGAAACCCUUCUCGCAUACAAGCUUUUCUUCAAGCACAUCGUGAGAUUGAGGAUGGAACCACUCAUGGUCGGCUCCGUGAUGAUCUAGUAGAGCACCACUGGCAUUUGGAUGGGCGGCGCAUUGGCCCAUGAUGUAUCUUUGUUUUACUUUUCUAUGUCCUAUUUGAUUCGAACAAUUGUUGUAAUUUGGUCAAACAUUGUUGUAAUGAUUUGAAUGAUUAUUGUUUUAUUCGGUGGUGUAAUAAUAACUAGAAUGAUUAUUGUUUUAUGUCAAAUGUGAUUGAAUUUGUGAUAUGUCAUAUGAUGAAAUGUGUGAUAUAUGAAAUGGCAGUUUUAAGGGUUGGGGUUGGGGCAAAGACUAGAACCCUCAAACCCAACCCUUAUAAUGGAAUAUUCCGUUAUAAGGGUUGGGUUUGAGGGUUCUAGUCUUUGCCCCUGUUUUUCAACCCUUAAAAGUGUCAAAAAUGGUCAAUUCUCAACCCUUAAAACUGGUUUUAGAUUUAAGGGUUUGAGGGUUCUACUAGAGAUGCUCUUAUAAAGGGAAUAGUAUGUGGUUACCGAAGGUUGUUCGGAGUCCCGGAUGAGAUGUGGGACGUCACGAGGAGCUGCGGAAUGGUCCGGAGGUAAAGAUUGAUAUAUAGGAAGUCCUGUUUUGGUCAACGGAAAAGUUUCGGGCUCAUCGGUAGUGUACAGGGAGUGCCAAGAGGGUGCCGGAGGACCCCCGGGAGGGGUGUGACGACCAAAAGGGUGCAUGGGCUGUUAGAGGAGGUGGACCAACCCUUAUUGGGCUGGCCAAGGCCUCCCCUAAAGGACAAUGCGCAUAGGGAUAGAGGAGAUAAGGCAAAAGGCUUAAAAGGAAAAGGAGGAAGAGUCCUACCAAGGUAGUCCACCUCCCUUGUGGGAGGUGGACACCUCCCUAGCUUCGACCGAAGCUCCUCCUCCUUUGAGGAGGGGCCAAGGCAGCCUCCCUCUCCCUCCUCCUAUGUAUAGUGGAGGGUUUUGGCCUUUUGGAGACACGCAAUUCAUCUCCCAUGGGGCAACCCUACUCCUCCUCGUCCUCGUCCUCUACAACGCUUAGCGAACCCUGCCGGAGAACCACAUAGCUCCACCGCCACCAUGCCGUCGUGCUGCCGGAGCUCUCCCUCAACUUCUCCUGUCUCCUUGCUGGAUCAAGAAGGAGGAGAAGUCACCGGGCUGUACGUGUGUUGAACGCGGAGGUGCCCUGAUUCGGCACAUAGAUCGGAAUCCACCGCGAUCUGGAUCGCUGCGAGUACGACUCCAUCAACCGCGUUCAUAGUAACGCUUCCGCUUAGCGAUCUUCGAAGGUAUGAAGAUGCUCUACCCCUUUGCUCGUUGCUGGUUUCUCUAUAGAUAGAUCCUUGCAUGACAUAGGAAAUUUUUGAAAUUACUACGAUCUCCAUCAGUGGCAUCCGAGCCAAGGUUCUAUGGGUAGAUUCUAUGCACGAGUAGAACAUAAACGUUAUGGGCGCUGAUUUGUCAAUUUGAUUGCCGUUACUAGUCUUAUCUUGAUUCGGCGGCAUCGUUGGAUGAAGCGGCCCGGACCGACUUUACACUUGCUCUUACGUGAGACUGGUUCCACCGCCUGACAUGCACUUGGUGCAUAAGGUGGCUAGCGGGUGUCUGUCUCUCCCACUUCAAUCGGAUUGGAUUCGAUGAAGAGGGUCCUUAUGAAGGGUAAAUAGCAUUGGCAUAUCAACGUUGUGGCUGUCACGUAGGUAAGAAAGGUUCGUGAUAGAAACGUAACCAGCCACGUAAAACUUGCAACAACAAUUAGAGGACGUCUAACUUGUUUUUGCAGGGUAUGCUAUGUGAUGUGAUAUGGCCAAAAGGAUGUGAUGUUACAUAUGUGAUGUAUGAGAUUGAUCAUGUUCUUGUAAUAGGAUUCACGACUUGCAUGUCGAUGAGUAUGACAACUGGUAGGAGCCAUAUGAGUUGUCUUAAUUUAUAGUAUGAGAUGCAACGCCAUGUUGAUUACUUCACUUUAUCGCUAACGGUUAGCUAUAAUAGUAGAAGUAAUAGUUGGCGUGACGACUUCGCUACGACACAAUGAUGGAGAUCAUGGUUUCAUGCCGGUGACGAUGAUGAUCAUAGUGCCCCGAAGAUGGUGAUCAAAGGAGAUAGAUGAUAUUAGCCAUAUCAUGUCACUAUAUGAUUGCAUGUGAUGUUUAUCAUGUUUUACAUCUUAUUUCUUAGAACGACGGUAGCAAAGAUAAGAUGAUCCCUCAUUAAAAUUUCGAGAUAUGUAUUCCCCUAAGUGUGCACGGUUGCGAAGGUUCAUUGUUUCGAAGCACCACGUGUUGAUCGGGUGUGAUAGAUUCAAAUGUUCGCUUCCACCUAGCUAUAAAGGCUUUGUGAUGAAUUAAAACAUGCAAGGGAUGGAAAAUACUAUUCCCGAGUUGUAUUCAAUGCUGAAAUCUGCGAAGGUAGAAAUCAAGAAAGAGCAUCAAGUGUUGAUGGUCAAUAAGACCACUAGUUUCAAGAAGGGCAAGGGUAAUGUCACAUCCGUGGAUUCCCUAUUAGGCUUUAGUAACUUGUGCUCAUAUCUUCUUUCAUUGCAUUCAAGAAAUGGAAAUAACUCAAAAGAAGUGAUGGAAUCCAAAGCAAAAUCCUAGCCACUCCUUAUUCAAAAGAAUUCCAAAAAUUGCAAAAUCAAUGAAUCCAAAAUGGCCUUCAUAAAAGUUCAAUAUUUCUGAUAAAUGUUGAAAACAAGAUAUGAGAGAUGAAACUUAUUUUCAAACUAUCUUUGGCAUUUGAAAAUUAAGUUAAAAGCUACUAAAAUCAAUUAUAUAUUUUAUUUCAAAUAAUNNNNNNNNNNNNNNNNNNNNNNNCAAAAAUGUUGAAAACUUUAUGAGUGGUUGGAAAUAUUCCAACUAACACUCUAGUAUUUUUCAAACUAUUUUAGGAAUAGUUUGGAGCCAAAAAUAAAACAACACAAAUAACAGAAAGAAUAAAACAGAAACAUAAAAGAAAAGAAAUGCAAAAAGCUUACCUGUCGCUCACCUGAGGCCCAACCCACCUAGCUCCUGUNNNNNNNNNNNNNNNNNNNNNNNNNNNNNNNNNNNNNNNNNNNNNNNNNNNNNNNNNNNNNNNNNNNNNNNNNNNNNNNNNNNNNNNNNNNNNNNNNNNNCUUCUCCUCUUGUCCCCUUCUUCGGGCUAAAUUGGCUUAGAAUGCCUUUUUGGAGCUAAUUAAUGCCCCCCCUAAGGAGUUGGUAUAUGUCAAGCAACCCCAGUGUCGUGGUUUUGUCACGACAGUUGUCCUCGUGGAAGGACUUAGUGGUGAAGCCAUCGCGACUAGGUGGCGACUCAAAGGGGUUGAUCGGGAACGAGAGACGAGUUUACCCAGGUUCGGCCCCUCCGAUGGAGGUAAAAACCUACAUCCUGCUUUGUUUGUAUUGAUGAUGAAAUCAAUUACAAGGGUGUGGUUUCGCCUGACCUAGCUCUCGAUUGUUUGUAACUUAAGUCUACCAGCCCUCGAGACUCGCCUUUAUAUACAUGUUGAGACCCUUAGGUUUACAAGAGUCCGGGUCACAUUAUGAUCCAUGACCUAUUAUGUCUCUAACUCGCCUUGCUCCUUAAGCAAGGAAACUCGUGGCGACCUUCUCCCUUGUGGGCCAUGACCCGCCAUCUUCGUGUCUCGGGCCGCUGCCGGCUCUCGUUGAUAAACGGCCUUGCGCCUCCCGCUUUGUAGGUCAGGGCACAUCUUGAGUAUGAUGAAGAGCCGUCACCAUCCUGUCCCGACCUCCUAUGAUGGGUCAUAUGGCGGGAUAAUAUCCUGAACAUUAGGACCUAGAUUGACUUAAAUUUAUUCAUGUCAAUAGACUUUGCUUUUAAUCUUGGCGACUCAUAUUCAACACGAGUUUUGCCUUCCAAGGCAGAAAUGCCGGCUUCAGAUGUUCCCUGAAGUUCUUUUUCUGUUUGUCAGUGGCAUCACCCGCCCCGAGAUUUUAGGGAUUUUAGUGAUAUCAUUCCAACAGAUCUUUUGGCUUAUCUUCUUAGCUAGAAAAUCAAGCCGCCACCAGUUCCAAAAUUUAUUGCGCCUCCUUGAUUCCCGCGCCUACCGUUUUCACUUCAGCUUUGGCCUUUAAAUACUCACGAGGGCAUAUUUAUUUUUACCUCGCUCCCAUGUUCUUCUUCCUGCUCGAGCCCGUACCUUCACCGCCCCAUCGCUGGAGAACCCCCAUCGUCCAUUGAUCUGGUCCAGGAGCCAUUCGCCGUGCGACUCCUCCUUCGAGCCGCGGGUCUUCUCCGCUACCAUCAACGCUAUCUAGUAAGCGAUCUCCUUCCCUAGAUUCAUUCGUGAAUCCAUCAUGGCUUAGUAGGUUCGCCGGAGUUCAUCCUGUUCAUCGCCAUUAUAGACUUGCUUAGCUCUUCGAAUGAACUUUCCCCCUGUUUACGUUGCAGUAGAUGUAGGGAUCUAUUUACGGCAUUCUUCUGUAAUGCCUUGCGGAAUCUAGAUUCAAAUAAUGAACUGUUGUUGUUCCAUACUAUACUGUCAUUCAAGUGGCAUUGAAUUUUUUCUUUUUAUGGAACCAUAGGUAGAUCCACAUUUUUAUGCCCUUUGGUAGAAAUCUGUUUGUCCUGCACUUAGCACAAACUAAAGUCAUUAUUCUCCUAUAAGCCGCCCUUAUAUUCACACCAGCUUGCUUGAUAGGAUUGUAACUCGCCAUCUUGGGGAAAAUGUCUUUACGUUAGGGCGAUUUGAACAUUGCAGGCUACCUUCUUUCUCGAGUUCUUUGUUUUUCAAGACAAAUCAUGUUCAUCCAGAUAACCCGCCAGCAUAUUUUUGUAGCUCUUUUACUUUCUGAACCUGUCAUUAUGUCAAAGCCUUCCAAAUGCGACUGGCUGCUGUCAGAAAUUUCUGAGGUCUCCCUUCAACAAUGCGUGACCACGGGAGUCUUGUCACCUAAGGAAGAAAUUGGGUGGCGAGUCGCCGCUCGAGAAGUUCAUCCGCAACCCACCGAAGGAGAGGUUGUGGUCUUGAGUGAUCACCUUGAACGAGGCUUUUCACCCCUGGAUCAAAAUUCUUUCGAGACACCCUGCACUUCUAAAACCUACACCCCAAGAUCUGGGCCCCAACUCAAUCAGCAAUUUAUGCCAAUUUCAAUUUUUUUGUGAAGCAUACUUGGAGAUAGAACCCACUGUUCCCUUGUUUAGGGCAUUCUUCUACUUGAACCGCCGGACGGAAUGGGCCGAUGGACCAUCCUUAGUGUUGGAAAUAUGCCCUAGAGGCAAUAAUAAAGUGGUUAUUAUUAUAUUUCCUAGUUCAUGGUAAUUGUCUAUUAUUCAUGCUAUAAUUGUAUUAACCGGAAACUGUAAUACAUGUGUGAAUAUAUAGAUCACAAUGUGUCCCUAGUGAGCCUCUAGUUGGCUAGCUCGUUGAUCAAUAGAUGAUCAUGGUUUCCUGAUCAUGGACAUUGUAUGUCAUUGAUAACAGGAUCACAUCAUUGGAGAAUGAUGUGAUGGACAAUACCCAAUCCUAAGCAAAGCACUAGAUCGUGUUCUUCGUCUGCUAAACCUUUUCUAAUGUCGAGUAUCAUUUCCUUAGACCAUGAGAUUGUGCAACUCCCGGAUACCGUAGGAGUGCUUUGGGUGUUCCAAACGUCACAACGUAAUUGGGUAAUUAUAAAGGUGCACUACGGGUAUCUCCGAAAGUGUCUAUUCAAUUGUACGAAUCGAGACUGGGAUUUGUCACUCCGUGUGACGGAGAGGUAUCUCUGGGCCCACUCGGUAAUCAUCAUCAUAUUGAGCUCAGUGUGAUUAAGGAGUUAGCCACGGGAUGAUGUGUUACAGAACGAGUAAAGAGACUUGCCGGUAACGAGAUUGAACAAGGUAUGUGGAUACCGAUGAUCGAAUCUCGGGCAAGUAUCAUACCGAUAGACAAAGGGAAUUGCAUACGGGAUUGAUUGAAUCCUUGACAUCGUGUUUCAUCCGAUGAGAUCAUCAUGGAACAUGUGGGAACCAACAUGGAUAUCCAGACCCCGUUAUUGGUUAUUGGCCGGAGAGAUGUCUUGGUCAUGUCUGCAUGUCUCCCGAACCCGUAGGGUCUACACACUUAAGGUUCGAUGACACUAGAGUUAGAGCAUCUCUAGUAAAACCCUCAAACCCUCAAACCCUUAAAAAUAACCGCUUGUUUACAAUUUUCAUCGGAAAAACGGCGUAGACUAGAACCCUUAAAACCUUAAACCCGUAAAAAAAUUUAGAGGUCCAACCCUCAAACCCCUUCCCAGCCUGUAGAAGUGAGGGUUGGGAGGGAAAACUGCCCCCAACCCGCACUCAUUUUCCCACCUCGCNNNNNNNNNNNNNNNNNNNNNNNNNNNNNNNNNNNNNNNNNNNNNNNNNNNNNNNNNNNNNNNNNNNNNNNNNNNNNNNNNNNNNNNNNNNNNNNNNNNNAACUACUUGAAUUCCCACCUAUGAAUUCCCGAAAUAUCUGGUCAUGCAAUCUGGUACACGGAUACAAGGAGUAAUAUCACACAACUCCUAUACUAACCCGUCACCUGUAUCACAUCUGUCAACACACAACCAGAAUCUCGGACCUUCAUCUACUACAGACCCUCGUGAUCACAACGAUACAAAGUAUGACAGUACUCCCAAACAAUCUGCACCAGUACUGGGGACAUCGGGGUUAUCUCGCCGCUACUAGUAUUGAAGCAAUUACGAACAUCCUUCGUUCUUAGAUACUAAGAAAUCUGAAUGAUAACGAUGUGUUCAAGAAUCCCCUGGAGCUCAACUCCCCGGAAGAAAAUCAAGUCAGACAGGAGGCACCAAGACAGAACUCCGUCACAUCGGCAUCACAUAGAUUCCAAGAAUAUCCGCGUGAUCCUAAAAAAUUUUUGAGUGAGAAGAGGAGUAGAAUUAAAAUAUUACGUCAAGAUUCCUCACCAGAGCAUAGAAGAGGAGAAAAAAGAAUCCUACCCUCCGAUAUAUAACUAGACUCAAAUAGUUUUUCACUAGACUCGACUCGGCCAAGUUCGAUCAAUCAAGGGGGCUACUAGGUCGGUCCUUGCUCUGAUACCAACUUGUCACGCCCAAGAUGCGACCCUAUCCUCAAUUUGGCACGAAGGCCUCGUCAGGGAUAGAACCGCAUCUCGUCGUGUCGCAAGAAUGGAUAUCGUUACAAGUACAUGUACUGAAAAGAAGAGAUAUAUAAAGAGUUGGCUUACACUCGCCACAAGCUACAUCAGAGUCACAUCAGUACAUUACAUAAUCAUCAAGAGUAAGAGCAGGGUUCGACUACGGACGAAAACAAACGACAAAAGAAGAACGACGUCCAUCCUUGCUAUCCCAGGCUGCCGGCCUGGAACCCAUCCUAGAUNNNNNNNNNNNNNNNNNNNNNNNNNNNNNNNNNNNNNNNNNNNNNNNNNNNNNNNNNNNNNNNNNNNNNNNNNNNNNNNNNNNNNNNNNNNNNNNNNNNNUUAGCUAGGGUUCCACCUAGAUGACAUGAUUAGCUUAGUUAGCUCCUAAAUGGUCUAUUUAAUAAAACAUGACCUAUACUUAGCUAAUUAUCCUCGAAAUGACAUAAUUAGCUCCAAAAAGGCAUUCUUAGCCAAUUUAGCCCGAAGAAGGGGACAAGAGGAUAAGAAAGAGGAAAAAUGAAAGGAAGNNNNNNNNNNNNNNNNNNNNNNNNNNNNNNNNNNNNNNNNNNNNNNNNNNNNNNNNNNNNNNNNNNNNNNNNNNNNNNNNNNNNNNNNNNNNNNNNNNNNNNNNNNNNNNNNNNNNNNNNNNNNNNNNNNNNNNNNNNNNNNNNNNNNNNNNNNNNNNNNNNNNNNNNCCUCCUUCUUUUACUUCUUCUUAUAUUUCUCUUCUUCUACGUAGCUUAGACUCAUCCAAGAAAGGCUAAAUUGGCUAAUUAUCGUACGAAAUGACAUAAUUAGCUUAGUUAGCUCCAAAAUGACCUAUUUAAUAAAACAAAUGACCUAUAGUUAGCUAAGGUCUCUCCUAAAUGACAUAAUAAGGCUUAUGUAGCUGCAAGAUGACCUAUUCCCCCUAACUUAGGUACUAAAUGGCCUAUAAUUGGCCUAGCUAGAUCCAAAAUGGCUUAAUAAGCAUAGUUUGCUCCGGAAUGACCUAUUUUACCAAAGUUAGCUCCGAAACGACCUAUAGUUAGCUAGGGUUCCACCUAAAUGAAAUAAUUAGCUUAGUUAGCUCCUAAAUGGUCUAUACUUAGCUAAUUUCUCUCCGAAAUAACCUGUAUAUACACUUCUUCAUCUAGUAUUAUUCUUCUAACUUUCUUAUUUGUCAUUUUGCAGAUCACCUUCACUUCACGGGAAGCUUGGAUUAUAUUGAUGGAAUGCUUGACUAUGAUUUCUUGUACCAUGGCUUGUAUUGAAACUAUUGUAGUAUAUGGAUAUAUAUGAAACUUUGUAUGCAUGUGGAUGAAACUGUUGUAAUAUAUGGUUUGGUACGGAUGCAACUUGCAUAAUAUGUAUGCACUAUGGAUGAGAGUUAUUUUAAUAUGGUUAUGAGUACGGAAAUAAAUUUAUUUAUGUCAAAUAUAUAUAUAUCCUGAUUAUUGUUAAAAAUGCUGGAUAUAAUAAAAAAUAAAUUAAAAAGGGGUUGGUUCCCCCCUUUGCCGUCUGCCCCCACAUGGCAAAUGGGGGAUGGCAGACGGCAAAGGGGGGAAUCUGCCCCCUCUCUCCCCUCUUUGCCGUCUGCCCCCACAUGGCAAAGGGGGGUAGGCAGACGGAAAAGGGGGGAAUCUGCCCCCUCUCACUCCCCUCUUUGCCGUCUGCCCCCACAUGGCAAAGGGAGGUGGGCAGAGGGCAAAGGGGGGAAUCAGCCCCCUCUCUCUCCCCUCUUUGCCGUCUGCCCCCGCAUGGCAAAGGGGGGAUGGCAGACGGCAAAGAGAGGAGGCAUGCCGUUAACACUUAAUGGGUCCGUUGCACUAUGUGUCGUCCCAUUUUGUUUGCCGUCUGCCCCCUCAUGGCAAAGAUUCUUUGCCGUCCGCUUUACAAAAGCAAACAGCAAAGAACCUCUUCACCGGAUUUUUUUUACCGUCUAGUUUGUCGUGUGCUGACCGACGGCAAAGCCUUUGCCGUCUGUGGUUCCCCCCUUUGCCGUCCGCCAUGGCAAACGGCAAAUUUCUGAAUUUCAGUAGUGACUCUUCAAAGCCUUGUGAGCCUUGUCAAGUGUGGCAAACUCUUCAUGGAGUCUAUCAAAGUCAGCCCCAAGUGCAACCUUUUCGUAUUGGAGCACACGAAUAAGAAUAAGAGCAUGAUCAUGGCCCUUUUGUAAUUUAGCAAGGUCAUCAUUGUGUAACUCCUCAAGAGCCAAACGGUGACCUUGCUCUUUCUCAAGAGCAAUGUAAAGAUCCCUAUCUCAUCGGCAUAGUCACGACUAUGUCCUUGUACCAUAGAGAUAGUUUCUUCAUGAGUUUCAAUUAGGUCACUACCUCUCCUAGUUGUUCCAAGAGAGCAAUAAAAUGCUUCUUGGCUUUACCCUUGACUUUCCUCAUGAAUUUAUCAAAGGAAUUUUCCUCAACAUUUACCUCCUCUUGUUCAUCUCCACUAUCCAUAGGAGAAGGGGUAGUGGCAAUGCGAUUCUCGUUGGGGGCGUCGAACAGGGACACCUUGCUUGGGGAGGAGGAUGCAAUAGCCACCGAGGCCAUUCUUAUAACCUCACCACUUUCGGCAUCGUCAUCAUCCUCAUCGAAGAGGUACUCUUCUUGAGCGACAAACACCUUUUGGGUCAUCUUCUUGGAGAAGUUGUUCUUGUUGGGGAACGACUUGGCUUUGUAUUUGUGAAUAAGUUUUCCACCAUUGUCUUCCCUCUUCUCAUAAGGACAGUCUUCCACAAAGUGACUCACGUUGCCAUAGUUGUAGCAAGUCCUCACGUGUUGCUUGCCUUUAGACGCACUUGAGCUGUUCUUGGAGAAAUUGGGCUUUGAGUUUCUCUUGUUGCCCCAAAAUUGUCUUAACGCACGAGCCAUGUGCUCGUGAUAAGCAUACUUGAUGACUUCGGGGCAAAUUUCCUCUUGGGGGAUCAUCAUCCAUAAUAGCCUUGGCCUUCAAAGCAAGGUUGGGAGUCUUUUCUUGACCGUUGGACACGAGCUAGAGCAUUGUCAACGGUCUUGUUCAGUAUGUUCAUGGUAAUGAACUCAUCCAACACAUCGCUUGAGGACAAGGAGUGAAAGUCCGGCAGUUGACGGAUGACGGAGGACAUGGACUUGUUGAAAGGCAUUAUAGCCUUGAGAAACUUACGCUUGAUCCAAUUGUCAUCCACAUCCUUGCUUCCGUGAUCUUGAAGAGCAACCGCAAGCGUUGUCACACUUCGGUAGAGCUCACGAGGGUCCUCAUCCUCGAUCAUAACAAAUUCAUCGGCCUCAUCAAGUAUCACUUCAUAGUUAGACCGUUGAAUACUUGAUCUUCCCUUGUACAUGGAAAUGAUGUGGUCCCAACAAUCUUUGGCACCAGUGAAGGGACGCAAAUGAGCAACAUCUUCAAUGGAAACUGCAGCUGGAAGGAUGAACAAGGCUGAGUGAUUGAGCUGAUUGUUGACCUCUUCUCUUGGAGUGAGGUUGCUUGGAUCAUGUGGGUAAUAGCCUUGCUCAAUGAUUCUCGAAAGUUGUAUUGAGCUGUGAUUCAAAUGAGCUUUGAUACAAAAAACCAAAUUAGCAAAAUCAUUCUUAACAAGUUCAGGAGGAGGACCGAGGUUAAUAAUAUGCGGUGGGUGAACCGGUCCUCCAUAGACCACGGGAGGAGGAAUUGAAUGUAUUUGCCCCACUCGUUCCUUGAGGCAAUUUAUUUCUAUCACUACUAGCAUUUUACUUUUCGGAAUUGGUCCCCGAAUCCGAAGUUGUGGGAUUAACCACAUGCAACGGAUCGGCAGACAUUUUGAAGCCAUCAAGGAAAUCUUUGAGCAUGUUUUUGACCUCGAUAGCCAUUAAGGAUCUAAAGUGGACAUAGCCUCAUUUAGAUCCUCUCGGGUGACCGAGUUCGCAACUGUUGCCUGGGGAAACUCCACAACCCGUACCUCGCUGUCAGCCAUACUCUUUGGAUGGUGAAACCCACAAUACAGAGACGUAGCUCUGAUACCAAUUAAAAGGAUCAAUAUGAUUAACUAGAGGGGGUGAAUAGGCAACUAACAAUUUAAAGAUUUUAUUUAACAAAUUAAGUUUAUCAACAAGUAGGUUGUCUAGAUGACGCUAGCAACUAAGUGAGCAACAAUAACAACAAGUAACCUAUAUGAGCAACCUAUAUGAUGCUAGCAACAAUAACAACAAGUAAGUAACUAACACACGUAAAGGUAAGAAAUAACCACAAGUGGAAUCGAUGAAGACGAGGAUGUGUUUCCAAAGUUCCUUCCCUUUGAGGGGAAGUACCUCUCCGUUGGAGCGGUGUGCAAGCACAAUGCUCACAAGAUGCCACUAAGGCCACCGUAUUCUCCUCGCGCCCUCACACAAUGCGAGGUGCCGUGAUUCCACUAGUGUUUCCCUUAAAGGUGGCAACUGAACCUUUACAAACAAGGUUGAGGCAAUCUCCAUAACUAAAUUGAAGGCUCCCAACAAAACCAUAAGUUUCAUCACAAUGGAAUAAUGCUUCGAAGUGACCUCAACCGUCUAGGGUGCUCAAACACCCAAGAGUAACAAGAUCCGCGAGGGAUUGGUGGGGGAAUCAAGUUUCUCUUGGUGGAAGUGUAGAUCGAGACCCUCUCAAGCAAACCCUAGAGUACCAACAAGUUUUGUUGGUUAGGGAGAGAGAUCGGGUGAAAAUAGAGCUUGGAGCAACAAUGGAGCUUAGGCGUGGCAUUGAGAUCAAUGGCCAUGGGUGCGAGCAUGGCCGGCGCUACCACGUUGACCUGAGACUAACCGGAGCCCGAAGAGGUGGAGCAAAGGGAGGCUUGCGCGUGGGCAUGAAACCCAGGCAUCUACGGUAUUGUGGGCGUUCGCGGCGACUCCGACAUGGUGGACAUUCGCGGUGACUCUGGCAAUGGCAGAUGAACAACGGACGAGCCCAUGUUGAUCGCAGCCAUGGCGACAACGACGACUCCAGAUGCUUCAUGGCCACAGCCAAAGCGACGAGGGUCUUCUUUUCCACAUUGAUGGCCUCUCGUUGUGAGGGAGGCGGCCUCCAGCUUCCCGUCACCUCGCUUUCUCUUGACUGACUUAGUAGCCCACUACACGAGUGUGAGCACCUUCUUCGUCUUGGACACCGCCGCCUUUUGCAAGGUAUGACGACAAUGAAGCCAAGGGAGGCAAGGUCAACGACGGCAUCAAGGAACAACGAUUCGUCCAUGGUGAGCAGGCAGGAGUUUUUUGCGAGAGCGCUGUGACAGCCCGAUGCCGACGUUCCAGAAGAUUCCCCUUUCUUUCCGUUUUCGUCAUGUGGGCAUUUUCAUUUGUCGCAUCAUCAUCGCAUCAUUCACAUCAUCUGCAUUGCAUCGACGUCUCCGUUGCCGCCCGUUUUCAAAACUUGCAUCCGUUAGUAGUUGCCGGUUCUCGUCGUUGCCCGUUCUGAGCCCGACUGCACACGCACGCGCACGCGGCACCGUCGAAACCCUGUUUUUAAAGUGCGUUUAAAACUUUCUCUGAUCGGGUUGAGAUUUGACGUGCGAUCGUGAUUAGUUAUAGCGAGGCCGCCUGUCGAAUUUCGUCGCGAUCGGAGACCGUCUGGUACCCGAACGGUCGCCCGUAGCGGCACCGUCUCCGGUUAUUCGUCCCACGUUUGUCGGUGUUUUAAAAAUCGUUGUCGCGCCGCCCGUUCUCCCUCUCGUCUACGGACAUCUACACAACACNNNNNNNNNNNNNNNNNNNNNNNNNNNNNNNNNNNNNNNNNNNNNNNNNNNNNNNNNNNNNNNNNNNNNNNNNNNNNNNNNNNNNNNNNNNNNNNNNNNNCCUGGCGGUAGUACCGCCAGUUCUGGCGGUAGUACCGCUGGGAGUCCUGGCGGUAGUACCGCCAGUCCUGGUGGUAGUACCGCUGGGGGUCAUAGCGGUAGUACCGCUACCCCUGGCGGUAGUACCGCUGGGACCUGGCGGUAGUACCGCUACCCCCUGGCGGUAGUACCGCUGGGGGUUUGACUGUCAGAUCUAGACAUAUAAAACUCGUAUUCUAGGGCAUGGACUGAAUAUAUAAUCAUUAAUACGUAUACAUCAGCCCUAUUGUCAAAAGGAACACAUAGUAACACGAGGUACAAACAUGCAUAGGCAAGAGAGAGCACGUUUUAGAUCUAAUAAAAAAGGUUCAAAUAUCCGAUCUAAGACGAUGAAACCCUAAACCACGGCAGCAAUCUUAGCAACAAGCCAUUGGAUCAACAAGAUGAAUGCAAUCCCCAAUGCUCCUAACCCUAGAACACGAAAAACAACCAAAUAGAAGAGGGGAGGAGCUUUUGUUACCGGGAUUCAUGGCUUUGGAGGAGGAAGAAGAAGUAAAUCAGCCCUUCCACACCAACGGGAAGAGAGAGCUCCUCCAAGAAAGAUCCAAACAACGGGUUUUCGGGGUAGGGGAGGGAGGAGCCGCGAGGAAGAAGAAACAGAUUGAAAAUCGGGCUCCCCCUCCCUUUAUAUAGCCCAAGGGGUAUGGNNNNNNNNNNNNNNNNNNNNNNNNNNNNNNNNNNNNNNNNNNNNNNNNNNNNNNNNNNNNNNNNNNNNNNNNNNNNNNNNNNNNNNNNNNNNNNNNNNNNUGCAUGUGGCCUUGAAGAAGAGUGGAGUCAGGUGGCCUUCUGGGAAAUGGUGAUCAGCUCCGAGAUGUGGUCCGCCCAGGCGUCGAAGCCCCCUUGCGUCGGUCGAUAGUGGAUCAUCUCGCUCGCCAUCUACAACGCAUCGUGCGCAUCAAGGUCCCCCAAGUUGAUGUGGGGUGUCGUGGACACCGGGGCCGCCGCCCAGCCACCGUGCGCCUGGGUGGCAUGGGUGGUUGAAACGGUGGAGGUGAUGUUGACGAUCUGGUACGAGCCGCAUAUUACCACAACGCUCGUACAUGCGCUUUCGGAUGCCGUGGUGUGACGGUUCGAAGACAUCUUGAUGAGGCUCAAAGAAGCUUAUUGGGCACCGGUCAUAGGAGCAGCGGGGCUUAGGGAAGGCGAAGCACGGAGAAGACCUUGACACGCCCCCUACCUGGCGCGCCAAAUAUCGGAUUUCGGGCUCCGCAAAACCCUAAAGAUUCGAACUCGGGGGCGUGUACAAAGAUCUCUCUCGGGCUCACCUCACCUAACUCGCUACUUGUUGGGGAUGGCGAAGAACUCACUCGAUUGUGAGGAAGACACAGAACACGGCAGUUUACCCAGGUUCGGGCCGCUGAGAAGCGUAAUACCCUACUCCUGCUUUGGUGGAUUGCCUCUCGUGGAGGUUGGUCGAUGAACAGUACAUUUUUCGAGAGCCUCUGGAGGCUAGGUGGUCUUUGUGUGGUGCUGGUGGGUGAAUGAAUGGAUCCGAUCCUCCUCUACGAAGCAGCCUACCCUCUAUAUAUAGUGGCGGCCCCGGUCCUCUUCCCUUAUCAUUUCGGCGGGAAGGGAUCCCACAACGGCCAAUUUCGAAGGGGGACAGGGGAACAUGCUCCCCCUGUCCAAAAGUAGUCUUCGCGUGCAAAGUGGCUGCCAGNUCAAGGGAUGACGUCCGUCCUGCUGGCGGGCGGGGUGGCCUUGUUGCACCAGAAUGGAAACCUUUGGGCGAUGCCUUGGAGACCUACAUGCGUCCUUGCCCCCUUUGCACUAAACGGGAAAUUGUACCAUCAUGUUGUCUGCUGCUCGCAUGUCCUUUACCCGCGUCAUCCUAGACUCCUGAGGUCGGGUUUCACCUCGGAAUAUCCGCUGCUCUAGAGGGGUCCUGAGGAGGCCCGCUCCGGGUCUAGAUGUUGUUCCUCCUCACGAGGCUUGGCCCCUCAUGAGGGCCUUGCCUUGAGUGGUGCCGGGAUGCUCAUUUUAGGUCGAUGAAGUGGGCCAACCCUGGACCGCACGCAGGCAGGUCUGGGUACCCCCAUUCCCAGAACACCGACAAAGGCGGUUCGAAUAUUAACGGCAGACAACAGUCUGGCCAUGGUAAUCAGCAGUACAACAAUCAGGGCGGCUUUCAGCAAUAGAACAACCAAGGUGGUUUUCAACAGACAAAUAACCAGGGCGGUUUUCAGAGCAACCCUAAGCAGCUCAACAAUGGUCAGUACCAUGUUUUCAUCACUAACACCUGCAAAAGGGCCAAGAAAAUCAAACAGAGGGCGAUCAACAUGGUUGAGUUGGCGGUUCCCACAUAUCUCAAUUGGUCUGAACAGCCCAUCACAUGGACUAGAGCUGAUCACCCGACCGAGGUUGAUAAUCCUGGGGACUUAGCCUUGGUGGUGGCACCAAAGAUUGGGGGAUACACCCUCUCUAAGGUCCUCAUGGAUCGAGGUAGCAACAUCUGUUGGGGAACGUUGCAUGGGAAACGAAAUUUUUACUAUGCACAUGCAAUACCUAUCCAUGGUGAUGAUCAUCUACGAGAGGGGAGAGUGAACCAACAUACCAUUGUAGAUCACUAAGCGAAAGAGUAUAUAACGCGGUUGAUGUAGUGGAAUAUCUUCGCGAUCCAAAAGACAGCCUAUCUCGCGAUCUCAUCACGAUCCGUCCUGUGAUCCCAUCACGAUCCAUCCCGAUCUAGUGUUGAACGGACGGCACCUCCGCGUUUAGCACACGUACAGCUCGAUGACGAUCUCCGCCUUCUUAAUUCAGCAAGAGGGGCGGAGAGGUAGAUGAGUUCUCAAGCAUGGCGGCGUGGUAGUGGUGGUGGUGAAGUAGUCCAACAGGGCUUCGCCUAAGCACUGCCGAACUAGACUAGAGGAGAAACAGAUCUAGAGGAAGAAGAGGGCAGCACGUGGCAAUUAGGGUUAGGGGAUGACCUCAAAAUCCCUCAAUAUAUAUAGGAGGAAGGGGAGUGGAGGCAACCUUGGCCCCUACUCCAAGCAGGUUUGGCCGAACCAAACAAGGGAGGAAUCCACCUCCCACAAGGGAGGUGGAAUCCUAUUAGGACUCCUUCCUAAUUUGAAAACUCUUUCCACCUUUUUGCUUUUUGCCUUAUACCUCCACUCCAGCCGCAUGGGCCCUUAGGGGAGGCUUCGGCCAGCCCACCAGGGGCUGGUCUUCCCCCUCUCACAGCCCAUGAAGCCCUUGGGUCGUCACACCCAUCCCGGUGGUCCCCCGGUACCCUCCCGGCACUCCGCGUACAUUACCGAUUUGCCCAAAAAAAAUUCGAAGACCAAAACAGGACUUCCUGUAUAUCAAUCUUUACCUCCGGAGCUCCUUGUGAUGUUCAGGAUUUCAUCAGGGACUCCGAAUAACCUUCGGUCACCAACACCUAUAACUCAACUAUACUGAAAUGUCACUGAACCUUAAGUGUGCAGACCCUGCAGGUUCGAGAACUAUGCAGACAUGACCUGAGACACUCCCCGGUCAAUAACCAAUAGCGGGACCUGGAUGUCCAUAUUGGCUCGUACAUAUUCUAUGAAGAUCUCUAUCGGUUGAACCUCUAUGUCAAGGAUUCAGUUAAUCCUGUAUGUUGUUCCCUUUGUCCUUCGGUAUGUUACUUGCCCGAGAUUCGAUCGUUGGUAUCUCUAUACCUGGUUCAAUCUCAUUACCGACAAGUCUCUUUACUCGUUCCGUAAUACAAGAUCCCGUGGCUAACUCUUUAGUCACAUUGCUUGCAAGGCUUGUUUGUGAUGUUGUAUUACUGAGUGGGCCCCGAGAUACUUGUCUGUCACACGGAAUGACAAAUCACAGUCUUGAUCCUUGCCAACCCAACAGACACCUUCGGAGGUACAAGUAGAGCACCUUUAUAGUCACCCAGUUAUGUUGUGACAUUUUAUACACACACGGCAUUCCUCUGGUGUACACGAGUUGCAUGAUCUCAUGGUCAUAGGAACAGAUACAGUGACAUGCAGAAAACAGUAGCAAUAAACUGAGACGAUCAUAUGCUACGUUCAUAGUUUGGGUCUUCUCCAUCACAUCAUUCUCCUAAUGAUUGAUCCCGUUAUCAAGUGACAACGCUUGUCUAUGGCCAGGAAACCUUGACCAUCUUUGAUCAACGGGCUAGUCAACUAGAGGCUCACUGGGGACAGUGUGUUGUCUAUGUAUCCACACAUGUAUUUGAGUUUCCAAUCAAUACAAUUCUAGCAUGGAUAAUAAACGAUUAUCAUGAACAAAGAAAUAUAAUAAUAACCAAUUUAUUAUUGCCUCUAGGGCACAUUUCCAACAGUCUCCCACGUGCACUAGAGUCAAUAAUCUAGUUCACAUCACUAUGUGAUUGUAAUGAAUCUAACACCCAUAUAGCUCUGGGGUUUGAUCAUGUUUUGCUUGUGAGAGAGGUUUCAGUCAACGGGUAUGAGUGUUCUUUACAAAUCUCUAUGUCAUCCUGUAGGUGCUGCUACCAACAUGCCAUUUGGAACUAUUCCAAAUGACUGCUCCACUAUACGAAUUCUAUUUACUACUUAGAGUCAUUCGGAUUAGUGUCAAAGCUUGCAUUGACGUAACCCUUUACGACGAACUCUUUUAUCACCUCCAUAAUCGAGAAAAAAUCCUUAGCCCACUAGUUAGUAAGGAUAACUUUUACUGUUGUUCGGUGAUACAAUCCUGGAUCACGCUUUGUACCCCUUGACAGACUCAUGGCAAGGCACACAUCAGGUGCGGUACACAGCAUGGCAUACUUUAGAGCCUACGACUAAGGCAUAGGGGAUGACCUUCGUCCUUUCUCUUUCUUCUGCCGUGGUCAGGCAUUUGAGUUCUACUCAAAAUAACACCUUACAAUACAGUCAAGAACUCCUUCUUUAACUACUCCGUUUUGAACUCCUUCAAAAAUCUUGUCAAGGUAUGUAUUCAUUGAAAGUUUUAUCAAGCGUCUUGAUCUAUCUCCAUAGAUCUUGGUGCUCAAUGCUCAAGUAGCUCUAUCCAGGUUUUCCUUUGAAAAACUCCUUUCAAACAACCCUUUAUGCUUUACAGAAAUUCUACAUUAUUUCCGAUCAACAAUAUGUCAACCACAUAUACUUAUCAGAAAUUCAAUAGUGCUCCUACUCACUUCUUUGGAAAGACAGGUUUCUCAUAAACCUUGUAUAAACCCAAGAGCUUUGAUAAUCUCAUCAAAGCGUAUAUUCCAACUCCGAGAUACUUGCACCAGCCCAUAGAAGGAUCGUUGGAGCUUGCAUACUUGUUAGCAUCCUUAGGAUUGACAAAACCUUCUGGUUGUAUCACAUACAACCUUUCUUCAAGGAAACCGUCGAGGAAAUAAUGUUUUUACAUCCUACGUGCAAUAUUUCAUAAAUAAUGCAUCAACUGCUAACAUAAUGCCAAUGGACUUUUAGCACCGCUACGAGUGAGAAAGUCUCAUCAUAGUCAACUCUUUGAACUUGUCGGAAACAUCUUUGCGAUAAGUCGAGCUUUUCUUAUUGGUGACUUUUCACCAUCAUCGUCUGUCUUCCUUUUAAAGAUCCAUCUUUACUUAAUUGUCUUACGACCAUCAAGUAGUUCUUCCCAAGUCUACACUUUGUCUUCAUACAUGGAUCCUCUCUCGGAUUUCAUGGCCUCCAGCCAUUUGUCGGAAUCUGGGUCCACCAUCGCUUCUCCAUAGCUCGUAGGUUAAAUGUUGUUCAAUAACAUGACCUCAAAGACAGGCUUACUAUACCACUCUCUAGUAGUACGCGACCUUUUCGACCUACGAGGUUUGUAGUAACUUGAUCCGAAGAUAAUGAUCACCAUCAUCAGUUUCCACUUCAAUUGGUGUAGGCGCCACAGGAACAACUUCAUGCGCCUUGCUACACAUUGGUUGAAGUGAUGGUUCAAUAACCUCAUCAAGUUCCACCACCCUCCCACUCUAUUCUUUCAAGAGAAACCUUUCCUCGAGAAAGGACCCAUUUCUAGAAACAAAGACUUUGUUUCCGGAUCUGAGAUAGGAGAUGUACCCAACUGUUUUUUAUAUCCUAUGAAGAUGCAUUUAUCCGCUUUGGGUUUGAGCUUAUCAGACUAAAACUUUUCACAUAAGCGCCGCAGCCCCAAACUUUCAAGAAACGACAGCUUAGGUUUCUCCAAACCAUAGUUCAUACGGUAUCAUCUCAACGGAAAUACGUGGUGCCCUAUUUAAAGUGAAUGUGGUUGUCUCUAAUUCAUAACACAUAAACGACAGUGGUAAUUCGAUAAGAGACAUCAUAGUAUGCACCAUAUAAAAUAGGGCACGGCUAUGACGUUCGUACGCACCAUCACACUAUGGUCUUCUAGAGGCAUGAAUUGUGAAACAACUUCCACAUUGUCUUAACUGUAUACCAAUACUCGCAACUCAGAUAUUCAUCUCUACGAUCAUAUCGUAGACAGUUUAUCCUCUUGUCACGACGAUCUUCACUCCGAAAUAGCUCUGAACUUUUCAAUAUUUCAGACUUGUGAUUCAUCAAGUAGAUACUCAUGUAUCUACUGAAAUCGUCAAUGAAGUAAGAACAUGACGAUAUCCACUGCGUGCCUCAGCACUCAUUGGACUACAUACAUCCAAAUGUAUUAGUCCCAAUAAGUUACUUUCUUGUUCCAUGUGGUAUGAUUUGCAUGUCUCAAGUGAUUCAAAAUCAAGUGAGUCCAAACGAUCCAUCUGCAUGGAGUUUCUUCAUGCUUUUAUACAAAUAGGUAUGGUUUGCAUGUCUCAAACGUUUCAAAAAUGAGUGAGUACAAAGAUCCAUCAGCAUGGAGCUUCUUCAUGCAUUUUACACCAACAUGACUCAAGCAACAGUGCCACAACUAAGUGGUACUAUAAUUACUACUUUGUAUCUUUUGGCAUCAAUAUUAUGAAGAUGUGUAUCACUACAAUCGAGAUUCAAUAAACCAUUGAAGGUAUUUAUUCAAGCAAAUAGAAUAACUAUUAUUACUUUUAAAUGAAUAAUUGUAUUGCAAUAAACACGAUCCAAUCAUGUUAAUGCUCAAUGCAAGCACCAAAUAACAAUUAUUUGGGUUUAACACCAAUCCCGAUGGUAGAGGAGUGUGCGAUGUUUGAUCACAUCAACCUUGGAAACACUUCCAACACAUAUCGUCACCUCACCUUUAGCUAGUCUCUGUUUAUUCCGUAGCUUUUACUUCGAGUUACUAAGAGUUAGCAACUGAACCAGUAUCUAAUACCCUCAUGCUACUAGGAGUACUAGUAAAGAACACAUCAAUAUCAUGUAUAUCAAAUAUACUUUGUCGACUUCGCUAGCCUUCUUAUCUACCAAGUAUCUAGGGUAGUUCUGCCUCAGUGACUGUUCCCCUCAUAAUAGAAGCACUUAGUCUCAGGUUUGUGUUCAACCUUGGGUUUCUUCAUUAGAGCAGCAACUGGUUUGUCAUUUCACGAAGUAUCCCUUCUAGCCCUUGUCCUUCUUGAAACUAGUGGUUUUACUAACCAUCAACAAUUGAUGAUCCUACUUGAUUUCUACUUUCGCGGUGUCAAACAUUACGAAUCGCUCAAGGAUCAUCAUAUCUAUCCUUGAUAUGUUAUAGUUUAUCACAAAGCUCUAGUAGCUUGGUGGAAGUGGCUUUGGAGAACCAUCACUAUCUCAUCUGGAAGAUUAACUCCCACCUGAUUCAAGCGACUGUUGCACUCAGACAAUCUGAGCACAUGCUCAGCGAUUGAACUUUUAUCCUUUACUUUGUAGACAAAGAAUCUUGUCGGAGGUCUCAUACCUCUUAACAAGGGCAUGAGCAUGAAAUCCCAAUUUCAUCUCUUGGAACAUCUCAUUUGUCCCGUGGCGUUUUCAAAAUGUCUUCGGCGCCUCAAUUCUAAGUCGUUUAAAUAUUACGCACUGAACUAUCACGUAGUGAUCAAAAACAUGUAUGUCAGAUGUUCGCAACAUCCACAAAUGACGCUCGAGGUGCACCACACCGGACGGUGCAUUAAGGACAUAGGCCUUCUGCGCAGCAAUGAGGACAAUCCUCAGUUUACGUACUCAGUCCGCAAAAUUGCUACUAUCAUCUUUCAACUAAAUUUUCUCUACGAACAUAUAAAAACGGUAGAGCUACAGUGCAAGCUACAACAUAAUUCGCAAAGACCUUUUGACUAUGUUCAUGAUAAUUGAGUUUAGCUAAUCAUAUUACUAAUAACUCCCACUCAAAAUAUACAUCCCUCUAGUCAUUUGAGUGGCACAUGAUCCAAAUCUACUAACUCAAAUCCGAUCAUCACGUCAGUUGAGUAUAGUUUCAGUGGUGAACAUCUCCAUGUUGAUCAUAUCAACUAUAUGAUUCAUGCUCGACCUUUCGGUCUCAUGUGUUCCGAGGCCAUGUCUGUACAUGCUAGGCUCGUCAAGUUUAACCCGAGUGUUCCACCUGUGCAACUGUUUUGCACCCGUUGUAUGUGAACGUUGAGUCUAUCACACUCGAUCAUCACGCGGUGUCUCGAAACGACGAACUGUCGCAACGGUGCACAGUCGGGGAGAACACAAUUUUAUCUUGAAAUUUUAGUGAGGGAUCAUCUUAUAAUGCUACUGUCGUUCUAAGAAAAAUAAGGUGCAUAAAGGGUUAACAUCACAUGCAAUUCAUAAGUGACAUGAUAUGGCCAUGAUCUUGUGCUUCUUGAUCUCCAUCACCAAAGCACAGGCAUAAUCUCCAUCGUCACCGGCGCCACACCAUGAUCUCCAUCAUUGUGCCGCCAUCGAGGUUGUCGUGCUAUCUAUGCUAUUACUACUAAAGCUACAACCUAGCAACAUAGUAAACGCAUCUGCAAGCACAAACGUUAGUUCAAAGACAACCCUAUGGCUCCUGCUGGUUGCUGUAGCAUCGACGUGCAAGUCGAUAUUUUACUAUUACAAGAUGAUCAUCUCAUACAUCCAAUAUAUCACAUCAUGUCUUUGGCCAUAUCACAUCACAUACAUACCCUGCAAAAACAAGUUAGACGUCCUCUAAUUUGUUGUUGCAUGUUUUACGUGGCUGCUAUGGGUAUCUAGUAUGAUCGCAUCUUACUUACGCAAAACCACAACGGUGAUGUGCAAAUUGCAAUUUAACCUCUCUCCAAGGACCGCCUCCGUCAAAUCCAAUUCAACUAAAGUUGAAGAAACAGACACCCGCCAGUCAUCUUUAUGCAACAAGUUUCAUGUUAGUCGGUGAAACCGGUCUCUCGUAAGCGUACGAGUAAGGUUGGUCUGGGCCGCUUCAAUCCAACAAUACCGCCGAACCGAGAAAAGACUAAGGAGGGCUGAAAAUCGAACAUCAACGCCCACAAAAAAAUUUGUGUCCUACUCGAGAUUACAUCUACGCAUGAACCUAGCUCAUGAUGCCACUGUUGGGGAACGUUGCAUGGGAAACAAAAAAAUUCCUACGCACACGAAGACCUAUCAUGGUGAUGUUCAUCUACGAGAGGGAGAUCGGAUCCACAUACCCUUGUAGAUCGCUCCGCGGGAAGCGUUAAGAAACGUGAUUGAUGUAGUGGUGCAGCUUCGUGAUUCAAAUCACCGUUGUCCCACGAUCCGUCCCAGGAUCUAGCACCGAACGAACGACACCUCCGCGUUCAGCAGACGUACAGCUCGAUGACGAUCUCUGCCUUCUUGAUCCAGCAAGAGAGACGGGGAAGUAAAUCAGUUCUCUAGUAGCAUGAUGGCGCGCCGGCGAUGGUGAUGAUCUAUUCCUGCAGGGCUCCGCCCGAGCUCCGCAGAAAACCGAUCUAGAGGAAGAACUACGAGGUAUAGGUUUGAGUUGCACGUGGCAAACUUGUGUCUCAAAAGCCCUAAACCACUAGUAUAUAUAGGAGGAGGGGAGGGCAGCCUUGGCGCACCAAGGAAGACCUUCUUGGGUCGGCCGAAGUGGGGAAGGGAGGAGUCCUCCUCCAAUCCCACUUGGAUUACGACUCCUUCCUUAUUUUCCCACCUCUUUUGGAUUUUCCACUUUUUCCUCAUGGGCUUUCCUUGGAUGACUUUGUGAACCCAUUAUACCUUAUUGUGCAUCCAAUAAACCCAUGUGGGCCCCUUGGGGCGUGGUGUGCCACCCAGUGGGCCCCCGGAACCCAUUCGUCACUCCCGGUACACUACCGGCAAUGCGCGAAAACCUUCCGGAAUCCAAAUACCAACUUCCUAUAUAUCAAUCAUUGUUUCCGGACCAUUCCGGAACUCCUCGUGACAUCCGGAAUCUCAUCCAGGACUCCGAACAAAACUUUGGUCACCAACACAUACAGCUCAACUAUACCGAAACGUCACCGAACCUUAAGUGUGCAGAUCCUGCGGGUUCGAGAACUAUGCACACAUGACCUUGAGACACUCUCUGGUCAAUAACCAAUAGCGGGACCUGGAUGUCCAUAUUGGUUCCUACAUAUUCUACGAAGAUCUCUACCGGUUGAACCUCUAUGUCAAGGAUUCAUAUAAUCCCGUAUACUAUUCCCUUUGUCCUUCGGUAUGUUACUUUCCCGAUAUCCGAUCGUCGGUAUCUCUAUACCUAGUUCAAUAUCGUUACCAGCAAGUCUCUUUACUCAUUCCGUAAUACAAGAUCCCGUGACUAACUUCUUAGUCACAUUGCUUGCAAGGCUUAUUGUGAUGUUGUAUUACCGAGUGGGCCCCGAGAUACCUCUCCGUCACACGGAGUGACAAAUCCAAGUCUUGAUCCAUGCCAACCCAACAGACACCUUUGGAGAUACCUGUAGAGCAUCUUUAUAGUCACCCAGUUACGUUGCGAUGUUUGAUAACCCACAAGGUAUUCCUCCGGUGUCCGGGAGUUGCAUGAUCUCAUGGUCAUAGGAAUAGAUACAUUGACAUGCAGAAAACAGUAACAAUAAAUUGACAUGAUCAUAUGCUACGUUUAUAGUUCAGAUCUUGUCCAUCACAUCAUUCUCCCAAUGAUGUGAUCCCGUUAUCAAGUGACAACCCUUGUCUAUAGUCAGGAAACCUUGACCAUCUUUGAUCAACGAGCUAGUCAACUACAGGCUUAUUAGGGACAGUGUUUUGUCUAUGUAUCCACACAUGUAUUUGAGUUUCUAAUCAAUACAAUUAUAGCAUGGAUAAUAAACGAUUAUCGUGAACAAAGAGAUAUAAUAAUAACUAAUUUAUUAUUGCCUCUAGGGCAUAUUUCCAACAGACUCGUCAAUAGAUGCUUUGUUCCUCUUUUUCUUUGUCGGGGUGUCUUUGACCUUCUUGACAGUCGUUUUUCCUAGCUUCCGUUUCCAGAAGGCCGAGUUUUUCUACGGCAGUAUUAAUAAGAAAGAAAGUUUUCAAAGGCGCAAAGGAAAGAACAAGCAAGGCAAGUAAUGGUUAAAGAUAUCUACCUUAGGAGCCGGAUUUUGGAUGUACAAUGGCUUCAGUCCAGGUUUGCAACAGAUUUCUUUUGGCUCGCCACAUAGCCUCUUCACAAUGUUAUUGACUUCAUCAGAGUCAAGCAUAACAUUAAUUAAACAUUGUGCAUUAUUUGAAUCACCUUCAUAUUCGCACAUCAAUCCAUCCCGCCGGCUCAAGGGCAUAAUUCGCCACUCCACCCAGCACCGGAUCAAGUUAAUCCCGGUUAAACCAUUGACGGUUCAGGCCCGAAGCUUCGGCCAGACAAAAGCAAGGGUGGCCUGCUCUUUUGUAGUUAAUGAGCUGGGAAAUUUAAAGUACAUUGGAAAUAAAACCAAUUUUUUUGCCCAGCCCUUGGGGUGACUGGGCAGGGUAACAGCAGGAAAGCCAUGUUCUUGCCGCCUUUGGAUUGUGACUCCACCAAGUUCUAAGUGAUGGAGAUUGUAGUACUUUCAAAUUUUCCUACGCCAUACAAGGAUCUAUCUAUGGAGAAACCAGCAACGAGCAAACGGGUAGAGCAUCUUCAUACCUUUGAAGAUCGCUAAGCGGAAUCUUUACUAUGAACGCAGUUGAUGGAGUCAUACUCGGAGCGAUUCAGAUCGCGGUGAAUUCCGAUCUAUGUGCCGAAUCACGGCACCUCCACGUUCAACACACGUACAGCCCGGUGAUGUCUCCUCCUUCUUGAUCCAGCAUGGAGAGAGAAGAAGUUCAGGGAGAGCUCCGACAGCACGACGACGUGGUGGCAGUGGAGCUAUGUGGUUCUCCGGCAGGGCUUCGCCAAGCGCUGUAGAGGACGAGGUUGAGGAGGAGUAGGGUUGCGCCUUGCGAGACGAAUUGUGUGUCUCCAAAGGCCAAAACCCUCCACUAUAUAUAUGAGGAGGGAGAGGGAGGCUGCCUUGGCCCCUCCUCCAAGGAGGAGGAGCUUUGGCCGAAGUUAGGGAGGUGUCCACCUCCCACAAGGGAGGUUGACUACCUUGGUAGGACUCUUCCUCCUUUUCCUUUUAAGCCUUUUGCCUUAUCUCCUCUAUCCCUAUGCGCAUAGGCCUUUAGGGAUGGACUUGGCAGCCCAAUAAGGGCUGGUCCACCUCCUCUAACAGCCCAUGCACCCUUUUGGUCGUCACACCCCUCCCGGGGGUCCUCCGGCACCCUCCCGGCACUCCCGGUACACUAGCGAUGAGCCUGAAACUUUUCCGGUGACCAAAACAGGACUUCCUAUAUAUCAAUCUUUAAAUCCGGACCAUUUCGGAGCUCCUCGCGACGUCUUGGAUCUCAUCCAGGACUCCAAACAACCUUUGGUAACCAUAUACCAUUCCCUUUACAACUCUAGCGUUAUCGAACCUUAAGUGUGUAGACCCUACGGGUUCGAGAGACAUACAAACAUGACCGAGAAAUCUCUCCGGCCAAUAACCAACAACGGGGUCUCGGUAUCCAUGUUGGUUCCCAUAUGUUCCAUGAUGAUCUCAUCGGAUGAACCACGAUGUCAAGGAUUCAAUCAAUCCCGUGUGGAAUUCUCUUUGUCUAUCGGUAUGAUACUUGCCCGAGAUUCAAUCGUCGGUAUCCCCAUACCUUGUUCAAUCUCGUUACCGGCAAGUCUCUUUACUCGUUCUGUAACACAUCAUCACGUGGCUAACUCCUUAAUCACACUGAGCUCAAUAUGAUGAUGAAUUACCGAGUGGGCCCAGAGAUACCUCUCCGUCACACGGAGUGACAAAUCCCAGUCUCGAUUCGUACAACCCAACAAACACUUCCGGAGAUACCCGUAGUGCACCUUUAUAAUCACCCAGUUAUGUUGUGACAUUUGGUACACCCAAAGCACUCCUACGGUAUCCGAGAGUUGCACAAUCUCAUGGUCUAAGGAAAUGAUACUCGACAUUAGAAAAGCAUUAGCAAACGAACAACACGAUCUAGUGAUAUGCUUAGGAUUGGCUCUUGUCCAUCACAUCAUUCCCCAAUUAUGUGACCCCGUUAUCGAUGACAUCCAAUGUCCAUGAUGAGGAAACUAUGAUCAUCUAUUGAUCAACGAGCUAGCCAAAUAGAGGUUCACUAGGGACACAUUGUGAUCUAUAUAUUCACACAUGUAUUACAGUUUCUGGUUAAUACAAUUAUAGCAUGAAUAAAAGACAAUUACCAUGAACUAGGAAAUAUAAUAAUAACCACUUUAGUAUUGCCUCUAGGGCAUAUUUCCAACAGUCUCCCACUUGCACUAGUAUCAAUAAUCUAGUUACAUUGUGAUGAAUAGAACACCCAUAGAGUUUUGGUGCUGAUCAUGCUUUGCCCGUGGAAGAGGUUUAGUCAAUGGAUCUGCGACAUUCAGAUCUAUGGUGAUGAAUAGAACACCCAUAGAGUUUUGGUGCUGAUCAUGCUUUGCCCGUGGAAGAGGUUUAGUCAACGGAUCUGCGACAUUCAGAUCUGUAUGUACUUUACAAAUAUCUAUAUCUCCAUCUUGGAUGUAUCCACAUAUGGAGUUGAAGCGGCGCUUGAUGUGCUUGGUCUUCUUAUGAAACAUGGGCUCCUUUGCAAUAGUAAUAGCUCCAGUGUCGUCACAGAAGAUAGUCAUCAGGCCCGACGCACUUGGAAUCACUCCUAGGUCGGUGAUGAACUCCUUCAUCUAGACUCCUUCGUGUGUUGCUUUCGAAGCAGUUAUGUACUCUGCUUCACAUGUAGAUGCCGCCACGACGCUUCGCUUGCAACUGCAGCAGCUAACUGCCCCAUUAUUCAAAAUAUACAUGUAUCCCGUUUGUGACUUGGAGUCAUCCGGAUCUGUGUCGAAGCUAGCAUCGACGUAACCCUUUACGACGAGCUCUUCGGCACCUCCAUAAACGAGGAACGUAUCUUUAGUCCUUUUCAGGUACUUUAGGAUAUUCUUGACCAUUGUCCAGUGAUCCACUCCGGGAUCACUCUGGUACCCCCCUACCUAACUUAUGGCAAAGUUUACAUCAGGUCUGGUACAUAGCAUGGCAUACAUAAUAGAGCCUAUGGCUGAAGCAUAGGGGAUGGUACUCAUCUUCUCUAUAUCUUCUAUCGUGGUCGGUCGUUGAGUCGCACUAAACCCCACACCUUGCAAUACAGGCAAGAACCCCUUCUUAGCCUUCUCCAUAUUUAACUUCUUCAAUAUCUUGUCAAGGUAUGUGCUUUGUGAAAGACCCAUGAUGCGUCUCGAUCUAUCUCUAUAGAUCUUGAUGUCUAAUAUGUAAGCUGCUUCUCCAAGGUCCUUCAUUGAAAAACUCUUAUUCAAAUAGGGCUUGACGCUUUCCAAUAGUUCUAUAUCAUUUCCCAUCAACAAUAUGUCAUCCACAUAUAAUAUGAGAAAUGCUACAGAGCUCCCACUCAUUUUCUUGUAAAUACAGCUUCUCCAUAAGUCUGUAUAAACCCAAACGCUUUGAUCACCUCAUCAAAGCGAAUGUUCCAACUCCGAGAUGCUUGCACCAGCCCAUAGAUGGAGCGUUGGAGCUUGCAUACCCUGUUAGCAUUGUUAGGAUCGACAAAACCUUCCGAGUGUACCGUAUACAAUUCUUCUUUAAGAAAGCCGUUCAUGAAUGUUGUUUUGAGGUCCAUUUGCCAGAUUUCAUAAUCAUAAAAUACGGCAAUGCUAACAUGAUUCGGACCGACUUCGGCAUCGCUACAUGUGAGAAGGUCUCAUCGUAGUCAAUCCUUUGAACUUGUCGAUAACCCUUAGCGACAAGUCGAGCCUUAUAGAUGGUCACAUUACCAUCCGCGUCAGUCUUCUUCUUGAAGAUCCAUUUAUUUUCUAUGGCUCGCCGAUCAUCGGGAAAGUCCACCAAAGUCCAUACUUUGUUCUCAUACAUGUAUCCUAUCUCGGAUCUCAUGGCCUCAAGCCAUUUGUUGGAAUCCGGGCUCGCCAUCGCUUCUUCAUUGUUCGAAGGUUCACUUUAGUUCAACAACAUGAUUUCCGUGACAGGGUUGUCGUACCAUUCUGGUGCGGAACGUACCCUUGUCGACCUUCGAGGUUCAAUAGCAACUUGAUCCAAAGUGUCAUGAUCAUCAUCAUUAACUUCAUCUCUAGCUGGUGCAGGCGCCUUAGAAACAUUUUCUUGCACUGCGCUACUCUCCGGUUCGAGAGGAGGUGCAAUUACCUCAUCAAGUUCUAUUUUCCUCCCACUUACUUCUUUCGAGAGAAACUCUUUCUCUAGAAAGGAUCCAUUCCUAGCAACAAAGAUCUUGCCUUCGGAUCUAAGAUAGAAGGUGUACCCAAUAGUUUCCUUAGGGUAUCCUAUGAAGACGCAUUUUUCCGCUUUGGGUUCGAGCUUCUGUGGUUGAAGUUUCUUUACAUAAGCAUCGCAGCCCCAAACUUUCAGAAACGACAACUUAGGUUUCUUGGCAAACCAUAAUUCAUACGGUGUCGUCUCAACGGAUUUAGACGGUGCCCUAUUUAAAGUGAAUGCGGCAGUUUCCAAUGCAUAGCCCCAAAAUGAUAGCGGUAAAUCGGUAAGAGAAAUCUUAGAUCGUACCAUCUCCAAUAGAGUGCGAUUACGACGUUCAGACACACCGUUACGUUGUGGUGUGCCAGGCGGCGUGAGUUGUGAAACGAUUCCACAUUUCCUUAGGUGUGUGCCAAACCCGUGACUCAAAUAUUCUCCUCCUCGAUCAGAUCGUAGAAACUUUAUUUUCUUGUCACGUUGAUUCUCCACCUCAUUCUGAAAUUCCUUGAACUUUUCAAAGGUUUCAGACUUGUGCUUCAUUAAGUAGACACACCCAUAUCUACUCAAAUCAUCAGUGAGGGUGAGAACAUAAUGAUAGCCUCCGCGAGCUUCAACGCUCAUUGGACCACAUACAUCGGUAUGUAUUAUUUCCAAUAAGUUGGUCGCUCGCUCCAUUAUUCCAGAAUGGUGUCUUGGUCAUCUUGCCCAUGAGGCACGGCUCGCAUGUGUCAAAUGAUUCGAAAUCAAGAGACUCCAAAAGUCCAUCGGUAUGGAGUUUCUUCAUGCGCUUUACACCGAUAUGACCAAGGCGGCAGUGCCACAAGUAUGUGGGACUAUCAUUAUCAACCUUGCAUCUUUUAGCACUCACACUAUGAAUAUGUGUAUCAUCUCGAUCGAGAUUCAUUAGGAAUAAACCAUUAACCAGCGGGGCAUGACCAUUAAACAUACCACUCAUAUAAAUAGAACAACCAUUAUUCUCAGGUUUAAAUGAGUAGCCAUCUUGCAUCAAGCGAGAUCCCGAUACAAUGUUCAUGCUUAAAGAUGGUACUAGAUAACAAUUCUUAAGGUUUAUAACUAAUCCUGAAGGUAGAUGUAGAGGUAGCGUGCCGAAGGCGAUCACAUCGACCUUGGAACCAUUCCCGACGCGCAUCGUCUCCUCGUCCUUAGCCAGCCUACGCUUGUUCCGCAGUUCCUGCUUAGAAUUGCAAAUGUGAGAAACAACACCGGUAUCAAAUACCCAGGAGAUACUACGAGCGCUGGUAAGGUACACAUCAAUAACAAGUAUAUCACAUAUACCUUUGACGUUGUCGGCCUUCUUGUCCGUUAAGUACUUCGGGCAAUUCCGCUUCCAGUGACCGGUUCCCUUGCAGUAGUAACACUCAGUCUCAGGCUUAGGUCCUUUCUUUGACUUCUUCCCGGUAACUGGCUUACCGGCGCGGCAACAGCUUUGCCGUCUUUCUUGAAGCUUUUCUUACCUGUAGGGACCCCGAUCCUAAGGCAUAGGAAUCCAUCCUGUAACACAUCGCAUCUCUUUGCGGUCUCACGCACGGUUAACCCCACGGCUGCAGCCUUACCUUAGCCGGGACCGUUUGCACCUUUUGACUCACGUAUGCAAUUGUGUCGCUAGCAAUCCAAUGUCAAAGAACCCGGAUCGACAUGUCUAGUCAUAAACUAAAGUGGCAGUUCCGUACGGGGACAGGCAUACAUGACCCAACAAAGCAGGUGUCGGUCAUCAACGAAUGUAGACGAGUCGUAGCAAGCUACAAGGACUUCAUUACAUACGUGUGACAUUUCCCAAAGGGACAGACACAGCAGCUAAGAAGGACACAUAUGCCGGUCAACCAAUGUGUCCGGAGCAGUAGCGAACUACCAUGGCUCGAUGGAAUCACAAAGGGGCAUUUCCCCGUGUGGAGUGCUACUAAAGCAUACGACUAGGUAUUCGAACCCCAUACAUAUCAAGCACAACACACGUACGCAUGGCAUACCGAUAUGCAUAGAUACAUCGAUGGCAUCACAACAUAACCAUAAACAUACAAACUUUAUUUAGAAGGCUCAAAAGAGCCUCACACAUAAUAUUACACAGAUAGGGGCCUCACGGCCCAUCAUCAUAAUUCAUACACACAAGUCUUACAAGCCAGCGGAAGAGUAAAAUUAUCUGAGUACACACAGAUGGAAAGAUAAAAGCACAUGUCCUGACUAUCUACAAACCCAUCCUAGGGCCAGAUCGUAGCUGGGAUACCAGCUACUCGUCGUCAUCGAUGUCUAGGUAGAACCCUCCAUUAGGGUCAGUAACAACCUCUGCAACAAUUUAUUAAGCAAACGUGAGUAUGAAAGUACUCAGCAAGACUAUAGAAAAUCUAUCUACUCAUGCAAUGUAUCAACAAGGAGUUGUGGGGUUUCAUGCGGAAAGCUAGCAUUUGACUCUUGGCUAAACAACUUGCAUUUUUAAAUAGUUUUAACAACUUUGAUUUCUCGCACACGAGUCCACUAACACCACAACAAUACUCCAUCAUGGAAUCAUUCCGUCUCCCUACGGAAAUGUCGUCCACGACACUCACACUUAUCUUGCCAAUUUUAUGAGUAGCCAUUAUAGUUAUCUAUGAACAACAUAUGUUUCCAAUUAGUCCAUAUCCGCGAACGCGGCUAUUCAAAUAGAUCAUAACCCUGCAAGGUUGUACUUCUUCACACACGCUCUCACCACUUAUCGCCAUGUGCACGUCAUGAACCUCGGCAACCUUCAAGCGGAAGCCCAGCGAGGGAGUCGGCCACGACCGUUAACCAUGUUAAUACUUAGUCUAGGUCUAUCGCCUAUCUGAGGGUAACCCGCACGGAAGUCCGGCCGAGGUUUCCGCCACGGCCCCAAACGAUGUGCGCAGGGUUCCCAAGCCCACCAUCCGGGUGCCACUUGGUACACUGUGCCACUGCCUACCGCAUCAUAGCCCACCUCUAAGGUCAGCGCUACGCACGGCCUCCAGCAUGACUAUAAACACCAGAAACUACUUGCAACUCCUGGACCGAGUACUAAGCGGUUAAUAAGUCGAGCGGGGUCAUAUUUCAGGGCCCAGCAUGAGGUAGUAUCUUGUCUUGGAUUACAUACACGAAACUCAGUUCCUAAGGACGGUUCCAAUGAAACAACCCGCCAUGUACUCCUACAUAGCCUUUCACCGGUACCUUUACCAAAUCAGGUUCAACACACGACCUUUACCGACUGAACACAUUCUCACGAUCCUGUUCAUCACCCAGAUGACAGACCAUACACAACUCUAAGCAUAGCAUGCAUAGCCGGAUAAGGCACAUCAUGGCUCAAGCAUCUACCAGGUAUGCUAGGUUGCAAGGUUCAGCUAUUUACUGUGACAAGGACAGGUCAUGCAAAGGAAGUGGGUUCAACUAACGUGAUAAAAGCAGUGAAAGCAUUUUGACCUAGUACAACAAGUAAGAGCAGGAGAAAGAACAUGGGAUUUAUCGGGAUGAUCAAAAUGGUUGCUUGCCUUGUUGCUCAGCAGAGGGGUGAUAUCCGUCAGUCGGAUAAUCAGACGUAUCCGGAAGGGCGGAGCCUACCGGAAUAACAACAAUCCAUCGAUAUCAAACAUAUGCAACAAAAUGAUGCAUGAAAUGCAAUGUAGCAUGGUUUGAAAUGACUAGCAGAACCCUUUGGGGUGAUCUUGAUUUGAAAUCAUAAUUCAAAUAUCAUUUGAAUUAUAAUUUAUCAAAUUCUUUUAAUUGAUUUGACAUGAUUCUAUUUCAUAACUUUGUUUUUCAUGCAUGAAAAUAGCACCAUUGGAUUCCUGGAAUUUUUCUGAUCCAUUUACAUAUACUAUUUGUCAAAUUUGGAGUUAUAUUCAAUUGCCUAUGAAUUUCCAAAGUUUUGAACUUAUUCUGGAAUUAUUUUUAACCAGAAAAGGCUUUAUUGCAUCUGCAUGACAUCAACAGGUCCAACUGGCAGUUGAAAGUCAAACUGAACCAGUGGGACCCACUGGUCAGUGUCCCUGGCCAGUUUUAAUUCAGAUUUAACUUAAUUAGUUAAUUAACAGAGAAGGACCCACCUGUGAGUGUCUGUUUAAGUUAAUUUUUAAGUUUUACUAAACUUAAUUACCUAGGGGCUGGACCCACCUGUCAUAGGCUCAGCGGGGUCAAAUCCACCGGCGGCGAGGUCGAUCUCGCCGGCGGUGAGCCUCCGGCGACCACCAGAAUGGCGGAGGGGCUCGGGAAUGCAUCUCCGACGACCAAAUGCACGGCGGAGGGCACCAAACGAAUCAGCUCACAGCCGCAGUUCCAUUUUUGCAAAGACCCGAGGCUAAGAUGGCCGGAGAUGACGCCGGCGACGAUCUUGGCGGCGGCCGAAGCUCGGGCAUCAUCGGGGUCAUCGAAACAGAGGGCAUCACGCGCGGGGCUGAGCUCCUACAGCAUCUACGCGACGCACUGAAGCCAUUGGUGGCCUCAGAUGGACCAGCCGAUCACCGGAGAGCUACCGGCGACGAGGUCCCGCGGCGGAUCUCGUCGGGCUCUGGUGGAAUCAGGGCCUAGAGGAAGGGAUCGAGGGGGAAAACUUAGGGGAAAGGACCCUGAGCUCNNNNNNNNNNNNNNNNNNNNNNNNNNNNNNNNNNNNNNNNNNNNNNNNNNNNNNNNNNNNNNNNNNNNNNNNNNNNNNNNNNNNNNNNNNNNNNNNNNNNUGUUGUAGGAAUUACCAUAAUUAUUAGAGGCCUAGGAUUGAAAUUACCUUUAUACGUGUUAUUGCCAAAAUUGUUCCUACCAACAAAAUUCACAUCCAUAGAUUCAUUAUUAUUUACAAUCAAAGAAGACAAAUGCAUAUCAUUGGGAUCAAUAGGAGCACUCUUACUAGCAAACAAUUUCAUCAAUUCAUCCAUCUUUCCACUCAAAGUAUUUAUUUCUUCAAUAGCGUGCACUUUUUUACUAGUAGGAGAUCUUUCGGUAUGCCACUGAGAGUAAUUUGCCAUAAUAUUAUCUAGGAGUUUAGUAGCUUCUACUAAUGUGAUUUCCAUAAACGUACCACCCGUGGCGGAAUCUAAAAGAUUUUUAGAAGGAAAAUUCAAUCCCGUAUAAAAAUUGUAUAAUCAUCCAUAAACUCAAACCAUGCGCGGGGCAAUUCCUAAACAUUAGUUUCAUCCUCUCCCAAGAUUGUGCAACGUGAUCAUGAUCAAGUUGCUUAAAAUUCAGUAUAUCGUUCUUAAGGGAGAUAAUCUUAGCGGGCGGAAAGUACUUGGAAAUAAAAGCAUCUUUACACUUAUUCCAUGAAUCAGUACUAUUUUUAGGUAAAGAUGAAAACCAAGUUUUGGCACGAUCUCGUGGUGAGAAAGGAAAUAGCUUCAAUUUAACAAUUUCAUUAUCCACAUCUUUCUUAUUUUGCAUAUCACACAACUCAAGGAAGGUAUUUAGAUGGGAUGCGACAUCUUCACUAGGAAGGCCGGAAAAUUGUUCUUUCAUAACAAGAUUGAGCAAAGCGGAAUUAAUUUCACAAGAUUCCGCACUAGUGGCGGGAGCAUUCGGAGUACUAGUAAAAUCAUUAUUAGUAGUAGUGGAAAAGUCACAUAAUUUGGUAUUCUCUUGAGUUGUCGUGACAAAACAAGCAAUCUAGCACACAAGCAAGCGGACAAAAAGACGAACGGAAAAAGGGCGGAUAAACGGCAAAUCUUUUUGGUAUUUUCUGAAAAUCGUUUUAGAAGUGGGGGAGAGGAAAACGAGAGGCAAAUAGAAAAUAAAGUAAAUGCAAGAGAUGAGUUUGUGAUGGUUACUUGAUAGGCUUCAUCUUGCUAUGUAUCCUCCCCGACAACGGUGCCAGAAAUCCUUCUUGCUACUUCUUAAGCUUGCGUUGGUUUUCCCUUAAAGAGGAAAGGGUGAUGCAGCAAAGUAGAUAAGCAUUUCCCUCAGUUUGUUGAGAACCAAGGUAUCAAUCCAGUAGGACGAACAAGCAAGGCCCCAAUUGUAGUACCUAUACAAAUAAUCAAACACUUGCACCCAACGCUAAAAAGAGGUUGUCAAUCCCUUCAGAGUUAUUUGCAAGGAUGAGAUCUAAUAGAGGUAGAUAUAAAAGAUUGCGAAAACAAAAGUAAAUAAAUUGCAGCAAGAUAUUUUUGGUAUUUUUGGUUCAUAGAUCUGAAAGUAUAAUAUGGAAAAUAGACCCGGGGCAUAGGUUUCACUAAAGGCUUCUCUCAUAAAGGAAAAUAAUACGGUGGGUGAACAAAUUACUAUCGAGCAAUUGAUAGAAAAGCAAAUAAUUAUGAAGACAUCCAAGGAAAUGAUUAUGCAUGUAGGCAUCACGUCCGUGUCAAGUAGACCGAAAUGAUUCUACAUCUACUACUAUUACUCCACACAUCAACCGACUCGUGCCUGCAUCUAGAGUAUUAAGUUCAUGAAGAACACAGUAACGCAUUAAGUAAGAUGACAUGAUGUAGAGGGAUAAACUCAAGCAAUAUGAUGAAAAACUCAUCUUUUUAUCCUCGAUGGCAACAAUACAAUAUGUGCCUCGCUAUCCCUGCUAUGUCACUGGGUGAGGACACCGCAAGAUUGAACCCAAACUAAGCACUUCUCUCAUUGCAAGAAUUACCAAUCUAGUUGGCCAAACCAAACCAAUAACUCGAAGAGACUUGCUAAGAUAUGAAAUCAUGCAUAUAAGAAUUCAAAAGAGAUUCAAAUAAUAUUCAUAGAUAAUCUGAACAUAAACUCACAAUUCAUUGGAUCUCGACAAACACACCGCAAAAUAGUAUUACAUCGGAUAGAUCUCCAUGAAGAUCAUGAAGAACAUGGUAUUGAAGAUCAAAGAGAGAGAAGAAGCCAUCUAGCUACUAGCUAUGGACUCGUAGGUCUGUGGUGAACUACUCACGCAUCAUCGGAGGGGCAAUGGAGUUGAUGUAGAUGCCCUCCAUGAUCAAUUCCCUCUCCGACAGAUUAGCGGAAAAGGCUCCCAUAUUGGAUCUCACGAGAACAGAGGCUCUCGGCGGCAGAAAAGUAUUUUUGUGGCUCUUGUUUGCGAUGGGGGAAUAUUUGGGAAUUUAUAGGCCGAAGAAUAGGGUUAGGACACCUGCAUGAGACCCACAAGCCAGGGGGCGCCCCCCCCCUAGGGCGCGCCCUACAGGCUUGUGGCCUCCCGACAGGUGCCCUGCCCCCUACUCCAAGUCUUCUGUGUUUCUUCUGGUCCAAGAAAAAUCAUUCCGGAGAUUUUGUUCCGUUUGAACCCUGUUUAAUAUUCCUUAUUUGCAAUACUCAAAAGCGUGGAAAAAACAGAAACUGGCAGUAGGCUCUAGAUUAAUAGGUUAGUCCCAAAAAUAAUAUAAAACAGCAUAUUAAUGCAUAUAAAACAUCCAAAACAGAUAAUAUAAUAGCAUGGAACAAUCAAAAAUUAUAGAUACGUUGGAGACGUAUCAGCGUGCGGGCCUUCUCUUGCCGUGCAGGCUGGGGGACCUCGCGGACCGACCCGCCAUCAUCUCUAGACGGAUGUUCGCUCCGGCGCUGGGAGCGCCGUCCGCGACUUCCCUCGGCCUUUCGGUCGGAGCCAUGAGGGGACGAAGAGUGCUGAGCCUGCUAACGGCCGUCGGGCACUUGGUAACCCUCGUAGUCGAAACCAGGGGAUUCAGAGAAAGCGUGGUCCGGGUCGAGGCGACUCUGUUGUUCGUUGGCGGCUGCGAGAAGGUCAUUAACGUGCUUUUCCUACCGUUCUCGCUCCUCGCCCUCCAAGGCGAACAUCUCCUCAACAGCCACCUGGGCGGCCCACAUGUUGGCCGCACGGGUGUCGUAGACACGCAGCUUGCCGCCUAGGAUGUCGGCAACAACCUGAUCGCGACCACAAACAUCUCCACGUCGGUUGGGUCCGCCGAGGGCCGGAGUGAAGUCGUAAGCGGAGUUGUACUCGCGCUGCGCGGCCUCCAUCCGGCGCUUGGCGGCUGCGAGGGCGGAGCCCUCUACAAACAGUUGUUUGCGAGCCUCCUCCAGCUCAGCCCUAGUCGAUGCCGGAUUGGCAGCCGACACGAUGGGCGUGCUCAGCCAUGCGAGGGUGGCGUGAAGUGGGUCGAAAGGACCCGCACGGAGCGAGGCCGCCUCCAUCGUGGCCUUGGCACGACCUGAGCUAGUGCUGGAGCCAGUGACCAUCACCUCCAUGAGGUCGAAGGAGACGGCGGCGGCGCACGGGGCAAAAGAUCCCGCGAACGCUGGUGGGUCGCUGUAGUCGAGUACGUCGCUAGGGUACUCGUCGGACGCAGGCGUAUCCUCGAGACUGAGCUUGCUGAAGAACGCGCAGAGGGCGUCGACGUCCCAGCCAGGGUGGCGAGGUUCAUCAUCAAGGCGCAUGUUGUCGAAGAAGACGCAAAGGUGAUCGACGUUAGGAACGAUGUCGUCGCAGCGCGUCUCGCCGAUAGGCUCGGCGGCGAAACCUACGGGGCAGGUGGAGCUGACGAUCAAUAUCGCGGAAGCCUCCGCGAGGGCAGGCUCCACGGGCGUGUUGACCAGUCCGGACGCGAGGCGUCCGGUGGGGUUGGCGAGGGGUCUCACCCGGAGCGUAACUCCGACUGGCGCCACGGACGGCCCCAAGGUGGGCGCCGAGUGUCAUCGUUUACUCACGACAGAUGCCAUGGUAGGCUUAUCGAGAGUGGUUGGGACCGAAAGAACACCAGCGGGCUCCGGGAACGGGAUUGGUAACUAGCGAUGCAAGACGCACUAUGUACCCAGCUCGGGGCCCUCCGCCGGAGUGGUUGAUGAACCAAUGGAACUACAAUGUGCUUCUUGAGUUGUUCGACGGAGGAGGAAGAUGGAGUAGCCGGCUCGCAGUCUACCUAUCAUGUGUGAGUGUGUGUGUGCGCGCAUAAGAAUGACCGACCCUCUGCAUGGAGGAGGGCCAGGGGGUUUUAUAGACGAACCCCCCGGCCUACAAUAUGGGUGUAAGGUACUACAAGGGGGGCCCAACUGGCAGCCUCUCCGGCUAGUCAGAGGGCCCGCCACUGAUUAGUCUUGUCGCUCGCGGGGCUCGUCGGCCACGAGGUGCCAUCAGGCUCUGGGACCCGUCGGCUGGCCUAUGGGAUUGGUGCGUGCUCCUCACGCGGGGCACGAGGGGUACGGUGGUCUUCGUCUUGCGGGAUCCGACGCCGGCCAGCGGUACGGCCGCCUCCACUGUAGCCAUGCCGGACCAAGUAAUGAAGCAGGUGGUGGCUUGCGGGCACUGUACACGGUUGACGGGUCACAGCCGGCGUCGGUCAGCGGUACAACCGCCACCACUGUAGCCACGCGUAUUCCACUCCAUCGUACUCGAGCUGAUGUACUUUCGCCUUUAAUCGAAGGCCUCCGUCACAUCAUAGGGGUUGAUGCAACGGGUGCUCCCGAGUCGGCUGGCGGCUAGCCAUCCGGUCAAAGAGUAGACGGCAACGCUCCUAGCAGGCGCGGGCCACGCAGCCAGCCAGGAGGAGCCGGCGUGUGAGGAGGCUUUCGCCCCACUCUAUGUCGAAACAUGAAGGAAUAGGCUUGGUGAGCCUACCCGACUUAUCCCCCCAUUAGUAUGCGCGCACGUGUGUGUGUGCUGCUGCAUUUGUGUGUGCUGUUUGUCAUGUGUGUUGUUACAUGUGUGUCUGCUGCGUUUGUAUGCGUGUGUUGCUGCUGUUGUGCGUGUUGUUACGUGUGUGUGAUGCAUGUGUGUUGUGUGCGUAUAUGCACGCGUGCAUGUAUGGUGUUACGUGUGUGUCAGUUGUGUGUGUAUAUUGAUGUGUUGCUGCGUGUGUGCUAUUGUCGCUGCAUGUGUAUGCUAUUGCCCCGCACUCACGUUAUAUCAAUUAUUAUCCCGCACAUACACAUACUACAUGAGGAGCAAAAUGGUCUUUUCAGGUGUUAUUUAUGUUUAAAAUGGACAAAAGUGUUAUAAAGGGCAUAAAAUUUAAACUCGUUCUUAAAUAGCGGAGAACUUUUUUUCCAGCGUUAAAUAAGGAAACGAAAUUUAAGAUAAAUAAGGAAUUGUUUUCGUGGUAAUAUACCAUUCCUUGCUUGGUCAGUCAUCUUCAAACUCCAGAUCCGCGUUUGGCCAGCGAGUCGCACAAGGGGGGCCUGAUCCGAUGGGGGCUGUGGUGACCGCUGUGAUCGCGAUCGCGGCGGUGGUGCUGGGCUGGAUCACCAUCGAGAUGGCCUGCAAGCCCUGCCUCGAGACCGGCCGCCGCGCCAUGGACCGUGCCCUCGACCCCAACUACGAUCCUGACGACUCCCCCGCAGCCAACUCCAACGCGCCACCCACUAGCGAGCCGCUACUCGCCGUCGCCGACCUCUCCGCCUCCGCCGCCGCGCCAGCCAAGGCCAUCUGAUGUGUUUCUUAGCUCCCAACGUCGUCAGUGCACCAGUGCUAGGCUUCCCUUUCAUCCUUACUUCAGCCAUGUUUAUCUAUCUAUGACUAUGAGUUUGCAUGUUUGGUUCUUUUGGCUUUGGUUAUUAUUAUGUGACAAGAGCUUGCUUUAUGUUAUACUCCCUCCGUUUCUAAAUAUAAGUCUUUUAGAAGUUUCAUUAAUGAACUAUAUACGAAUGUACAUAAACAUACUUUAGAACGUAGAUUCACUUAUUUUGCUUCGUAUAUAGACUUUUAGUGAAAUCUCUUAAAAGACAUACAUAUAGAAACGGAGGGAGUAACAUGUUACGAAAUGAGAUAUGGUGGUGAUCUGUAUAUAGAAUGGCCUGUAUUUAUUUGCGAUCCUGAAUUCCUGAUUGAGAGUUCAACUUCCUAUGCGAAACAGAUUGAUACCCUGAUCUACAUUUCUGAAUUGGCAUUUCAGUAUGUUGCGGUGUGCAUUGAAUGUACUCCCUCCGCAAACUAAUAUAAGAGUGUUUAAAUCACUACUUUAGUGAUCUAAACGUUCUUAUAUUAGUUUAUGGAGUGAUCUAAACGCUCUUAUAUUAAUUUACGGAAAGGGUACUACUGUACAUACAUGUCAAGAGUAAAAUCGGUGGACAAGAUAUAUGAUUACACUGGAGACGUUUGGAGAUUGGCACCGUGGGUGAGGUCAAUCCUCCAACGGUGUUGCCUCGUUUUCUGUCACAUCAUCAUCCACCAUCUUGUCAUUUUCUUCGGCUGGAGUUUCAGGAUCAGUCUCCAUCUCUUCUUGUUCUACAUCAUUUGAUUUGUCAUCCACGUUGCCGUACACCUGAGAGCUUACCACAUGCCCAUGCAAGUCCUUGUGUUUCAGAUUACCUAUCACAGAAUGGAGAAAAGUAGUUGGCAUUGCUGAAAAUCGUAGAUCCAAAUGAGAUAUGGCUGAUACUAGUAUUGUACUAGUAACUACUUCCUGCGUAAACUAAUAUAAGAGUGUAUCUAGUCUCCUAAUGAGUGACAUAAUUUAGAGUGUAUAUUCACUCAUUUUGCUCUGUAUCUAGUCUCCUAAUGAAAUCUCUAAAAAAAAACUUAUAUUUAGGAACGGAGGGAGUAGCUAACUGCGGUCUGUGUAUAGCUAUAGGCAUAGUUGUGAAGAAAUUGCAAAUCAGAUAGCAGUGUUUACCAAUCAUAGCAUAGUUGUGAAGAAAUUGCAAAUCAGAUAGCAGUGUUUACCAAUCCAGCAACGCUCCACAUUAGAGCAGUGUUCCAGGAGGGCCUUCACUUGAAAGAGAAACCGCUCCAUGGAUCUCUUUGUGGCAGGUAUCUUGCUCGUGAUCAUUGUUCGCUUGUAACCCUAAGCAAGAUCAAAAUGCUGUUCUAAGCAUGGAACACAUAAUUUAUGGUAUGAACGUCAUGGAUAUAUUAUUGAUUGUGCCCGGUGACAAUUAAAAGGUUAUCAAUUGUACCUUUGCCUCUGCACAUAUAGUUUGGAUUGUUCUUGUUGCUUUCUGAACUUCUUUUAUCUGCAUAUAAGUUUUACUCGUCAGUACUGACAGUAAACAGCCACUCUAAUUUGGCAGGACACAAGGCAGCUACUGAGUGGUGCUAAAAGAAGUAAAUAACAAAUAGUAAUAUUUACAGUUAUUUACCAUGUGAACUAUAUUGUCACCAUGUUGCCCAAACUGCGUCUCUAGAAAGUUGAAAGCUGCAGCAAAAAUAAAAAGGAGUGCUAAACUAACCAUGUUCUCACUCUUAAGGCAACAAUAAGAAUAUACCUAGUGAAAGUAUAUGAAAGCUUAUCAGUUCACAAGUUCUCGCCUUUAAGAAAUGCAUCAAUGAAUCGUCCCCCAUAUUUAACUGCCAUUGCAUGCAUAGCAACCUAUAUUUUGUGAUUCGAUGUGAGAUGCAACAUUUUCAACCAGCAGUCUCAUACAUCACAGUACACCAUUUCCACCUCAACACGGGUGACUUCAUUGUAACUUACCUUCUCGUGAAUCUUACAUGUAUUUGUCAGAGAAACAAACACAUUUACUGAUUUAAGAAUUUCAUCCACAACGUUUUCCACUGCUACUCCUGAUUGUGAUCUAGUCUUCAAGGCUUGCUUGAUCUGGAGAACAGGGAAGAAAUUGCUCAAACAUUAAGGGAUACUUUUUAAUAUGUUUAGGGACAACAAAUACAACAUAGUGCUGACAGUAGAUUAAAUAUUAGCAACUAAGUGUAGAAUGCGUAGUUAAACAACUUACCAUCUUGUUCAAAUUCCCAAUGUUCUCCUCAUGCUGCAUUUGUAACCCAAAAAAUACAAGAGAAGACAAAUAAACAUCGCAUAUUUGAAAAAUGCUCUGGACAUCAGAUACUUACCAGCACACGGUACCAUGAGUGGAAAGUGGAAGAACACAAUGUUGGAAAACCAUGCGUCAGUUCUUGCGCGGUACUUCUACUUUUGAGCGGAGUUACCUUCAGUGAUGGAAUAAAAUUCUAAAAAUGAACAACAAUCCAAUUGGUAUGGACUCUGAUUGCAUGACCCAACAAGUCGAGAUGGACCACCUGAGGCAACACCGAGCGAGCCAGCUCAUCAAGCAGAACUGAAGUCGACUCACUAUUCCUGAGGUAUAUUUGUAAUAUCCUUGGUAUAAGAUCACCCUGACAAGCAACAAACAAGGAACUUGUUAGCCUCUUAGGAAUUAGUCAUUGAUGCUUAUAGGCGUUGCGCAUUUAUAUGUUAAAAAGUUUUUUAGCUUACUUUACUCUGCCAUCCAUUUUCAGUAUCUUCAUUAGGGAAAUCAGAAGUUAGCAGCUUAUGAGCUGAUAACCCAAGAUGCUUCUUUACAAAGGGAAUAACCUCUUUGGAGCAUCCUACGUGCAUAUUCUUCCCAUUUGAUUCCCCAGAUUUUUCCAACAGCACAAUAAUGGAAUUUAAAAUAGAUUGCAUGGUAAUUAGCACGUCAGAGGCCAAAAUGUGUGAGAAUAAACACACUGCAGUAAGACAUGGUAUUGAGAUUAGGAAAAAGGUCACAUAAUCUUCUAUCACUUUUGGCAGUUGGCACAGAUUGCAACCGCUGAUUACCUGCAUCCAUAAUAGCCUCAAACAUUUUUAAUGCCCCACAGUACAGAUAAUCAACAUUACUAGGAACCAGAGGUGGACGAAACUCAGAAAGAUCAUCAUCGAAAUUUUCAGUUGGCUGGAAAGUCUGUAGUAGCUCCUUCAGAGCUGACAUAUUUGCUUGAUUCAAUAGAUCUGGAGUGCCAAGUAACUGCAAAAGCUGUCAUAUUAUGUUAAUGCUACAAUUUGUGUCAUCUUUAAUACUCCCUCCGUCCCAAAAUAAGUGUCUUAAGCUUAAUACAAGUUUCUACUAGAGCUAGUACAAAGUUGAGUUAUUUUGGGACAGAGGGAGUAUCAGAAGUAAGAAAAAGAUAUCCAUGCUACAACCUUCCUGUAGCAGCUAAGAACCUCCUUAAAUAGGGAAGUGGCUAUUGAAGACUUGGAGACUAUCACAUAUGGAAUGUGCGGGUUUCCUGCUGAAUCCGAAUGUGAACUCCAAUUGUCUGGGCUUCUAUCUGAUCCUACAUAACAAUAGUAGUGCCCCAUUGUGUUAUUGAUCAAAGCAAAGGAAAGGAGGGGUACAACAGUACAAUGCAUUGUGGUAUUAUAAAAAAAUCCUACCAUUCAAGAUAGAAGGAAAUAGAAGCAGAAAAGGAUAAUCGAAGCUUACUGUCUUUCAUCAUUGAAACUGAUCCAUCUAGAUGCUUCCGUAGACUCGAGAAUAGUGGCUGGAUUUUGCUAAGAAGAUCUUCUGCGCUCUUUUGGCAAUGAGCGCGAGUGGAUUUUGCUUGAGAAUUAUUAAAGAAUGGCUUGCUUGAUGGGUUUACAUGAUCUAGUUUGUUGUUUAGAUCACGCAGAAGAUAGAGAUAUAAAGGCAGCUGAAUAACGAAAACAGAAAGACCUCAAUAAUGACACCAUACUUUGGUAGCUAUAUAUUAUGUGGUUGAAAUCAGGUACCUCAGAUUCAUGAUAUGGAUAAGUUGAAUCUUGAAACUGUAAAAUAAAUAAAUGAGAACUUGAUAAUAAAACUUUGAAAGAAUCAAAGAAUUAAGUCAAACUGGACGAAUGCAUACCUCUGAAUACUUUAAUAAGGAUAAACAAGUCACAUGGAGUGUUCUGAAUUUAAAUCUUUGCAUAUCCAGCUGAACUGGUGCUGCCAUCAAAUCUAUAUGCCCAAGCUCACCAAGAUUAUUAGCAUCGCUUUCAACAUCCUUCGACGUCAUUCCACUUGGCAAUGGUCGUGAAGAAGCUUUCUUUGUUUCUUGGGUGAUCGUUACACCUGCUCUUUUGAAAGCAUCCACUAUCGUAGAUUGCUUGAGCUUCUCAUCAGAAUUCAAUUUAUCUGAAGCUGCUUUGUCCUUGCAGCCCUUUUGUCUUUUGUUGGAAGAUGGGCCCUCCAUGUUGUCUUCCUCCAUUUUCUUCCCAAUGUUGAACUUGCCGGUGCUAGUUGACCCAGAAUAAUUCCCAAGAUAUCGCAGCUCAGGUAGAGAUAGAGGAUAAAUUUUAAGAAGGGUGUUUAACAAAAUCUCGAGUAAUCUGCAAUUUUUUAAAACAAAAGAAGUCAGGUGCAUUUGGCAAUCAUGUCAUAAUAUUAUGAAGGGUGCAUUAGACAUGAAAAUCCUAGACAUAUCUUAACUCAUACAUAUGUUCCUUUUUCGUUAUUAAGCUCUCUAACAUCUAAUGCAAGCAGCUCAUGACAAGAUUCAGAGAUAGUAAACUGUAAUAAAAUGUUUCAGUUCACACUUACCAUAUUUUUUACCUAGCAAAGAUGAAAAAACACACCUGACAUGCUUGAAUCAGAAUUUUUAUUGAAAGAGUACAAAAAUUCACCAUCCAAUCCCCCAUUAAUAGUACUUGGUGAAAGGUUGGUUAUUUGAUAAAUGAUGAUGAAUACAGUACAAGUAGCAUGCAGUAUCUAUCCAAGUGUAAUAUGGUACUCUCAUCACUGUUCAAGCAAUACACUCACAUUAGAUUUCUCAGACGCUUCAAAAGUUUAACUGCAGUCUCAUCCCUUACUCUAUGUGACACAUUAUCAACUCUGACCGCAACUUGUGUGCUGAAAGCAUUAAGCUGCCAAUGAUGCCACCAGUUUCAGAUAUCAUAUAAUUUCAAGCGUUCAGUCAGUAAAACGAGAAGAUUCAAAACAUACCAAUUCCCUAAUCCAGUUUAUCGCAAAGUACAGUGAGUGACACACUGUUUUUUUCUCCAGUUCUGACAAGAGUCCCCAUCUAGAUUCAUCCAGGUUCUGUCGGUUCUCAAAUCCAAACCAAGAUUAAUUACUUUUCAGUCACCAAAGGACAUCUCUCUGAUAGUAUAAAAAAUAAUUUUGGAAGUUAUCUAUAUUACAGAAGUAGAGACACAUUUGCACUAAUGAUAUAAGAGUAAUAUAUUUGCAAUUGUUAUGCUUUUCAAAACAACUUUAAACCCUUGAUAUCUGCAGAUUGAUAUUUUUUAUAUGAAUGGUGGAAAUUGAUUAUAUGAACCCGGAAUUUGUGAUUUACCAUUUAUUAUGAGAAACUAUUAUAGUAUUGUUGAUUACAUGUAGGCCAGUUCAAGAGAAACUUGCAAUUUAUCUCUGGCAUCAUUCUGUGUGUGUUCUGGUUGGGCAAAGGCAGGUUGCAGAAUAAUAUUUAAUGAGAUAUAUAAUGCAACAAAACUAAGACUUGAAAGAAUGGUGUUCCUGCAUAAUUAACAAGUUACGGGUAUUGCUUCAAGUUUCUAGAGAGCAGACUGAGUGGUAUAACCUUGGUAGAAGGAAGAUGCAAAGGACAGCCAAGGAGUGCAUUUAUUCCACCAAGUGAGCCUUCAUUUCCUGAACGUUCAAUCUUCGAUAUAAACAAGAAAAUUAGUUUGACCAUUAAGACAUGCUGGAUUACAAGGCUAUGGCACUUACGGUAGUUAGAAGUGAAAAUUGGGAAGGAAGUAUCUGCAAGCAGGCUUGAGACCUGGUAUGAGCAUACGUAACAGUAUUAAAGUAGACCAAUAUAGGUCAUAUUCAGACUAGUUAGUAACCAACGAAAUAAUGACCAUUAAGGACUUAACAGCUAGAAUUGUACCUUUGUUGCGAGGUGGACACUAGUGGCAAAAUGUUUACGCAUACUGGGGAGAUAUUUCCAUCCAAGUUCAUCCAUAAUUCCCCUGAAACCAAUGUGUUGCCAAUUACACUUGUACUUUCAUCAUAUGUCAAGUAGAAAUGUACAAAUCCAUGGCUAGGCAGUAACUGUCAAAGCAUUUUGCUAACCUUCAAUGCUCUCACAGAGAUAUUUUUCUGAUAGCUGGCCAUCCUCAAGAUCAGCAAGAAAAAGGGUAUCAAAUUCUGCAACAUGUUCUACAACCCUGAAAAGGCUAGUUAGUGACAUGAGCUAUCUUACAUGAAGAAACAUGGAUCAUCUCCUUUUUUCCACAUGCAGUAGCAACCAUUUUAUGCUUACCACUCAAUAAUUGCAGAAUGAAGAACACUGCUCUCAAAUAAAGCAGAUAAUUCAUCGUAGAGAAGAAUUAAGGGCAACGUCACAAAUUUGCAGGAGUUAACAGUCAUAUUUAGCAGUCCCAGGGCCUCCUCGCAAUUUGGUUGCUGCCAGAUAAAAUAAAUUUACAACUAACAAAGCAACACCAGUAUUUCAUGAACACAGAAAAGGUAGCUGCCGUGAUCUCAGAUAUUUUAGAUGCAAGAAGCACAGCUUGAGACAAAAAGGGAAUCCAGCACCAGGUUAGGUAUACAAUUUAGGUGUGUGUUCUUAAUGCUGAGGCUUGCUUCACUUGUAUAAAACCACGGUACUACUUUGUCCACUGCUCAUGUUAUUUUUUAAGCAUCCAACUAACAGAGUGUUUCUUUAAUUAUUAGUAGGAAAUUCUUAAUUGUCUGAAAUGCUAUGAUUCAUAGCGUAUAAGUAUCACUUUCGAAUGAACCAGCACAGGACAUUACAAGUUUUUGGCUAAUUUUAAAGAUAAAUAGGCGAUGUUACAGAUGCUCCUGUAAAUGCUAGCAUUCAUAUACAGAUGUAAUGCAUUUUUAUAUACCCAAGAGGUCAGAAAAUGAUAGAAUCAUUCGGCAUGGUUGUUUUAACACGAAAGCAACAUUUAUCUUGAAUUUCAUCAUGAUCAAGCAAACCUGAGAUGAUGAGCAGUUCACAGCAGCAUUUGCAUCUGCAAUAGUUGAAACUAUCCUUAAAGCCCCAAUUAUUCCCAUUCUCUUAUACUUCAUAUCUGGAUUGCUAACCUACAAAGUGCAAGCAGACACGGAAAAAAUAAUUGAAAACCAUAAACCCUAAAAAGCCUUCUUGGAUGAAAGAUAAAUGGAAGUGAUACCCUAGUCAUAAAUGCAAUCAUACCUGCUUUCUCACUACCAUAAGAAGUUCAUUAGCAACAGAAGAGCCACCUGAACUAGUAUUGAAGCCAGCAGCCAGUGCCAAUUGACAGAAUAUCUCGUAAACCUACUUUUUUCAUAACUGAUGUUUAUGAUGGGAAAAAAUAGGAGAAACAAAUUAAAAAAUAUUUCACAAACCUUUCGAAGAUUAUCUUCAUGAAAACUCUCCAGAUAAUCUAAAAUACCUAUGUAGUAAAAGUCAAUGUAAUUCAAAUUAUUCCUCGGUAGCAAGCACUAAAUACAUAAGACUUGACAAAUAACAAUACCAGUUAUAUGUGAAGCUAUAGGGAUGAGUUCCUCAGAGUUGUUGGAUGUCAAAGAAAUCAUAAUAUCCAAAGCAGAAGAAACUUCAUAGCUGACCCCAGAACCUAUAUGAGUUAUCAAUGAGCCUACGAGCUGCACAAAAUGGUAGGGCAUUACCACACAAAGAACAGAUAAAAUAUACAAAGGACAGAAAACUGGGUAUGAAACAUAAGAGAAACUGGUAUAUGCGCCAAGAAAGUUUAAUUGGAUGGAUCUCCCAACAGAAGGAUGAUAGUCUGCCUAAGCCUUAUAGUUUUCAGAUAAACAUAGAAAAUUCCAGCUACAAGCCAAUAGCUGCCCCAUCAUCACCUCAAAUGGUACUACUGCAGCUAAUCUGAUGAGUGACACCACACAACCUUAUCACUCAGAUGUUUCGUUGGCACAACAGUGAUGCUAUGGCAACUACGACGACAAUUGCACAGAUUACUUCAUGAAUUAGUUAAGUAGUAGUUCUCAAAUGCAAGCCAGCUGAUUGAAAACAGCAAAACUAUACAAAAUAGGUAGCAGUAUCAGAAUCAGAAUUUCUAAACAGCCCUUCCAAGAUUUAUAUUCAUUAGCUGGACUUAUGCAUAGGAAUUCAAUAGAGCAGUUGAUCAAGUUUUAUUUCACCCAAAAAAUGUAAAUAUAUGUGAUAUGCAGCAAAAUUCGGAAAACAGCCUACCUGAAAUCCUGAAUUAUAGGGAAAUGGUUUUUUUUUCAAAAAUCAACAGUGCAUAUUAACUCAAUUUGCCUACGUUAGUAAGUUCUUGAUUUUCACUACAUUGACGACAGCAAACACAAGUGUUGGCAACAAAGAGGUACCUCUUGCCUGGAGAAAGUAUCACUGAAUUCUUCAAACAAAGCCGUGAACAAAUAGGUAGCAAAUCCUCUAGCCUUGUCUUCCUUGCAAGCCAAGAGGUAAUCACUCACUGAGAGAUAUGACAUAAAAUGGUCCUAGUGCAAGUUUUUAUGUCUCAGUCAGCAUGGUAAGGCAAACAUACAUGGUCACUUCACAGUCAUUACGAGAUACCGAAGAACUGACCUUUACUAAUUCAGUAUUUCCAUGAAUGCAUUGGUGAAACAAUGUCUCCCGGAUAUAUCCUUGUAAGAUCUUGGACUUCAGUAUUUUCUUAGCACUUUUCUGCAGGGCACCCCCAUUGGCAUAUAUGAGCAUGAUGAGCCAAACAUCAAUCACUUUGUGAUCCCUUGCAUGGUCAACUAAUUUCAACUCCUUUAAGAAGGCCUCACAAAGCAUCUGCAUCAAUAACAAAGCAAAUUCCAGUUGAAACCCCAACUUGUAGUGCUGCAUUUGAAGAUACGGUGUAGAUUAAGAUAACCUACAUUCUUAAACCGGAGGCCUGAUCUCAAGGCAUCAAGGACUGCCCCAUCAGUGCUAGUUGCUGAUGCCUUCCCUUUCAGCUUCUUGCUCCGAGCAGCACGUGGAUCCACCACACCAACAAACUUCAGUUGCUCGCGGAUUUGCGAUAUAAUCCUGCCAACAUUGACUGGUGUGGCAGACAGCAACAAGAACCUGAGUAAGUGUGGCAUCUGAUCUGCAUGAAUCGUCCGGAUGCAUGAUAUUGCAACGGUAACCGCCUUAAAAUAUUCCCGUAGAACAAGACAACUGUUAAGCCACAAUGUUCAUCAUCAUACACAAAACAAGAAGAAAGAAAAUCGUUGCAACAAUACCUGCUCCUGCAGCUGCGCAUCGAGGUUAAGGUUUGACAAAGUGUCGAGCACAGCAACCACAACUUGGGAGUCCUCCUGCAGCAACUUCUCCAGAGCGGAGACCACAGCAGCGUGGCUCUGGUCGCCGACAAUCUCCGGGAUCGACCCGAUGAUCUCCUUCUUGAGCCGGGGUGGCGCUACCGAGAGCACCUCUACAAGCUUGGUGACAAAGGUGUCGGCGUCGACAAGGAAAUCAAGCCAGCGGAACUGAGCAACGAUAAGCCUCCCCACGUCGUCCUGCAGAGACACCCCAUCGAGCGCGUCGUCGUCGAAGUGCUCGGGCAGCUUAUCGAGGAGGAGCCCCAGGAGACCGGGCUGGAGCGCGGGGACGGAGAGGAGCACCUGCGCCAGGCUCUGCGAGCGCGGGGAGGUGGGCAGGAGUAGCUGGCGCAGCCGCGCGGGGUACUCGGCGAAGGCGGCGAGCCCCACGAGUAGGCACUGUCUCUUAUACACAUCUCUGAGCGGGCUGGCAAGGCAGANNNNNNNNNNNNNNNNNNNNNNNNNNNNNNNNNNNNNNNNNNNNNNNNNNNNNNNNNNNNNNNNNNNNNNNNNNNNNNNNNNNNNNNNNNNNNNNNNNNCUUCUUCGGGAUUUUGGGGGGAUUCGGGGGAAUGAAAGUUUCGCGCCACAGAUAGAAGCCUAGCAACAAGAACCUGAGUAAGGGACUGUUCGGGAACCCACCACCGUCGGAAAUCACGGGAUCCACCAAUUUCCUCGCUCCGCUUUUUUUAACUACAGUUCCUGCUCCUCCGGAGCAGAGUGACAUGGAGCGGAGGGGCGGGUGACGGGAUAUUAAGGUUUGGGUUAUCGAAGCAUCCGUGUCAGACUUCUCUUGCGUAAAUACAAUGAUAGAAGAUAUCAACGUUGUCCUGGUCGUGUAAGUAGGAGAAGCAGGCGGAGGGUUCAUCCUGUAAUCCAUGUCUGGCUCUUCUGUAAUCCAUGUAUGGCUCUCCUGUCACAUGUCCAAAGCUUGUAUUGCAUCAUGAACCACGCAAAGAUUUUGCAGCGAAGGGAUGUCCAGCUCUUCCAAAUGCAAUCUGCUGAUGCAGCUCUUUCCUUUCCCAUGCAAAGUCUGUUGUAAGUGUUGUAAGUGCCCUUUACGGUGUAGACUUCUCUCAUCCCAGCAGGACAAUGAAAUUGAUCUGGCACACCUACAUUCAUUGGAACAGUGGAGAUUGCAAGGCAUAAGUUAGUGAUCUGAAUGUGCAUCAUGAAGUUGAUAUCACCAACCGCAUCCUCGGUCCAAGCAUUAUUAGUCAGCGCUUGCUGAACAAUCCUUUGUGUUGCGCGUCCUGGUGGCUACCAUCUUUCAUAAGUCAGGUGCAAUCUCGCCAACCGUGAAAUCAUGCAGCCAUCUAUCCUUCCAGAAAAGGAUUUGUUCUUCAUUUCUGAGAGUGAUCUUGACCAUGCUAUUGAAGACCAGUUUGGCCUCCUUAUCCUCCGUCAUUGGAAUCCCCUGCCAAGGCCUGCUAGGGUCAGUUCUUUUAGCCAUUCCCAUCUAACGCAAAGUGCGAUUGCGUGCAAGCGCAGGUCCCUCGCACCCAGACCUCCGAGGCAAGUGGGGCGGCACACCUUGUCCCACGCCACGAGGCAAAAGCCCACCAUUGGCCUUUUCCUUACCAGCCCAGAAGAAGGUCUUCAUCCACUUAUCGAUUUCCUCAAAGACCCAGUUUGGCACAUUGAGCACAAGAAACUGGUGAAUAGGUCUAGCAGAGAUAACUGACUUAGCGAGUAUCAAACGUCCUGGUCUCUGGAUCAUUCUGCGUUGCCAUGCAGGAAUUAGCUUUCUAACCUGAUCCAGAAGUGGUUGCCAGUCUGCGCGGGAGAGCUUCUUGAUGGCCAUCGAGAUACCCAAGUAUUUGCAAGGGAACUUGUUCAGCCUGCAGUGCAGCACAUCCGUGACCCUUAGACCAUCCUCCUUUGAGCCCCAAAUAAGUAUGGCCGCAGAUUUGGUGUAGUUGAUGCGGAGCCCCGAAGUUUCACCAAAUAUGUCAAGCAACUCUUUCACACAGAUGAGGUCCAUAUUCGUAGGCCUUAUAAACAUAGCCACAUCGUCAGCAUAGACCGAGAGGCUUUGGAGAGGAGAGAUGCCUCGAAAAGAGUUGAGUAUGCCGACCUCCGAUGCCUUGCACAUGAUUGCCGAGAGCGCAUCCAUGGCUAUCACGAAAAGCAACGGUGAGACCAGAUCGCCUUGUCUGAGCCCUUGCGCAUGGGCAAUAAGUCUACCCGGGACACCGUUGACAAUUAUUUUGGUGCACGCAGCGGAAAGUAAAGUGGACACCCAAUGCAGCAAUUUUCUGGCAAAGCCUCUCCUCUUGAGAACCUUGAAUAGGAAUGGCCGGGAGAGGGAGUCAAAAGCCCUGGAGAUGUCAAGCUUGAGGAAGGUACCCGACACUUUCGAAGCGUGAAUCUUGCGGGCCACGUGAAAGCUUACUUUACCAAGAACAAGUAUUAAACCAUUUUACAGGAAUAAAACAAGAAGUAUUUAAUAGGUGUAAUAGAUAGUUUUGCAAUAAAAUAAAGAACAAGUAAAUAAAAGUUAGGGAUUGUUUAGAUAAAGAUUAAUUAAGUCAGCUAUUUAGUAUAAAGCUUUUUUGUAACACAAGAGCCGGAUUUAUCCCUAGGCAGUCGAUAACUAGAUCGAUAAUUAUUAUUGGAUUUUUAUAUGAGGGAGAGGCAUAUGUUAGCAUACUUUUUGUACUUAGAUCACAUGCACUUAUGAUUGGAACCCUAUCAAGCAUCUACAACUACUAAAGAUCAUUAAGGUAAAACCCAACCAUAGCAUUAACACAUCAAGUCAUCUUUACUCCCAUACGCAACAACCCCAUUACUCGGGUGUAAGCUUCUGUCACUCUAGUCACCCACUAUAAGAGAAUCAUGAACGUAUUGCAACACCCUUCAGCAAGACUCCCGCACGUGUGCACGACACGGGAGGCACCUUAGUACAACACCAAAAUAAAACAUACAACUCAAACCAAUCACGAUCAUCAAUCAACCCAUAUGACAAAACAAAUCUACUCAAACAUCAUAGGAUAGUCACACAUCAUUGGAUAAUAAUAUAUAGCAUUAAGCAUCAUAUUUAAGUAGAGAUUACAAUGGGUAAAAGAGUUUUACACCGAUGCAUAGAGGGGUAGAGAGUUUGUGGUGACAACGGUGAAGUUGUUGGUGUAGAUCACCGUCAUGAUGGUUGUUGUGAUAGCCUGGCUUAUUAGGGAUGAUAGCCUACUCAUAUCAAUAAGGGAUUCCUUAUUUUCCGGGAGCCCAUUCGAACAGAACUCCCAGGUUAAGCGUGCUUGGCUUGGAGUAGUUCUAGGAUAGGUGACCGACCGGGAAGUUGAUCCCGGGUGCGCAUGAGUGAGGACAAAGUGCGCAGAAAAUACUAGUAUUGAUAUGUGGGGCCAGUCUAGAUCCCGCCAGGAGUAACGACCGUCGGCGGGUGUGUCCGGGGUGUUACAAGUUUGGUAUCAGAGCCCACCCUCGCGGUUACACGGAUGUUUGCGGACAGGUGUGCGGUCAUGUUGUUCAUGACGUUUGUGACCCGUCGUGACACACGGCAUGGUACAUGUACUGGACUGGAUGCACAGACGUUUGUACCAAGAGGGAACGAUGUUGUGGCCCGACGAGGACGUCGGUUCCUCUGAGUGGUGGUGUAUGUGAUAGCCUGGCUUAUUAGGGAUGAUAGACUACUCAUAUCAAUAAGGAAUUCCUUCUUUUCCGGGAGCCCAUUCGAACAGAACUCCCAGGUUAAAGUGUGCUUGGCUUGGAGUAGUUCUAGGAUGGGUGACCAACAGGGAAGUUGAUCCCGGGUGCGCAUGAGUGAGGACAAAGUGCGCAGAAAAGACUAGUAUUGAUAUGUGGGGCCAGUCUAGAUCCCGCCAGGAGUAACGACCGCCGGCGGGUGUGUCCGGGGCGUUACAGUUGCCCAUGGAGCGCUCUGGCACCACCAGGAGAGAAGGGGAGAGAGCCCCCCUCCUUUUUCUUCCUUGGUCUCCCCCUAGAUGGGAGGAGAGUUUCCCCUCUAUUCCAUGGUCACCAUGGCUCGUGGAGGGCAAGAGCCCCUCUGAGAUUGGGUAUCUCUCUCUCUCUCUCUCUGAUUCUCUCAUGUUUUUACGACUAUUUUAUGACCCCUUCACCGUUUGUUAAAUAUCCACAGAUUCGUAACUCCGUUUGGGCUAAAAUUUUGAGGGGGUUUUAUUGAGAAAAUUAUCUUUCUUGCGAGAAAAGAAGGGCCCCAACCGACUUAAGGGGUGGCUCUAAGCCAUCAGGGCGCGACCACCCCCGUCGAUGUGCCUUGUUGGCGUGGGAGAACCUCGGGCAUCGUGUUACGUUGAUUCUUAUUCUCAAAAUUCAAAUAUAUUCCAAAAUAAAUCUCCGUAAUUUUUUAUCGCGUUCGGACUUCAUUUGAUAUGGAUUUUCUACAAAAAACACACACACACAAAACAGGAAUUGGCGUUGGGUGACGGGGGGAUAACCCCGGGGUAGGCUCACCAAGCCUACUCCACCACGUUUUGGCAUAGAGUGGGGCGAAAGCCUCCUCGCAUGUCGGCUCCUCCUCGCCGGUUGUGUGGCACGCGCUCGCUAGGAGCAUCGUCGUCUACUCUCUGGCCGGAUGGCUAGCCGCCAGCCGGCUGGGAAGCACCCGUCGCAUCAGCCCCUACGAUGUGACGAAGGCCUUCGAUUAAAGGCGAAAGUACAUCAGCUCGGGUACGAUGGAAGAGGUAUACGCGUGGCUACAACGGUGGCGGUCGUACCGCUGACCGGUGCCGGCUGCGAGCCGUCAACCGUGUAUAGUGUUGAUACGUCCCAAACGUAUAUAUAAUUUCUGCUUGUUCCAUGAUCUUCUGGGUGACAUUGUUAUAUGUUUGGCCACACUUUUAUAUCAUUUUACACAUAUUUGGACUAACCUACUAACUCAGUGCACCCAGUGCCAGUUCCUGUCUGUUGAUGUCUUUUUUGCAAGGGCUUUUACCCAAUUUUCUGAAGCCCGGAAAAUUCCAAGAAAAAUAUAUAAAAAAUCAGCGUAACGGAAGCUUACAGAUCAUCGAAGAUGGGCCAGAGGGGGCCAGGGGCCGCCCAGGCGACUUGUGGGCGCGGCCUACCCCCUGGCCGCGCCAAGAGGCCACCUGGGUGGGUCCCACCUCCUCUGGUUCCCUCCUUUGGCCUAUAUUUACUCCUCCGUGAGAAAACCCUUCCAUCACAUCCAGAAUCGCGAAUUUCUCCAUCGUUCCCCCGCCCCAGCGCUUCCGAGAUCGGGAGCAUCAGGAGACCUCUUCCUGGCACCCUGCCGGAGGGAGGAUUGACCUCCGGGAGCUUCUCCACCGCCAUGGAUGCUUCCCGGACGUGUCGUGAGUAGUCCUCCUUGGACCAUGGGUCCAUGACCAGUAGCUAUGUGAUGUCUUCUCUCUAAUCUUGUGCUUCAAUGGUUAGUCCUUGUGAGCUGCCCUACAUGAUCAAGGCAUCUAUGUAAUUCUCUUGCUAUUGCUAUGCUCGGUUUGUUGGGAUCCGAUGGAUUAUGAGAUUAUGUUCAGAUUGUUAUGAGUUAUAUAUUUGAUUAUCCUUUUAUAUUAUGUUCCUUAGUGAUUCAUGCAUGUUCUCCGUUGCUAUUUAUUGCUUUGGCUGAGUAGUAGAUUGUAACUCCAAGAGGGAGCGUUAUGCAUGAUUGUGGGUUCAUGCCCCUUGAUUUCUAUCUUGAGUGACAGAAACAUGAGACUAGAGGAUGUGUUGUUGCCACCAUGGAGAAAACAACCGUGCUUGUGACCACGGUUGCAAGGAUUGUUUACCUUACGCAUAGUUCGUUAUGCAGUUGUUCGUUGCUUUGAGUUUACACUUUGGGUGGGGCUCGCAACUUAAUACCGGCGAGAUGUUCUGGAUAGAUAUCUCAUGGUGGAUGAUUAGUAAGUAGAUGCUGAUGAAUAAAUGGUCUACUUGUCUUGGCGUACCGCCCAUUACUAUUGAACCUCUAACUAUCAAAUAGCAUAAUUAGCAUUGCGGUGCGUUCAUAAUUCUGUCAAUUGCCUAGCUGUAAUUUGUUUACCCAAGCAUAGUUGUUUAUCAUCUUUUGGGAGAGAGACAUACACAACAUGACAUACAUUAGAGAGCCUACGGCUGAAGCGUAAGGGACAAUACUCAUCUUCUCUCUAUCUGCUGCCGUGGUCGGUGACUGAGUCUUGCUCAAUCUCAUACCUUGCAAAACUGGCAAGAACCCCUUCUUUGAGUUUUCCAUAUUGAACUUCUUCAAUAUCUUGUCAAGGUAUGUACUUUGUGAAAGACCUAGGAGGCGUCUCGAUCUAUCUCUAUAGAUCUUGAUGCCUAAUAUGCAUGCAGCUUCUCCAAGGUCCUUCAUCGAAAAACUCUUGUUCAAAUAGGCCUUUAUGCUCUCCAACAUCUCUAUAUUAUUCCCCAUCAAUAAUAUGUCAUCCACAUAUAGUAUGAGGAAAGCUACAAAGCUCCCACUCACUUUCUUAUACAGACAGGCUUCUCCAUAAACCUGUAUGAACCCAAACGCUUUAAUCACCUCAUUAAAGCGAAUGUUCCAACUCCGAGAUGGUUGCACCAGCCCAUAGAUGGAGCGUUGGAGCUUGCACACUUUGUUAGCACCCUUAGGGUCGACAAAACCUUCUGGUUGCAUCAUAUACAACUCUUCCUUAAGAUUCCCGUUAAGGAACGCUGUUUUGACGUCCAUUUGCCAAAUUUCAUAAUCAUGAAAAGAGGCAAUUGUUAACAUGAUUCGGACUGACUUCAGCUUCGCUACGGGAGAGAAAAUCUCCUCGUAGUCAACUCCUUGAAUUUGUUGAAAACCCUUUGCGACAAGUCGAGCUUUAUAAACGGUCACAUUUACGUUUGCAUCAGUCUUCUUCUUGAAGAUCCAUUUAUUUUCUAUGGCUCGCCGAUCAUCGGGCAAGUCCACCAAAGUCCAUACUUUGUUCUCAUACAUGGAUCCUAUCUCGGAUUUCAUAGCCUCAAGUCAUUUGUUGGAAUCCGGGCCCGCCAUUGCUUCUUCAUAGUUCGAAGGUUCACCGUUGUCUAACAACAUGAUUUCCAUCACAGGGUUGCCGUACCACUCUGGUGCGGAGCGUACCCUUGUGGACCUUCGCGGUUCAGUAGCAACUUGAUUUGAAGCUUCAUAAUCAUCAUCAUUAACUUCCUCUUCAGUUGGUGUAGGCGCCACAAGAACAGUUUCCCGCGCUGCGCUACUUUCCGGUUCGAGAGGGGGUGUAAUUACUUCAUCAAGUUCUACUUUCCUCCCACUUACUUCUUUCGAGAGAAAGUCUUUCUCUAGAAAGGAUCCGUUCUUGGCAACAAAGGUUUUACCUUCGGAUCUAAGAUAGAAGGUAUGCCCAAUAGUUUCCUUAGGGUAUCCUAUGAAUACGCAUUUCUCCGCUUUGGGUUCGAGCUUCUCUGGUUGAAAUUUCUUCACAUAAGCAUCGCAGCCCCAAACUUUAAGAAACGACAGCUUAGGUUUCUUGCCAAACCAUAGUUCAUACGGUGUCGUCUCAACGGAUUUAGAUGGUGCCCUAUUCAAAGUGAAUGUUGCAGUUUCUAAUGCGUAUCCCCAAAAUGAUAGCGGUAAGUAGGUAAGAGACAUCAUAGAUCGUACCAUAUCUAAUAAAGUGCGAUUACGACGUUCAGACACUCCGUUUAGUUGUGGUGUGCCAGGCGGCGUCAGUUGUGAAACGAUUCCACACUUCCUUAGGUGUGUGCCAAACUCGUGACUCAAAUAUUCUCCUCCACGAUCAGAUCGUAGACACUUAAUUUUUCUGUCACGUUGAUUCUCAACCUCACUCUGAAAUUCCUUGAACUUUUCAAACGUCUCAGAUUUGUGCUUCAUCAAGUAGAUAUACCCAUACCUGCUCAAAUCAUCGGUGAGAGUGAGAACAUAACGGUAGCCACCGCGAGCUUCAACGUUCAUUGGACCACACACAUCAGUAUGUAUUAUUUCCAAUAAGUCGGUCGCUCUCUCCAUUGUUCCUGAUAAUGGAGUCUUAGUCAUCUUGCCCAUGAGGCACGGUUCGCAUGUGUCAAAUGAUUCAAAGUCAAGAGACUCUAAUAGUCCAUCAGUAUGGAGCUUCUUUAUGCGCUUAACACCGAUAUGACCAAGGCGGAAGUGCCACAAGUAUGUGGGACUAUCAUUAUCAACUUUACAUCUUUUGGUACUCGCACUAUGAAUAUGUGUAACAUCACGAUCGAGAUUCAUCAAGAAUAAACCAUUCACCAGCAGAGCAUGACCAUAAAACAUAUCACUCAUAUAAAUAGAACAACCAUUAUUCUCUGACUUAAAUGAGUAGCCGUCUCGCAUUAAGCAAUACCUUGAUACAAUAUUCAUGCUCAAAGCCGGUACUAAAUAAAAAUUAUUAAGGUUUAAAACUAAUCCCGACGGUAGAUGUAGACGUAGCGUGCCGACGGCGAUCACAUCGACCUUGGAGCCAUUCCCGACGCGCAUCGUCACCUCAUCAUUGGCCAGUCUCUGCUUAUUCCGCAGUUCCUGUUUUGAGUUGCAAAUGUGAGCAACAACACCGGUAUCAAAUACCCAGGAGCUACUACGAGCGCUGGUAAGGUACACAUCAAUAACAUGUAUAUCACAUAUACCUUUAAUGUUGACGGCCUUCUUUUCCGCUAAGUACUUGGGGCAGUUCGCUUCCAGUGACCUUUUCCCUUGUAAUAGAAGCAAUCCGUCUCAGGCUUGGGUUCAUUCUUUUUCUUCUUCCCGGUAUUUGGCUUACCGGGCACGGCAACGGCUUUGCCGUCUUUCUUGAAGUUCUUCUUACCCUUGCCCUUCUUGAAACUGGUGGUCUUGUUGACCAUCAACACUUGAUGCUCUUUCUUGAUUUCUACUUUUGCAGACUUGAGCAUCGAGUACAACUCGGGAAUGGUCUUAUCCAUCCCUUGCAUGUUGUAGUUCAGCACAAAACCUUUGUAGCUUGCUGGGAGAGACUGGAGGAUUCUGUCAAUUAUAGCAUCAUCCGGAAGUUCGACUCCAAGUGAAGUCAGACGAUCGUGUAACCCAAACAUUUUGAGUAUGUGCUCACUGACAGAACUAUUCUCCUCCAUCUUACAGCUAAAGAACUUGUCGGAGACUUCAUAUCUCUCGACACGGGCAUGAGCUUGAAAAACUACUUUCAGCUCUUGGAACAUCCCAUAUGCACCGUGUUGCUCAAAAUGCCUUUGGAACCCCGUUUCCAAACUGUAUAACAAGCCACACCUAACCAGAGAGUAGUCAUCACUCCGCGUUUGCCAGACAUUCAGAAUGUCCUGGGCUGCUGCGGGAGCAGGAGGGUCACCUAGCGGCGCAUCAAGGACAUAAGCCUUCUUAGCUGCUUCAAGGAUGAGCUUCAAGUUGCGGACCCAGUCGGCAUAGUUGCUACCAUCAUCUUUCAGCUUGUUUUUCUCUAGGAAUGCGUUGAAAUUGAGGUUGACGUUGGCCAUCUACAAUAUUUAUAAAGACAACUUUUAGACUAAGUUCAUGACAAUUAAGUUCAUUUAAUCAAAUUAAGUAUGAACUCCCACUUAAAUCGACAUCCCUCUAGUCAUCUAAGUGAUACAUGAUCCAUGUUGACUAACCCGUGUCCGAUCAUCACGUGAGACGGACUAGUCGUCAAGGUGAGCAACUUCAUGUUGAUCGUAUUCAACCAUACGACUCGUGUUCGACCUUUCGGUCUCUUGUAUUCGAGGUCAUGUCUGUACAUGCUAAGCUUGUUGAGUCAACCUAAGUGUUUCGCGUGUGUAAAUCUGGCUUACACCCGUUGUAUGCGAACGUUAGAAUCUAUCACACCCGAUCAUCACGUGGUGCUUCGAGACAACGAUCCUUCGCAACGGUGCACACUUAGGGGAAUACGUUCUCGAAAUUUUUAAGAGGGGUCAUAUUAUUAUGCUACCGUCAUUCUAAGAAAUAAGAUGAAAAACAUGAUAAACAUCACAUGCAAUCAUAUAGUGACAUGAUAUGGCCAUUAUCAUCUUUGCUCUUUCGAUCUCCAUCUUUAGGCAUCGCAUGAUCAUCAUUUUCACCAGCAUGACACCAUGAUCUCCAUCAUCGUGUCUCCGUGAAGUCGUCACGCCAACCACUACUAUCACUACUACUAAAGCUAACCGUUAGCAAUGAAGUAAAAGUAGUAAACACAUGGCGUUGCAUCUCAUACAAUAAAUUAAGACAACUCCUAUGGCUCCUGCCGGUUGUCAUACUCAUCGACAUGCAAGUCGUGAAUCCUAUUACAAUAACAUGAUCAUCUCAUACAUCACACAUGCAACAUCACAACUUUGGCCAUAUCACAUCACAUGUCAAACCCUGCAAAAACAAGUUAGACGUCCUCUAAUUGUUGUUGCAAGUUUUACGUGGCUGAUUUGGGUUUCUAGCAAGAACGCCUUUUUACCUAGGUGACAGCCACAACGAUGAUAUGCCAAAGCUAUUUACCCUUCAUAAGGACCCUUUUCAUCAAAUCCAAUCCGACUAGAGUGGGAGAGACAGACACCCACCAGCCACCUUUAUGCACGGUGUGCAUGUUUGUCGGUGGAACCAGUCUCACGUAAGCGUACGUGUAAGGUCGGUCCGGGCCGCUUCAUCCGACAAUACCGACGGAAAAGAAUAAGACUAGUAGCGGCAAGCAAUUGAAAAAUCAUCGCCCACAACCUUUUGUUUUCUACUCGUGCAUAGAAUCUACGCAUAGAAAACCUGGCUCGGAUGCCACUGUUGGGUAACGUAGCAUAAAUUCAAAUUUUUCCUACGCCAUAUUCAGAUCUUCCUAUGGAGAGACCAGCAACGAGAGAGGGGUGAGUGCAUAUUCAUACCUUUGAAGAUCGCUAAGCGGAAGCAUUGCUAGAACGCGGUUGAUGGAGCCGUACUCGCGGCGAUUCAGAUCGCGGUGUGAUUCCGAUCUAGUGCCGAACCACGGCACCUCCGCAUUCAACACACGUGCAGCCCGGUGACGUCUCCCGCACCUUGAUCCAGCAUGGAGGAGGAAGAGGUUGGGGAAGAUCUCCGGCAGCACGACGGCGUGGUGUCGAUGGAGAGAUACGAGGUCUCCCGGCAGGGUUUCGCCAAGCACCGUGGGAGAGGAGGAAGGAGGGGAGCAGGGCUGCGUCGAGGGAGAGGGAAAACUGUGUCCAAAACAGCCCCAGAACCCUCUCUAUAUAUAGGAGGAGGGGAGGGGGUGUGCCACCCCUAGGGUUCUCACCCUAGGUGGUGCGGCAGCCCCCCCAGAUGGGAGGUGCGACGGCCAAGGAAGGGAGAGGAGCUGGCGCACCCCUAGGUGGCCCUUACGCCCACGAGCGCCUAGGGUUUCCCCUCCCUCCCUCUUGGUUGAGCAUGGGCUGGGUGUGGGGGGCACACCAGCCCACCUAGGGGUGGUUCCCUCCCGCACUUGGCCCACAUAGCCCUCCGGGGCUUGUGGCCCCUCCCGGUGGGCCUCCGGAACCCUUCCGGUGGUCCCGGCACUUUGCCGGUGGUGCCCAAAACAUUUCUGGCGUCCAAACCCAUCCAUCCUAUAUAUCAAUCUUUACCUCCAGACCAUUCCGGAGCUCCUCGUGACGUCCGGGAUCUCAUCCAGGACUCCGAACAUCCUUCGGUAACCUCGUAUAACAAUUCCCUAUAACCCUAACGUCAUCGAACCUUAAGUGUGUAGACCCUACGGGUUCGGGAAGCAUGUAGACAUGACCGUGACACUCUCCGGCCAAUAACCAUCAGCGGGAUCUGGAUACCCAUGGUGGCUCCCACAUGUUCCACGAUGAUCUCAUCGGAUGAACCACGAUGUGAAGGAUUCAAUCAAUCUCGUAUACAAUUCCCUUUGUCUGUCGGUAUAAAACUUGGCCGAGAUUCGAUCGUCGGUAUACCUAUACCUUGUUCAAUCUCGUUACCGGUAAGUCUCUUUACUCACUCCGUAGCACGUAAUCCUAUGACCAACUCCUUAGUCACAUUGAGCUCAUGAUGAUGUUCUACCGAGUGGGCCCAGAGAUACCUCUCCGUCACACGGAGCGACAAAUCCCGAUCUCGAUUCGUACCAACCCAACAGACACUUUCAGAGGUACCCGUGGUGCACCUUUAUAGUCACCCAGUUACGUUGUGACGUUUGAUACACCAAAAGCACUCCUAAGGUAUCCGGGAGUUGCACAAUCUCACGGUCAAAGGAAAAGACACUUGACAUUAGAAAAGCUUUAGCAUACGAACAAUACGAUCUAGUGCUAUGCUUGGCAUUGGGUCUUGUCCAUCACAUCAUUCUCCCAGUGAUGUGAUCCCGUUAUCAAUGACAUCUAAUGCCCAUGAUCAGGAAACCAUGAUCAUCUAUUGAUCAACGAGCUAGCCAACUAGAGGUUUGCUAGGGACACAUUGUGAUCUAUUUAUUCACACAUGUAUUACUGUUUCCCGUUAAUACAAUUAUAGCAUGAACAAUAGACGAUUAUCAUGAACAAGGAAAUAUGAUAAUAACCAUUUUAUUAUUGCCUCUAGGGCAUAUUCCCAACAUAAGUGACAUGAGAUAUGUUGACUAGGCUUCCACCAAACCAAAUGAAAUUUGCUUUCCCCAUGUGCAAGAAAAUUUCAAGUCUAUGGACAUUGAAGAUUUUGUUCGAAAAGAGAUGACCCCAUGGAAUGAUGAGUUGAUCAUGCAAUUUUACUCAACUGUUCAUUUCUAUGGAGAUGGUUCUAUUGUGUGGAUGACUAAUGGUCACAAGUAUGAGUCUACGAUUGAUGAGUGGGCCACUAUCAUUGGUGCCCCUAAGCAGAAAGAGAGUGAUGUUGAUGUGUAUUCUAAAGCAAAGAUGAGCCACAACUCCAUGGCCAACAUGUACAAGCCAAUUCCUCACAAGAUGGGCUCAAUAUACUUCUUGCAAGCAGGGAUACCCACAACUAACACCAUUCCGAGACACACCUUGAUGCCUAAAUCAGGUGAUGAUAGGAUGAUUUGAGGGCACUCCAUCAAUCUGCUGCACCAUUUGGACUCUCACACUAGAUUCAGAGUGAUGGACUUGAUAGUAGAGACUAUCCGAAGGACUGUUGUUGAUCAGAAAAGAUCUCGUGGAUAUGCCUUGUACAUUCACAUGCUUAGCAAUGCCAAGCUAGGCAAGCAUGCAUAUCUCCUUGAUCGUCUCCAUCUAACCCUUCAACCAGAAUUUGAAGACAAUGUAGUGGUGAUGGAUCACAAUGAUCCCAGCUCAACUGCAUCUAGAAUGGCAGCAGAGGCAACAAAAGCUGAGGCUAUUAGAAAUGAUCCACCACCAGUUCCACAACUUAGAACUCAAGCUGAGCAAAUGGCAUUUCUAGUUAGCUUUGUCCAACGUAUGGAGAAGAACAUCCAAGAGAUGCUGCAAAAUCAGAAAAGCCUUCAGAGAGUCGUGGAAACAAAGUUUCAUGACAUGUAUGUGAAGGUAACGGAGUUGGCCACUAUAGUAAAAUAGCUUCAACAUGAAGUUGACUCCGUUGAGAUUCCACACUCAAAUGAUGAUGGUGAUGAUGAGUCACCUCCUCUCACUACCACUCGGUUCAGAACCAAGCCUAGAUCAGCUGAUGUACCUGCUCUAGAGACAAGACAAACUUCAUCAGCUCAAGCAUCUGCACCUUCAGCUCCAGCACGAGCUCCAGCUCAAGCACCUCCAGUAUCCACUCCUCUAGCUCCAGGAAACUCAACAGAUUCCUUCAUGGACGCUCUUCUGUUGACUCCGUCAUCAGCUACCCAAAGAGACGAGAAGCUCUAUACUUUUUGAACUUUUUGGUAACUUGUUUCCAAAGGGGGAGAAAUGUAUAGAUCAUAGGGCUCCGGGAGAGAGAGCUUUUUAAUUUAUUUGCUCUCAUUUGUUUUUACAAAACUUUGGUAUUUUGGAUGACUUUAUCCAGUUAUCUGUGUUUGAUUAUACUCUUUGCUUGGUUGAUGCUAUGUCAUUAUCCUUUUAACUAUCUAUGUGAUGAUCGUUCACUUAUCUUGUUGGUGUCAUGUGCAUUACUAUUCAUUCUUAUCUUGUAUGCGCACCACCAAGAUGUAUGUGACAUGGAAGAGUGACCCUUGAUCCUAAUCAAUUGUGCAUUUGCAUUCAAAUGCAAAUUUUAAAUAAUGCACAAAUUUUGGGGGAGCCCUUGCUUUUCACAUACUUCUCAAAGCGUCAAUGCUAAUCAUCGAUUAUAUCUUUUUUCGAAGCUAUGAUCUAUAUGUUGUCAUCAAUUACCAAAAAUGGGGAGAUUGAAAGCACAAUAACUCCCUAGGGUGGUUUUAAUAACUGAUCACAACAUAUGCAUCAUUGGACUAAUAUGUUUUUCCAAGUAUAUUUCAUAAAAGUUCAAAAGAUGCUUUGGCUAAAGGCUUAUGUGGAGAUGCCCCUUAAUGAUGGAAAGGAAUAAGAUUGGCUCAAGUUUUAAGCUAGACGACUCGUCAUUUUAUAUUUGUCAGAAAUCACUUUUAUGUCCAUAGGAAAGCCAAUACUAUCAAAAGGGGGUGAGGUAUUAAAAUGAACUGGUUGCUUGAUGACCCACAAGUAUAGGGGAUCAAUCGUAGUCCUUUCGAUAAGUAAGAGUGUCGAACCCAACGAGGAGGAGAAGCCUCUGAUAAACGGUUUUCAGCAAGGUAAUAGCUGCAAGCACUAAAAGUAGCGGUAACAAGUGAUGGUGUAGUGAGGUGAAACGUAGCAAGCGAAAAGUAACAAGUAACAAGUAGUAGCAACAGUGCAGCAAGUGGCCCAAUCCCUUUUGUAGCAAGGGACAAGCCUGAACAAAGUCUUAUAAGAGGAAAAAACGCUCCCGAGGACACACGGGGAUUUCUGUCAUGCUAGUUUCAUCAUGUUCAUAUGAUUCGCGUUCGUUACUUUGAUAGUUUGAUAUGUGGGUGGACCGGCGCUUGGGUACUGCCCUUACUUGGACAAGCAUCCCACUUAUGAUUAACCACUCUUGCAAGCAUCCGCAACUAUGAAAGAAGAAUUAAGACAACGUCUAACCAUAGCAUUAAACUAGUGGAUCCAAAUCAGCCCCUUACGAAGCAACGCAUAGACUGGGGUUUAAGCUUUUGUCACUCUAGCAACCCAUCAUCUACUUACUACUCCCCAAUGCCUUCCUCUAGGCCCAAAUAUGGUGAAUUGUUAUGUAGUCGACGUUCACAUAACACCACUAGAGGAAAAACAACAUACAUCAUAUCAAAAUACCGAACGAAUACCAAAUUCACAUGACUAUUAUUAGCAUGACUUAUCCCAUGUCCUCAGGAACAAAAGUAACUACUCACAAAGCAUAAUCAUAAUCAUGAUCAGAGGUGUAAUGAAUAGCAUCAAGGAUCUGAACAUAAACUCUUCCACCAAGUAAUCCAACUAGCAUCAACUACAAAAAGUAAUCAACACUACUAGCAACCUUACAAGUACCAAUCGGAGUCGCGAGACGGAGAUUGGUUACAAGAGAUGAACUAGGGUUUGGAGAGGAGAUGGUGCUGAUGAAGAUGUUGAUGGAGAUGCCUCCCCUCCGACGAGAGGAGUGUUGGUGAUGACGAAGGCGACGAUUUCCCCCUCCAGGAGGGAUGUUUCCCCGGCAGGAUCGUCCUGCCAGAGCUCUAGAUUGGAUAUGCUCAAGUUCCGCCUCGUGGCGGCGGAGAAUCCACGAAAAAGCUCUAUCCUGAUUUUUUCCGGAUGAAACCCUUCAUAUAGCAAAAGAGGGGGGCUAGUGGGCCACCAGGGUGCCCACAAGCCCUGUUGCCGCGGCCAGGGGGGUAGGCCGCGACAACCAGGCUUGUGGGCCCCUGGUUGCUCCCCUCUGAAACUUCUUUCACCCAGUAUUUUUUAUAUAUUCCCAAAAAAAUCCACGUUGAUUUUCAGGGCAUUUGGAGAUGUGCUGAAUAGAGGACUCAGACUUGCUCCUUUUCCAGUCCAGAUUUCCAGCUGCCGGUAAUCACCCUCUUCAAAUAAACCUUGCAAAUUAAGAGAGAAAAGGCAUAAGUAAGGUUCCACAAAGUAUAAUAACAGUCCAUAAAGCGAUAAAUAUCAACAUGAAAGCAUGAUGCAAAAUGGACGUAUCAACUCCCCCAAGCUUAGACCUCGCUUGUCCUCAAGCGAAAACCAAGACCCAAAACAUGUCCACAUGUUUAGGGAUGAAGGUGUCGAUAAAACAUAAUACGGACAUGAGGGCAUCAUGAUCGCACAUAGGACAUCAAUACAUCAUAGAGAUUCUUAUGGGAAAGUAACAAUUCCUUCACAAAACAAAGUAUGAAACAAAAACCUUACCGAGAAGUAGCCAACAACAGUGCAUAGUCAUUGAAGCAAUUGCAAUUUAUCAUAACAUCAGAAAGAGUCAAAUAAGAGCUUGUAAGGCAAAUCCUCAUACUCAAUCAUCUCUUUUGUUUUCCACAAUUGUUACAACUCACGUGGUACUCAUGAUAUCAAAGUUUCAGUUGGACACGGAGGAAGAUAGGGGCUUGUAAUUUUGCCUCCCAACCAUUUACCUCAAGGGUAAAGUCAACAAUAAUAAAGCAUAAGUACUCAGCUCCAAGUUGAUAUAUGAAUAUAGAUCUUUCCAAAGCAUAUGACGUUCACCAAGAAAAAGGCUAAAUAAGGAACUGGUGAAGAUCACCAUGACUCUCAUAUGGACAAAAGUAAAGGUACAAGAUAUGCCCUUCGCAGAGGGAAGCAGAGUUUGUCAUGCGCUUUUGAGGUUUGGAUGCGUGUCCUCUUAGUGCGGAGGAACGUCACUUUAUAUUGCCUCCUAUGAUAAAGAACUUUAUUAUGCAGUCUGUCGCUUUUAUGUCUUCCUCAUCACAGGUUCGUACAAAGCUUAUUUUCCACACACUAAUAGAUCAUACAUAUUAGAGAGCAAUUUUUAUUGCUUGGACCGAUGACAACUUACUUGAGGGAUCUUAUUCAAUCCAUAGGUAGGUAUGGUGGACACUCAGGGCAAAACUGGGUUGAAGGUUUAUGGAUGCAUAAGUAGUAUCUCUACUUGGUGCAGGAGUUUUGGCUAAUAUGAGGUGGAAGCAAUCGUCACAUGCUAAGGGAUCUCUAAUCAUAUAACAUUGUUUGGAACUAAGCAAAUACAAUUCAUUAUGUUGUCUUCCUUGUCCAACGUCUACGUCUAAGUAUGUAAUAGUUUGGUGAGUGCUCACAAUUAUAGAAAGUAUCUAAGAUGAUAUAUUUAUAUGUGAACCUCUUUUUCCUUAUUACUUCUUAUUAAUUGCAACAAUGACUGGGGUCUAUGUUGGUCUAUUCUCAACAAGUUUCAAUCAUCAUACUUGUUAUAUGUGAAGCUAUCACUUUCCAUAGGAUCAUCUCAUGAUCUUUCAUGCUAUCGUUCUUUUCAUACUUUUGAUCACGGCACAAAACAAAGCCAUUGACUAAGAUACUCUUUAUUAUAAAGCUCGCAAGCUCGAAUACAUCAGGGGAGACAUAAGGCAAAAGACUAAAACUAAACACUAAAGACUUAUUCCACUAAGAGAAGAAAUAAAACUGAAAAGGAAAGAACUAAAACAAAGGUAAAAUCAAAAGAUAUAAAGGUGAUACGAUACCAGGGCAACUCCCCCAAGCUUGGCAUAAGCCAAGGGAGUUGCCCAUACCAAUGCUUAGUUGUCUUCCUUUGGUGGUGAUGGUGGUGGUGUUGUUGAAGUAGUCUGAUCCUCCGUCUUCCAAGGCAUAGGUGCUCCAUCAUGGAAGGAUGAACGAGUCGCCAGAAUCCUCAAAUCUGCAGCCAACCGUAUUGAUUUAAAUCUAUACUCAUACUCACAGUUUUGGUUCUGCAGGUCAUAGAUCUGGCCCUGGAGUUGAUCAACCCUGUCAUAGAGCCUCGAGAGGUGCUUCCCAAUGUCAAUGGCAUCCAUCUUGUGAUUUCUAGUGAACUCCGUGAUCAUCAUGUGGUUGGCAUUGAGUCCACGCUCCACCAUCCCUUGGCACUUGAAGACUUGUUGCUCCAUUGCUUUGAGCCUCGUCUCCACGCUUCCGGUCUUCUUAGGCCCCUCAACAUCACGGAUGUGCAACAUCCCCUCACUCAUCUUAAUAGAUUGAGGGUGUUUCAACACUUCCGUGAGGUAGGGAUUGAUGACCUUCUCGAAGAUCUUGUCCUUAGGAGCUUUUGGGGAAGUCGUGAUGGUCUAGAUCUGCGACAGAAACAAGCUCGAAACGAAAACAGAGGAAAACUGCGCGAUACGGAGAUCAAAACCCUCGGGCGUAUAUAUAAUGAUUUUUUCUAGACCAGAAGGAGUGCUCCGCAAGAAAACGGAGUCCGGGAGGCACACGAGGUGCCCACAAGCCCUGUUGUCGCGGCCAGGGGGAGGCCGUGGCAACCAAGCUUGUGGCCUCCUCGUGCGCUCUCUCAACUGCUUUUUAUUUUUCUAAUUUUCCAAAAAUUCCAAAACAGAGAAAAUUUCCUAUUGGAAAAGUUUCGAAGUCCAAUUACUUACCAAAACAGAUACCUCUUCGUUUUCAGGGUCUGAAACAGGUUGAUAAACAUCCCUUAUGUACUCCUCUGGAGUUAUGAUAUUGAUGAUAUUGGUCUCAACAUUUAUGGGAGUACCAGAGAUGUAAUGCUUCAUUCUUUUCCCAUUUACCACUCUAGGAAAAUUACCUUCGUGUUAUUGAUUUUGAUGGCACCGGAACGAUAUACUUCCUCGACAACGUAGGGACCUUCCCAUUUAGAGAGAAGCUUGCGUGCGAAGAAUCUUAAACGAGAAUUGUAUAGCAGGACAUAAUCGCCUAAAUUGAACUCUCGUUUUUGUAUUCUUUUUUCGUGCCAUCUCUUAACAUUUUCCUUGAACAACUUGGCAUUCUCAUAUGCCUGGGCCCUCCAUUCAUCUAAUGAGAUGAUAUCAAACAACUGCUUCUCACCGGCAAGUUUGAAAUCGAAGUUGAGCUCUUUGAUUGCCCAACAAGCUUGUGUUCCAGCUCAAGGGGUGAAUGACAUGCCUUACCGUAAACCAUUUUAUACAGCGACAUGCCCAUGGGAUUCUUAUAAGCAGUCCUAUAAGCCCAUAGUGCAUCGUCAAGUUUACUAGACCAAUUCUUUCGAGAUCUAUUGACGGUCUUUUGUAAGAUCAAUUUGAUCUCCCUAUUACUCAACUCCACUUGGCCACUAGACUGAGGAUGAUAAGGAGAUGCAACUCUAUGGUUGACAUCAUACUUAGCGAGCAUCUUGCGGAAAACACCAUGAAUGAAGUGUGAACCGCCAUCAGUCAUCAGAUAUCUAGGACUCCAAAUCUUGGGAAAAUGACUUCUUUAAGCAUCUUAAUAGAGGUGUGCUGAUCAUCAUUUCUAGUGGGGAUAGCUUCUACCCACUUAGUGACAUAAUCCAGAGCAACUAAGAUGUGAGUAUACCCAUUGGAACUCGGGAAAGGUCCCAUAUAAUCAAAGCCCCAAACAUCAAAUGGUUCAAUGACAAGUGAAUAGUUCAUAGGCAUUUCCUGACACUUACUGAUAUUCCCUAUUAUUUGGCAUUCGGCACAAGACAAGACAAACUUACGGGCAUCCUUGAAGACAGUGGGCCAAUAGAAACCUGAUUGCAAUACCUUAUGAGCAGUUCUGUCUCCAACAUGGUGUCCUCCAUAGGCUUCGGAAUGACACUUCUGCAGGAUAUGUCCCUGUUCAUGUUCAGGCACACAAUGUCUAAUAACACCAUCUACUCCUUCCUUAUAAAGGUGAGGAUCAUCCCCAAAGUAGUGUCUCAAUUCUUCUUCUGCUGGUAGGUGAAACUGGGUGGUAUGUAUUUGGCUACGAUAUAGUUUGCGUAAUCAGCAUACCACGGUGCAAUAUGUGAAGUACGAAUGACAUUCAAUUUCUCAUCCGGAAAGCUGUCAUCAAUAGGUCGUGGGUCAUCAAGGACAUUCUCUAGCCUAGACAAGUUAUCUGCUAUAGAGUUAUCAGCACCCUUUCGGUCAACAACAUGCAAAUCAAAUUACUGUAGCAGAAGAACCCAUCUGAUUAGCCUAGGCUUAGUGUCCUUCUUCUCCAUAAGGUACUUAAUAGCAGCAUGAUCAUAGUGAAUAGUGACUUUGGAGUCAACUAUAUAAGAUCUGAACUUUUCACAUGCAAACACGACUGCUAAAAAUUCCUUCUCCGUAGUGGCAUAGUUUCUUUGGGCACUGUCUAGAGUUUUACUAGCGUAGUGAAUGACAUUCAACUUCUUGUAAACUCUUUGUCCUAGAACAGCACCAACGGCAUAAUCACUAGCAUCGCACAUGAUUUCAAAGGGAAAGUUCCAAUCAGGUGGUUGAACAAUAGGUGCGGUUAUUAAGGCCUUCUUAAGUAUUUCGAAAGCUUCCUCACAAUCCUCAUCGAAAACAAAAGGAACAUCCUUCUGCAAGAGGUUGUUAAGAGGCCUAGAAAUCUUAGAGAAGACUGUAAUGAACCUUCUAUAGAAACCAGCAUGACCUAGGAAACUUCGUAUACCUCUGAUAUCUGUGGGGCAAGGCAUUUUAUCAAUUGCAUCUACCUUAGCCUUAUCAACUUCAAUGCCUUUCUCAGAGAUUUUGUGUCCUAAGACGAUGCCUUCAUUAACCAUGAAGUGGCACUUCUCCCAGUUCAAGACGAGGUUGGUAUCUUUGCAUCUCUGUAAGACUCGAUCAAGGUUGCUGAGGCAAUCAUCAAAGGAAGAACCAUAAACGGAGAAAUCAUCCAUGAAAACCUCAAUAAUCUUUUCACAAAAGUCAGAGAAUAUAGCCAUCAUACAUCUUUGAAAGGUGGCAGGUGCAUUGCACAAGACAAAAGGCAUACGUCUAUAAGCAAAGGUACCGAAGGGGCAUGUGAAGGUGGUUUUCUCUUAAUCAGAUUGUGCAAUAGGUAUUUGCGAGAAACCUGAAUAACCGUCUAGAAAGCAGAAGUGUGUGUGUUUAGAUAGCCUUUCUAUCAUUUGGUUGAUAAACGGCAAAGGAUAAUGGUCUUUCCUGGUUGCCUUGUUCAGUUUCCGGAAGUCUAUCACCAUCCUAUAGCUAGUAAUAAUCCUUUGUGGAAUUAGUUCGUUCUUAUCAUUAGGAACGACGGUGAUACCUCCCUUCUUAGGUACGCAAUGUACUGGACUUACCCAAUCACUAUGAGCAACAGGAUAGAUGAUUCUUGCUUCCAGAAGAUUUAAUAUUUCUUUUCUCACGACCUCUUUCAUCCUCGGAUUUAAUCUCCGUUGAUGAUCAGCAACUGGCUUAGAAUCAUGAUCGGUUUUAAUCUUGUGCUGACAUAGAAUGGGACUAAUACCCUUAAGAUCAUCAAGAGUAUAUACAAUAGCAGCACGGUGCUUCCUCAAAGUCUUUAAUAACUUCUUUUCUUCGUGAUUCGAGAGACGAGCACUAAUAAUAACAGGAUAUAUCUCCUUCUCAUCAAGAUAGGCAUGCUUAAGAGUAUCUGGUAACUGUUUUAGCUCGAACACAGGAUCACCCUUUGGUGGGGGAGGAUCCCCAAGCAGUUCAACAGGCAGAUUAUUCUUGAGAAUAGGGUAUUGUUCUAAAACAAUUUUAUCUAUCUCAUCUGUUUCAUCCAUAUGCAUAUCAUUUUCAUGCUCAAGUAGAUAUUGCUCUAAAGGAUCCGUAGGAGGUACGGCAAUAGAGGCAAGAGCAAUGAUUUCAUCCCUACCAGACGACUCUUUUUCAUGGGCUUGUCUUCCAAACUUGGAGAAGUUAAAUUCAUGAGACACACCCUCGAAACUAAUAGUGAUAGUUUGUUUAAUGCAAUCAAUCUGAGCAUUGACAGUGUUGAGAAAGGGUCUACCAAAUAUGAUGGGACAAAAGCUAUCUUGUGCAGUAGCAAGGACGAGGAAAUCAGUAGGAUACUUCGUCUUACCACACAGGACUUCUACGUCUCUCACAAUUCCCAGGGGACAGAUAUUGUCUCUAUUAGCUAGCGUAAAAGUGACAUCAAUGGGUUCUAACUCAGCAGGUGCAAUCUCAUCCUUGAUUUCAUCAUAUAGGGACCGGGGUAUUGCACUAACACUAGCACCCAUAUCACAUAACCCAUGGUAACAGUGAUCUCCUAUCUUGACAGAAACAACGGGCAGGCCAACUACGGGUCCGUAUUUGUCUUUCGCGUGAGGUUUAGCUAUUCUAGCGGAGUCCUCACAGAAUUUGAUAACAUGCCCAUCUAUGUCUUAGGCUAAGAUAUCUUUGAUAAUAGCAACACUAGGUUCAGCUCUAAUUUUCUCAGGGGGUGCAAGUGGUCUAAUGUAACCCCUACCUAUCACAGUUGGAGCUUUAGAAUAAUCCUUUUUUCCUAGCAGGGUAAGGUGGUUUCUCAGUGUAGGCACAAGGAACAAUAGGAUCACUAAAGGCAAUGACUUUCUCUUCAACUAAAUUGGGUUUAACUAUGUUGACUUCUAUAGGCGGAUGAUACUUAAACCACUUCUCUUUGGAAAGAUCAACAUGAGCAGCAAAAGAUUCACAUAGAGAAGCUACUAUCUCAGAGUCAAAUCCAUACUUAGCGCUAAAAUCUCUAGAAUUGUUUGUUUCAACAAAAGAUUUAACACAAUCAAACUGGAAAUUCAUACCUGACUCCUUACCUUCUUCAAGCUCCCAAUCUUCAGAGUUACGUUUGAUUCUUUCCAAUAAAUUCCACUUGUGGUCAAUAUCCUUCUUCAUAAAAGAACCGGUACAAGAAGUGUCAAGCAUGGUACGAUCUUCAUGAGAAAGCCAAGCAAAAAAGUUUUGAGUGAUAACUUCUCUCGAGAUCUCAUGAUUGGGGCAUGAAUAUAGCAUUGAUUUAAGCAUCCCCCAAGCUUGAGCUAUGCUCUCCCUGUCAUGAGGCCAAAAGUUAUAAAUAUAAUUCCGAUCACGAUGUACUAAAUGCAUAGGAUAAAACUUUUGAUGAAAUUCCAAUUUCAACCGAUUGUAGUCCCAUGAUCCAGUACCAUCACAUAGCCUAUACCAUGUCAACGCCUUAUCCUUCAAAAAUAAAGGAAAGACUUUCUUCUUUACCUCAUCCUCGGGCAAACCUGCAAGCUUAAAUAAACCACAAACUUCAUCCACAUAGAUUAGAUGCAAGUCUGGAUGUGAUGAUCCAUCUCGUGUAAAAGGAUUAGCCAACAGUUUCUCAAGCAUAACCGAAGGAAUUUCAUAAAAGAUAUUUUCAGUAGGUACCUCAGGUUGAGAACAACUCCUCGUGCUUCCGUUCGUGGUGAAGAUACCCUGAACAAACUCUUCAAAGGAACAGUCUCCAUAGUGACAAGUGAGAAUAAAUUUCAGCACAAUAUAUAAAUGUUUCCUUACCAAAUUCCACUUACCAAAGGUGCUUUCCUCCCCGGCAACGGCGCCAGAAAAGAGUCUUGAUGACCCACAAGUAUAGGGGAUCAAUCAUAGUCCUUUCGGUAAGUAAGAGUGUCGAACCCAACGAGGAGGAGAAGGCUCUGAUAAACGGUUUUCAGCGAGGUAAUAGCUGCAAGCACUGAAAGUAGCGGUAACAAGUGAUGGUGUAGUGAGGUGAAACGUAGCAAGCGAAAAGUAACAAGUAACAAGUAGUAGCUACGGUGCAGCAAGUGGCCCAAUCCCUUUUGUAGAAAGGGACAAGCCUGAACAAAGUCUUAUAAGAGGAAAAACGCUCCCGAGGACACACGGGGAUUUCUGUCAUGCUAGUUUCACCAUGUUCAUAUGAUUCGCGUUCGUUACUUUGAUAGUUUGAUAUGUGGGUGGACCGGCGCUUGGGUACUGCCCUUACUUGGACAAGAAUCCCACUUAUGAUUAACCCCUCUCGCAAGCAUCCGCAACUACGAAAGUAGAAUUAAGACAACGUCUAACCAUAGCAUUAAACUAGUGGAUCCAAAUCAGCCCCUUAUGAAGCAACUCAUAGACUGGGGUUUAAGCUUCUGUCACUCUAGCAACCCAUCAUCUACUUACUACUCCCCAAUGCCUUCCUCUAAGCCCAAAUAUGGUGAAGUGUUAUGUAGUCGACGUUCAUAUAACACCACUACAGGAAAAACAACAUACAACAUAUCAAAAUACUGAACAAAUACCAAAUUCACAUGACUAUUAUUAGCAUGACUUAUCCCAUGUCCUCGGGAACAAAAGUAACUAUUCACAAAGCAUAAUCAUAAUCAUGAUCAGAGGUGUAAUGAAUAGCAUCAAGGAUCUGAACAUAAACUCUUCCACCAAGUAAUCCAACUAGCAUCAACUAGAAAGAGUAAUCAACACUACUAGCAACCUUACAUGUACCAAUCGGAGUCGCGAGACGGAGAUUGGUUACAAGAGAUGAACUAGGGUUUGGAGAGGAGAUGGUGAUGAUGAAGAUGUUGAUGGAGAUGCCUCCCCUCCGAUGAGAAGAGUGUUGGAGAUGACGAAGGCGACAAUUUCCCCCUCCGGGAGGGAAGUUUCCCCGGCAGGAUCGUCCUGCCGGAGCUCUAGAUUGGAUAUGCUCAAGUUCCGCCUCGUGGCGGCGGAGAAUCCACGAAAAAGCUCUAUCCUGAUUUUUUCCGGAUGAAACCCUUCAUAUAGCAAAAGAGGGGGGGCCAGUGGGCCACCAGGGUGCCCACAAGCCCUAUUGUCGCGGCCAACGGGGUAGGCCGCGGCAACCAGGCUUGUGGGCCCUUGGUUGCUCCCCUUUGACACUUCUUUCGCCCAGUAUUUUUUAUAUAUUCCCAAAAAAAUCCACGUUGAUUUUCAGGGCAUUUGGAGUUGCGCAAAAUAGAGGACUCAGACUUGCUCCUUUUCCAGUCCAGAAUUCCAGCUGCCGGUAAUCUCCCUCUUCAAAUAGACCUUGCAAAUUAAGAGAGAAAAGGCAUAAGUAAGGUUCCACAAAGUAUAAUAAAAGUCCAUAAAGCGAUAAAUAUCAACAUGAAAGCAUGAUGCAAAAUGGACAUAUCAUUGCUCAAGUGCUCAAAGUUAGCCACCAAAAUACUCAAUCAUUUUCCCAUCAACCAUUCUGUCCAAUUCCGCAUACUCAAAUUCGGUGCUACCAACUUCCCUAUUUCGGCCCACCGAGUUUGAACUCAGACAGAACCCUAGUCAUUCCCACCAAAUCGGUGCUACCGAGUUCAGGGUGACCAACUUUGUGUUGCCUCGGUACACAAAAUCAGAAUUUCCUAGUUUGUGUAUCUGUGUCACGAGUUGUGUCAUCUGACUGUUAGCCACCUUUUCGAUGCCACCGAGUUGUGUAUAUCGGUCCCAUCGAGAUUCAAAAGUUGCUGCCUUUUGUGCGAGUCGGUACCAUCGAGUUUAUGACUUUGGUGUCACCGAGUUUGCCACUUUAGGUGUAACAGUUGGAUUAUGUGUUCUGCCUAUAUAUACCCCUUCACCCACCUCUCAUUCGUGGAAAAAGCACUCAAAACACACACUUCAUUUCCAGAUCCAUUUUUCUGUGAGAGAACCACCUACUCAUGUGUUGAGACCAAGAUAUUCCAAUCCAAUCAUUUGAAACUUGAUCUCUAGCCUCCCCAAACUGCUUUCCACCAAAUCAAUCUCUCCUAUCCAUGCCUAGUAUGUGAGAGAGUGAUUUUUUGUUGAGGAUACUAUCUUUAAAGCACAAGAGCAAGGAGUUCAUUGAUCUACCACAUCUAUUACCUUUUGGAGGGUGUUGCCUCCUAGAUUGGUUAGGUGUCGCUUGGGAGCCUCCUACUUCGUGUUGUGGAGUUGAACCAAGAUGUUUGUAAGGGCAAGGAGAUCGCCUACUUCGUGAAGAUAUAUCGUGAGUGAGGCUAGUCCUUCGUGGGCGGAAGACUUGGUGAAUAGACAAGGCCGCUUCUUCGUGGACCCUUUGUGGGUGGAGCCCUUCGUGGACUCUCACAGUCGUUACCCUCCGUGGGUUGAAGUCUCCACUAAUAUGGGCGUACGAUAGCGCCACCUAUUGGAACCAUGCCAAAAAUCCCCUUGUCAACCUCAUGCGUUUGAUCUCCCUACCUUACUCCUUUACCUUACACUUGCAUGUUUUACAUUUCGCUGCUACACUCUUAGAACUGCAUGCGUACGGUGUACUUGACUUGCUAUAACUGCCAAGACUGCCCCUCAACUAAAACUAAAAUUGGGAAAAGGCAAAAAAAUUAUCUUGUCAAGUAGUUUAAUCACACCCCCUCUAGACAUACUUUCGAUCCUACAACAACGCAUGUUUCAUGAGGACCUGAUUUCUUUUUGUGUUAUUGGCAAGAUAUGUGCAUUGACUCUCCCAAGAACUCCAUGAGGCUGGUGGCCAAGUUGUUCAAUUUCUCAACACCGUUCAUUUUUGUCAUUGCCCGCCAUCGCGUACACUCAGAAGAGAAGGGUGUUUGUCCUGAAUUUCCUACUCUAGAUAACUUCUACUCAUAUAAUUGAUCUCUAAUAUCCUGUCCAAAACAUUAGAGUUGUCUCGACAACUUUUUAAGCCAGAUUUGUGGGAAGUGGAAUGCAUGUGUAACCAAACUGGACUGGACGUUUUCCAUGAAUGCUUAUAAAAAUCGUCCUUAAACAAGGCACUAGAAAAUCAUGGAUAGCUGAUCUAUUCAGGGUGUGUCCCCCUUUGGCUAUAAUAUAUAGUAGGGAGUGCUCAAAAUAAAAAGUGAGAUCAGAGCUGGUACAAAAAAUAAACCAAGAUAGUCUUGUUUUAUCUACGAAUGACUUGUUAUGGCAUAUUGUUCAACGUGAUUCCGACUCUAGAAUGUCUAUAUUAGACAUUUGAUGAGUCAACUAGAAACUUCAUAGGUUUUUAGUAUAUCUUCAAUUAUGUUGUCAUGGGUUGUGCUCAUGUAUUAUUUUGAAAAUAAAACCAUCCAUGAACUAGUUGUGUUUACUUCUAUUUUAACUCAUACUGACACAUAUCUCAAUAGUAUACAUAUGAAAUUACUUGCGAGCGUCUCAUGUGCAAGAAAUGUAAUACUAUACAAAGAUGUGAUCAGGACCAACAAAAAUUUGAUAAGAUGCCGAAAUCAAAUUUCUCGCAAGGGCAUUCUUUCAAUGGAUCUCUAUCUUAUAGAUCAUUAAUCCUUUGCAACAAUUUGAUAAGAUGUUGAAAUCAAAGGUGCAUGAGGACUAACAAGGAAAAAUGACUUCAUAAUCAAAAAAAGAUUUAUGUCAUCAAAUGAUUCCUGGAAGAAACAACUUUUUUAAGGGGUAAGCGUUUCAUGAUAUUUACCAACCUUCUGGUAUGUGUAUGUCAAAUGAAAAUAAAAUAGUAAAUCACCUCCUUGUCAGCAAGAAGUUUAUUGCUGAGAACAUUUGGCGACUGAUUUAUAACAUUGGAAGUCAUGGCACUCUAACCAUGUUGUGAACAAUGCAACAUUUUUCUUACUAUUUUUAUGUAUAAAUAUUCUGUCAGAAAGAAUUGUGCAACUAUCCCUAUAUAUUAUAACUCUUGGAUGCAAAGUUUUGCACGAUGUUUUUUGUUAGGAUGUAUUAAUACUUUGAUGAAAAUUUACGUGUUGAUUUUUUCUUUGCAUCUCAGAUUUGUUAGCUAAAGAUAUAGUGCCUUGUAUCAUGCAUUCCCAUUUCGGUAUUUGAUUGUGACAUUUCUCUUACUAUUUUUAUGUAUUUUUGCCAUGCUAAUAGGUUAGUUUAACUUGUUGUUAGAGAUUGCAUCUUUUAUAUUUCUAUGUAUGUUUCUAUGUAUACUUUAACUUCUUGUUACAAAUUGCAUUUUUAUAUUUCUAUGUAUGUUUAUUUUAACUAACAAACCAAUCUACUAAUAUAUUGGUAACUAUAACCGCUUAACAUUCUUUUGGGACAUUGAAUCAUAUUCACCUAUUCAGUUGUCAUGAUCCAUUACAGGAAUCACCUUUUAAGCAAUCUGUUCAUUGUGCAUUUUUGGUGAGGUUUGCAUGCGAGCCGUGGGAGGAGCACAUGAGAGGCGAAGGAACCAGCGACAAUGAUUCCGGCCAUGCCGCCUACUAGCGUCCGUGGCGUGAUCCGACCGUGCCACCUGAUGUCGGCUUCUUGAUCGUGCUACUGCACCAAGACUUACCCGUUUUGUAUCCCCUUUCGCUUGCCACAGGACUCUCACGGUCAGGCCAAGAAAGAGGGCGAUAGAGACAACAUCUUUGUAGGAAUGAACUUCCAUGGAGGAAUCAGAGCGACCAAGGCCGAGCCCGCGGAUGAGCCCUCUUGCUGGGUGCGGUGAUGAGGUUCGGGGGCUCAUCCGCGUCGUUGGUAGCAAGGAUGGAGGAGGUGGCGGGGCUCACCCUCGGUCGUCCGACAAUCACUUAGUAUACUUAUAUGUCUCUUUUGUCUGUUUCUAAGAAUCUUAUAUUAUUCUAUAACCAUUUAUAAAUCUGCGAGAACAAGUCAUGGGAGCUUAAUUAUGUUAAGCACCAAUAUUUUACCCUCAUCAAAUCAUCCUAUCGUCACUUGUUGAAUUAUUUUUCUUAUUUCUUCAACCAGCAACUUGCACCUGACUGUGCUAUUGCAUAUGAUGUAUCACAAAAGUCACAAAGAAGCGGGAGAAAAGAGCGGAGUCUACCUGACACCGCAGCGGCAUGGCUCAGGCGAUGCAGCAAGACUGCGCCCCAACAGCUAGUAUAGACUAUUUGAAUAGUCAAUGCUGCUUAUGUGGAUAGGUUGACUAGUCAACUGACAGAAUAGAGAGCUAUACAGCGAACAAGCGACCGUAUAAUCACCUUAACACGUAUACAAUGACCGUAAUAACUGCAUGCUAAACUUUAAUGAUAUGGUAUACUUUUUUUGAACCGGGUGAGCCCCUUUCCAUUACUCAACAUAACAAAAAUACAAAAUGUUGAUCACCCAAGGAAACAGGAAAGGGGAGCUGGCUUAAAGCAUAUUUGGGAAACCCACCAUAGGCACUCGUCAUCGAGAAGCCUACCAUGGGGCGAAAACCCAAAAACACCAUAUAGAAUCGACUAGCCUAACCUCAAACAUCAAGGAGAAAACAACCCAACCGCUGACAAGUAUAAGAAAAUCGAGGGAAACGCGAAACAGACUCACAACCGAGUCAUCAGCUUAAUGCCCACGCAUGAGCAGAUUGCAAAAGGGACUAAAAACAAGGAGCACACGCGUGAAACGUCCAUGGCUUUGAUGGCUUCAGUUGGUGUUAUUUGGUUCCACGUAAGUCCGCAUCAUGCUUGAGGCAUUGCUCUUCAACAUCUUUGCUCCACAUUCCAUCGCCUCCCGAGCAUCUCCAGUUAGCAGACCUGCCCACAUCAAAAACGGAACUCGGCUUCUUGUCUUCAAAAGUGAUGGAGUUGCGACAAUUCCAAAUUGCCCAACAAACAGUAGCCAAGCCAACAAUGUAAAAUUUGGCACCGUCACAGAGAAACAUAUAACACCACUAGAAAUAUUGCCAAAUAUUAUUCGGGCCCAGGCUAGUAGCAAAAACACAACCUACUGUUCUCCAAACAACCCUGGCCGCACGACAAGUAAAGCAGAGGUGUUGAUAUGUCUCUCAUUCAUUACAGAAUGAACAUCUAGGAUUGCUAGCCCACUUCUUUCUUUUCAUCACAUCUCUAGUAAGGAUAGCAUCCUGGAAGAGUUGCCAUAGAAAGAUCUGAAUUUUAAGAGGGAUUUUGGAACUCCACAUCCAUCGAUAGUCACAUCCCGCAAUAUUUCUCUCUAAAUAUUCAUAGUCAGACUUGGUUGAGAACACUUUUUUCUUCCCAGGGGUCCAUACAAUCUGGUCCGGGGUAUCAGAGGUUUGUCCAGCUCUCCACCAUGUUUUAAAGAUCCCCCCACCGACCCACGAGAUGAUGGUGAAGUUGUCUCCUGAAGAAAGUAUCAUCAACACCAUUUCUAAACUGCGCCACCAUAAUCACCAAAUGAUUACAUAUGUUGAACAAGUUUGCAUAUGUGUUAUUCAGCGAUGGAUUGCCGCAAAUAGGAUCAAACCAGAGUUUGGCAAUGUUGCCAGAAUUUAAAAUGACUCCUCUACCAGCCAUGUAGUAUUCUUUCACCUUCAUAAUGACCUUCCAAAUCGGUGAAUCAGCGAAUUUACUUUUCGCCAAGGCGACAUCAUCUUUUCUAAAAUAUUUAGCUUUUAUUAUAUACUGCCACAAACCAUUCUGAGUUUCCAGCUUCCACCACCAUUUGGUGAGAAGGCUGAUACUUUUUUAUGAAGAUCUUUCACCCCAAGCCUCCGUUUUCUUGGAUCUACAAAUAUGGUUCUUUCACCAGAUGAUAUCUCUUGCGUCCUUCAUGUUCUUGCCAACAGAAUUUUCUGCGAUGCAUGUCCUGUUGGAAAUAUGCCCUAGAGGCAAUAAUAAAGUGGUUAUUAUUAUAUUUCAUUGUUCAUGAUAAUUGUCUAUUAUUCAUGCUAUAAUUGUAUUAACUGGAACCGUAAUACAUGUGUGAAUACAUAGACCACAACAUGUCCCUAGCGAGCCUCUAGUUGGCUAGCUCGUUGAUCAAUAGAUGGUCAUGGUUUCCUCAUCAUGGACAUUGGAUGUUAUUGAUAACGGGAUCACAUAAUUCAGGGAAUGACGUGAUGGACAAGACCCAAUCCUAAACAUAGCACAAGAUCAUGUAGUUCGUGUGCUAGAGUUUUUCUAAUGUCAAGUAUCGUUUCCUUAGGCCAUGAGAUUGUGCAACCCACUGAUACCGUAGGACUGCUUUGGGUGUAUCAAACCUCACAACGUAACUGUGUGAUUAUAAAGGUUCACUACAGGUAUCUACGAAAGUGUCUGUUGGGUUGGUACGAAUCGAGACUGGGAUUUGUUGUUCCGUGUGACGGAGAGGUAUCUCUAGGCCCACACAGCAAUGCAUCAUCAUAUUGAGCUCAAUGUGACUAAGGAGUUAGCCAUGGGUGAUGUGUUACGGAACGAGUAAAGAGACUUGCCGGUGACGAGAUUGAACAAGGCAUAGGGAUACCGACGAUCGAAUCUCGGGCAAGUAUCAUACCGGUAGACAAAGGGAAUUGCAUACGGGAUUGAUUGAAUCACCGACAUCGUGUUUCAUCCAAUGAGAUCAUCGUGGAACAUGUGGGAGCCAACAUAGGUAUCCAGAUCCCGUUGUGGGUUAUUGAUAGGAGAGGUGUCUCUGUCAUGUCUGCAUGGUUCCCGAACUCGUAGGGUCUACACACUUAAGCUUCAAUGACGCUAGAGUUGUAAUGGGAAUAGUAUGUGGUUACCGAAGGUUGUUCGAAGUCCCGGAUGUCACGAGGAGUUUCAGAAUGGUCCGGAGUUAAAGAUUCAUAUAUAGGAAGUGGAGAUUUAGUCGCCGGAAAUGUUUCGGGGAUCAUCGGUAUUGUAUCGAGACCACCAGAAGGGUUCCACGGGUCCACGGGGAGGGGCCACCGGCCUCGAAGGGCCAUGUGGGACAAAAGUGGAUGGGAACCAUCCCCUAGAUGGGCUCGUGCGCCACCCACCAAGGCCCAAGGCGCCUAAGGAAGCAAACCCUAGGGCGUGGUGGCUGCCUUGGGUGCAAGCCACCCCUAGGGCGGAGCCCCCUCCCCCUCUUGGGCUGCCGCCCCUCCAUCUAGGGUGCGCCGCCCCUCCUAGGGUUUUCCUAGGGUGGCCGGCCAGCCCUCCCCCUCCUCCUAUAUAUAUCCCAAGGGUUUGGAGCUGCAAACACACAAGUUUUCUCUCUCUCUUUGCAGCCCUGCUCUUCCUCCUCCUCCGUAGCGCUUGGCGAAGCCCUGCCGGAGUACCACGUAGCUCCACCGUCACCAGGCCGUCGUGCUGCCGGAGCUCCCCUUGAACUUCUUGUUGGAAUUAUGCCCUAGAGGCAAUAAUAAAUGUAUAGUUAUUAUUAUAAUUCCUGUAUCAAGAUAAUAGUUUAUUAUCCAUGCUAUAAUUGUAUUGAAUGAAGACUCAUUUACAUGUGUGGAUACAUAGACAAAACACCGUCCCUGGCAUGCCUCUAGUUGGCUAGCCAGUUGAUCGAUGAUAGUCAGUGUCUUCUGAUUAUGAACAAGGUGUUGUUGCUUGAUAACUGGAUCACGUCAUUGGGAGAAUCACGUGAUGGACUAGACCCAAACUAAUAGACGUAGCAUGUUGAUCGUGUCAUUUUGUUGCUACUGUUUUCUGCGUGUCAAGUGUUUAUUCCUAUGACCAUGAGAUCAUAUAACUCACUGACACCGGAGGAAUGCUUUGUGUGUAUCAAACGUCGCAACGUAACUGGGUGACUAUAAAGAUGCUCUACAGGUAUCUCCGAAGGUGUUAGUUGAGUUAGUAUGGAUCAAGACUGGGAUUUGUCACUCCGUGUGACGGAGAGGUAUCUCGGGGCCCACUCGGUAAUACAACAUCACACAUAAGCCUUGCAAGCAAUGUAACUUAGUGUAAGUUGCGGGAUCUUGUAUUACGGAACGAGUAAAGAGACUUGCCGGUAAACGAGAUUGAAAUAGGUAUGCGGAUACUGACGAUCGAAUCUCGGGCAAGUAACAUACCGAAGGACAAAGGGAAUGACAUACGGGAUUAUACGAAUCCUUGGCACUGAGGUUCAAACGAUAAGAUCUUCGUAGAAUAUGUAGGAUCCAAUAUGGGCAUCCAGGUCCCGCUAUUGGAUAUUGACCGAGGAGUCUCUCGGGUCAUGUCUACAUAGUUCUCGAACCCGCAGGGUCUGCACACUUAAGGUUCGACGUUGUUUUAUGCGUAUUUGAGUUAUAUGGUUGGUUACCGAAUGUUGUUCGGAGUCCCGGAUGAGAUCACGGACGUCACGAGGGUUUCCGGAAUGGUCCGGAAACGAAGAUUGAUAUAUAGGAUGACCUCAUUUGAUUACCGGAAGGUUUUCGGAGUUACCGGGAAUGUACCGGGAAUGACGAAUGGGUUCCGGGGGUUCACCGGAGGGGGGCAACCCACUCCGGGGAAGCCCAUAGGUAUUUGGGGGGGUCACACCAGCCCUUAGUGGGCUGGUGGGACAGCCCACCAAAUCCUAUGCGCCAAGGAAGAGAAAAUAUCAAAGGAAAGGAAAAAAAAGGGAGAGGUGGGAAAGGGGAAGGACUCCCUCCCACCAAACCAAGUAGGACUCGGUUUGGGGGGGGGAGUCCUCCCCCCUGGCUCGGCCGACCCCUUGGGGUUCCCUUGGACCCCAAGGCAAGGUCCCCCUCCCUCCUCCUAUAUAUAUGGGGCUUUUAGGGCAGAUUUGAGACGACUUUCUCACGGCUGCCCGACCACAUACCUCCAUAGUUUUUCCUCUAGAUCGUGUUUCUGCGGAGCUCGGGCGGAGCCCUGCUGAGGCAAGAUCAUCACCAACCUCCGGAGCGCCGUCACGCUGCCGGAGAACUCUUCUACCUCUCCGUCUCUCUUGCUGGAUCAAGAAGGCCGAGAUCAUCGUCGAGCUGUACGUGCGCUGAACGCGGAGGUGCCGUCCGUUCGGUACUAGACCGUGAGACUGAUCGCGGGAUUGUUGGCGGGGCGGAUCGAGGGACGUGAGGACGUUCCACUACAUCAACCGCGUUCUCUAAUGCUUCUGCUGUACGGUCUACAAGGGUACGUAGAUCACUCAUCCCCUCUCGUAGAUGGACAUCACCAUGAUAGGUCUUCGUGCGCGUAGGAAAAUUUUUGUUUCCCAUGCGACGUUCCCCAACAGUGGCAUCAUGAGCUAGGUUCAUGCGUAGAUGUCUUCUCGAGUAGAACACAAAAGGUUUUGUGGGCGGUGAUGUGCGUUUUGCUGCCCUCCUUAGUCUUUUCUUGAUUCCGCGGUAUUGUUGGAUCGAAGCGGCUUGGACCGACAUUACUCGUACGAUUACGAGAGACUGGUUUCAUCGUUACGAGUAACCCCCUUUGCUCAAAGAUGACUGGCAAGUGACGGUUUCUCCAACUUUAGUUGAAUCGGAUUUGACGGAGGAGGUCCUUGGAUGAGGUUAAAUAGCAACUCAUAUAUCUCCGUUGUGGUGUUUGCGUAAGUAAGAUGCGAUCCUACUAGAUACCCUUGGUCACCACGUAAAACAUGCAAGAACAAAAUUAGAGGACGUCUAACUUGUUUUUGCAGGGUAUGAUUGUGAUGUGAUAUGGCCAAUGAUGUGAUGUGAUAUAUUGGAUGUAUGAGAUGAUCAUGUUGUAAUAGAAAUAUCGACUUGCACGUCGAUGGUACGACAACCGGCAGGAGCCAUAGGGUUGUCUUUAUACUAACAUAUGUGCUUGCAGAUGCGUUUACUAUUUUGCUAGGAUGUAGCUUUAGUAGUGAUAGCAUAAGUAGCACGACAGCCCCGAUGGCGACACGUUGAUGGAGAUCAUGAUGAUGGAGAUCAUGGUGUGGCGCCGGUGACAAGAAGAUCGUGCCGGUGCUUUGGUGAUGGAGAUCAAGAAGCACGUGAUGAUGGCCAUAUCAUGUCACUUAUGAAUUGCAUGUGAUGUUAAUCCUUUUAUGCACCUUAUUUUGCUUAGAACGACGGUAGCAUUAUGAGGUGAUCUCUCGCUAAAAUUUCAAGACGAAAUUGUGUUCUCCCCGACUGUGCACCGUUGCUACAGUUCGUCGUUUCGAGACACCACGUGAUGAUCGGGUGUGAUAGACUCAACGUUCACAUACAACGGGUGCAAAACAGUUGCGCACGCGGAACACUCGGGUUAAGCUUGACGAGCCUAGCAUGUGCAGACAUGGCCUCGGAACACAUGAGACCGAAAGGUCGAUCAUGAAUCAUAUAGUUGAUGUGAUUAGCAUAGGGAUGCUUACCACUGAAACUACUCUCGACUCACGUGAUGAUCGGACUUGGGAUAGUGUAAGUGGAUCAUGAACCACUCAAAUGACUAGAGAGAUGUACUUUUUGAGUGGGAGUUUAGCAUAUAAUUUGAUUAAAUUGAACUCUAAUUAUCUUGAACAUAGUCUAAGUCCACUUUGAAUAUAUUUGUGUUGUAGAUCAUGGCUCACGCAAGUGUCAUCCUCAAUUUUAAUACGUUCCUAGAGAAAGCUAAGUUGAAAGAUGAUGGAAGCAACUUUGUAGACUGGGCUCGUAAUCUUAAGCUAAUCUUACAAGCUGGAAAGAAGGAUUAUGUCCUUAAUGCUGCGCUAGGAGAUGAACCACCCGCUACGGCUGAUCAGGAUGUUAAGAACGCUUGGCUAGCACGUAAGGAGGACUACUCAAUAGUUCAAUGUGCAGUCUUGUAUGGCUUAGAGCCGGGACUUCAACGUCGCUUUGAGCGUCAUGGAGCAUUUGAGAUGUUCCAGGAGUUGAAGUUUAUCUUUCAGAAGAACACCCGGAUCGAGAGGUAUGAGACCUCCGAUAAAUUCUAUGCUUGCAAGAUGGAGGAAAGCUCGUCUGUCAGUGAACAUGUGCUCAAGAUGUCUGGGUACUCAAACCGUCUAGCUGAACUAGGGAUUGAACUCCCGCAAGAAGCUAUCACUGACAGAAUCCUCCAAUCACUGCCGCCAAGCUAUAAAAGCUUUGUGUUGAACUACAACAUGCAAGGGAUGAACAAGUCUCCCGGCGAGUUGUUUGCGAUGCUGAAAGUCGCAGAGUCUGAACUCCGUAAAGAGCAUCAAGUGUUGAUGGUGAGCAAGACCACUAGUUUCAAGAGAAACGGCAAAGGCAAGAAGGGCAAUUCGAAGAAGAGCGGCAAGCCUGUUGCCAAUCCGCCGAAGAAACCCAAGGCUGGACCUAAGCCUGAAACAGAGUGCUUCUAUUGCAAGGGUAUGGGUCACUGGAAGCGCAAUUGCCCCAAGUAUCUGGCAGAUAAGAAGGCGGGCAAAGAAAAAUCAGGUAUAUUUGAUAUACAUGUUAUUGAUGUGUACUUAACCGGCUCUCGUAGUAGUGCCUGGGUAUUCGAUACCGGUUCUGUUGCUCACAUUUGCAACUCGAAACAGGAACUGCGGAAUAGACGGAGGCUGGCGAAAAACGAAGUGACGAUGCGCGUAGGAAACGGUUCCAAGGUUGAUGCAAUCGCCGUCGGCACCGUGUCACUUCAACUACCGUCGGGAUUAGUGAUGAACUUAAAUCAUUGUUAUUUAGUGUCUGCGUUGAGCAUGAACAUUAUAUCUGGAUCUUGUUUAUUGCGAGACGGUUACUCUUUUAAGUCUGAGAAUAAUGGUUGUUCUAUUUCUAUGAGUAACAUCUUUUAUGGUCAUGCACCGAAUGUGAGAGGAUUGUUCAUAUUGAAUCUUGAUAGAGAUACGCAUAUACAUAACAUUGAGACCAAAAGAGUUAGAGUAAACAAUGAUAGCACCAUAUUUUUGUGGCACUGCCGCUUAGGUCAUAUUGGUGUAAAGCGCAUGAAGAAACUCCAUGCUGAUGGACUUUUGGAGUCACUUGACUUUGAUUCACUUGACACGUGCGAACCAUGCCUCAUGGGCAAGAUGACUAAGACUCCGUUCUCCGGAACAAUGGAGCGUGCAAGUGACUUGUUGGAAAUCAUACAUACCGAUGUGUGUGGUCCAAUGAGCGUGGAGGCACGCGGCGGAUAUCGUUAUUUUCUCACCUUCACUGACGAUCUAAGUAGAUAUGGUUAUGUCUACUUGAUGAAGCACAAGUCUGAAACAUUUGAAAAGUUCAAGCAAUUUCAGAGUGAAGUGGAAAAUCAUCGUAACAAGAAGAUCAAGUUCCAACGGUCUGAUCGUGGGGGUGAGUAUCUGAGUUUCGAGUUUGGUACUCACUUAAGACAAUGUGGAAUUUUUUCGCAGUUAACACCGCCUGGAACACCACAGCGUAAUGGUGUGUCCGAACGUCGUAAUCGUACUUUAUUAGAAAUGGUGCGAUCUAUGAUGUCUCUUACUGAUUUGCCGUUAUCGUUUUGGGGUUAUGCAUUAGAAACAGCUGCAUUCACUUUAAAUAGGGCACCAUCGAAAUCCGUUGAGACGACACCAUACGAACUAUGGUGUGGCAAAAGGCCAAAGUUGUCGUUUCUUAAAGUUUGGGGAUGUGAUGCUUAUGUCAAAAAGCUUCAGCCUGAAAAGUUGGAACCCAAAGCGGAAAAAUGCGUCUUCAUAGGUUACCCAAAAGAGACAGUUGGGUACACCUUCUAUCUCAAAUCCGAGGGCAAAGUGUUUGUUGCUAAGAACGGAACUUUUCUCGAGAAGGAGUUUCUCUCUCGAGAGUUGAGUGGGAGGAAGAUAGAACUUGACGAGGUUGUCGAACCUCUCAUCCCUCUGGAUGGUGGCGCAGGGCAAGGGGAAACCUCUGUCAUUGCGACGCCGGUUGAGGAGGAAGUUAAUGAUGAUGAUCAUGAAACUCCAGUUCAAGUUUUUGUUGAACCACGCAGGUCGACGAGAUCACGCGCUGCUACAGAGUGGUACGGUAAUCCCGUCUUAUCAAUCAUGUUGUUAGACAACAAUGAACCUGCAAAUUAUGAAGAAGCAAUGGUGGGCCCAGAUUCCAACAAAUGGCUAGAAGCCAUGAAAUCCGAGAUAGGAUCCAUGUAUGAGAACAAAGUGUGGACUUUGGAGAUACUGCCUGAGGGCCGCAAGGCUAUUCAGAACAAAUGGAUUUUUAAGAAGAAGACGGACGCUGACGGUAAUGUGACCGUUUAUAAAGCUCGACUUGUGGCAAAGGGUUUUUCACAAGUUCCAGGAAUUGACUACGAUGAGACUUUCUCUCCCGUAGCGAUGCUUAAGUCCGUCAGAAUCAUGUUAGCAAUAACUGCAUUUUUCGAUUAUGAGAUCUGGCAGAUGGAUGUCAAAACGGCGUUCCUUAACGGUUUCCUUAAGGAAGAGUUGUAUAUGAUGCAACCCGAAGGUUUUGUCGAUCCUAAAAAUGCUGACAAAGUGUGCAAACUCCAGCGAUCCAUUUAUGGACUGGUGCAAGCAUCUCGGAGUUGGAACAAGCGCUUUGAUGAGGUGAUCAAAGCAUUUGGGUUUAUACAAGUGGUUGGAGAAUCUUGUAUUUACAAGAAAGUGAGUGGGAGCUCUGUGGCGUUUCUAAUAUUAUAUGUGGAUGACAUAUUACUGAUUGGAAACAACGUAGAGCUUUUGGAGAGCAUAAAAGGUUACUUGAAUAAAAGUUUCUCUAUGAAGGACCUAGGAGAAGCUGCUUACAUUCUAGGCAUUAAGAUCUAUAGGGAUAGAUCAAAACGCCUGAUAGGACUUUCACAAAGCACAUACCUUGAUAAAGUUUUGAAGAGGUUCAAAAUGGAACAGUCCAAGAAAGGGUUCUUGCCAGUGUUACAAGGUACGAGAUUGAGUAAGACUCAGUGCCCAGCAACUGAUGAAGAUAGAGAGCAUAUGCGCUCCGUCCCUUAUGCUUCAGCCAUAGGUUCUAUCAUGUAUGCGAUGCUGUGCACUAGACCGGAUGUUAGCCUGGCCAUAAGUAUGGCAGGUAGGUUCCAGAGUAAUCCAGGAGUGGAUCACUGGACGGCGGUCAAGAAUAUCCUGAAGUACCUGAAAAGGACUAAGGAGAUGUUUCUCGUGUAUGGAGGUGACGAAGAGCUCGCCGUAAAAGGUUACGUCGAUGCAAGCUUUGACACAGAUCCGGACGACUCUAAGUCGCAAACCGGAUACGUAUUUAUUCUUAAUGGGGGUGCAGUAAGCUGGUGCAGUUCCAAGCAAAGCGUCGUAGCAGAUUCUACAUGUGAAGCAGAGUACAUGGCUGCCUCGGAGGCGGCUAAGGAGGGUGUCUGGAUGAAGCAGUUCAUGACGGAUCUUGGAGUGGUGCCAAGUGCACUGGAUCCAAUAACCUUGUUCUGUGACAACACUGGUGCCAUUGCCUUAGCAAAGGAACCAAGGUUUCACAAGAAGACCAGACACAUCAAACGACGCUUCAACCUCAUCCGCGACUACGUCGAGGAGGAGGACGUAAAUAUAUGCAAAGUGCACACGGAUCUGAACGUAGCAGACCCGCUGACUAAACCUCUUCCACGGCCAAAACAUGAUCGACACCAGAACUGUAUGGGUGUUAGAUUUAUUACAAUGUAAUUCACAUGGUGAUGUGAGGGCUAGAUAAUUGACUCUAGUGCAAGUGGGAGACUGUUGGAAUUAUGCCCUAGAGGCAAUAAUAAAUGUAUAGUUAUUAUUAUAAUUCCUGUAUCAAGAUAAUAGUUUAUUAUCCAUGCUAUAAUUGUAUUGAAUGAAGACUCAUUUACAUGUGUGGAUACAUAGACAAAACACCGUCCCUGGCAUGCCUCUAGUUGGCUAGCCAGUUGAUCGAUGAUAGUCAGUGUCUUCUGAUUAUGAACAAGGUGUUGUUGCUUGAUAACUGGAUCACGUCAUUGGGAGAAUCACGUGAUGGACUAGACCCAAACUAAUAGACGUAGCAUGUUGAUCGUGUCAUUUUGUUGCUACUGUUUUCUGCGUGUCAAGUGUUUAUUCCUAUGACCAUGAGAUCAUAUAACUCACUGACACCGGAGGAAUGCUUUGUGUGUAUCAAACGUCGCAACGUAACUGGGUGACUAUAAAGAUGCUCUACAGGUAUCUCCGAAGGUGUUAGUUGAGUUAGUAUGGAUCAAGACUGGGAUUUGUCACUCCGUGUGACGGAGAGGUAUCUCGGGGCCCACUCGGUAAUACAACAUCACACAUAAGCCUUGCAAGCAAUGUAACUUAGUGUAAGUUGCGGGAUCUUGUAUUACGGAACGAGUAAAGAGACUUGCCGGUAAACGAGAUUGAAAUAGGUAUGCGGAUACUGACGAUCGAAUCUCGGGCAAGUAACAUACCGAAGGACAAAGGGAAUGACAUACGGGAUUAUACGAAUCCUUGGCACUGAGGUUCAAACGAUAAGAUCUUCGUAGAAUAUGUAGGAUCCAAUAUGGGCAUCCAGGUCCCGCUAUUGGAUAUUGACCGAGGAGUCUCUCGGGUCAUGUCUACAUAGUUCUCGAACCCGCAGGGUCUGCACACUUAAGGUUCGACGUUGUUUUAUGCGUAUUUGAGUUAUAUGGUUGGUUACCGAAUGUUGUUCGGAGUCCCGGAUGAGAUCACGGACGUCACGAGGGUUUCCGGAAUGGUCCGGAAACGAAGAUUGAUAUAUAGGAUGACCUCAUUUGAUUACCGGAAGGUUUUCGGAGUUACCGGGAAUGUACCGGGAAUGACGAAUGGGUUCCGGGGGUUCACCGGAGGGGGGCAACCCACUCCGGGGAAGCCCAUAGGUAUUUGGGGGGGUCACACCAGCCCUUAGUGGGCUGGUGGGACAGCCCACCAAAUCCUAUGCGCCAAGGAAGAGAAAAUAUCAAAGGAAAGGAAAAAAAAGGGAGAGGUGGGAAAGGGGAAGGACUCCCUCCCACCAAACCAAGUAGGACUCGGUUUGGGGGGGGGAGUCCUCCCCCCUGGCUCGGCCGACCCCUUGGGGUUCCCUUGGACCCCAAGGCAAGGUCCCCCUCCCUCCUCCUAUAUAUAUGGGGCUUUUAGGGCAGAUUUGAGACGACUUUCUCACGGCUGCCCGACCACAUACCUCCAUAGUUUUUCCUCUAGAUCGUGUUUCUGCGGAGCUCGGGCGGAGCCCUGCUGAGGCAAGAUCAUCACCAACCUCCGGAGAGCCGUCACGCUGCCGGAGAACUCUUCUACCUCUCCGUCUCUCUUGCUGGAUCAAGAAGGCCGAGAUCAUCGUCGAGCUGUACGUGUGCUGAACGCGGAGGUGCCGUCCGUUCGGUACUAGAUCGUGAGACUGAUCGCGGGAUUGUUGGCGGGGCGGAUCGAGGGACGUGAGGACGUUCCACUACAUCAACCGCGAUCUCUAAUCGCUUCUGCUGUACGAUCUACAAGGGUACGUAGAUCACUCAUCCCCUCUCGUAGAUGGACAUCACCAUGAUAGGUCUUCGUGCGCGUAGGAAAAUUUUUGUUUCCCAUGCGACGUUCCCCAACACUUCUCCUCUCUCCUUGCUGGGUCAAGGUGAAGGAGACGUUACCGGGCUGCACGUGUGUUGAACGCGGAGGUGUCGUUGUUCGGCGCUUAGAUCGGAAUCUUCUGUGAUCUGAAUUGCUAUGAGUACGACUCCAUCAACUGCAUUCAUAGUAACGCUUCUGCUUAGCAAUCUUCAAAGGUACGAAGGUGAUCUACCCCUUGCUCGUUGGUAGCAUCUCCUAGAUAGAUCUUGGUGUGUCAUAGGAAUUGUUUUGUAUUACUUCUAUGUUCCCUAACAGUGGUAUCAGAGUCGGGUUCUAUGCGUAGAUUCUAUGCACGAGUAGAACACACAAGUUGCGGGCGAUGAUUUUGUCAAUUGCUUGCCGUUACUAAUCCAAUCUUUUUUCGGCGGUAUUGUGGGAUGAAACAGCCGAGACCGACUUUACACGUACGCUUACGUGAGACUGGUUCCACCGCCUCACAUGCACUUGUUGCAUAAGGUGGCUAGCGGGUGUUUGUGUUGGAAAUAUGCCCUAGAGGCAAUUAUAAAAUGGUUAUUAUCAUAUUUCCUUGUUCAUGAUAAUCGUCUAUUGUUCAUGCUAUAAUUGUAUUAACAGGAAACAGUAAUACAUGUGUGAAUAAAUAGAUCACAAUGUGUCCCUAGCAAGCCUCUAGUUGGCUAGCUCGUUAGUCAAUAGAUGAUCAUGGUUUCCUGGUCACGGGCAUUAGAUGUCAUUGAUAACGGGAUCACAUCAUUGGGAGAAUGAUGUGAUGGACAAGACCCAAUCCUAAGCAUAGCACUAGAUCGUAUUGUUCGUAUGCUAAAGCUUUUCUAAUGUCAAGUGUCUUUUCCUUCGAACGUGAGAUUGCGCAACUCCUGGAUACCGUAGGAGUGCUUUGGGUGUAUCAAACGUCACAACGUAACUGGGUGACUAUAAAGGUGCACUAUGGGUAUCUCUGAAAGUGUCUGUUGGGUUGGUACGAAUCGAGAUCGGGAUUUGUCACUGCGUGUGACGGAGAGGUAUCUCUGGGCCCACUCGGUAGAACAUCAUCAUGAGCUCAAUGUGACUAAGGAGUUAGUCACACGAUGACGUGCUACGGAAGAGUAAAGAGACUUACCGGUAACGAGAUUGAACAAGGUAUAGGUAUACCGACGAUCGAAUCUCGGGCAAGUUCUAUACCGACAGACAAAGGGAAUCGUAUACGGGAUUUAUUGAAUCCUUGACAUCGUGGUUCAUCCGACGAGAUUAUCAUGGAGUAAGUGGGAGCCACCAUGGGUGUCCAGACCCCACUGAUGGUUAUUGGCCGGAGAGGUGUCUCGGUCAUGUCUGCCUGUCUCCCGAACCCGUAGGGUCUACACACUUAAGGUUCGAUGACGCUAGGGUUAUAGGAAAUUGUUAGAAAAGGUUACCAAAAGUUGUUCGGAGUCCCGGAUGAGAUACCGGAUGUCACGAGGAGCUCCGUAAUGGUCUGGAGGUAAAUAUUGAUAUAUAGGAGGGGCUGGUUUCGGACACCGGAAGUGUUUCGAGCGUCACCGGUAACGUAUCGGGACCACCGGAGGUGGCCCCGGGGGUCCACUGAAGGGGGGCAAUGACCCCGGGAGGCUAGAUGGGCUAAGUGGGGAAGGGAACCAGCCCCUAGGUGGGCUGGUGUGCCCCCCACCCAGCCCAUGUGCACCAGAUAAAGGGGAGAGGGGGAACCCUAGGCGCAGGGGAGGCCCAAGGCCCACCUAGGGCGCCCCCCCUUCCCUGCCCUGGCCGCCGCCCCCUCCCAUCUGGUGGUUGCCGCACCACCUAGGGGGAACCCUAGGGGUGGCACACCCCUCCCCCUCCUCCUAUAAAUAGAGAGGGUUUUUGGCCCUUGGGAGACAAACUUCUCCCUCUCCCUCGGCGCAGCCGUGCCCUUAUUCCUCCUCCUCUCUUCCGGUGCUUGGUGAAGCCGUGCCGGGAGACCUCGUCUCUCCAUCGACACCACGUCAUCGUGCUGUUGGAGUUCUUCCCCAACCUCUCCCUCCUCCUUGCUGGAUCAAGGUGCGGGAGACGUCACUGGGUUGCACGUGUGUUGAACGCGGAGGUGGCGUAGUUCGGCACUAGUUCGGAAUCGCUGCGAGUACGACUCCAUCAACCGCGUUCUAGCAACGCUUCCGCUUAGCGAUCUUCAAAGGUAUGAAGAUGCUCUUACCCCUCUCUCGUUGCUGGUCUCUCCAUAGGAAGAUCUGAAUAUGCGUAGGAAAAUUUUGAAUUUACGCUACGUUACCCUACAGUGGCAUCCGAGCGAGGUUUUCUAUGCGUAGAUUCUAUGCACGAGUAGAACACAAAAGUUGUGGGCGAUGAUUUGUCAAUUUGCUUGCCGCUACUAGUCUUAUUCUUUUCCGGCGGUAUUGUGGGAUGAAGCGGCCCGGACCGACUUUACACGUACACUUACGUGAGACUGGUUCCACCGACAGACAUGCACACCGUGCAUAAAGGUGGCUAGCGGGUGUCUGUCUCUCCUACUCUAGUCGGAUUGGAUUUGAUGAAAAGGGUCCUUAUGAAGGGUAAAUAGCUUUGGCAUAUGAUCGUUGUGGCUGUCACGUAGGUAAGAAGGCGUUCUUGCUAGAAACCCAAAUCAGCCACGUAAAACUUGCAACAACAAUUAGAGGACGUCUAACUUGUUUUUGCAGGGUAUGACAUGUGAUGUGAUAUGGCCAAAGUUGUGAUGUUGCAUGUAUGAUGUAUGAGAUGAUCAUGUUAUUGUAAUAGGUUUCACGACUUGCAUGUCGAUGAGUAUGACAACCGGCAGGAGCCAUACGAGUUGUCUUAAUUUAUUGUAUGAGAUGCAACGCCAUGUGCUUACUACUUUUACUUCAUUGCUAACGGUUAGCUAUAGUAGUAGUGAUAGUAGUAGUUGGCGUGACGACUUCACGGAGACACGAUGAUGGAGAUCAUGGUGUCACGCCGGCGACGAUGAUGAUCAUGCGAUGCCUGAAGAUGGAGAUCGAAUGGGCAAAGAUGAUAAUGGCCAUGUCAUGUCACUAUAUGAUUGCAUUGUGAUGUUUAUCAUGUUUUUCAUCUUAUUGCUUAGAACGACGGUACCAUAAUAAGAUGAUCCCUCUUAAAAUUUCGAGAAUGUAUUCCCCUAAGUGUGCACCGUUGCGAAGGAUCGUUGUCUCAAAGCACCACGUGAUGAUCGGGUGUGAUAGAUUCUAACGUUCGCAUACAACGGGUGUAAGCCAGAUUUACACACGCGAAACACCUAGGUUGACUCGACGAGCUUAGCAUGUACAGACAUGACCUCGAAUACAAGAGACCGAAAGGUCGAACACGAGUCGUAUGGUUGAAUACGAUCAGCAUGAAGUUGCUCACCUUGACGACUAGUCCGUCUCACGUGAUGAUCGGACACGGGUUAGUCAACAUGGAUCAUGUAUCACUUAGAUGACUAGAGGGAUGUCGAUUUAAGUGGGAGUUCAUACUUAAUUUGAUUAAAUGAACUUAAUUGUCAUGAACUUAGUCUAAAAGUUGUGUUUUUAAAUAUUGUAGAUGGCCAACGUCAACCUCAAUUUCAAUGCAUUCCUAGAGAAAAACAAGCUGAAAGAUGAUGGUAGCAACUAUGCGGACUGGGUUCGCCACUUGAAUCUCAUCCUUGAAGCUUAUGUCCUUGAUGCGCAGCUAGGUGACCCUCCCGCUCCCGUAGCAGCCCAGGACAUUUUGAACGUCUGGCAAACACGGAGUGAUGACUACUCUGUGGUUAGGUGUGGCAUGUUAUACAGUUUAGAAACGGGUCUCCAAAGGCGUUUUGAGCAACACGGUGCAUAUGAGAUGUUCCAAGAGCUGAAGCUAGUUUUUCAAGCUCAUGCACGUGUCGAGAUAUAUGAAGUCUCUGACAAUUUUUUUAGUUGUAAGAUGGAGGAGAACAGUUCUGUCAGUGAGCACAUACUCAAAAUGUCUGGGUUACACGGUCGUCUGACUUCACUUGGAGUCGAACUUCCGGAUGAUGCUAUAAUUGACAGAAUCCUCGAGUCUCUCCCACCAAGCUACAAAGGCUUUGUGCUUAACUACAACAUGCAAGGUAUGGAGAAGACCAUUCCCGUGUUGUACUCGAUGCUCAAGUCUGCAGAAGUAGAAAUCAAGAAAGAGCAUCAAGUGUUGAUGGUCAACAAGACCACUUGUUUCAAGAAAGGCAAGGGUAAGAAGAACUUCAAGAAAGACGGCAAUGUCGUUGCCGCGCCCGGUAAGCCAGAUGUCGGGAAGAAGAAAAAGAAUGGACCCAAGCCUGAGACUGAGUGCUUCUAUUGCAAGGGAAAGGGUCAGUGGAAACGGAACUGCCCCAAAUACUUAGCGACAAGAAGGCCGACAACGUUAAAAGUAUAUGUGAUAUACAUGUUAUUGAUGUGUACCUUACCAGCGCUCGUAGUAGCUCCUGGGUAUUUGAUACCGGUGUUGUUGCUCACAUUUGCAACUCAAAGCAGGAACUGCGGAAUAAGUGGAGACUGGCAAAGGACAAGGUGACGAUGCGCGUCGGGAAUGGCUCCAAGGUCGAUGUGAUCGCCGUCGGCACGCUACCUCUACAUCUACCGUCGGGAUUAGUUUUAAACCUUAAUAAUUGUUAUUUAGUACCAGCUUUAAGCAUGAACAUUGUAUCAGGGUCUUGCUUAAUGCAAGACGGCUACUCAUUUAAGUCAGAGAAUAAUGGUUGUUCUAUUUAUAUGAGUGAUAUGUUUUAUGGUCAUGCUCCGCUGGUGAAUGGUUUAUUCUUGAUGAAUCUCGAUCGUGAUGUUACGCAUAUUCAUAGUGUGAGUACCAAAAGAUGUAAAGUUGAUAAUGAUAGUCCCACAUACUUGUGGCACUGCCGCCUUGGUCAUAUCAGUGUUAAACGCAUGAAGAAGCUCCAUACUGAUGGACUAUUAGAGUCUCUUGACUUUGAAUCAUUUGACACAUGCGAGCCGUGCCUCAUGGGCAAGAUGACUAGGACUCCAUUCUCAGGAAUAAUGGAGAGAGCAACCGACUUAUUGGAAAUAAUACAUACUGAUGUGUGUGGUCCAAUGAACGUUGAAGCUCGCGGUGGCUAUCGUUAUGUUCUCACUCUCACCGAUGAUUUGAGUAGGUAUGGGUAUAUUUACUUGAUGAAUCACAAAUCUGAGACAUUUGAAAAGUUCAAGCAAUUUCAGAGUGAGGUCGAGAAUCAACGUGACGGAAAAAUUAAGUGUCUACGAUCUGAUCGUGGAGGAGAAUAUUUGAGUCACGAGUUUGGCACACACCUAAGGAAGUGUGGAAUCGUUUCACAGCUGACGCCGCCUGGCACACCACAACGCAACGGAGUGUCUGAACGUCGUAAUCACACUUUAUUAGAUAUGGUAUGAUCUACGAUGUCUCUUACCGACUUACCGCUAUCAUUUUGGGGAUACGCAUUAGAAACUGCAACAUUCACUUUAAAUAGGGCACCGUCUAAAUCCGUUGAGACGACACCAUAUGAACUAUGGUUUGGCAAGAAACCUAAGUUGUCGUUUCUUAAAGUUUGGGGUUGUGAUGCAUAUGUGAAGAAACUUCAACCACAAAAGCUCAAACCCAAAGCGGAGAAAUGUGUAUUCAUAGGAUACCCUAAGGAAACUAUUGGGUAUACCUUCUAUCUUAGAUCCGAAGGUAAAACCUUUGUUGCCAAGAACGGAUCCUUUCUAGAGAAAGAGUUUCUCUCGAAAGAAGUAGGUGGGAGGAAGGUAGAACUUGAUGAGGUAAUUACACCCCUCUCGAACAGGAUAGUAGCGCAGCUCGGGAAGUUGUUCCUGUGGCGCCUACACCAACUAAAGAGGAAGUUAAUGAUGAUGAUCAUGAAGCUUCGGAUCAAGUUACUACUGAACCGCGAAGGUCCACAAGGGCACGCUCCGCACCAGAGUGGUACGACAACCCUGUGAUGGAAAUCAUGUUGUUAGACAACGGUGAACCUUCGAACUAUGAAGAAGUGAUGGCGGGACCGGAUUCCAACAAAUGGCUUGAAGCUAUCAAAUCCGAGAUAGGAUACAUGUAUGAGAACAAAGUAUGGACUUUGGUGGACUUGCCCGAUGACCGGCGAGCCAUAGAAAAUAAAUGGAUCUUCGAGAAGAAGACUGAUGCAAACGGUAAUGUAACCGUUUAUAAAGCUCGACUUGUCGCAAAGGGUUUUCGACAAAUUCAAGGAGUUGACUACGAAGAGACUUUCUCUCCCGUAGCGAAGCUGAAAUCAGUCUGAAUCAUGUUAGCAAUUGCUUCCUUUUAUGAUUAUGAAAUUUGGCAAAUGGACGUCAAAAAGUGUUCCUUAACGGGAACCUUAAGGAAGAGUUGUAUAUGAUGCAACCAGAAGGUUUUGUCGACCCUAAGGGUGCUAACAAAGUGUGCAAGCUCCAGCGCUCCAUCUAUGGGCUGGUGCAAGCAUCUCGGAGUUGGAACAUUCGCUUUAAUGAGGUGAUUAAAGCGUUUGGGUUCAUACAGGUUUACGGAGAAGCCUCUGUGUACAAGAAAGUGAGUGAGAGCUCUGUAGAUUUCCUCAUACUGUAUGUGGAUGACAUAUUAUUGAUGGGGAAUAAUAUAGAGAUGUUGGAGAGCAUAAAGGCCUAUUUGAACAAGAGUUUUUCAAUGAAGGACCUUGGAGAAGCUGCAUACAUAUUAGGCAUCAUGAUUUAUAGAGAUAGAUCGAGACGCCUCAUAGGUCUUUCGCAAAGUACAUACCUUGACAAGAUAUUGAAGAAGUUCAAUAUGGAAAACUCAAAGAAAGGGUUCUUGCCAGUUUUGCAAGGUAUGAGAUUGAGUAAGACUCAGUCGCCGACCACGGCAGCAGAUAGAGAGAAGAUGAGUUAUGUCCCCUACGCUUCAGUCGUAGGCUCUCUAAUGUAUGCCAUGCUGUGUACCAUACCUAAUAUAAACCUUGCCAUAAGUUUGGUAGGGAGGUACCAAAGUGAUCCCGGUAUGGAACACUGCACAGCGGUCAAGAAUAUCCUUAACCUGAAAAGGACUAAGGAAAUGUUUCUCGUUUAUGGAGGUGACGAAGAGCUCGUCGUUAAGGGUUACGCCGACGCCAGCUUCGACACAGAUCCGGAUGAAUCUAAGUCACAGACCGGAUACAUAUAUGUUUUUAAUGGUGGGGCAGUGAGCUGGUGCAGCAGCAAGCAAGAAGUCGUGGCAGCAUCUACAUGUGAAGCGAAGUACAUAGCUACUUCAGAAGCGGCUCAUGAAGGAAUUUGGAUGAAGGAGCUCAUCACCGACCUUGGAGUGGUUCCAAGCGCGUCGGGUCCAAUGACACUCUUCUGUGAUAACACUGGGGCCAUUGCCAUAGCCAAGGAGCCCAGGUUUCACCGGAAGACGAAGCACAUCAAACGCCCCUACAACUCCAUCCAGGACCAUGUCCAGAUGGAGUAAUGGAUAUUUGUAAAGUACAAAUGGAUCUGAAUAUUGCAGACCCGUUGACUAAACCUCUUCCACGAGCAAAACAUGAUCAACACCAUAAUGUUAUGGGUGUUCGAUACAUCACAAUAUAACUAGAUUAUUGACUCUAGUGCAAAUGGAGACUGUUGGAAAUAUGCCCUAGAGGCAAUAAUAAAAUGGUUAUUAUCAUAUUUCCUUGUUCAUGAUAAUCGUCUAUUGUUCAUGCUAUAACUGUAUUAACAGGAAACAGUAAUACAUGUGUGAAUAAAUAGAUCACAAUGUGUCCCUAGCAAGCCUCUAGUUGGCUAGCUCGUUAGUCAAUAGAUGAUCAUGGUUUCCUGAUCAUGGGCAUUAGAUGUCAUUGAUAACGGGAUCACAUCAUUGGGAGAACGAUGUGAUGGACAAGACCCAAUCCUAAGCAUAGCACUAGAUCGUAUUGUUCGUAUGCUAAAGCUUUUCUAAUGUCAAGUGUCUUUUCCUUCGCCCGUGAGAUUGUGCAACUCCUGGAUACCGUAGGAGUGCUUUGGGUGUAUCAAACGUCACAACGUAACUGGGUGACUAUAAAGGUGCACUACGGGUAUCUCUGAAAGUGUCUGUUGGGUUGGUACAAAUCGAGAUCGGGAUUUGUCACUGCGUGUGACGGAGAGGUAUCUCUGGGCCCACUCGGUAGAACAUCAUCAUGAGCUCAAUGUGACUAAGGAGUUAGUCACACGAUGACGUGCUACGGAACGAGUAAAGAGACUUACCGGUAACGAGAUUGAACAAGGUAUAGGUAUACCGACGAUCGAAUCUCGGGCAAGUUCUAUACCGACAGACAAAGGGAAUUGUAUACGAGAUUGAUUGAAUCCUUCACAUCGUGGUUCAUCCGAUGAGAUCAUCGUGGAACAUGUGGGAGCCACCAUGGGUAUCCAGAUCCCGCUGAUGGUUAUUGGCCGGAGAGUGUCACGGUCAUGUCUACAUGCUUCCCGAACCCGUAGGGUCUACACACUUAAGGUUCGAUGACGUUAGGGUUAUAGGGAAUUGUUAUACGAGGUUACCGAAGGAUGUUCGGAGUCCUGGAUGAGAUCCCGGACGUCACGAGGAGCUCCGGAAUGGUCUGGAGGUAAAGAUUGAUAUAUAGGAUGGAUGGGUUUGGACGCCGGAAGUGUUUCAGGUGUCACCGGUAACUUACCGGGACCACCAGGACCACCGGAGGUGGCCCUGGGGGUCCACCGAAGGGGGGCAACGACCCCGGGAGGCUAUAUGGGCUAAGUGGGGAAGGGAACCAGCCCCUAGGUGGGCUGGUGCGCCCCCACCCAGCCCAUGCGCACCAGAGAAAGGGGAGAGGGGGAACCCUAGGCGCAGGGGAGGCCCACCUAGGGCGCCCCCCCUUCCCUGCCCUGGCAGCCGCCCCCCUCCCAUCUAGUGGCUGCCGCACCACCUAGGGGGAACCCUAGGGGUGGCGCACCCCCUCCCCCUCCUCCUAUAAAUAGAGAGGGGUUUUGGCCCUUGGGAGACAGACUUCUCUCUCUCCCUCGGUGCAGCCCUGCCCUUAUUCCUCCUCCUCUCUGCCGGUGCUUGGCGAAGCCCUGCCGGGAGACCUCGUCUCUCCAUAGACACCAAGCCAUCGUGCUACUGGAUUUCUUCCCCAACCUCUCCCUCCUCCUUGCUGGAUCAAGGUGCGGGAGACGUCACCGGGCUGCACGUGUGUUGAGCGCGGAGGAGUCGUAGUUCGGCACUAGAUCGGAAUCACACCGCGAUCGUAAUCGCUGCGAGUACAACUCCAUGAACCGCGUUCGAGCAACGCUUCCGCUUAGCGAUCUUCAAAGGUAUGAAUAUGCUCUUACCCCUCUCUCGUUGCUGGUCUCUCCAUAGGAAGAUCUGAAUAUGCGUAGGAAAAUUUUGAAUUUAUGCUACGUUACCCUACAGUUUGUCUCUCCCACUUUAGUCGAAUUGGAUUCGAUGAAAAGGAUCCUUAUGAAGGGUAAAUAGCUUUGGCAUAUCAACGUUGUGGCUGUCACGUAGGUAAGAAGCGUUCUUGCUAGAAACCCAAAUCAGCCACGUAAAACUUGCAACAAUAAUUAGAGGACGUCUAACUUGUUUUUGCAGGGUAUGCUAUGUGAUGUGAUUUGGCCAAAAGGAUGUGAUGUUAUAUAUGUGAUGUAUGAGAUUUAUCAUGUUCUUGUAAUACGAUUCACGAUUUGCAUGUCGAUGAGUAUGAAAACCGAUAGGAGCCACAUGAGUUGUCUUAAUUUAUUGUAUGUAUGAGAUGCAAUGCCAUGUUAGCCAUAGUAGUAGAAGUAAUAGUUGGUGAGACGACUUCACAGAGACACAAUGAUGGAGAUCAUGAUGAUGGAGAUCACAGUGUCAUGCCGGUGACAAUGAUGAUCAUGUCGUGCCCCGAAGAUGGAGAUCAAAGGAGCAAGUUGAUAUUGGCCAUAUCAUGUCAUUAUAUGAUUUGCAUGUGAUGUUUAUCAUGUUUUUCAUCUUAUUGCUUAGAACAACGGUAGCAAAGAUAAGAUGAUCCCUCAUUAAAUUUUGAGAUAAGUAUUCCCCUAAGUGUCCACCAUUGCAAAGGAUCGUUGUCUCAAAGCACCACGUGAUGAUCGGGUGUGAUAGAUUCUAACGUUCGCGUACAACAGGUGUAAGCCAGAUUUAACACGCAAAACACUUAGGUUGACUCGACGAGCCUAGCAUGUAAAAACAUGGCCUCGGAAAUACAAGAGACCGAAAGGUCAAACAUGAGUCCUAUGGAUGAUAUGAUCAGCAUGGAGAUGCUCACCAUUGAUGAACAGUCCGUCUCACGUGAUGAUUGGACACGACCUAGUCAAUGUAGAUCAUGUAUCACUUGGAUGACGAGAGGGAUGUCUAUCUGAGUGGGAGUUCAUUAAAUAAUUUGAUUAGAUGAACUUAAUUAUCAUGAACUUAGUCUAAAAAUGUCUUUACAAUAUUGUAGAUCCAAUGGCCAACGCUCAAGUCAACCUCAAUUUCAACGCGUUCGUAGAGAAAACCAAGCUGAAAGACGAUGGUAGCAACUAUGCGGACUGGGCUCGUAAUUUAAAGCUCAUCCUCAUUGCUUCCAAGAAGGGAUAUGUCCUUGAUGCACCGCUAGGUGACCCUCCUGUUCCCGCGGUAGCCCAGGAUGUUCAGAACGCCUGGCAAUCACGAAGUGAUGACUACUCCCUGGUUCAGUGCGGUAUGCUUUAUAGUUUAGAACCGGGGCUUCAAAGGCGUUUUGAGCAACAUGGUGCAUAUGAGAUGUUCGAAGAGCUGAAACUAGUUUCCCAAGUUCAUGCCCGGGUCAAUAGAUAUGAAGUCUCCGACAAGUUCUUUAGUUGUAAGAUGGAGGAAAAUGGGUCUGUCAGUGAGCACAUACUCAAAAUGUAUGGGUUGCACAACUGUCUGUCUCAGUUGGGAGUUAAACUUCUGGAUGACGCGAUUAUUGACAGAAUCCUCUAGUCGCUCCCACCUAACUAUAAGAGCUUUGUGAUGAACUAUAACAUGCAAGGGAUGGAGAAGACCAUUCGUGAGUUGUAUUCAAUGCUGAAAUCAAAGGAGGUGGAAAUCAAGAAAGAACAUCAAGUGUUGUUGGUGAAUAAGACCACCAGUUUCAAGAAAGGCAAGGGUAAAAAUAACUUCAAGAAGGACGACAAAGCAGUUGCCGCGCCCGGUAAACCAGUUGUCACGAAGAAGCCAAAGAAAGAACCCAAGCCUGAGACUGAGUGCCAUUAUUGCAAGAGAACUGGUCAAUGGAAGCGGAACUGCCCCAAGUACUUAGUGGAUAAGACGGCCGGCAACAUCAAAGGUAUAUACGAUAUACAUGUUAUUGAUGUGUACCUUACUAGCACUCGUAGUAGCUCCUGGAUAUUUGAUAUCGGUGUUGUUGCUCACAUUUGCAACUCAAAAUAGGAACUACGGAAUAAGCGGAGACUGGCAAAGGACGAGGUGACGAUGCGCGUCGGGAAUGGUUCCAAGGUCGAUGUGAUCGUCGUCGGCAGGCAACCUCUACAUCUACCUUCGGGAUUAGUUUUAAACCUUAAUAAUUGCUAUUUUAGUACCAGCUUUGAGCAUGAACAUUGUAUCGGGAUCUCGCUUGACGCGAGAUGGCUACUCAUUGAAAUCUAAGAAUAAUGGUUGUUCCAUUUAUAUGAGUGAUGUGUUUUAUGGUCAUGCCCCGCUGGUCAAUGGUUUAUUCUUAAUGAAUCUCGAACGUAAUGUUACAGAUAUUCAUAGUGUGAGUACCAAAAUAUGUAAGGCUGAUAAUGAUAGCCCCACAUACUUGUGGCACUACCAUCUUGGUCAUAUCGGUGUCAAGCGCAUGAAGAAACUCCAUACAAAUGGACUUUGGAGUCUCUUGAUUUUGAAUCAUUUGACACAUGCGAACCGUGCCUCGUGGGCAAGAUGACCAAGACUCCAUUCUCCGGAACAAUGGAGCGAGCAACCAACUUGUUGGAAAUAAUACAUACUGAUGCAUGCGGUCCAGUGAGCGUCGAGGCUCGUGAUGGCUAUCGUUAUGUUCUCACCCUCACUGAUGACUUAAGCAGAUAUGGGUAUGUCUACUUAAUGAAACACAAGUAUGAAACUUUUGAAAAGUUCAAGGAAUUUCAGAGUGAGGUAUAGAAUCAAUGUGACAAGAAAAUAAAGUUCCUACAAUCUGAUCGUGGAGGGGAAUAUUUGAGUCACGAGUUUGGCACGCACUUAAGAAAAUGUGGAAUUGUUUCACAACUCACGCCACCUGGCACACCUCAGCGUAAUGGUGUGUCCUAACAUUGUAAUCGCACUCUAUUGGAUAUGGUGCGAUCUAUGAUGUCUCUUAUUGAUUUACCGCUAUCAUUUUUGGGAUAUGCAUUGGAAACUGUCGCAUUCACUUUAAAUAGGGCACCGUCUAAAUCUGUUGAGACGACACCGUAUGAAUUAUGGUUUGGAAAGAAACCUAAGCUGUCAUUUCUGAAAGUUUGGGGUUGCGAUGCUUAUGUGAAGAAACUUCAACCUGAGAAGCUCGAACCCAAAGCGAAAAAAUGCGUCUUCAUAGGAUACCCUAAGGAAACUAUUGGGUAUACCUUCUAUCUUAGAUCUGAAGGCAAAAUCUUUGUUGCCAAGAAUAGAUCCUUUCUAGUGAAAGAUUUUCUCUCGAAAGAAGUAAGUGGGAGGAAAGUAUAACUUGAUGAGGUAAUUGUACCUCCUCUCGAACCGGAGAGUAGCGCAGCGCAGGAAAAUGUUUAUGUGGAGCCUGCACUGACUAGAGAGGAAGUUAACGAUGAUGAUCAUGAAUCUUCGGAUCAAUUUGCUAUAAACCUCGAAGGUCCACAAGGACAUGUUCCGCACUAGAGUGGGACGGUGACCCUGUCAUGGAAAUCAUGUUGUUGGACAACAGCGAAACUUCGAACUAUGAAAAAGCGAUGGUGGGCCCGGAUUCCAACAAAUGGCUUAAAGCCAUGAAAUCUGAGAUAGGAUCCAUGUAUGAGAACAAAGUGUGGACUUUGGUGGACUUGCCUGAUGAUCGGCGAGCCAUAGAAAAUAAAUGGAUCUUUAAGAAGAAGACUGACGUGGAUGGUAAUCUGACCAUCUAUAAGGCUCGACUUGUCGCUAAGAGUUAUCGACAAGUUCAAGGAAUUGACUACGAUGAGACUUUCUCACCUAUAGCGAUGCUGAAGUCCGUCCGAAUCAUGUUAGCAGUUGUUGCAUUAUAUGAUUAUGAAAUCUGGCAAAUGGAUGUCAAAACGGCAUUCCUGGACGACUUUCUUAAGGAAUAAUUGUAUAUGAUACAACUAGAAGGUUUUGUCGAUCCUAAUAAUGCUGACAAGGUAUGCAAGCUCCAGCGCUCCAUCUAUGGGCUGGUGCAAGCAUCUCGGAGUUGGAACAUGCGCUUUGAUGAGAUGAUCAAAGCGUUUGGGUUUGUACAGACUUAUGGAGAAGCAUGUAUUUAUAAUAAAGUGAGUGGGAGCUCUGUAGCAUUUCUCAUAUUAUAUGUGGAUGUGAUAUUGUUGAUGGGAAAUGAUAUAGAACUGCUGGAAAGCAUAAAGGACUAUUUGAAUAAGAGGUUUUCAACGAAGGGCCUUGAAGAAGUUGCUUACAUAUUAGGCAUCAAGAUCUAUAGAGAUAGAUCAAGACGCCUCAUUGGUCUUUCACAAAGCACAUACCUUGACAAGAUAUUGAAGAAGUUCAAUAUGGAUAAGGCCAAGAAGGGGUUCUUGCCUGUAUUGCAAGGUGUGAGGUUGAGCACAACUCAAUGCCCGACCACGACAGAAGAUAGAGAAAAGAUGAGGACCGUCCCCUAUGCUUCAGCCAUAGGAUCUAUUAUGUAUGCCAUGUUGUGUACCAGACCCGAUGUGACCCUUUCCAUAAGUUUGGCACGGAGGUACCAAAGUGAUCCAGGAGUGGAUCAAUGGACAGCGGUCAAGAAUAUCCUUAAGUACAUGCAAAGGACUAAAGAUAUGUUUCUCGUUUAUGGAGGUGCCGAAGAGCUCGUCGUAAAGGGUUACAUCGAUGCUAGCUUCGACACAGAUCUGGAUGACUCCAAGUCACAAACCAGAUACGUGUAUAUUUUGAAUGGUGGGGCAGUCAGCUGGUGCAGUUGCAAGCAAAGUGUUGUGGCGGCAUCUACAUGUGAAGCGGAGUACAUAGCUGCUUCGGAAGCAGCACAAGAAGGAGUCUGGAUGAAGGAGUUCAUCACUCACCUAGGAGUGAUUCCCAGUGCAUCGGGCCCCAUGACUCUCUUCUGUGACAACACUGGAGCUAUUUCCAUUGCCAAGGAGCCCAUGUUUCACAAGAAGACCAAGCACAUCAAGCGUCGCUUCAACUCCAUUCGUGGAUACAUAUAGGAUGGAGAUAUAGAUAUUUGUAAAGUACAUACAGAUAUGAAUGUCGCAGACUCGUUGACUAAACCUCUUGCACGAGCGAAACAUGAUCAACACCAGAACUCUAUGGGUGUUCGAUUCAUCACAAUGUAACUAGAUAAUUGACUCUAGUGCAAGUGUGAGACUGUUGGAAAUAUGCCCUAGAGGCAAUAAUAAAUGGUUAUUAUUAUAUUUCCCUGUUCAUGAUAAUUGUCUAUUAUUCAUGCUAUAAUUGUAUUAAGCGGAAACCGUAAUACAUGUGUGAAUACAUAGACCACAACAUGUCCCUAGUGAGCCUCUAGUUGGCUAGCUCGUUGAUCAAUAGAUGGUCAUUGUUUCCUGAUCAUGGACAUUGGAUGUUAUUGAUAAUGGGAUCACAUCAUUAGGAGAAUGAUGUGAUGGACAAGACCCAAUCCUAAGCAUAACACAAGAUCGUGUAGUUCGUCUUCUAGAGAUUUUCUAAUGUCAAGUAUCGUUUCCUUAGACCAUGAGAUUGUGCAACCCCCGGAUACCGUAGGAGUGCUUUGGGUGUAUCAAAGGUCACAACGUAACUGGGUGAUUAUAAAGGUGCAUCACAAGUAUCUCCGAAAGUUUCCGUUGGGUUGGUACGAAUCGAGACUGGGAUUUGUCGCUCCAUGUGAAGGAGAGGUAUCUCUGGGCCCACUCGGUAAUGCAUCAUCAUACUGAGCUCAAUGUGACUAAGGAGUUAGCCACGGGAUGAUGUGUUACGGAAUGAGUAAAGAGACUUGCCGGUAACGAGAUUAAACAAGGUAUAGGUGUGACAGCCCGAGAUCAACGUUCCAGAAGAUUCCCCCUUUAUUUCCGUUUCCAUCGUGUGGUUAGUUUUAUUUGGUGGCAUCGUCAUUUAGUUUGCAUCAUCGCAUCAUGCAUGGCAUCAUGUCAACUGUGUUUUGUCGGUGUUGCUUGUUGCCGUGUUGUUGGGUGUUAGUGCUUUGUGAGUGGCGUUGUUUUGGAGUGAUGAGAGUGGGUGCGCGAGAGCCACCUCAAAGCCGUGUUGCACCGCGGACCUAAAACCUUCUCUCCCCUCUCUUUUCAUUUUUGUGGUUUUGCUAAAGUUUCCGUUUUAUCCCCUUAAAAAAUAAACGUAUUCUUUUAAAAAGGUCCUUUUAUUAAAUGUGGGGGCAACCCUUGGGUUUUAUUUUAUUUCUCCUUUUGUUUUAUUUUAAAGCCGUCUCAUUUUCUUUUCUCUUUUAAAGAGCUUUUAUUUAAUUCUUUGAAUAAAAGAGGUUUUAUUUUUUUUCUUGUCAAAAAGGAGUUUAGAUUUUAUUCUUUUGUGAAAGGGUUUUAUUUUUCUUUUCUCUUUUAAAGAGCAGCUGUUUGUAGCUGCUUGCACGAGCUUAGCUGUUGCCGUUGCUCUGCUGCGUGUUGUCCCGCUACUUGUUGUUGCCUGCAUGCCGCUGCUGCCGAUUGCUGCUGCUGGCAGUUGUUUGGAGAUGCUCUUGUUGAUGCGGCCAAGUGUUGUUGCCUUGUGUUGCUGCCGAUUUGUAGAUGCUGCUGCUGUAGCAAGCUAGGUAGUUGUUAGUUGGUUGCAUGAUGCUUGCGUUGCUUGCUAGCUGCUGCUUGUAGAUGCUACUAUAUGUUGUCGUAGCUUGCUGCUAAUUGAUGUGCUGUGGCCGAAGCUAGUUGUUGUAGUUGUUGUCGGUCGCUGCCCGCUAGAUGUUGUUGCGUUGCCUUGCCCUAUCGCCUUUCGGGAACUUCGCCGAAGACAGCGUGCACCAUCCCCGCCACCGUGGAAUCGACAAGUUCGCCGAGUACCACGACGUCCUCGACGACCCUGACCAUCUAUGGAGCGUGUUCGACUACCAAUGCGAAGACCGUGUACCGACGCCAAGAGUACGACUACCCUUGACGAGACCCGAGUACCGCGACUUCCUCUACGACCACGACGAUCUUUUUUCUCCUUCACCGAACCGAUCCGCUCCGAUCUGCACGCUUCGAAGGUAUACCGAUGGGACGUUGUCCUGUACCGAACGUAUAUGAUGUAUUAGAUGAAUGUAUGUUUGUCGGGACCCCGAUCCUAAGUCAUAGGAAUCCAUCCUGUAACACAUCGCAUCUCUUUGCGGUCUCACGCACGGUUAUCCCCACGGCUGCAACCUUACCUUAGCCGGGACCGUUUGCGGCUUUUGACUCGCGUAUGCAAUUGUGUCGCUAGCAAUCCAGUGACAGAGAACCCGGAUCGACAUGUCUAGUCAUAAACCAAAGCGGCAGUUCCGCACAAGGACAUGCAUAAAUGACCCAACAAAGCAGCUGUCGGUCACCAGCGAAUGUAGACGAGUCGUAGCAAGCUACAAGGACUCCAUUACAUCGCGUGACAUUUUCCCAAGAGGGACAGACACAGCAGCUAAGAAGGAUACAUGCCGGUCAACCAAUGUGUCUAGAGCAGUGCGAACUACCAUGACUCGUUGGAUCACAAAGGGCCAUUUCCCUGUAAGGAAUGCUACUAAAGCCUACGGCUAGGUAAUCGAACCCCAUACAUAUCAAGUACACCACACGUACGCAUGGCAUACUGAUAUGUAUAGAUACAUCGAUGGCAUCAUAACAUAACCAUGAACAUACAAACUUUAUUUAAAAGGCUUGGAAGAGCCUCACACAUAAUAUUACAUAGUAGGGGUCUCACGACCCAUCAUAACAGUCAAUCAAGUUACAAGCCAGCGGAAGUAAUUAAACCGUCUGAGUACAAACAGGUGAAACUAGAAGGCACAUGGCCUGACUAUACUACAAACCCACCCUAGGGCCAGAUCGUAGCUGGGAUACCAGCUACUCGUCGUCGUCGAUGUCUAGGUAGAACCCUCCAUUAGGGUCAUUAACAACCUCUGCAACAAAUUAUUAAGCAAACGUGAGUACAAGGGUACUCAGCAAGACUUUAGGAUAGCUAUCUACUCAUGCAAUGUAUCAAAAAGGAAUUGUGGGGUUUCAUGCAGAAAGCAAGCAUUUGACUCGUGGCUAGACAACAUGCAUUUUUAAAUAAUUUUGACAACUUGAUUUCUCGCACACGAGUCCACUAACACCACAACAAUACUCCAUCCUGGAAUCAUUCCGUCUCCAUACGGAAAUGCCGUCCACGACACUCACGCUUAUCUUGACAAUUUUAUGAGUAGCCAUUAAAGUUAUCUAUGAACAACAUAUGUCUCCAAGUAGUCCAUAUCCGUGGACGCGGCUAUUCGAAUAGAUCAUAACCCUGCAUGGGUGUACUUCUUCACACACGCUCUCGCCACUCAUCUCCAUGUGCACGUCAUGCACCUCGGCAACUUUCAUGCGGAAGCCCAGCGAGGGAGUCGGCCACGACCGUUAACCACGCUAAUACUUAGUCGAGGUCUAUCGCCUAUCCGAGGGUAACCCGCACGGAAGUCCGACCGAGGUUUCCGCCACGGCCCCAAACGAUGUGCGCAGGGUUCCCAAGCCCACCAUCCGGGUGCCACUUGGUACACCGUGCCACUGCCUACCGCAUCACAUCCCACCUCUCAGGUCAGCGCUAUGCACGGCCUCCAGCAUGACUAUAAACACCAGAAACUACUUGCAACUCCUGGACCGAGUACUAAGCGAUUAAUAAGUCGAGAGGGUCAAUUAAGUAUCCCAACGUGUGGUAGUAUCUAGUCUUGGAUUACAUACACGGAACUCGGUUCCUAAGGACGGUUCCAAUGAAACAACCCGCCAUGUACUCCUACAUAGCCUUUCACUGGUACCUUUACCAAAUCAGGUUCAACACACAACCUUUACUUACUGAACACCUUCUCAUAAUUAUGUUCAUCACCCAGAUGACAGACCAUACACAACUCUAAGCAUAGCAUGCAUAGCAGGAUAAGGCACAUCAUGGCUCAAGCAUCUAUCAGGUAUGCUAGGUUGCAAGGUUCAGCUAUUUACUGUGACAAAGACAGGUCAUGCAAAGGAAGUGGGUUCAACUAACGUGGCAAAAGCAUUUGAAGCAUUUGAUCCUAAUGCAAUAAGUAAGUGCAGGAGCGAGAACAUGGGAUUUAUCGGGAUGAUCAAAAUGGUUGCUUCCUUGUUGCUCAAUAGAGGGACAAUAUCCGUUAGUCGGAUAUUAUGUGGAAUCCAGAGGAGCAGAGCCUACCAAUAGAAAUGACAUCAAUCAAUAACAAUAAUAUGCAACAAAAUGAUGCAUGAGCAUGGCAUGAAGAUGCAUGGUGGUAUGCUAAUGUAGCUACCAUUAUUAGGUUGAAGUGGAUUUAAAUCAGAUUCAAAUAUCACUUCAAACGAGGUAUUCUUGAAUACCAUUUUAAUUGAUUCGACCUGAUGCUCAAAUCAACUUGUUUUUAUCAUGCAUGGGAAUGAUAUGUUAAGUUGCUGGUUGUGAUUGAACAAUGUUUGAUCAUAGCAUUUGAAGUGGAAUUCAAAUGAUUUUCAAAUUCCAACUCCAAAGCAUUUAUUAAAUUUAACCUAUUCAUCAUUUUACAUGUUUGGUCCAGUAACAUUUUCAAAAUGACAUAUUCAGAUUCCUUGGAUUUUUCUGAUACUUCUUCAUAUAUAAAUUAUUUUCAUUGGAGUUAUAGAUUAAUUUCUAUGAUUUUUAGAAGUUUUGGGAAUUUUCUGAAAUUCUUUUAAAUCAGAAAAACUACUUAUUGCAUCAGGCCCACGUCAGCAUGGCAUCAGCCGUCGGCCGACCUGGUCAGGUCAAACCCGACAGGGGGACCCACUGGUCAGCCUCACAGGGUUAACCCCGCGCUAACCAGCCCCUGAUUGCGUUUGACUUGCGUCUCGGGCCCACUGUCAGUGACUGCUUAGAGUAUAAACCGGCAGAUUAGCGAGGCGAGGUCAGAUCCUGCCGGAACUGACCGGUGGCGACAAGAUCUGCGGCGGAUCUUUGCCGGAGAGUCGCCAGAGAUGGCUGUGGUGCUCGGGAACGAGGGCCGAGAGCACUCGGAGGAUCCCCAGGCUCGGCUGUCACGCCCAAGAUGCGACCCUAUCCUCAAUUUGGCACGAGGGCCUCGUCAGGGAUAGAAGCGCAUCUCGUCGCGUCGCAAGAAUGGAUAUCGUUACAAGUACAUGUACUGAAAAGAAGAGUUAUAUAGAAUUGGCUUACACUCGCCACAAGCUACAUUAGUGUCACAUCAGUACAUUACAUAAUCAUCAAGAGUAAGAGCAGGGUCCGACUACGGACGAAAAUAAACGACAAAAGAAGAACAACGUCCAUCCUUGCUAUCCUAGGCUGCCGGCCUGGAACCCAUCCUAGAUCGAAGAAGAAGAAGCAACUCCAAAUGAACAAUCAACGCGCUCGCGUCAUGUAACCUUUACCUGUACCUGCAACUGGUGUUGUAGUAAACUGUGAGCCACAGGGGACUCAACAAUCUCAUUUCCAAAGGUAUCAAGACUAGCAAAGCUUAAUGGGUGAGGUAUGGUUAAGUGGUGAGGUUGCAGCACCGGCUAAGCAUAUAUAUUUGGUGGCUAACUUACGAGUAUCAGAAAUAAGAGGGGGAAGAUCUACGCAUAGCGGGCGUGAACUACAGAUGACCAAACGAAUGAUCCUGAACACCUACCUACGUCAGUCAUAACCCCACCGUGUCCUCGAUCGGAGAAGGAACUCACGAAAGAGACAGUCACGGUUACGCACACAGUUGGCAUGUUAUAAUUAAUUAUCUUCAAGUUAUCUAGAACCAGUGUUAAACAAAGUUUCCACGUUGCCACAUAACCGCGGGCACGGCUUUCCAAAAGAUUUAACCCUGCAGGGGUGCUCCAACUAGUCCAUCACAAAUUACCACAAGCCGCGUAGAAAUCCUCCAUCACGAAGCUCGCGAUCUCGUCGGAUUCCCUAAUGGAAAACCUCAACUCUGAGUUUACCCAAAGCAUCACCGGAAUCCCGAUGCACAAGAUAUCCCGUCAAAGGUAAAACUAAUCCAGCAAGGCCGCCCGACGUGUCGACGAUCCCGAUAGGAGUCGCGUACCUCGUUCUCAGGACACGACGGAUGGGUCACACUAGGAGUACCAAACCUCGGGUUGCCCCGCGGUGGCCCCGUAGUCUGCCAAUUUGGACCAACACUCAUGAGGAGCACUGGCCCGGGGGUUGAUUAAAUUAUCCUCGGGGUCCGGAAAGUCCCUUUGCAAUUUUUAUUAGGUGAUUAGGCAAAUGUAGUACCAAAGUUGGGCCUUGCCAGACCAGCUUUAAUCUAAAACGAAUUAUCAAGGGGGUCCCCAUAACGGCCCCGAUCGUGUUAGGAGCGCUCAUUUAUGGAACAUAACACCGGUAGCCGAAACUAAGGGGGCAAAGGUGGAACAAAACACCAGGCUAGAAAGGCCGAGCCUUCCACCUUUUACCAAGUAUAUAGGUGCAUUAAAUUAAAUAGCAUUUAAUAUGGUGAUAUAACAAGGAACCCAUGCUAUCACAUGGAAGCAACUGCACCUGCAACUAACAACGCUAUCAACAGGGUUAAGCAAGUAGUAACAUAGCCAAACAGUGGUUUGCUAGGUUGAACAGGUUGAAGGUUUCAUGGCAUUGUUGAGAUGCUGAAAUUUAACAGGUGGUAGGCAACGAGACGUAAUCGAUAGCAUCGAAAUAACUAGCAUGGCAAUAAUAGUAAUGGUAUCUGGGGAAAUGAUCAUCUUGCCUGAGAUCCCGCUUGGAAGAAGAAUGCCUCCGUGAAGCAGACGAACCGACGUAGUCGAACGGGUCCUCACAUUCCGGCACGCGUGCGGAACUCUAUCGAGACGGGGAAACCGGAAACAAGCAUCAACACACGAUAUUCACCACACGAUAAACAACACAUAUGAUGCAUGAGCUACUGAAUACAUGCAGGUCACGGCAAGACAAAACACACAAUCAAACACUACACAUUAAGUGAAGUUCAAUAUGCAACGAGUUGCAUAUUGACGAAACUUCACGUUAAUUAUUUAGUUCACUCCCGGUUAUCUACACGCAAUAUUAAUGUGGUUAAACAUGCAAGAGGUGAAGCGGAAAUUAAACUACCUAUCUAGGCAUUUUAAGUGAGGUCGGAAAUGACAUAUAGCACCUCCGAAAUGACCACACAUGCUAAAUUACAAUUCUGUCCAGUUCUGAAUUAAUGCAUUUAAUUGGUUGUUAAACAGCAAAACAAAUAGUUUACGUGAUUCUACGCGUCAAGGCAAGCAACCUACACGUAGAGAACAUCUCCAACGGAGCUACGGAUCAAAAGUUACGAGCUCCGCAAGAUAUGAUGGCAUGAAUGCGAUAUGUGUGCAACGACGGCUACGAGCGCUUCAAAACAAACAACCCACAAGAGAAAAUGAAACUACACAAGAUUCUAAGCAAGUUUCAUGUAGGACACGAUCAAAACGGAGCUACGGUUCAACAUCUACAGGCAAAACAAGAGAUAACUACAAACUGCCCAAAACAGCUACAUAGCAACUUCUACGCCUCACAACUCCGGCUACACAACUCCGAUAAACUCAAGCAAGGCAUGGCAUGAAAGAGGGCAAGACGCACUACUACAAACAACUAACAACAACUAACAUGGCAGCAAGGAGCACUAGGAAAAGAAGACACAAAAUGACACCUCACGCACUAUUUCAGACUUAGUGAACAUAUCACCUUCUGAAAGUGCAGUUUUCAGCCUAAAGCAAUAUUGACAGCAGCAAAGCCCUAAGCUACAGGUCUCCAAAUGACAUGAAAUUUAACAGCAUGCUAGAGAAACAUAAGGGGUACCACUAACUCCAUUGGUCCAACCCCAAAAGAGCUACAGAUCACAAGCUAGAAGCAAAACAAAACAGCAACAAAAUAAUAGCAGAUUCCAGACUUAGAAAUAUUUCAGCUCCUCUGAAACAGCACUAUUCAAGCAACUUGAGGGAAGUCAAACAACACCUAAACAUGCAUUUCUAUUGCAACCAAAAAUACCAGGGACUAAACAAAACAUCCAAGAUCAACUCUGUAGUUGACAACUCCGUCAAACGACGCACGGAUUAAAUCCUACGAAUUAAUCAAAAGGGCAACGUAGCAAAAUAUCUCGCGAACUAACUUCCUCGAAAGCUAAAACUAAUUGCACAGAAAAAUCCACGGGAUUUUUCUACCCCGAAAACAUAUAAAAUAAGUGGGGUUUGCAACUCAAAAUAACGCUACACAAUAAUGCGAGAUAAUACCUCUAAACGGGAAAAUAAACUACCGGCAAAACUCUACACGGAAAAAUACGAGUGACCGCUCUAAAAUACGUAGAAAUAUGGUCCCUAAAACAUGGACAUUAAAUCUAUGGCAUACGGGCAAUCCGGAUACACACGAAAAUUAACUACGGAACGAAACCUAUUGUAACAGCACGCAAAACAAAGCAUUAGGCACCCUAAACAGCGUUAAACAAAUAUGCAAGGUGGAUAACCGUGUUCUACUCGCGAAGCUACCCCAAAACGAUAUAUAACACGCUGCGAUCCGACUAACGGAACUAAAGAUACGGGCGUUUAAAAUCUAACCUCUUAUCUGGACUUAUAUUAAUUCCAAAUCAAGCUAAAAUCACAAAUGGGCCGAACGGGGUUCACACAGGUAAGGUGCGCAGGGGGCGAGGGAUAGCUACCUUGGCCACUUGGGCCUGGCCGGUUGGACAGGAGGCCGGCCUGGGGCAGCUCUACUGGGCCGAGGCGAGGCGAGGCCUACCCGGCUGCUGGGCCCGGCNNNNNNNNNNNNNNNNNNNNNNNNNNNNNNNNNNNNNNNNNNNNNNNNNNNNNNNNNNNNNNNNNNNNNNNNNNNNNNNNNNNNNNNNNNNNNNNNNNNNNNNNNNNNNNNNNNNNNNNNNNNNNNNNNNNNNNNNNNNNNNNNNNNNNNNNNNNNNNNNNNNNNNNNNNNNNNNNNNNNNNNNNNNNNNNNNNNNNNNNNNNNNNNNNNNNNNNNNNNNNNNNNNNNNNNNNNNNNNNNNNNNNNNNNNNNNNNNNNNNNNNNNNNNNNNNNNNNNNNNNNNNNNNNNNNNNNNNNNNNNNNNNNNNNNNNNNNNNNNNNNNNNNNNNNNNNNNNNNNNNNNNNNNNNNNNNNNNNNNNNNNNNNNNNNNNNNNNNNNNNNNNNNNNNNNNNNNNNNNNNNNNNNNNNNNNNNNNNNNNNNNNNNNNNNNNNNNNNNNNNNNNNNNNNNNNNNNNNNNNNNNNNNNNNNNNNNNNNNNNNNNNNNNNNNNNNNNNNNNNNNNNNNNNNNNNNNUUGGUGGGGUGCGGAAAUUGAGGAGGAUUUUGAGGAAGGCUGUCUAAAAAUUAAGGAGGAGGGGGUUUUUAUAGACAAAUGGGGGGCUCGGUUAACCGGAAUUUCGUUCCGGAUCCAACCGCGGGGUCGGAUUCGGAUGAUUCCGAACGCGGGUAUGGGUACGCGGCCGUGUUGUGUAGAUAUACGGAGACGAGAGGGAGAACGGGCGGUGCGGCAUGGUUUUAAAAAUACCGACAAACGUCCGACGAAUAACCGAAGACGGUGCCGCUACGGGCGACCGUUCGGGUACCAGACGGUCUCCGAUCGCGACGAAAUUCGACAGGCGACCUAGCUAUAACUAAUCAUGACCGCACGUCGAAUCCCAACCCGAUCAGAGAAAGUUUUAACCGCACUUUAAAAACAGGGUUCCAACGGUGCCGCCGGCGCGUGCGUGUGCGUUUGAGCUCGGAUCGGACAACGACGAGAACCGGCGACUACUAACGAAUGCAAGUUUUGAAAACGGGCGGCAACGGAGAUGCUGAUGCAAUGCUGAUGAUGCGCAUGAUGCGAUGAUGAUGCGGCCACUGAAAAUACCCACACGACGAAAACGGAAAGUAAAGGGGAAGCUUCUGGAACGUCGGCACCGGGCUGUCACAUCGGCCUCAUCCAGUACUGGCCUCAGGGAGGACUCGGGAGGACCGGAGGUCACCGACGACGAGCUGAGGCGAUGGCCGGAGCUCGGGCUCGUCGGUCUAGUUGUUAGGGUGCACGAAACCGAGGGGAAGAAGAGGGAAACUGGCGCGAGCUCACGGUGAAGGCAGUGGAAGGCUCGGAUGGCUCGGGGAGGCGCUGUGGGCGACGAAUCCAACGAAGCUCGCCGGCGGCCGAAGCUUGAAGACGACGGUGCCGAGGGCGUUGUAGGGCUCGGGGGAUCUUCUUCUUUGGCAGGGACGACCAGCUUGUCGAGGCGGAGCGAAUGGAGCACUCGGGGGGAAGAACCUGUGGCCAGAGGCUCGGGCAGCUCGAGCUCGAGCUCCUGUCAAUGGCGGCAGGAGGAGAGGUAGGAACCGAGAGGAGAGGGGAGGAAUGGGUAGCGGGGAUGGAUAGGGACGUGCUCGGGGAGGUUAUCCAUGCUGUCGCGCUGUCCUAGGGAGCACCGGAGCGUGCCACGGCGAAGCACGAGGUGGAGGAGCCGCCGUGGGUGUUCGCUCCUCUGCUAGAAGGCAGGAGGAAGAAGACGCCCCUGCCCUGGUGGGCUGGGCCUCCUUAGGGCGACACGUAAGCUCAUUUUCAUUUUUUUGGUUUUGUUUUCUGGUUUGCUAACUAUUUUGAUUUGCUAUUUAUUUCAGCUCCAAAAUAGUUUAUAAAAUAUUUUGAACACACCAGAAUAAUAGUUGGAAUAUUUCCAACCAUUCCUGAAGUUUUCAACAUUUUUGAAAACUUAAAGUUUUUGAAUUCAAAUUUAAACUUGAAUUCAGUGGCUUUUUGCAUUUAAAUAAAAUGCCAAAUCUGUUUUAAAAUGGUUUUCUUCCCUGAUUAUUUGUUUUCAUGAAUUAUCAGAAAAGUUGAACUUUUCUUGAGGCCAUUUUGGGUUCAUUGAUUUUAACAAGUUUGGAAUUACUUUGAAUUGAGAAGUGGCUAUGGUUUUUUUAGUUUUGCUUCACCACUUGCUUUGAUCUUGUUGCAAUUUCUUGGAUGAAAUGCAAUGAAGAUAUGAGCACAAUGCUAAACCUUGGUUAGGAUUCCAGGGAUGUGACAACUCACCCCACUCAAAAGAAUCUUGUCCCGAGAUUUAGAAGUCGUCGGGAAUAACGCGGGACACUCAAGUCGGAGACGAUCCUCUCAUAAUGAUUUGACCAUUGAACUUUAAGAAACUUGAGGUUUCGACGUCGAGUGGUACGCUCAGCUUGAUCAAGAAUACGCACAGGGUAUUCUCGGUAUGAAAGGUUAUCUUGAAGAUCAAGCGUUUCGUGGUCCACUUCACGGAUAGGAUCCGAAAAGCAACGCCUGAGUUGCGAGACGUGGAAGACAUCAUGAACCUUGGAAAGAUGCGAAGGAAGUUCCAAUUGGUAGGCAACUUCUCCUCGUUUGGCAAGAAUGCGAAAAGGACCAAUGUAACGAGGAGCCAAUUUGCCCUUGAUACCGAAUCGAUGGGUACCCUUCAAAGGUGUAACCCGAAGGUAAGCCUUCUCGUCAACUUCAAAGGUCACAGCCUUAUGAUGACGAUCAUAUUGGCUCUUUUGACGAGACUAGGCUGUUUUCAACUUUUCACGAAUAAUGCAAACCUGCUGUUCUGCAUCCUGGAUCAUAUCCGGGCCAAAGAGUUUCCUCUCUCCGGUUUCUGACCAAUUAAGAGGUGUUCGACAUCUUCGUCCAUAGAGAACUUCAAAAGGGGCUUUGCCCAAGCUUGAUUGAUAACUAUUGUUAUAAGCAAAUUCGGCGAAUGGAAGGCACUUCUCCCAAUUCAUACCGAACAAUAUAACACAAGCUCGGAGCAUAUCUUCUAGGACUUGAUUCACUCUUUCUACUUGACCACUUGAUUGAGGAUGGAAAGCAGUGCUAAAAGAUAAGUGAGUCCCCAUAGCAUUCUGAAAAAUUUCCGAGAAACGAGAAGUAAAGAUACUCCCACGAUCUGAGUUAAUCUCCACAGGAACACCAUGAAGAGACACUAUUCGAGAGAUACAUAACUCUGCUAGCUGGCUAGCUGAUAUACUCUCUCGAACUGGAAGAAAAUGAGCUACUUUGGAGAGACGGUCAAUGAUCACAAAGAUAGGAUUAUUUCCUUUCUUUGUCUUGGGAAAUCCGGUAAUGAAUUCCAUACUGACUUUAUCCCAUUUCCAUUCAGGAAUAGCUAAAGGUUGAAAGGUGCUAGCAGGCCUGUGAUGUUCUGCCUUAACUCGACGACAAACGUCGCAGUUAGCAAUGAACUCAGCAAUUUCUCUCUUCAUCCUAGUCCACCAAAACCUGUGGCGUAGGUCCUGAUACAUCUUAGUACUACCAGGAUGAAUGGUGAGAGGAUAAUAAUGAGCCUCCUUAAGGAUCAACUACCGCAGACGUUUGCUCUUAGGAACCACUAAACGGUUCUGAAAGAACACAACACCUUUCUCAUUGAUGGAGAAAUCCCUAGCGUUUCCGCUAGCAAUAUUCUCCUUGAUCCGGGAUAUACCCUUAUCAUAAGCCUGCACGGCUAUGAUUUGAUCCCUAAGAGUAGGCUUCGCCACCAGGGUAGAAAGAAAUCCUUGAGGAACAAUAUGAAGAUUUAACUUCCGAAAUUCCUCAUAGAGAUGUGGUUGACCUCGUUGUAGCAUCAAGUUGUUACAAUAAGACUUACGACUUAGUGCAUCAGCCAUAACAUUGGCCUUCCCCGGGGUGUAAGUUAUCCCUAAGUCGUAAUCCGUGAUCAACUCAACCCACUGUCUUUGCAUGAGAUUCAAAUCCGGCUGGGUGAAGAUAUAUUUCAGACUUUGGUGAUCACUGAAUAUUUUGCAACGAUUACCAAGAAGGUAAUGUCGCCAGGUUUUAAGUGCAUGGACUACAGCUGCAAGCUCAAGAUCAUGUGUGGGAUAAUUAUCCUCAUGUGGACGCAACUAUCGAGAUGCGUAUGCAAUCACCUGACGAUCUUGCAUGAGAAUGCAAUCUAAUCCUUGUCGCGAGGCGUCGCAAUAGAUAACAAAGUCCUUAGAAAAAUCUGGUGGUAGCAACACAGGUGCGGAAGUCAGGCGUCUUUUCAGUUCCUGGAAAUUAUGCUCACACUAUGGUGUCCACUCGAACUUUUUAUCUUUCUUGAGGAGUUCAGUUAGAGGCUUUGCAACCUUGGAGAAAUUCUCGACAAAGCGGCGGCAAUAGCUCGCUAGACCAAGAAAACUCCUAACUUGCUUAACCGAUUCAGGUUGAGUCCAAUCAAGGACAACUUGAACUCUCUCAGGAUUGACAGCAAUACCCUUACCAGAGAUUACGUGACCUAGAUAGGUCACUUAUGGUAACCAAAAUUCACAUUUUGAAAACUUGGCAUAAAGGCGAUGCUCUCAAAGUUUCAUCAAUACCAGCCUUAGAUGCUCGGCAUGUUCUUGUUCGUUCUUCGAGUAGAUGAGAAUAUCAUCGAGGUAUACCACGACGAAUUUAUCCAAAUACUCCAUGAAGACUGAAUUCAUCAAGCGAGAGAAGGCGGCUGGGGCAUUGGUUAAAUCGAAGGACAUGACGGUGUACUCGUAUUGGCCAUAACGAGUGACAAAAGCCGUUUUUGGAAUGUCCCCGUUCUUGAUCUUGAUUUGAUGGUAUCCCAACCUCAAAUCCAUUUUCGAGAAGAUUGAGGAUCCAGCGAGCUGAUCAUACAGGUCGUUGAUCCUGGGGAGCGGAUACUUGUUCUUUAUGGUGACCAGAUUCACUAGUCGGUAAUCUACAACCAUCCGAUCCGUUCCGUCUUUCUUCUUGACGAAGAGGACGAGACAAGCCCAAGGAGAAGAGCUAGGACGAAUGAAACCUUUAUUCAAGGCCUCAUCUAGUUGCUUCUUAAGUUCGGCUAGCUCCAGGGGUGCCAUCUUAUAUGGUCUUCUGGCUAUUGGAACAGUUCCGAGAACAAGAUCUAUUACGAACUCUACAUCUUUGUCACGUGGAAUUCCUGGCAGUUCCUGUGGAAAAACAUCCGGAAAGUCACGGACUACCGGAAUGUCUUCAAGUUCUGGAAGAGGGUUGACAUUGAGGGAGUAGAGUUGGCAUUUGGCAACUCGAGUAGCGACAUUGACUAUCUCACCUGAGGGAUGGGUAAGCUGAACAUUUCUGGAAUGAGUAUCAAUCUUGGCAUAGUGAGCUGACAUCCAGUCCAUACCCAAGAUGAUAUUAAUAUCCGAAGAUUUCAGGGCUAUCAAUGAUGCUAGAAAAACUAGCCUGUCUACUAGAAUUUCAUUGUCAUAGGUUAUCCUAGAGGUUUUCCACAUACUACCAGGAGUUUGGACAACCAAUAGAAUUGGCAUAUCACAGAAAGACAUCUUAUGCAACUGUGCAUAACUUUCUGAAAUGAAGGAAUGAGAAGACCCAAUGUCAAAAAGAACAGACGCUGGGUGAUGAUUAACAAGGAGCGUACCCAGUAUGACGUCGAGAUCCUCUGCAACUUCUUCUGCUGAAACAUAGUUCACACGACCAUGUGCAGGAGUUGGCUUCACAUAGUAAGCUUUGCCCGACGAACUUUCUGGGUUGCUUGGCACCCACAUUCCGAGGACACUCACGGGAAUAGUGCCCUGGUUCUCCACACUUGUAACACAUCACUUGGUUGGCACGUGGUGCGGCAUUGCUAGCUGGACCACCAUAGGUUUUUUGUUGGAGGGUUGGACUGAUUCGUCUGAGGCGCCACAUAAGAUGGCGUCGGAGUGUAUCUUGGCGGCAGAGAACUGUUUGGAACCCACAACCUGCGUUUUGGAAAUGUGGAACCAGAUGACAAGCCAAAAUCACGGGAGUGCUUCUUUGUGGCUUCGUAGUCGGUAUGACCAGUCUCGGCACUGAUCGCCUUGUUGACCAGGGCUUGGAAACUUGUACACUCAUGGAGGCGCAAAUCACGACGAAGCUCAGGGCUCAGACCCUUACGGAAUCUUGCUUGCUUCUUGGCAUCAGUAGACACCUCCUCUGUUGCAAAGCGAGCGAGGUUACCGAACUCGCGGCUAUAGGCAUCCACGGUCAACUUUCCCUAGGUGAAUGCACGAUACUCCUCUCUCUUUCUGUCCAUCAGGCCCUCUGGAAUAUGGUGCACACGGAAGGCUGCACUAAAGUCUGCCAUGUGACUGCUGGUUCAACAGGACACAUAGCUUCAAAGUUCUCCCACCACAGAUUGGUGGGUCCUUCCAGAAAAUACGCCACAAAGGUCACCUUGUCGGCCUCACAAACAUUCGCAGAGCGGAUCUUACGUGAAAUACUGCACAACCAAUCACCAGCGUCGUGGGGAUCGACGGAGUGAUGGAACUUUGGAGGAUUCAGCUUCACAAAGUCAUUGAGGGACACUACAGCAUUCCUAGGCUGACGAGCCAUAUUUUGCUCAAUACACUCUAAUAGUCGGUUGGUCUCCCUUUUGUUUCUCUCUGCCUCAAGCAUAACUUCCGCCAGAGAGGGCGGGUGAGGCAGUUCUUCCUGCGACGCUUGACUACCCUCGCCUUGCUCAUGAGCAGGGGCACGGUUCAAGCUGGUGAACACCAUCCUGACAAACAAACUCACAGCUUAGACCAAUAUCAUCAUCAAUACUAGCUAUGGAUUAAGAAUGCACUUAACACAUGGAAUGCGUAAAUGAAUAUCCGAACAGCAUGGUAACAAGCAACUGCUAUAUAUACACCAUGGUUCAUACACACCAUUACAUAGUUCAGUACAACCUUAACCGAAGAGCAAACUACUGAAGUUAUGAAACUACUCGUCAGAGGCUUACAAGCUUCCUAUACAUUAUUUAUCUAUGCCUCCGGAAUUCAUUUCACGACACAAGCAUACUUCACAAGUCACACAGGACUGUGAAAGUACAGCUACUACCAUACUAUCCUUCCACUCACGGUUCAGGCAUCGGCAUAGAACAUCUCAUAAAGAUUGCCUCCAUGGCCUGGAAGCUCAACCUAUGGAUCAGGAAAUACUCUAGCCUGAGAUCCCUCGGAUCCGUAAGGACACGGAUGUGGCCUUGGUCCCCUGACUAGUGGUAGUAGAGGUCCCCGAAGAGGGGUGACUCCUCCUAUAGCAGGCCAGUCAACAUGAGCUGGAAGAUGGGUCCUAACAGGCUUCAGCAUCUCCAUAUCUCCAUACCCUGUCUGGACUACAGGUGCCAGCUGCGUCAAAGCCGUCCACAGACGGGCACGUGUAGCAUAAAGCUCCAUGCGGAGGGCACGAGCAUCUGUGUCUCUAUUUUCUAGCAUCUCAGCAGUGGACUGCCGCAGCGGAUCCUCCAUAGAGGAAUCAAAGUAGACCAUGCUGAGGUAUCCUUCUUCACCUGGCUGAGAGGCAGGAACAUAGCAGAACUCUGAAUUCUGCAGCAGUGCAUGCCUAGCCCUCAUGAUGCUCAGCAUUGAAUAGGCAGCAUCUUGUACUACCAUGUCAACAGUGACUCCCAAUCCAUAAGACCAAUGGAUUGGCUCCUCAGCUCUAGGGUAAUCUGGAAAUACCCUAACAGUGCAGAUAUACUGGCUCUGGUUGAAGUCUCGGUACUGUUCCUCCAUUGUGUACUCUGGGUACCAGCGGUAACCGCACACCGACAUCACCCUGACUAGCAUGGCCGUAUGACCCGGCACAUCAAUGCACCUAGUCAGACGAACCACCUGACGAGAAGGACGGCCAGGCAUCUGUAAAUAGAGAGUAAUGCAAAAGCAUUAGAACUCUGAAUGCAAAAUUGGGCAGCAUAACGGCUGUAAAUGCUCAAAAACAAUUUUGAGACAACCCAUAAAAUAGAAUAGCGUAACCACUCAACUAUCAAGUUCAAUUCUCUGAUCAUCAAACCUACUUCCUUUUCCUAGGGAUAAAAGAAACCCAAAAUAACUCUCGACCCGUUGUCCUAUAAUCUACCGAUCAAAAACACGAGCCUAGAAGAAGAUGAGCAACCUAGUCCUUAAUUCCCGCAGAAAAGACGAGGAUGACCAGAAUAGAAUAUCUUGAGAAGAGAACAAGAGUCUUACGUUCCCUUCCACAAACAAUUCCCUUAUAUAUAACUAAAGAAAUUCUAGACUCAACUUCGACUAGUUUGGCUUAGUAAUCCUACAGUCAGUCAGGCUCUGAUACCAACAUUGUCGGGACCCCGAUCCUAAGUCAUAGGAAUCCAGUCUGUAACACAUCGCAUCUCUUUGCGGUCUCACGCACGGUUAUCCCCACGGCUGCAGCCUUACCUUAGCCGGGACCGUUUGCGCCUUUUGACUCGCGUAUGCAAUUGUGUCGCUAGCAAUCCAGUGAUAGAGAACCUGGAUCGACAUGUCUAGUCAUAAACCAAAGCGGCAGUUCCGCACAGGGACAGGCAUAAAUGACCCAGCAAAGCAGGUGUCAGUCACCGGCGAAUGUAGAUGAGUCGUAGAAAGCUACAAGGACUCCAUUACAUCGCGUGACAUUUCCCCAACGGGGACAGACACAACAGCUAAGAAGGACACAUGCCAUUCAACCAAUGUGUCCGGAGCAGUAGCGAACUACCAUGGCUCGUUGGAUCACAAAGGGCCAUUUCCCUGUAAGGAAUGCUACUAAAGCCUACGGCUAGGUAAUCGAACCCCAUACAUAUCAAGUACACCACACGUACGCAUGGCAUACUGAUAUGUAUAGAUACAUCGAUGGAAUCACAACAUAACCAUGAACAUACAAACUUUAUUUAAAAGGCUCGGAAGAGCCUCACACAUAAUAUUACACAACAGGGGUCUCACGACCCAUCAUAACAGUCAUUCAAGUUACAAGCCAGCGGAAGUAAUUAAACUGUCUGAGUACAGACAGGUGAAACUAGAAGGCACAUGGCCUGACUAUACUACAGACCCACCCUAGGGCCAGAUCGUAGCUGGGAUACCAGCUACUCGUCGUCGUCGAUGUCUAGGUAGAACCCUCCAUUAGGGUCAUUAACAACCUCUGCAACAAAUUAUUAAGCAAACGUGAGUACAGGGGUACUCAGCAAGACUUUAGGAUAGCUAUCUACUCAUGCAAUGUAUCAAAAAGGAAUUGUGGGGUUUCAUGCAGAAAGCAAGCAUUUGACUCGUGGCUAGACAACUUGCAUUUUUAAAUAAUUUUGACAACUUGAUUUCUCGCACACGAGUUCACUAAAACCACAACAAUACUCCAUCGUGGAAUCAUUCCAUCUCCAUACGGAAAUGCCGUCCACGACACUCACGCUUAUCUUGACAAUUUUAUGAGUAGCCAUUAAAGUUAUCUAUGAACAACAUAUGUCUCCAAGUAGUCCAUAUCCGCGGACGCGGCUAUUCGAAUAGAUCAUAACCCUACAGGGGUGUGCUUCUUCACACACGCUCUCGCCACUUAUCGCCAUGUAUUCAAAUAGAAGGCAUGAGGAAGAAGACGCCCCUACCCCUGGUGGGCUGGGCCUCCUCACGGCGACAGGUAAGCUCCUUUUCAUUUUUUCUGUUUUGUUUUCUGGUUUGCUAUCUAUUUAGAUUUGCUAUUUAUUUCAGCUCCAAAAUAGUUUAUAAAAUAUUUUGAACACACCAGAAUAAUAGUUGGAAUAUUUCCAACCAUUCCUGAAGUUUUCAACAUUUUUGAAAACUUAAAGUUUUUGAAUUCAAAUUUAAACUUGAAUUCAGUGGCUUUUUGCAUUUAAAUAAAAUGCCAAAUCUGUUUUAAAAUGGUUUUCUUCCCUGAUUAUUUGUUUUCAUGAAUUAUCAGAAAAGUUGAACUUUUCUUGAGGCCAUUUUGGGUUCAUUGAUUUUAACAAGUUUGGAAUUACUUUGAAUUGAGAAGUGGCUAGGUUUUUUUUAGUUUUGCUUCACCACUUGCUUUGAUCUUGUUGCAAUUUCUUGGAUGCAAUACAAUGAAGAUAUGAGCACAAUGCUAAACCUUGGUUAGGGUUCCAGGGAUGUGACAAUGUUGCACCGUAUGUUUGCCCAUUGCACGGUGUCUCUCUUUCGUUGCGCCCUCGACACAUGGGAACCCGGUAACUGCGAUCACCCCAUCUUUAUUUAACGUUCUCGCACACGCUUCCAGUACGUUGGCACGAUAUCUCGACGAGUUAUCGGGAUGGAAACGUUGUCGUGGCUUCAUUUCCUUUUGCCGCCAUGGUUCCCUCUCGUUCGCCGUGGCGACACAUGUUUCUUUCUCGUCUUGCCGUGUCGUUUGAACUCGCAUGCAUGACGCAUUCAUGGCAUAUAUCGUGUGUUGCAUGUCUCUUGUAUCGUAGCUCCGUUCUAAGUCCCGCGUGCUAUCGACUAGUAUGUCUGGUAAAAUCACGCGCUUCACUCCUUGCCAUGUUAAAAAAACAUUUAAUAUUGCCGUGUAAAUUAACUUGACUGAACUAAAUAAUUAGUCGUGGAGUUUCGUCGAUAUGCAACCCGUUGCAUAUCGAGCUUCACUUAAUGUGUAGUGUUUGCAUGAGGUGAUUUGCCAUGCCAUCCCUUGUAUUUUGAACUCAUCACGCAUCAUAGUAGGUUGUGCAUCAUGUUGUGCAUCGUGUGGUGAAUAUCUGUGUUGAUGUUUGUUUCCGAUUUGCCUCGUCUCGAUAGAGUUCCGCAAGCGUGUCGGAAUGUGAGGACCCGUUCGACUACGUUGGUUCGCCGACUUCUCGGAGUUGUACUUCUUCCAAGCGGGAUCUCAGGCAAGAUGACCAUUUCCCCAGAUACCAUUACUAUCAUUGCCAUGCUAGUUUUACCGCUUCUAUCGUUUAUGUCCCGUUGCCUGCCACAUGUUAAAUAUCAGCCUCUCAACAAUGCCAUGAUAACCUUCAACCUGUUCGACCUAGCAAACCUCUGAUUGGCUAUGUUACCGCUUGCUUAACCAUGCUGUUAGCGUUGCUAGUUGCAGGUGCAGAUGCUUCCGUGUGAUAACAUGGGUUCCUUGUCAUAUCACCAUAUUUAAAUGCUAUUUAAUUUAAUGCACCUAUAUAUUUGGUAAAAGGUGGAAGGCUCGUCCUUUCUAGCCUGGUGUUUUGUUCCACCUUUGCCCCCUUAGUUUCGGAUACCGGUGUUAUGUUCCAUAAAUGAGCGCUCCUAACACGAUCGGGGUUGUUAUGGGGACCCCCUUGAUAAUUCGUUUUAGAUUAAAGCUGGUCUGGCAAGGCCCAACUUUGGUACUACAUUUGCCUAACAACUAAUAAACUGCAUAGGGAGUAAUUAACCCGAGGAAAUUUAAUCAACCCCCGGGCCAGUGCUCCUCAUGAGUGUUGGUCCAAAAUGGACAGACUGCGGGGCCACCACGGGGCAACUCGAGGUUUGGUACCUGUAGGCUUUUCCAUCCGUCGUGUCCUGAGAACGAGGUACGCGACUCCUAUCGGGAUCGUCGACACGUCGGGCGGCCUUGCUGGAUUAGUUUUACCUUUGACGGAAUAUCUUGUGCAUCGGGAUUCCGGUGAUGCUUUGGGUAAACUCAGAGUUGAGGUUUUCCACUAGGGAAUCCGACGAGAUCGUGAGCUUCGUGAUUGAGGAUUUCUAUGUGGCUUGUGGUAAUUUGUGAUGGACUAGUUGGAGCACCCCUGCAGGGUUAAAUCUUUUCGGAAAGCCGUGCCCGCGGUUAUGUGGCAACGUGGAAACUUUGUUUAACACUGGUUCUAGAUAACUUGAAGUUAACUUAAUUAAAACUUGCCAACUAUGUGCGUAACCGUGACUGUCUCUUUCAUGAGUUCCUUCUCCGAUCGAGGACACGGUGGGGUUAUGUCUCGCGUAGGUAGGUGUUCAGGAUCAUUCAUUUGAUCAUCAGUAGUUCACGUCCGUUAUGCGUAGAUCAUCCCCCUCUUAUUUCUUGUACUCGUAAGUUUAGCCACCAAAUAUAUGCUUAGCCGCUGCUGCAACCUCACCACUUAACCUUACCUCACCCAUUAAGCUUUGUUAGUCUUGAUACCUUUGGAAAUGAGAUUGUUGAGUCCCCUGUGGCUCACAAAUUACUACAACACCAGUUGCAGGUACAUGUAAAGGUUACUUGACGCGAGCGCGUUGAUUGUUCAUUUGGAGUUGCUUCGUCUUCUUCUUCAUCAUCGAUCUAGGAUGGGUUCCAGGUCGGCAGCCUGGGAUAGCAAGGAUGGACGUCGUUCUUCUUUUCUCAUUUGUUUUCCUCCGUAGUCGAACCCUACUCUUCUUCAUGAUGAUUAUGUAUUGUACUGAUGUGACUCUGAUGUAGCUUGUGGCGAGUGUAAGCCAAUUCUAUUUAUAUAUCUCUUCUUUUCAGUACAUGUACUUGUAACGAUAUCCAUUCUUGCGACAUGACGAGAUGCGCUUCUAUCCCUGAUGAGGCCUUCGUGCCAAAUUAAGGAUAGGAUUGCAUCUUGGGCGUGACAAGUUGGUAUCAGAGCAGUACCGGCCUAGGAGCCCUCUUGAUUGAUCGAACUUGGCCGAGUCGAGUCUAGUGAAAAAAUACUUUGAGUCUAGUUAUAUAUCGGAGAGUAGGAUUCUUUUUUCUCCUCUUCUUUGCUCUGGUGAGGAAUCUUGACGUAAUAAUUUAUUCUACUCCUCUUCUCACUCAAAAAAAAUUUAGGAUCACGCGGAUAUUUUUGGGAUCUAUAUGAUGCCAAUGUGACGGAGUUCUGUCUUGGUGCCUCCUGUCUGAUUUGAUUUUCUUCCGGGGAGUUGAGCUCCAGGGGAUUCUUGAGCACAUCGUUAUCAUUCAGGUUUCUUAGUAUCUCAGAAUGAAGGAUGUUCGUAAUUUCUUCAAUACUAGUAGUGGCGAGAUAACCCCGAUGUCCCCAAUACUGAUGCAGAUUGUUCGGGAGUACUGCCAUACUUUUUAUUGUUGUGAUCACGAGGGUCUGUUGUAGAUGAAGGUCCGAGAUUCUGGUUGUGUGUUGAGGGAUGUGAUACAGGUGACGGGUUAGUAUAGGAGUUGUGUGACAUUACUCCUUGUAUCCGUGUACCAGAUUGCAUGACCAUAUAUUUCGGGAAUUCUUAGGUGGGAAUUCAAGUAGUUACUUAUAGGACGAUCUUCCAACAAAUUCGUGUUGCUUCGAUGUCAAGUGGUGAUUUCAGAUCUUUCCUAAGUGGUGUUCUCAUAUUUUUAUGUGGGAAUGCAAAUUCUUUUGUUCGUUCAAAUUGUCAUAUCAAUUCUUGUCUACCGGAGUUGUCAUAUCAAUUCUUUUCCAACCGGUGUGCUUCUCUUCAGUGAAUUCAAUCCUCUCUAAUUUUGCAGGUCAUUCUCUCAAUUCUUUCCGGAGUUAUCUCAUCUGUCUCAAGUUGUCUUUGUUUUUCCCCGCCCUCCCACCUUUUUUCUUCAAUGAUUCAAUUUUCAUCCAAGAGUUUUCUUUUCAUUGUGCUUCCGCUGUCUGUUCUUUUCUCUCUUACCCGGUGAUUCAUUGUGAAGAUUCUCAGGAAAUUCGUAUCAUAUUUGUUCAUUUUUGUCAUCCUUACCGGUGAUUUAAUUCAGUUGUUCGUGUUCAUCAUAUCCUAUUCAUCCUUGUAAUUCUUUCCUGUGUUGGAAAUUCUUAUCAGCCUAUCUUGCUUUUCAUUCCUCUCUUUUCUAUCCGGAGUGUUGAAGACAGCCCACUAGUUUCUUGUUUUCAAUUCUUUCAAUUAUUUCGAGGUGCUAACCUCAUCUAGUUCUCUUCAUACCGGUGCUAUAUCAAUCUUUUCUAACGGUGGUUUCUUUGAGUGGGCCCAUAACCCACAUGUUUUCCCAGGAUCUUUCCUGGCUCUUUUAAUCUUUUCCUGGAGAUCUCUAAUUCUUUUCAACUAUGACGUAAGUAUGUUUUCCAUCAGUCAUAUCCCUUCGUCAAGAUCUAUUUGAAUUAAUUCUCAUAUUGGUUCAACCUUUCAUUCUUCUUUAUCCCGGAGUGUCUCAUUAAUUUUUGGUGGUGUUGUUCUCGUCAUCAUUCUCAGCUUGCAAAUUUGAAGGAGUGUUUCUCUCAGUCUUGUUCCAUUCUUGUGAAGACUGUCAUCUCAGCUUCGUGUAUCCUCUCAUUUGUUGUCAAUCAUGAGUGAUCCCUUUCUUGCUAUCCGGUGCAUUUCUGAGUUGUUUUUAUUUCUCGUUCCUCCGAAGGCCAUCAUUUUAGAAGAUUCUUCGUUCUCAGUUUGCAACUUUCGUUCUCUAAUUCUUCUCCAUUGUGGUUUCUUCGUUCGUCUCUCGUUUAUCCGGUGCCUUGUUCUAGUUUUCUCUCGGGUGGCUCAUGAUCUCUUCAUUCUCAUGUAUCUCCAUUAAUUCGUGGUGUUCCCAUUUAUUUGUGAAUUCUUACCGGUGCUUCCUUCAAUUUUGCCUCAAGUGGUGCUUAUCUCUCUUCCUCUUCAAGAUUCUUUCAAGAAUAAGUGGCAUGCUAAAUCCGUUGCUUGUCAUCAAUUAAACUUGAUGAAGGAUUAUCAUAACAUAAUUCUUAUUCUUGUUUCAUCAAAUGAUUUCAAUUCUUCUUCCGGAGUGGCUCAUGAUAUCAAUUCCUUUUCUCAAGUGUUCUUAUCUUUUCUUUUCCGGAGUUCCAAGUUUUAUCAAGUAUCUCUUUGUGAAGCUUCAUCUAAAUCUUGGCAAGGUCAUAAUCUUAUUCUUUUCUACCUUCAUAUCUUGCAACAUCCUUUUGUUACGGAGGUCCUUCUUGGUGGUUCAUCAAGAUUUCAUUCAUUUUGAAGUGUACUUCAACAUUCCUGUUGGAGUAUCUCAAGUUUUCUUCUCUUGCAUUUCCAAGUGCAUUGUUCUUCCUUUAUCAUUUGAGGUGGUAUUAUAGCAUUCUUGUUAGUGUAGGAGUCUCGAAGAGUUUUUCCUUUCAAGUAUGAGAUAAUUAAAUCCACCAAUUCUUUGGUCAUGAGAUAUUUUCAACCCAUGAUUUCUUCAUUGAGCUAUUUUGGGUUGGAUUUCACCUAAAGCUUUUCCUAUGGAUUAUGCUAUCAUGGUGCUUGUCAUUAAUCCCAGUUCUCAAUGUAUCCUCUUGGUGUAAGAAGUUUUGAUAUCUUUGCUUUCAUCUGUCCUUGUUUCUUUUAGUGGUUGGUGGUCACCUCAUAGAUGUUGAGAUGAUUUUCAUAAGCCCACUACUUUCUUGUUCUUUUCGUUGUUGGUUUUCCAACUACUACGUCAAUUCUCCGUCCGGAGGCUCUUCAAUUCUAUUGUGAUGAUAAUUGGCAUUCUUUCUUCAUCCUCUUCUUCUGCUUGAGCUAGUUCCUAUUCUAUUGUUCCGGAGGCAUUGCGUUGUUGCUCUUUUGGGUCAAUCAUGUUGUUCUAUCAAGAUCAUGGUGUUCCCUUGUUAUAUUUAGUUGUUGGCUGUGAAUAUUGUCUAUUUCUUCCAUCUUAUCGAAUUUUUUGUCCCUUUUUCCUACCGAAGUGCUACCGAAAUUUUCCGUGAAUUCUUUCUUCUUCUCAUAUCAUUCCUCAUCUCUUUGCAACCUUCAAAGAUCGUUGGUUUCACUCGUUUGUCAAGAUGCGACUUAGUUUUACCUCUUGCUUUCUUAUCCUCUCCCCCCUUUCAUUCUUGGAUCUCGGGGCGAGAUCCUCUUGUAGUGUAGGAGAGUUGUGACAGCCCGAGACCGACGUUCCAGAAGAUUCCCCCUUUAUUUCCGUUUCCAUCGCGUGGUUAGUUUUAUUUGGUGGCAUCGUCAUUUAGUUUGCAUCAUCGCAUCAUGCAUGGCAUCAUGUCAACUGUGUUUUGUCGGUGUUGCUUGUUGCCGUGUUGUUGGGUGUUAGUGCUUUGUGAGUGGCGUUGUUUUGGAGUGAUGAGAGUGGGUGCGCGAGAGCCACCUCAAAGCCGUGUUGCACCGCGGACCUAAAACCUUCUCUCCCCUCUCUUUUCAUUUUUGUGGUUUUGCUAAAGUUUCCGUUUUAUCCCCUUAAAAAAUAAACGUAUUCUUUUAAAAAGGUCCUUUUAUUAAAUGUGGGGGCAACCCUUGGGUUUUAUUUUAUUUCUCCUUUUGUUUUAUUUUAAAACCGUCUCAUUUUAUUUUCUCUUUUAAAGAGCUUUUAUUUUAUUCUUUAAAUAAAAGAGGUUUUAUUUUAUUUUCUCUUGUCAAAAAGGAGUUUAGAUUUUAUUCUUUUGUGAAAGGGUUUUAUUUUAAUUCUUAAAAGAAGGUUUCAUUUUUUUAUUUGUUUUAAAAAACCCAAGCUAUUUUUAUAGUUGGGGUAUAUUUUUCGAAGGUGCCAAAAGCAUUAUUUUUAUUUUUCUUACUUUGUUAAAAGCUUUUCUUUUGUUUGGGUUUUUCUGUUUUAAAAAAAACAGCAAAGAGGGAGAGGAGCCCACCCAGCCUUAGUGCCACCAGGCCCAAGGCCCAGAGCCAACCAGCCUCGUCAGCCCUAGCGACGCAGCCCCCUCGUCCCUCGUCCCUCGUCCUCCCCGUGCGCCGUUCCCUCCUCCUCCCGAUCUCGUCCCAUCUCUCUCUCCCCCGAUUCCCCUCUCCUCCACCUAGGUCGCCGCCGUGCUCGCCUCCCCAUGGCUCCCUCGCCGCGCUGCGCCCUGCCGGUGCCCGUGCGCGCCUACCUAUCCCCUCGACCUCGCCCCUCCNNNNNNNNNNNNNNNNNNNNNNNNNNNNNNNNNNNNNNNNNNNNNNNNNNNNNNNNNNNNNNNNNNNNNNNNNNNNNNNNNNNNNNNNNNNNNNNNNNNNNNNNNNNNNNNNNNNNNNNNNNNNNNNNNNNNNNNNNNNNNNNNNNNNNNNNNNNNNNNNNNNNNNNNNNNNNNNNNNNNNNNNNNNNNNNNNNNNNNNNNNNNNNNNNNNNNNNNNNNNNNNNNNNNNNNNNNNNNNNNNNNNNNNNNNNNNNNNNNNNNNNNNNNNNNNNNNNNNNNNNNNNNNNNNNNNNNNNNNNNNNNNNNNNNNNNNNNNNNNNNNNNNNNNNNNNNNNNNNNNNNNNNNNNNNNNNNNNNNNNNNNNNNNNNNNNNNNNNNNNNNNNNNNNNNNNNNNNNNNNNNNNNNNNNNNNNNNNNNNNNNNNNNNNNNNNNNNNNNNNNNNNNNNNNNNNNNNNNNNNNNNNNNNNNNNNNNNNNNNNNNNNNNNNNNNNNNNNNNNNNNNNNNNNNNNNNNNNNNNNNNNNNNNNNNNNNNNNNNNNNNNNNNNNNNNNNNNNNNNNNNNNNNNNNNNNNNNNNNNNNNNNNNNNNNNNNNNNNNNNNNNNNNNNNNNNNNNNNNNNNNNNNNNNNNNNNNNNNNNNNNNNNNNNNNNNNNNNNNNNNNNNNNNNNNNNNNNNNNNNNNNNNNNNNNNNNNNNNNNNNNNNNNNNNNNNNNNNNNNNNNNNNNNNNNNNNNNNNNNNNNNNNNNNNNNNNNNNNNNNNNNNNNNNNNNNNNNNNNNNNNNNNNNNNNNNNNNNNNNNNNNNNNNNNNNNNNNNNNNNNNNNNNNNNNNNNNNNNNNNNNNNNNNNNNNNNNNNNNNNNNNNNNNNNNNNNNNNNNNNNNNNNNNNNNNNNNNNNNNNNNNNNNNNNNNNNNNNNNNNNNNNNNNNNNNNNNNNNNNNNNNNNNNNNNNNNNNNNNNNNNNNNNNNNNNNNNNNNNNNNNNNNNNNNNNNNNNNNNNNNNNNNNNNNNNNNNNNNNNNNNNNNNNNNNNNNNNNNNNNNNNNNNNNNNNNNNNNNNNNNNNNNNNNNNNNNNNNNNNNNNNNNNNNNNNNNNNNNNNNNNNNNNNNNNNNNNNNNNNNNNNNNNNNNNNNNNNNNNNNNNNNNNNNNNNNNNNNNNNNNNNNNNNNNNNNNNNNNNNNNNNNNNNNNNNNNNNNNNNNNNNNNNNNNNNNNNNNNNNNNNNNNNNNNNNNNNNNNNNNNNNNNNNNNNNNNNNNNNNNNNNNNNNNNNNNNNNNNNNNNNNNNNNNNNNNNNNNNNNNNNNNNNNNNNNNNNNNNNNNNNNNNNNNNNNNNNNNNNNNNNNNNNNNNNNNNNNNNNNNNNNNNNNNNNNNNNNNNNNNNNNNNNNNNNNNNNNNNNNNNNNNNNNNNNNNNNNNNNNNNNNNNNNNNNNNNNNNNNNNNNNNNNNNNNNNNNNNNNNNNNNNNNNNNNNNNNNNNNNNNNNNNNNNNNNNNNNNNNNNNNNNNNNNNNNNNNNNNNNNNNNNNNNNNNNNNNNNNNNNNNNNNNNNNNNNNNNNNNNNNNNNNNNNNNNNNNNNNNNNNNNNNNNNNNNNNNNNNNNNNNNNNNNNNNNNNNNNNNNNNNNNNNNNNNNNNNNNNNNNNNNNNNNNNNNNNNNNNNNNNNNNNNNNNNNNNNNNNNNNNNNNNNNNNNNNNNNNNNNNNNNNNNNNNNNNNNNNNNNNNNNNNNNNNNNNNNNNNNNNNNNNNNNNNNNNNNNNNNNNNNNNNNNNNNNNNNNNNNNNNNNNNNNNNNNNNNNNNNNNNNNNNNNNNNNNNNNNNNNNNNNNNNNNNNNNNNNNNNNNNNNNNNNNNNNNNNNNNNNNNNNNNNNNNNNNNNNNNNCUCGCCCCAUGCCGAGGUGCUGCCACCGUUUUGCUGUAGCUGCUUGCAUGAGCUUAGCUGUUGCCACUACUCUGUUGCCUGCUGUCCCGCUGCUUGCUGUUGCCUGCAUGCCGCUGCUGCCAAUUGCUGCUGCUGGCAGUUGUUUGGAGAUGCUCUUGUUGUUGCGGCCAGAUGUUGUUGCCUUGUGUUGCUGCCGAUUUGUAGAUGCUGCUACUGUAUCAAGCUUGGUAGUUGUUAGUUGGUUGCCUGAUGCUUGCGUUGCUUGCUAGCUGCUGCUUGUAGAUGCUACUAUAUGUUGUCGUAGCUUAUUGCUAAUUGAUGUGCUGUGGCCGAAGCUAGUUGUUGUAGUUGUUGUCGGCCGCUGCCCGCUAGAUGUUGUUGCGUUGCCUCGCCCUAUCGCCUUUCGGGAACUUCGCCGAAGACAGCGUGCACCAUCCCCGCCGCUGUGGAAUCGACAAGUUCGCUGAGUACCACGACGUCCUCGACGACCCCGACCAUCUUCGGAGCGUGUUCGACUACCGAUGCGAAGACCAUGUACCGACGCCAAGAGUACGACUACCCUCAACGAGACCCGAGUACCGCAACUUCCUCUACGACCACGACGAUCUUUGUUCUCCUUCACCGAACCAAUCAGCUCCGAUCUGCACACUUCGAAGGUAUACCGAUGGGACGUUGUCGUGUACCGAACGCAUAUGAUGUAUGAGAUGAAUGUAUGUUGCACCGUAUGUUUGCCCGUUGCACGGUGUCUCUCUUUCGUUGCACCCUCGACACAUGGGAACCCGGUAACCGGGAUCACCCCAUCUUUAUUUAACGUUCCCGCACACGCUUCCAGUACGUUGGCACGAUAUCUCGACGAGUUAUCGGGAUGGAAACGUUGCCGUGGCUUCGUUUCCAUUUUGCCGCCAUGGUUCCCUCUCGUUCGCCGUGGCGACACAUGUUUCUUUAUCUUCUUGCGAUGUUCUUUGAACUCGCAUGCAUGACGCAUUCAUGGCAUAUAUCGUGUGUUGCAUGUCUCUUGUGUCGUAGCUCCGCUCUAAGUCCCGCGUGCUAUCGACUAGUAUGUCAGGUAGAAUCACCCGCUUCACCCCUUGCCAUGUUAAAAAAACAUUUAAUAUUGUCGUGUAAAUUAACAGGAGUGAACUAAAUAAUUAGUCAUGGAGUUUCGUCGAUAUGCAACCCGUUGCAUAUCGAGCUUCACUUAAUGUGUAGUGUUUGCAUGAGGUGAUUUGCCAUGACAUCCCUUGCAUUUUGAACUGAUCACGCAUCAUAGUUGGUUGUGCAUCAUGUUGUGCAUCGUGUGGUGAAUAUCUGUGUUGAUGUUUGUUUUCGGUUUGCUCUGUCUCGAUAGAGUUCCGCAAGCGUGUCGGAAUGUGAGGACCCGUUCGACUACGUUGGUUUGCCGACUUCUCGGAGUUUUCUUCUUCCAAGCGAGAUCUCAGGCAAGAUGACCAUUUCCCCACAUACCAUUACUAUCAUUGCCAUGCUAGUUUUACCGCUUCUAUCGUUUAUGUCUCGUUGCCUACCACAUGUUAAAUAUCAGCCUCUCAACAAUGCCAUGAUAACCUUCAAGCUGUUCGACCUAGCAAACCACUGAUUGGCUAUGUUACCGCUUGCUUAACCAUGUUGUUAGCGUUGCUAGUUACAGGUGCAGAUGCUUCCAUGUGAUAAAAUGGGUUCCUUGUCAUAUCACCAUAUUUAAAUGCUAUUUAGUUUAAUGCACCUAUAUACUUGGUAAAAGGUGGAAGGCUCGGCCUUUCUAGCCAGGUGUUUUGUUCCACCUUUGCCCCCUUAGUUUCGGCUACCGGUGUUAUGUUCCAUAAAUGAGCGCUCCUAACAUGAUCGGGGUUGUUAUGGGGACCCCCUUGAUAAUUCGUUUUAGAUUAAAGCUGGUCUGGCAAGGCUCAACUUUGGUACUACAUUUUCCUAACAACUAAUGAACUGCAUAGGGAGUAAUUAACCCGAGGAAAUUUAAUCAACCCCCGGGCCAGUGCUCCUCAUGAGUGUUGGUCCAAAAUGGACAGACUGCGGGGCCACCACGGGGCAACUCGAGGUUUGGUACCUGUAGGCUUUUCCAUCCGUCGUGUCCUGAGAACGAGGUACGCGACUCCUAUCGGGAUCGUCGACACGUCGGGCGGCCUUGCUGGAUUAGUUUUACCUUUGACGGAAUAUCUUGUGCAUCGGGAUUCCGGUGAUGCUUUGGGUAAUCUUAGAGUUGAGGUUUUCCACUAGGGAAUCCGACGAGAUCGUGAGCUUCGUGAUUGAGGAUUUCUAUGUGGCUUGUGGUAAUUUGUGAUGGACUAGUUGGAGCACCCCUGCAGGGUUAAAUCUUUUCGGAAAGCCGUGCCCGCGGUUAUGUGGCAACGUGGAAACUUUGUUUAACACUGGUUCUAGAUAACUUGAAGUUAACUUAAUUAAAACUUGCCAACUAUGUGCGUAACCGUGACUGUCUCUUUCAUGAGUUCCUUCUCCGAUCGAGGACACGGUGGGGUUAUGUCUCGCGUAGGUAGGUGUUCAGGAUCAUUCAUUUGAUCAUCAGUAGUUCAAGUCCGUUAUGCGUAGAUCAUCCCCCUCUUAUUUCUUGUACUCGUAAGUUUAGCCACCAAAUUUAUGCUUAGCCGCUGCUGCAACCUCACCACUUAACCUUACCUCACCCAUUAAGCUUUGCUAGUCUUGAUACCUUUGGAAAUGAGAUUGCUGAGUCCCCUGUGGCUCACAGAUUACUACAACACCAGUUGCAUGUACAGGUAAAGGUUACUUGACGCGAGCGCGUUGAUUGUUCAUUUGGAGUUGCUUCUUCUUCUUCUUCAUCGAUCUAGGAUGGGCUCCUGGCCGGCAGCCUGGGAUAGCAAGGAUGGACGUCGUUCUUCUUUUCUCUUUUGUUUUCGUCCAUAGUCGGACCCUGCUCUUCUUCAUGAUGAUUAUGUAAUGUACUGAUGUGACUCUGAUGUAGCUUGUGGCGGGUGUAAGCCAAUUCUAUUUAUAUAUAUCUUCUUUUCAGUACAUGUACUUGUAACGAUAUCCAUUCUUGCGACACGACGAGACGCGCUUCUAUCCCUGACGAGGCCUUCGUGCCAAAUUGAGGAUAGGGUCGCAUCUUGGGCGCGACAAUAGGGAUACCGACCAUCGAAUCUCGGGCAAGUAUCAUACGGUAGACAAAGGGAAUUGCAUACGGGAUUGAUUGAAUCCCUUACAUCGUGGUUCAUCCGAUGAGAUCAUCGUGGAACAUGUGGGAGCCAACAUGGGUAUCCACAUCCCACUGUUGGUUAUUGACCGGAGAGGUUCUCGGUCAUGUGUGCAUGGUUCCCGAACCCGUAGGGUCUACACACUUAAGGUUCGAUGACGCUAGAGUUGUAAUGGGAAUAGUAUGUGGUUACCGAAGGAUGUUCGAAGUCCCGGAUGAGAUCCCGGACGUCACGAGGAGUUUCGGAAUGAUCCGGAGGUAAAAAUUCAUAUAUAGGAAGUGGAUAUUUGAUCGCCGGAGAUGUUUCAGGGAUCAUCAGUAUUGUAUCGGGACCACCGGAAGGGUUCCGGGGUCCACCGGAAGGGGCCACCAGCCCCGAAGAUCCACGUGGGCCAAAAGUGGAUGGGAACCAGCCCCUAGAUGGGUUGGUGCGCCACCCACCAAGGCCCAAGGCGCAUAGGGCAACAAACCCUAGGGCGUGGUGGUUGUCUUGGGUGGCAAGCCACCCCUAGGGCGUCGCCCCUCCCCCUCUUCGGCUGCCGCCCCUCCAUCUAGGGUGCGCCACCCCUCCUAGGGUUUUCCUAGGGUGGCCGGCUAGCCCUCCCCCUGCCCCUAUAUAUACCCAAGGGUUUGGUGCUGCAAACACACAAGUUUUCUCUCUCUCUUGGCGCAACCCUGCUCUUCCUCCUCCUCCUCCUCCGUAGCGCUUGGCGAAGCCCUGCUGGAGUACCACGUAGCUCCACCGUCACCACGCCGUCCUGCUGCCGGAGCUCUCCCUCAACUUCUCCUCUCUCCUUGCUGGAUCAAUGUGAAGGAGACGUCACCGGGCUGCAUGUGUGUUGAACGCGGAGGCGUCGUUGUUCGACGCUUAGAUCGGAAUCUUCCGCGAUCUGAAUCGUUACGAGUACGACUCCAUCAACCGCGUUCACAGUAACGCUUCCGCUUAGCGAUCUUCAAAGGUACGAAGAUGCUCUACCCCUUGCUCGUUGCUAGCAUCUCCUAGAUAGAUCUUGGUGUGACGUAGGAUUUUUUGAAUUACUACUACGUUCCCUAACAUGUCCAGCUUAUAUAUAACCAUCUCUGGUAACAAGAACAUGGUCAUAUAAUAAAAGACAAUACUAGUAAGGGAGGAGUUCAUCAGAAUUAGUCUACCUCUCGAGGAUGCAACAUUACCAAUCGAGGAUUCACAACAUUUAGGAAAUCUAUCAUCCACAGACAACCAAUCCAGGUUUCGAAGAUUAGAAUAACUAAUAGGAUCCCCAGGUAUUUCAUAGGGAAAUGACCAAUCUGACAGUUGAACAAGUUUGCAUAGAAUUUUAAAGUGUCGUCAUCCCCCCAACACAACACAAAAGAUCUCACUCUUAACAAAGUUGAUCUUAAGCCGAGACAUGAGUUCGAACAUGUAGAGGAGUAAUUUCAGGUUAAUUGCCGCAUCGCUAUCAUGUUCAAAGCAGAUGACAAUGCCAUCUGCAUAUUGAAGAAUGGCUACCCCAUUUUCAAUCAGAUGUGGAGCAAGGCUAGUGAUAAGAUGCUCUUUUGGGACAUUAAGAAUCAUCUUAGACAAUAUUUUUACCGCAAGAUUAAACAAGAAAGGAGAAAAGGGUCUCCUUGGCACGUCCCUUUGUGGCUCUGAAAAUAAGACCCAUUUUCAUUAUUAAGCUUGAUACUCACGGUUCCGUUAUAAAUGAUAUUUUUAACCCAAUAACACGAGUUGUUACCAAAACCGUGAAUACAGUAAACUUUCAAAAGGAAAUCCUAGUUGAUUUUAUCGUAAGUUUUCUCAAAAUCCAACUUUAGGACAAUUCCAAUUUUCUUCUUACGUUGUGUGUGAUGCAAAACUUCAUGGAGGGAUGCCAUCCAUAAUGUUUCUAUGCUUUAUGAAGACAUUUUAAUGUCUACUGAAAAGGAUAUCGGUAUAGACUGCAACUCUAUUAUUCAACACUUCAGUAAUCAACUUGUAGGGACAUCACAACAAGCAAAAGGUCUAUACUGCUGAUUUUUUUAGCCCAUUCAAUUUAAGAAUCAGUUUUGAUUUAAAUACGGUGACCGUCAAUGUCUCACCAGGAAAGGAGGCAUGCGCGGGGCGAGGAAGAAGAUGAGGCAAGGACGACUGAUUGGAUUUGAUCGGACGGUUCCCAAGGGUAACGUUUUAGAUCUGGCGCCGGUCAUUGCUCUUUUAUUCGCCACUCUCUCUGGUCCCCGGUCCCAUUCGUCAGUACCGUGGCGCGGCUGAGAUUCCCAUCUCCGUCCCCUGACAACACUUUCCUCCCCACUUUGCCACCAACGGCGAACCCGCCAAUCUCCCCCGCCUCAUCCGGGCCAUUGGAGACCGGGGUUUCGCUUCGCUCGUAAAUCCCAAUCUAGUCCACUUCUCGGCAAUCCAGUCCAGCACCUCACGGUCAGCCUCUCCGAUCCCAUCCGAUGCCCCGACCUCGAUCCCGCGGGCGGGGCAAAACCAGAUCCGGCUUUCAAAGGAUGGAUCCCGAAGAGGGCAUCAUACCACCGGCUCCGGAACAGGCGGCGCGUGAUCCGACGGAAGAAGAGAGUACGGCGCCGGUGGACGAAGAGAGGGCAGACACUGCCGCGCUAACGGGAGAAGACGAAGGGGCGAGUGAGAAUGAGGCGGAACGGACACGCGAAGAGCUCGAGCGGACGGUCACGGAGCUCAGCAUCCAGAAUGAGUACCUCAAGUCCCAGAUCGCCGGCGCUCAACAGCUGGCGAAUAGCGCCGAGGUGGAAAUAGGCAGUGGUAGGGACGACGACGAUGACUCCGAACUCGUUAGGAGCUUGAAGGAGCAGGUCGAAAGGCUUAGCAAGGAGGUUCAAGAGCAAAAGCAGACGCAGAAGGUCGCGGAGGCGGCUCUCGAGCAUGUGAAUACGUCCUACGCCGAGGCGGACGUCAAGGCUCAGGAGCUCACGGCGAAGCUCAACGAAGGUUAGUUGCUACUCUCCCCGACCCUUUCAUAUUGUGUUAUUGCGGAACUUGGAAUGCCGUGGUUGAUCGACUCGAUUCUUUAGUUUUUCCUGCUCCAGUAUUCCAAACUUGUGUAAACCAUUUCUUGAGAUUUUUACACUUCUCUGAAUAAUGACAAUAUCGACUUCUGGACCUUUUUUGCUUGAUCAGAAUGCACCUUUUUACGUGUAAUGUGGCCAGUGCUUUUUCUGCUCACAUUUCCUUUUUUAGAAUCUAAAUCAUCAUUUGUUCCCAUGUAUGUAGCUCAACUGAAGAUUGAAAAAGAACUAAAGGAACGAGAUGACAAAUAUGUUGAGUUGGAUACUAAGUUCCAGAGGCUUCACAAGCGUGCGAAAAACCGUAUACAAGAUAUACAGAAGGUAACCACUUUAAGCUUUCUGUACAUUAACUUGACAAUAGUGGUUGCAUUACUUUCUAAAAUUUAUGCAGUUAGUUUGGAAAUCACUCACUGUCUGCUCAAGAAUUUGCGCAAGUUAUAAUUUUUGAUUAGUUUCUUAGUGACAUCUGUAAAGAGAGAUAUGAAGGACUGGAGUAUAACCAAAGAACUAGACAUGAAUAGGGGUGUAUGGAAGUUAGCUAUCCACUUGGUAGUACCACGAGUUGGUUUCAAGAUCUAAUGGGUUCCAGCUCUAGCCGACCCCAACUUGUUUGGGACUAAAGGCUUUGCGUGCUAGAACCAUGAGUUGUUGUUGACUUGUUGUUUCUUGUUCAUUCGUGACACAGUUUUGCAUUCUUGACAGGAAAAAGAUGAUCUGGAAGCUCGGUUUAAUGAAAUUAAUCAGAAGGCUAUGGAAACUGCUUCUCUACAGCUAGCGGCACAACAGGAACUGGAACGUGUUCGUCACCAGGCUAGCGAGGCUUUACGGGCAAUGGAUGCUGAAAGACAGCAACUGCGGGCUGUGAACAACAAGUGAGUACAUGUACUGGUCUCACUGUACAACGUUGUCGUGUAUACAUGACUUGAGGUACAACGGUGCUAGCCGCUAGAUGGUGAGGGGGCCAUCUAUUGAAUAAUGUACAAUUUAGAAUAUAGAGCCAGCUAAAGGGCAGAGACAUAGCAGGGAUUUGAGGGACUCGGGUAAUGUACUUGAUUUAUCUUUUGCUUAAUCUUCACUCACGAUAUGGCAACCUCUUACAUAGAGCCUCACUGCCUUAUAACCUCCUAACUACUGUAAAUGCCCUUUCAACUGCUAGAUAUAAGGUUAGGAAUGAAACCGAGUAGAUCUACUGGCCCAGUUCACUCAAGUGGUGGAUCAAUUCCCAAUUUAUUGAAGCAACUAAUUUGAGUGGAUCAGCCCACCGACUUGCAUCCGUAAACAAGAACAUUAAUGUUGCAACCUCUCUUAUAUAGAGCCACCCUACCAUAAACCAAGUAAAACCUCCCAACUACUAGAGAUGUGAUUCAACUGCUAGUUGUAGGUCGGAUGAAACUUUGUUGACCUAGUGGCCCAGCCACAACACUGCUGGAUCAAUUGCCACCCAUUUUUUUACUUUACUUUAUGAACAUGUUCAGUAAAGAAAUAAUUAGUGUCCAACCCGCCCAACUUUCGCAGUUAAAUAAGAUUUCAUCUUUUAAAGGGUAAAAUGCACUCGAGGUCGGUAAGCUCACCUUCCAAAUGUUUUGUUCUCCGCACGACCACCAUGUUGGGCACCAAGCAAGCCUGAACACGAGGCAAUCCAGCAGAAGAGAAGCCAGUGGUGAGAGCCCAUUAAUCGACGGAGGUGGUGUGACGACGUUAGCUGGCAGGCUUGAUUUGGAGAAGAAUUGGUCGUUGGCGAUGAGCGGCGCUACUCCCCUCUGUCGAUGGCAAUCCUGGAUCCUUCGGUGCUUCCAAAUUUGGUUGCUGCAGUCAAUAUCCUCUUCGACCAUGGAUUUGGGAGGUUGGGUGGUCACCUACAUCAGUGAAGGAAGAAAGGAACAUACUAAGACCGAUAGAGCAAGCAACCUAGCUAUCAGUUAGUGUUUAGUGGUAGUAAUUGACAUGAUGGUAAGUCAACCUGGAUUCAGAUAAAUGGUGUUAGGUGUUAAGCUUCAUGCACCAGCCAACGCAACCAAAAGUCCGAACUGAUGGAAUGAGCUAGGCAAUCCACAUAUACACUUCAACACCCCCUCUCACAUGUGACGCGGAAAGUCAACACGUGGACAUACUCAGAGGUAUGGCUCAAGAGGCCUAUACCUUGACAAAGGGGGGACAACGCCAAUUUUUUAGAUAAACUGCGAAGCCAGGACUUGAACUCAAGAUCUUGGGCUUUGAUACCAUGUUAAGCUUCAUGCACUAGUCAACACAACCAAAAGUGAUGGAAAGGGCUAGGCAAUCCGCAUAUACACUUCAACAUUAGGUAACUAGCAACUUGUAAUUCCGGGUGGCCCUAGGCCAGUAUAUAUAUACGUAUGUAUGAUACAAUAUGCAGAAAACCUCUUAUAAAAAAGGGCAGCCCGGUUCAUGUACCCUACUUACACAGGGUCUGGGGAAGGGUCCGACCACUUUGGGUCUUUUGUAUGCAACUUUUCCCUACAGUUCUGCAUGAGUCUGUUUUCAGGACUUGCACGCGUGACCUCAUGGUCACAAGGAGCAACUUCACCUCUACGCCAAGGCCCCCCUUCAGGAAACUUUCCUUCUAUAACGUGGAAAAUACAAAGGGUUACAUGACUAAAUAUAUAUAACUCUUAACCCCCUUGAAACUCAAUGGAUCAACAAUACUAACUUCUGAGAGAUAGAAGCUGUGUUGUGCUCUAGUUUCGGCCUUCAUAAACAAAUCCGCCAAUAGUAACUCGAAAAACAUGAAGGAGGUGACUAGCGAACCGAUGUGAGAGCAGAGACAAACUGACUCAAGACAUGAUGGGAGAUAUCUGGAUGAGUGACUAUUAGAUAUACAAGACCCUCGACAAGAUGACGUUAGCACGUCGGAUCAGACAAGGGGUAACCAUCAAUAGCAUAGAGGUGAAUGUUGAGUUCCAUGGGAGUCUCAACAGUGCGCUCAUCAGUAAGAGCAUCACGAGUAGGAAGAUCUUGGAUAUACUUUCUUUGGAAAUAAAAAAGCAAUAAGAGGUAGAAGAGACCUCAGUCUCAAGAAAGUAGCAGAAAGGGCCAAGAUCAGACAUUAGAAACCGCUCACUAAGCUGUGCCCUCACAAAGACGAUAUACUAUGGGUCGCCGUCGGUGAUGGUCAUGUCAUCAAAAUAUAGAAGACAAGUCUGACUACGAGCAUAAAGGUGACAAAUAGUGCAAGAUCAUGAGCACUCGUUGAAAAACCAGUGACAGUCACCAUAGAGGCAAAGUGUUCAAACAAGGUGCGAGGGGCCUUAAGGCCAUAGAGAGAGCGAUGAAGACGAUAGACCAUGCCGUCAAGAACAGAUUACCAAGGCGGUGGUUGCAUGUAAACUUGCGCACCCAACUCACCAUUAAGAAAGACAUUCUUAACAUCAAGCUGAGACCCGUGGCGAAGCGAGGCCAUGACAAUAAGUGUGCGAACAAUGGUCAUAUGGGCCAGAUGAGAAAAAGUCUCGUCGCAAUCACGACCGUGCUCCUACUAAAAGCCAGAAGCCACAUGACAAGCUUUGUAGCGCUUAAGAGAACCAUGAGAGCGAGUUUUAACCUUGUAGGCCCACUUACAAGUGAUGGGACAAACAUGAGAAGGAAGAGAAACAAAACCCCAUGUACUGGUGCGCUCAAAAGCAGCAAUCUCCUAGGGCAUCACAAACUGUCAUUCAUGAUGGACAACAACAUCAUGAUAAGAAGUCAUCUCAAGAACAACAACGCCAUCGCUUGGAAAACUAAGGCGGUUAACAGCAGAAGUGGACAAAUGCACAAGCCAUAAGUUGGCAGAGCCGAGGAAGAUGGCACAUCGGAGGUAGAUGUGCAUCAGUAGACUCAUCCACAAUACGCGGACGACGAGUAUAAAAGUGAGGAAAAGAGGGAAGAAUAUGAGGAUGAAUCAUUGGAAUAGACUCAGGUGAUGGGGACGGGGAAGCCAAUGGGGAUGAAGGUGUAGAAUCCUGUGACAUAUGAGAGGAUGAGCAAUGUGAGGUAGCCUUAGUUGACGAACAAGGUGAGGAAACCGUAGGAGAUGGCGGCAUCGGGUUUGCGACCGGUGGAUGAGUAGGAAGAGUGGGAUGGUGGGGCGAAGUGGGAGAUGUGUCAAGAAAAAUGAGGAAAGAGAUAUCCUACACUGAAAAGGUUGAAGAAGAUGAAAGCAUGUAGACGUGACGAGACUCAUCAAAAGUUACAUCCAAGAAAUAUGCAUCUGACUAAUGACACAAACCCACCAACGAUAGCCAUUAUGCUCAUCGUAUCCUAAGAAGACACUUGACAGACGAGCGACGAGUUUGGUUCAUUCACGAGGGGUAAGAAGAACAUAGCAAACAUAAUCAAACAAAUGAAGUGCUAAAUAAUCAGGACAAUGAUAAAAAAGAUGCUUGAAAGGAACGCUGCCCUGCAGAGCGGAUGGAUGAAUGUUGUUGAGAUGGGUGGGAGUGGAGACAACCUUAGCCCAAAAGUGAGACGGAGGAGAGGCGGCUACAAUCAACACACGAGCUGUCUGAAGGUGACGAUGCUUGCGCUCAGCCACACUGUUUUGAGCAUAAGCGCCAGGACAAGAGAAUUGAGCAGGAGUACUUGCUCAGCAAGGACUCCACAACAUCUUGGGAGAUGUACUCUCCAAGUCAACACGAAACACACGGAUAGGCGUAGAGAAUUGAGUGUGAACCAUGGUAGGAGAGCACUCACUAUGGGAAGACAUAAAAUAUACCUAGGUGUGCUGAGAGAAAUCAUCUAUAUGAAGAUAAUAUAGUAACUCUGAAAGGACCUUGAGACUCAAUCUUGCUAUGAGGAUAAGGUACCUGGACCUGUUUACCAACCCGACAACCCUGGCAGUCUAAAGACACCGUUGGUGACGGAUCCAAGAAGGCCACGUCGAACUAAAUAUGAUAGACGGGAGCUACAUAAGUAACCAAUACAAUCAUGCCACUGAAAAGAGUUGGUAGACAAGGCAAUGGAGGUGGAGAGUCUGACGGCCGUGACGGCGGAGGAAGGUGAAGCCAGUCAAGCUCUCAGAGGCCCUGGGAGUCACGACGUUGGGGCCAACACCAUGGAGAGCACCAGUGCGACGAUCUUGAACAAAACAAGAGUCAAAGUCCAGAAUGACCCUACAAUCAGAGAACAAUCUGACCAUCAGAAAAUAGUUGCAUGCUAAGUUGAGGAACAUGAGCAACAUCUAGAACAUUAAAAGCAAGAGUGCUAAGAAUGCCUUAGCCAUUAACCUGGAGGGAGGUACCAUCAGUGGUAAGAACAACAUGAGAAUCAAAAGGUCGAAUGGAGGACAAACGAGUCAUGAAAAGAUGCUCCAGUAUCAAGAAUCCACAAAGAUGUACCUACGCGUGUAAAAGGUGGUCUCUCCAUGCCAGAAGAGUCGCUAGCAGAACCAACAUAAUUUAGCAGUACCUAUCGAUGGAGAAUCAGAAUAUGCAACUAGCAUGCAUUGAAGUCGUCUAAUCUCCUGCUCAAGGAGGUUGACGUAGAGGCACUCGAUGAUUGAGAGCUUGAUGCAAUCAACACGUCGCGAAGUCGCACAAUCUCCUGCUGAGUGAAGGACACAACUGAAAUAGUCGACAUAGCAACAUCGGCAGAGGAGCGGCCACCACCUCCUGUAGCGGUUGCUGGAGGAGGCGGUGUAGCAUGGCUUGUAUCAUCUCCAAAAGCUGGUGCAGUAGAUGAGGUCGCAUGUAGACAAGCACCAAGGGCCAAGGGAAGGUGUCGGUGCACUAGAGACUGGGGUCGCCUGUGCCCCAGACUUGUGCACGGGCGCCGGCAACACCCUUGGCGGCAGUACGCGAAGAAGGACCGACGGGAAGAUAACCCAGGCUCGCCAAGAUCACACCCCUCCAAGGGUGUGAAGAACCAGCCCAAGCUACAAGGCCCCGGCAAGCCCUCCUUGCCGGGAAGACCCACAAGGCCCCGGCAAGCCCUCCUUGCCGGGAAGACUCGCAAGGCCCCGGCAAGCCCUCCUUGCCGGGAAGACGUCCAAGGCCCCGGCAAGCCCUCCUUGCCGGGAAGAGGGGUUAGGCCACCGGCAAGGACGCCAGGCGGUAGGCUCCCUUCGCCCGCUAGGUGUCCCUCCUGUCACAGUGCCACCGACUACCACCGCUCCAGCGCAUCCCUCAUGCGCCAGCACAAAGCCCAGGUGUCGAUACAAACAGUACAAACACCGUGUCCUGCGAUAAGAUGGUUAGGGCAGGGAGAGAAACAGUGGCAGUGCAUGCUGCGCAGGAUGCACCGUGGGUGGAAUAUUUGGGACUAAUCCCCUACUCGCCAGCCAACCGAGCAGUUACCAGUUAAUGAUCUCCUUAAUGUUGCAAGCAACUUCUCAUCAAAUCUCAUGCUUAUCUUCUGCAACAGGCAUGCUAAUUAUACAAUAUCUUUCUUACUACUAUAUGCAAAUCAUGCGUAGGUUAAGAUGUAAUUUUGAUGAGACACGGCUUGCUUUGGAGGCCAGGAAUAGUGCCCUUGAGAAAUUGCAACUGUCAAUGCUUGAAAAAGAGCAGGUACGUACAUGCAUAAAAAAGGCUUAAUAAUUUCUUGUUGUUUGAAUUGUGGGAAAUGUGAUCAUGAUCUUAAAACAGAAGAGAACAUAAUCAGUCACAUGAUCUUGAAGGAUAAAAGAGUUGCAGGGGUACACACUUCGAAUUCUGAAUCGUAGUAGUACUUGAAAGGAGUAAGUGCCAACUGCCAAGAUAUCCUACAAAGGUGGAGAUGGGGGAUAGGUGAUGCUGAAUGCUGAUCGAGUGAAAGUAAUUGCGUGUUUGGUUGUGUUGCUGAGAUUUGUGUAGUUAUUUCUCACUCUUUGAGUAUGCUGAAAUAACCAAACAAGAUAUUAAUAUAUGCGUACCUUCGGAUGUGUAUAGUUGAUGCUCAUGAUCGGAGUUAACAAUAGUUAUUCUGAUGAGCUAAAAUAACUGAAAUGGACUGAUGUGAUGUCUAUAAAGAUGCUAGAACAAAUCCAAAGAUCAAUGCAUUCUGCAGAAGAUAAGAGGCUUGCAUCAGUUUCAGAGCUUUCUGCUAAGCAUCACAAGGUAAGAAAGAGAAGCAAGAAGGAAAUUUGUAAAUGUGAAUUUGCAAAAGUAUUAGUAUUUAGGGUAAUCGAAUCUGGCUUCUUUCUUUUCUUAAGCAAUUAGAGAGCUUGGAGGCACAGCUAGCUGAGGUUUCUGCAGAGAGGACAAAGGCAUCCGAAACGAUUCAAUCACUGCAGGUAUUAAUUCGAGUGAAAAGUUAUCUUUGUGCAGCAUAUUAUGACAGACUAAGUUAUAUCUUGUGUCUGCCACUUAAAUGUUUUCAAGCAUUACUGUUUUCUUAUGUGAUUCGUUGUUGUCAAAGUAUUCUCUAGCUGAAGAAGAUAAGCCUCAACAUGCUGGGAAUAAGAGGGUAUUAAAUAGAAAUCCAUUAUCUGUUGGAAUAUUUAAUUUAUAGUUAAACUGCCAGAUGGUACUCGCGGAGAAAGAUUCAGAAAUAACUGGAAUUGAAGCAGUAUCAACCGGUGAAGCUGCCCGGCUUAACGCUACCUUGGAGGAGAUUAAAGGCGAGCUUGCUCAUUUAAAGGAUCAACAUGUAUGUCAGCCUAUCUUGUACUAACUCUUCCCAUUGAUAGUUUUUAAUAUAUUAGACACCAAACUUGGAGGCAUCUUCAAUAUCAAUAGCACAUAUGCUGAUUAUUAUCUCGUGGAAACAGUGAGCAUCCAGAAAUUGCACUGCUAAAAAAACUAUUUAUUCACAUAUGCUGACCAUUUCUAGUGGUUAGCCUCAAGUUCAAAUUUUGAAACAACUAUAGUUCACAUAAACCUGCCAUGUUACUUCAUGUUCUAUCCAUGUAACCUUGUUUCUGAGUAUACCUACCUGCCUGGCUUGAUAUAUAGUUUUUGUCUUGUAGAUUAACUCGCCCUAUGAGUUUUUUUUCAAUCAACUUAUUAAUAUGUCAAGUAGGCAGUAUUUUUUUGUCCCCAUGCGUCAGUAGCAUAUUUUAGACUUUCAGUUAACUUCCCUUAAAACAGCUUUACUGCUAUAUGGUUAGCACAUUUUUUUAAUGAUGUUUUGGAGUUGGAGGCACUAACCAAAAUUGUCUGACUGAUAAUCAUUCAGGAAAAAGAAAGACAAAGCUGGGAAGCCGAAUGCGAAUCCCUUCGAGAAAAAUUGGAAGCAUCGGAAGGUGCACACUUUAGAUCUGAGAUAGAAUCUACCAAAUUUAGAAGUAAGUCUGCCCCAAACUUUCUAUUUUGAUUUUGGAGUAAUACGUUUAUACAGAUAUUUGGAUACUCUGCAGAUCAACUGGAAUCAGAGUUAUCAACGCAAAAUCAGUUGCUUCAAAAUAAAGAUUCUGAUGUAAUUUCUGCGAAGGAGGAGGUGCAUUUUAUUUGAAAUCUUAUCUUUUCCAAAAGUUUGUACCUGCACUGGAAGCUUUUAGUCUCUACUCCCUACUCUGUAGAAGUUAGGUAUUGAUAACACAAGUCUUACCUCCUGGCACCACCAUUGGUUUUUAAGUUGGUGACAACAUAAUACUUUAUCUGCUGUUGUUUGGAUUUGCUGCGAAGGUCGUAUGGGUAGUUUGGUAGAGGAAACGGACACCCAGUUUGGCGAGAUUUACAAUAAGUUGGGGAUGGAAUAUAGAACGAGAUUGCUGUAGUGGAGGCCCUGGCAGUAUAAUAAGUAGGAACCCAAUUCAAGUGGAAUUGUACGUCCACUUCCCCAAGUGAGCUAGGUUCACUUCUUUAGAAGUGAUUUUUGGUGCUUGCCUCGUAAUUACAAUGCUGACUCUUUUGUAUGGAUCUAGGAUGCAACCAAUACACUGGACUCUUUAACACGUUCAAACUCCUAAGAUAUGGAUUCAUAACACUGUAAGUAAUUGACUUAGUUCAUAUUCCAACCGGACUCUGUCGGCCCAGUGGGACCCAGGGUACCACGACCCGUCUGUCGUUGGCCCGGAGGACGGCGCAUGCCCUGGCCCGAGUGACACAGCCAUACCCCGACCACUCCGGAGGAGGCCGCUUCGCGAGGGGUGUGUCUCACCAUGCCCCCUCGUCGCCAGCUCAGGCCUCCCUGAGGUCUUCAAGCCCCAGGGAGCCUCGCGAGGCUUGGCGUGCGGCGCUAACCCCAGGGCAGCAGACACCGUGCCGGCCGGACAUGCACGAUUUCUCCUCUGGUGAUUAGGAGGCAGCGUCAUCUGCUCCUCCAAAAACAGGUAGCAAAAGGUUACCGCUUCGGUGAUAGAGGAUGGGAGCGGAUCGAUGUUGCAAGAUGAAGGUCAUCGCUGAGCCCACAGACGUGUCACGAAGACUACUUUACCAGGCGAAGAUCGCCUUUAGUCAGGAUAGGCCUGGCUCCUGCCCCUCUUCGAAUUGCCGCUCUGUGGCCAUCCUUUCCCAUCGAUAUUUCCGGGGAAGAGGACCAAGGCACUACAAAGGGGGAAGGGCCACGUCCAUGUAAAGGAUCGAGCCAUUCUCUCCCCCAACCCCCCGUGUACUGGAGUCUCAAGCUCCUCUAUUUCCAAGGCAACCGAAUCACAAACAGGAGUAGGGUUUUACUCCAUCGUUGGCCCGAAUUUGGGUAGCUCGUGUCUCCCCGUCGUUUUCGGUGAGGAGAAGAGGGUUCGCCGUCAACCUUGCUGUGUUUGUCGCUGUGUUGCAGGUCGCAGGCCAAGCCUUCCACUGUUCGAACCUCGUUCUUGGAGAAGCUCUUGGACGCAGAUCCCAGACUCCGACAUUUGGCGCGCCAGGUAGGGGGACUUGCUGUCUUCCGUCCUCGACCUUGACACCAGCAUCGACAUGGACGAAGCCGCCCUUGGUGCACCUAGGCCGCGCCGACGUGCGGCGCUCGAGUCCCGGUGCGAGCAGGCGCCGGGACNNNNNNNNNNNNNNNNNNNNNNNNNNNNNNNNNNNNNNNNNNNNNNNNNNNNNNNNNNNNNNNNNNNNNNNNNNNNNNNNNNNNNNNNNNNNNNNNNNNNNNNNNNNNNNNNNNNNNNNNNNNNNNNNNNNNNNNNNNNNNNNNNNNNNNNNNNNNNNNNNNNNNNNNNNNNNNNNNNNNNNNNNNNNNNNNNNNNNNNNNNNNNNNNNNNNNNNNNNNNNNNNNNNNNNNNNNNNNNNNNNNNNNNNNNNNNNNNNNNNNNNNNNNNNNNNNNNNNNNNNNNNNNNNNNNNNNNNNNNNNNNNNNNNNNNNNNNNNNNNNNNNNNNNNNNNNNNNNNNNNNNNNNNNNNNNNNNNNNNNNNNNNNNNNNNNNNNNNNNNNNNNNNNNNNAAGCCUCUUCGUCCCACCGUCUCCUCAACCGUUCCUCGCGAGAGGCGAACGCUGCCCUGUCGGCUCCCCGGCCCGCGGGCCAACCCCGGAGGUCCGAGGGCCCGGUCGCUUGCGCCGCCAGCGACCAUCCCCGGUCUACCAGGACACCAGGCGCAUUCCCCCUACUAUGCACUCCCAUCAUCAGCGGUGUGGCGGUCUCCAGGACGCUCAUCGAUGGUUGAGCGGGCCUUAACCUGUUCCCGGUGGAAACUUUCCGGGCGCUCCAGGUGCCCUAUGAGCGCCUGGCUCCUAUUAGGCCCUUCGUGGGCGUCACCAGCAGUGCCAUCCUACCCUUGGGGCAGGUGUGUCUCCCUGUCACCUUCGUCACCCACGAGAAUUACUGGACGGAGUUCAUCGUCUUUGAUGUGGCCUCCAUCGGCUUGCCCUACGGUGCCAUCUUGGUCUACCUGACGCUCUCCAAGUUCAUGGCCGCGGUUCAUCACGCCUACGGCCACGUCAAGAUGCUAGGGUGCAGCGGCACCCUCACCGUCCGCUGCGACGAGAAGGACGUGACGCACCCCCUCGCGCGCGCCUACAAGGCGGCCGCCCCCAUAUCUUCGGGCAGGGAGGAUGCUCCAAAACCUGAUGAGCCGGCGCCAGCAAAGAAGAAGCUGUUGUUCUCCCAGGAGCGGGCCAGGACCAAGAAAGUAUCCUUGGACGUGAGCUGUGGGUCCCUUCCUCACCAUUGGCAGUGGCCUUACUCUUGAGCAGGAGAGCCCGCUCGUCGCCUUCCUUCGGGCGAACGUCGAUAUGUUUGCGUGGACGGCCUCAGACAUGCCGCUUGUGCCGCAAGGUCAUCGAGCAUCACCUGGCGGUGCGUCCCAACGCGUGCCCCGUCAAGCAGAAGGUGCGGCGCCAGGCGGCCGAGAAGCAGGAUUUUGUGAUUCAGGAGGUCGAGAAGCUCCAAGACGCCUGCGUCAUUUGCGAAGUAAUCCGCCUGGAGUGGGUUGCUAACCCCAUGGUUGUCGCCAAGCCGCACGGUGGCAAGCGUAUGUGCGUCGACUUCACCAACCUCAACAAGGCCUUCCCGAAGGACCACUUUCCGCUGUCGCGGAUCGACCAGAUAAUGGACUCCACCGUGGGGUGCGACCUGCUCUGCUUCCUGGACGCCUUCUCGGGCUACCAUCAAAUCAAGAUGGCAAGGGAGGAUGAGGAGAAAACCGCCUUCAUCAUCCCUUGCAGAGUGUUCUGCUACUUGUGCAUGGCUUUCGGCCUGAAGAGUGCGGGACCUUCCAGAGGCUGGUGGCCAUCUGUCUGGGGAGCCAGAUGGGGAGAAAUGCAGAGGCAUACGUGACGACAUCGUCAUCAAAAGCGUGAGGCGUGCACCCUCAUCGAGAACCUGGAGGAAACAUUUGCUAACCUCCGCAAGGUCAACCUUCAGCUCAACCCCGCCAAAUGCGUCUUUGGUGUUCCUUUCGGCAAGCUCCUGGGUUUCCUGGUCUCUCAUCGCGGCAUCGAGGCUACCCUGAGAAGAUCAAGGCCAUCGAACAGAUGCGGCCGCCUCGCAACCUAAUGGAGAUGCUGCACCUGGCGGGGUGCAUGGCCUCGCCCGGCCGCUUCAUUUCUAAGUAUGGCGAGCGGUCUCUACCCUUCUUCAAGCUCAUGAAGAGGUCUGGCCCCUUCAAGUGGGCCCUCGAGGCCACCGCCGCCGCCUUUGAGGACCUCAAGAGGUACCUAACGAGCCCCCUCGCAAUGGUCGCCCCGCGCCCACGCGAGCGCCUUCUAUUGUGCCCGGCGGCCACCCCUCAGCCGACCAACGCGGCCCUUGUAGUGGAGCGAGAGCAGCAGGCCUGCGCCAAGAGGAAGCCCGCUGAAUCCGCGCCUACGGGCACCAACCCUGUAGAGGCUUCAUGCGAGAGCCCCCAGGGCUCUGACGACGCCCCUUUGAGGGCCCUCCUCUAGACGCCUGGACCACCCUCAGGGGACCACCGGGGCCCCUCCUUCGGAGGCCCUCGGGGUGCAGCCGCCAGGGCCCCCUUAUGAGCACGACUCGGACACCACGAUCACGUGCCUCGUCGAACACCUCGUCUACUUCGUCAGCAUGGUGUUGCGAGACGCGCGAGCGGUACCCCAUGCAGCAGAAGCUCCUGCUGGUGCUCCUCAUGGCCUCUAGGAAGCUGCGACACUACUUCCUUCCAGGGGCACCCGGUCAGGGUGAUCUCCUCUUACCCAUUGGAGCAAGUCCCGCGGAGCCCGAACGCCACCGGCUGCGUGGUCGAGUGGACAUCGAGCUGAAGGGCUGGAGUUCCUCACCACCAGGACCACCAAGGGCGUGGCUUUGGCGGACUUCAUGGCGGAAUGGACGGACCCUCACCAGGACGAGCCCCACGAGUCGCCCUCGCCUGAGGAGGCCGUCUCUGGGGCUAGAGCAUGCACUUCAACGGAGCCUUCACGCACUAGGGCGCGGUGGCUGGCGUGGUUCUCACCACGCCCAUAUGUGAUAAGCUUUACUAUGCAGUGCAACUCUCUUUUUGGCGCACCAACAAGGUCUACAACAACAUCGCCGAAUACAAGGCACCUACCGCUGGGCUCAAGGCCGCCAUCGCGCUUGGAGUCAGGCGCAUCAUCAUCAAAGGGGACUCGUAGCUCCUCGUCUACUUCUCCAACAAGAAGUACAAGGCGAAGAAUGAGCACAUGACAACCUAUCUGGAGGAGGUGCGCAAGCUCGAGAAGCGCUUCAUGGGCAUGGAGCUCCAGCACAUCCCUCGUGGCGACAACAGCGAGGCGGACGAGACCGCCAAGCAUGCCUCUUGCCGUGCGCCCCAGAGCCCCGACGUCUUCGAAGAGCGGCUCCUGAAGCCCUCGGCAGCGACUUCCGGUUGCCGGCCCCGUGACGCCUCACAAGGAGCUCCCUCCCGCGUCACCCAUGGGCGCACCAGACUACGGUCCACCCUUAGGGAUCCAUCUCCUGCUGCCACUUGAGCUGCGGCCCGAGAGCUGGAUUGCGGAAAUCAAGGCCUACCUAGAGGGAGGCGCCCUCUCGGAAAUCGAUGCAAAAGCAGAGCGUGUGGUCUGCUAGGUCGCCCUCUACCACUUAAAGGAGGGUGCCUGUACCGCCACCGCUCGAACGGGGUCGCGCCGCGGUGCAUCUCCAGGGAGCAAGGAUGUGAGUUGCUCGCAGAUAUCCAUGGAGGUGACUGCGGCCACCACUCAUCCUCGCGCAUCCUCGCAGGCAUAGCAUUACGCAGUGGCUUCUACUGGCCCGUAGCGCUCGAGGAUGCUACGAAGAUGGUGCAGGCGUGCGAGGCUUGCCAGUUCCAUGCCAAGCAAAUCCAUCAGCCGACGCAAUGGCUCCAGACCAUUCCCCUCUCGUGGCCCUUUGCGGUCUGGGGGUUGGAUAUCCUCAGGCCCUUCCCUCGCGCGGCCGGCGGCUAUCGCUUCCUCUACGUCGCCAUUGACAAGUUCACCAAGUGGGCUGAGGUCUAGCCUGUCCGGACCAUACCGGCAGGCUCAAUGUUCAAGUUCAUCAAGAGCUUGGUGUGCCAUUUCGGCGUCCCCAGCCGCAUCAUGACGGACAAUGGCUCGCAGUUCACUAGCGGCCUCUUCAAGACCUACUGCGCCUCAAUUGGCACACAGAUCUACUUUGCCUUCGUGGCACAUCCUUGAAGCAACGGUCAGGCAGAGUGGGCCAACGUGGAGGUCCUCAAAGGUCUCAAAGACCAGGAGCUUCAAGAACCAGCUCACGACCCGCGACAAGGGCUGGCUAGACGAGCUCCCGUCGGUACUGUGGUUCAUCCACACCACAACGACCAAGCCUAUCGGUGAGACACCCUUCUCCCCUAAUCUACGGAGCGGAAGCGGUCCUCCCGGCCGAGAUUAAGCAUCGGUCCCCACGGGUUUUAGGCGUUUGACGAGUCUCGUCAAGACGGCCUUCGGGAGGACGUUGCUCUUCCACGAAGAGGCCUGCCGCCAGGCUGCUCUGCGCGCAUCGAGGUACCGGCAGGUGUUGUGUCGCUAUCGCAGCCGCAACAUACGCCCCCGCACCUUGGAGGUGGGCGACCUGGUACUCCGCCGAAUCCUCUCCAUAGAGGGUCUCUUUAGGGUCACACACAUCUCCAGGCCCGACGCGACACGACUCAAAACGACGGAGGGUGUUCCAGUGCAAAACGCAUGGAACAACCAACAUCUCCGCAAGUUCUAUACGUGACUCCACAAAUACGAGCAAGAUGGAGCUGUACACGCUUCGAGGUUCUCUCUACCCACGAUGCCUUCGGCACGUGAGAGUCCCUUCCCACUCUCGUGGAACCCCAUGCUCCACGCUGGUGGAAACUCCUGUUGGAGAACUUUGCAUGGGAAACAAAUUUUUUCCUACGCACACGAAGACCUAUCAUGGUGAUGUUCAUCUACCAAAGGGAGAUUGGAUCCACAUACCCUUGUAGAUCGCUAAGCGAGAAGCGUUAAGAAACGCGGUUGAUGUAGUGGUACAGCUUCGUGAUUUAAAUCACCGUCGUCGCACGAUCCGUUCUGAUCUAGCGCCGAACGGACGGCACCUCCGCGUUCAGCACACGUACAACUCGAUGACGAUCUCCGCCUUCUUGAUCCAGCAAGAGAGACGGGGAAGUAGAUGAGUUCUUCGGCAGCGUGACGGCGCGCCGGUGGUGGUGAUGAUCUACUCCUGCAGGGCUUCGCCCGAGCUCCGUAGAAAUCCGAUCUAGAGGAAGAACUACAUGGUAUAGGUUUGAGUUGCACGUGGCAAAGUUGUGUCUCAAAAGCCCUAAAACCACCAAUAUAUAUAGGAGGGGAGGGGCUAGCCUUGGGGCUCAAGGGAGCCCCAAGGGCGCCGGCCGAUUGGGAGGAGGUGGACUCCCACCCCAAUUCUGUUUGGGGGAAGGAGUCCACUCCUUCCUUCCCACCUCCCUCUUUCCUUGUUUUUUCUUUUCCUUUGAUUUUUUCUCCUUGUGGCGGCAUAGCCCACUUGGGCUAGCCUCACCAGCCCACUAAGGGCUGGUGCGCCACCCUAGUGCUACUGGGCUCACUCCCGGGUGGGUGGGCCCCUCCCGGUGAAUACCCGAAACCCAUUCGUCACUCCCGGUACACUGCCGGUAAUGCCCGAAAUCUUUCCGUGACCAAAUGAAACCAUCCUAUAUAUCAAUCUUUGUUUCCGAACCAUUCCGGAAACCCUCGUGACGUCCGUGAUCUCAUCCGGGACUCCGAACAACCUUCGGUCACCAACACAUAUAACUCAACUAUACUAAAACAUCAUCGAACCUUAAGUGUGCAGACCCUGUGGGUUCGAGAACUAUGCAGACAUGACCCGAGACACUCCUCAGUCAAUAUCCAAUAGCGGGACCUGGAUGUCCAUAUUGGAUCCUACAUAUUCGACGAAGAUCUUAUCGGUUGAACCUCUGUGCCAAGGAUUCAUAUAAUCCCGUAUAUCAUUCCCUUUGUCCUUCGGUAUGUUACUUGCUCGAGAUUUGAUCGUCGGUAUCCCUAUACCUAUUUCAAUCUCGUUAUCGGCAAGUCUCUUUACUCAUUCCGUAAUACAAGAUCCCGUGACUCACACUUGAAUCACAUUGCUUGCAAGGCUUGUAUGUGAUGUCGUAUUACCGAGUGGGCCCCAAGAUACCUCUCCGUCACACGGAGUGACAAAUCCCAGUCUUGAUCCAUGCUAACUCAACGGACACCUUCGGAGAUACCUGUAGAGCACCUUUAUAGUCACCCAGUAACGUUGUGACGUUUGAUACACAUAAGGUAUUCCUCCGGUGUCAGUGAGUUACAUGAUCUCAUGGUCAUAGGAAUGAAUACUUGACACGCAGAAAACAAUAGCAACAAAAUGACACGAUCACAUGCUACGUUCAUAGUUUGGGUCUAGUCCAUCACAUGAUUCUCGUAAUGAUGUGAUCCAGUUAUCAAGUGACAACACUUGCAUAUGGUCAGAAAACCUUAACCAUCCUUGAUCAGCCGGCUAGCCAACUAGAGGCUUGCUAGGGACAUUGUUUUGUCUAUAUAUCCACACAUGUAUCUAUGCUUUCAUUCAAUACAAUUAUAGCAUGGAUAAUAAACGAUUAUCGUGAAACAGGAAAUAUAAUAAUAACUAUUUUAUCAUUGCCUCUAGGGCAUAUUUCCAACAACUCCUACCCACUAUCGUGGAAGCCCCAUGCUCCGCGCUGGUGGAAAUCUCCUACCCACUUUCGUGGAAGCCCCGUGCACGGCGCUGGCGGAAACCCCACGCUCGGACAUGGCGGACCAUUUGACAAUGAGGGUGCCUUUCAGCUGCAUAAACCUCAGGCCGACCCAUGCCCGUCAUGGCAGCGCAUCUGUCAAACUUUGAGGGGCGCUUCUCGGCCACAGCCUCAAGCUGACCCGUGUCAAGCAUGACAACAUGUACUUUUCUGUUAUGUAAUGAACCUACUUCAUGAAUCGGUAAAGUUCAUUUCUCUCAAGAAUUUCUAUGCACUUGCAGCUGUGCGUCAAGGGGGGACCUUGAGCAUCGCUCCUUGGGGGCUCAUACCGGCCCCAAGAGCCCUACCCUGUUGGGUGUGCGCCCCAGGUAUACCAGCGACGGUUGUAGCCCGCCACGGGGGCUGGGUCCCGACGACGCAGGACGCAAAGGCAACACAAAGGAGAAAGAAGGGCCUCGAGAGAUAAAGCGGAAGCGCGCGAAAGUAGCGGGUGUUUAAAGACAUGACGGUGCCAUACAUAAUGUUUUUUUAUGCCUCACAGGGCUACGUCACUUGCGCAGGGGCAUAAAGGAAAGGAUCGUCAUCCGUCGGGGACCCGUCACAGGCAUCGCCCAAGCCUAGUCGGAGUCCUUGUCUUCACUCUUGACGCUCCGGGGGCUCCCAUCGCUGUCGCUUCCGCCGGACGAGUCGGAGUCGCUUUCGCUCUCCGCGCAGCACACCACGCGGCCACCGGCGACCCCGAAGAACUUCACGAAGAGGGUUGCAUCUCCGUCGAACCUGAAGCGCAGGACUUGCCCGCGCAAUAGGUCGUGGGAGCGGGCAAACGGUUUCCACCCCCGGUCUAGAAACAUGAACCCGGGCGUGUGUGUGGGGGGACUUCACCGCGACCUAGGAGGGACCGUUCCAGCAGCCGUCCGCUUGCAACCGCAGGCCCGAGGGCCCGCGGUCCACCAGCACCCUCGUGAAGGAGUCUGAAAGCCGGAGCCAGCUGCAGGGUCGGCGGUGCAGUCCCACGAUGAACUCGUGCGUGACCUCCGUUGCGUGGGUGUCCGCCGUGGGGGCAUCGUAUGGAGGAGAAGGGGAGCGCGCCGCGCCGCCCAUGACCUGUCUNGGCUAGUGCUCGGCCUCUAGGAGGAGUCCUCUUCGUCGCGGCCGAGGCGCGACCUCGGCCCCUGCGUCUCGCUGGCGUUAGCUUAGGCGGCCUCGCUUCCUCCGCCGCCCCCUGGCCUUUCUCGGCGGCCGAGUGUUUCCGUUUGGGAGCCAUGGCCGUGACGGCUAACGCCGGAUUGGGAGAGCGGAGGGGCGUGAGUCCGAGGAGUCGGUUGCGGACAGGAAAGGUAAUGGAGUUCCAGUACCCCGCGUGGCUUGGCUUUAUGGCCGAGGCGGCGGUUACCGAGGCGUCGCAAAGAGUGGAGGCACCGCACUCGCAGAAGCCGCCACACGUCGCCCUUGGGCCCGUCAGCUCGAUGGGGCCCCGCGCCGCUUCAUCCCGAACGGACAGAACGUGCACGCCGCAGGUCGGGGGGCUAAUGUCGGCCCAGUGGGACCCAGGGUACCACGGCUUGUCUGCCACUGGCCCGGAGGAAGAAGCACUGACUGUCCCGAGUGACACGGCCAUGCCCCGACCACUUCGGAGGAGGCUGCUUCGCGAGGGGUGUGUCUCGCCAUGGCCCCUCACCGCUAGCUCAGGCCUCACUGAGGCCUUCAAGCCCAGGGAGCCUCGCGCGCGUGAUGCUAACCGCAUGGCCCCGCGCCCACCACUUGGGCGGCGCGCUUGCAUGGAAAGGGCAGCAGACGCCGUGCCGGCCGGCACAGACAGGCACAAUUUCCUCUCUGGUGAUUAGGAGGCAGCGCCAUCUGCUCCUUCAAAAGCAGGUAGCAAAAGGUUACCGCUUUGGUGAUAGUGGAUCGGAGCGGAUCUAUGCUGCAGGAUGGAGGUCAUUGGCGAGCCCACGGACGCGUCACGAAGACUACUUUGACUACUUUACCAAGCGAAGAUUGCCUUUAGUCAGGAUAGGCCUGGCUCCUGUCCCCCUUCGAUUUGCCGCUCUGUGGCCACCCUUUCCUGCCGAUAUUUCCGGGGAAGAGGACCAAGGCACUACAAAGGGGGAAGGGCCACGUCCAUGUAAGGGGAUCGAGCCAUUCUCUCCCCCAACCCCCAGUGUAAUGGAGUCUCAAGCUCCUCUUUUUCCAAGGCAACCGAAUCACAAACAGGAGCAGGGUUUUACGCCAUCGGCGGCCCGAACCUGGGUAGCUUGUGUGUCCCCGUCAUUUCCGGUGAGGAGGAGAGGGUUCGCCGUCAACCUUGCUUGCUGUGUUUGUCGCUGUGUUGCAGGUUGCAAGCCAAGCCCCCCAGUGUUCGAACCUCGUUCUUGGAGAAGGUUGUGGACGCAGAUCCCAGACUCCGACAGACUCCUCUUGGUUAACACUUCCUAACAUGUGAUGGUUGGACCAGUUAGCUCUGCAUGUCCGGAUAUUUCUCUUUAUGGUAUGUUCUGUAGCUGACAGCUCUGAUAGCCAGAGUAUUAUGCAACAACAAUAUAAUGCAUCUUUGCCUCAAGCAUUGCAAGUUGGUUGUGUUCCAAAUGCUUGACCUGAGGACUUUUCAAGGGUUGCGAUUUAGGAUGGAGUACAGAGGCAGUAACACGAUAAAAUGAAAAUGAGAGUUCCUCUGAACUCAUCAAAUAAGUACUUAAGUAGUAUAAGCUGGGAUAUUUUUGUUUGGACCAAAGAUAGUGACCUGAUCCAGUUCUGCAGUUAGAGGUCAGCCAAGAAUAGCAGAGCUAGCCGAGGUGUUUACAAGGGUUUAUUCACACAUAGGCUGGUAAAAAAUAUAGCCGGAAAAGAGAUGAGUAGAAGUUGACGAAAUGUCUGAAAUGUCUGUCUAGUACUACCUCCGUCCCAUAUUAGUUGACUUAGAUUUGUCUAGAUAUGGAUGUACCUAAUUUAAACGUGUCUACAUACAUCCGUAUCUAACAAAUCUAAGACAACUAAUUCGGGAUGGAGGGAGUAUAACCUUAAUAGGCAACAAAACCUGACAGUACCUUACUAUGAGAGAUUGAACUAGCGAGGACUGAGGAACCACCGUGUCUAUUUUCCUCAGUGUUCUGGUUACACGAUGAUUCUUUUUAAGCCUAAAAUGGCAUAGGAUAUAUUAUUGACCCAGUUAUUACGACACUGCCUUCUGUUAAAGAGCUUCACUUUCAGAUGCGAAGACAUCAUUUAAACAUGCUGUAUCUAGCACUUAUGACGAGAACUCAAAGUUUAGCAUUUUGAACUUUGCAGAUCGGUCGACUAGAAAGCGAGUUUUCCGCGUACAAGAUCCGUGCACAUGCACUUUUGCAAAGGAAGGAUGCUGAGUUGAGCGCAGCUCAAAAUUCAGAUGUUCUUAAAGCACACGAAGAAGAAAUAAGAGUAUGUCAUCCAUUGUUUAGUAGACGUGUAAUGUAACCAAAUAUGACACAACUUAUUUAAUCAAUCACCAUUGCUGUAAUGUAGGAAGCUGAAAAGGAGGUGGCAGCUGCCUUAGAAGAACGAGAUGAAGCGAUCCAGGACCUUCAAGCUGCUCAAUGCAGGCACAGUGAAGAGAUCGAGGCAAGGUAUAUCAGCUUAACUUCGAUCAUUUCUUGAUGUUCUUGAAUUGAAAUGACGUCCAUAACUAAAAUGGUUAUGCUACCGGAAAUUCUUCAAAGAUACUACUUGGGAGGUUACUGAAUUUAGAAAAUGAACUAACUUCAUAGCCUGUGUAUACUAGCAGCCCACCUUGUUUGCAAUACUAAGGGGCAGCCCGGUGCAUGUAGCUCCCGCUUGCGCAGGGUCCGGGGAAGGGUCCGACCACUUUGGGUCUAUUGUACGCAGCCUUUCCCUACAUUUCUGCAAGAGGCUGUUUGCAAUACUAACUGUAACAAAAAAAAUCCGAAUGGUAUUCAGAGCACUACUAGAGUCGCUUGACUAAUCUAUGAGUCACUACUUGGGCCUCAGCUGGACAUCCCUACUUGACUGAUUGGACUAGUCGAGAGUUGUUGACCUGUUGCUGAUUAGUCAAGUUUUAGUAGUCGCUCGACAUUUUGUGCAGUGUGCUGAUAGAGUGAGUUCAUGUUGGUCCGAGCCCACUCCGAUGGAGAUACGCCUCCAAUCUAGCCCAGGGGAUCAAACUAAUGUGUUAGUAUCUUGUCUGUAGCAGACUAGCACUAUGUAGAGAUGAGCAGUAUCUAGUAUGUGCAGUCCGUACUUGUACUCAUAUCAGUUAUGUAGCAUAGCUUCUUAUGAAGUUAUGAUUUGCCUCUGGUUCCGCUUGAGCAUGUACUUUCUUACAUGUGCCUCUAAUAAUCUGAUAGCAAGAUGUUUAUUUGACGGAAAUAGCAAGAUGUGCUUCUAGUUCAGUCCCCCCUCCAGUUUUUCACUGUAAAAGACCAGCAGUGUGGAUUUGUAGCAAGUAUGGUCUUAUGACUGGCAGUCAACCAGUUGAGAUUGGUUAUACUAGUCAUCACGAGUCGAGACUAGUUUAGACACUUAGACCCGUCUACCUUGGCACUACUCCUGUAAGCUGAUGCGCGGUGAUACAAUCAACUUAUUUUCUGCAAGCAGUUUAUAAUUUGAGAAACUUUUUACCUUUACUUAAUUUCCUUUCAGGGAUUUGGGUCUUGCGGAGGUGGACAAGAAACUGAAGAAUGUCAUGAAAAAAUUAGAUUAUGUUACUUCUCAAUUUCUGUCAGAAAAAGAAUCAUGGCAGAAAAAAUUGGCAAGUGUAGAGGAAAGCUGGAGAUGUAAGAGGACUUCAGUGUAUUUCAGAAUUCUCUCCCUUUCUCUUUAAUGAGGUUCGAUGAUCAAACGUAUGAACAUGGAUAAUGCAGUAAAAUGUGAGUCUAUGAAGGGUCAAAGCAAUGGCCAUUUUGAAGACCACCUUCAGAAGAACCUAGGGGAAUGGACACUGAAAUAUGAAAAAUUGAAGGUUGUUUCCUGCCCUGUGGCAUGACUUGUAUUAUUGAAUGUGGUCUUUCGAUUCAGUAUUUUAAUAUAUUCUUGAUUUUUCUAGGAAGAGCAUGAAUCUUUUCGUGAUAUUUCUGAUAGAAUGAUUGAAGAGAAGGAACAGGAGAUAGCUAAACUUCUCAACGAAAACAAGGAUCUUCAUCAUUCUUUAGAGGCCAAAGCAGCAGUGAGUUAUUCUAUUAAACUCAUUCAGUGCGACCUUUGUUUGCUAUAAUGAAGCAAGAAAAAAGGAAUGAAUGGCGGCCACUCACUAUUAUGUUUAUUCUCACAUGUUUUUUUGUUUCUAUAUACAAUAACAACAACAACAGCAACAACAAAGCCUUUAGUCCCAAGCAAGUUGGGGUAGGCCAGAGGUGGAACCCAUCGGAUCUCGCGACCAACUCAUGGUUGUGGCACAUGGAUAACAAGCUUCCACACACCCUUGUCCAUGGCUAGUUCUUUGGUGAUAUUCCAGUCCUUCAGAUCUCUCUUUCCGGACUCCUCCCAUAUCAGGCUCGGUCUACCUCGGCCUUUUUUGACAUUAUCAACACGCUUUAGCCGUCCGUUAUGCACUAGGGCUUCUGGAGACCUGUGCCGAAUAUGCCAAAACCAUCUUAGACGAUGUUGGACAAGCUUCUCUUCAAUUGGUGCUACCCCAACUCUAUCUUGUAUAUCAUCGUUCCGGACUCGGUCUUUCCUUGUGUGGCCACACAUCCAUCUCAACAUGCGCAUCUCCUCCGCACCAAACUGUUGCACAUUGUCGGCCAACACUCAGCGUCAUACAACAUUGCGGGUCGAACCGCCGUCCUAUAGGACUUGCCUUUUAGCUUUUAUGGCAGUCUCUUGUCAUAGUUAUGUUGGAAAUAUGAGCGAUUUACCAAGUGAUUUUACUAGCAGAAAUAAUAAGUAAAUCACGAUUACCAUAGCAAACAUAUGAUAAGCCAUGCAAUUAUAGAGAAAAUAUGGAAGUUGCAUUUGAAAAGAUGAACAAGAACAGAACAUAUCUAGAAAAGAAACUACAACAAGAAGUUGAGGCAUGAACUCAAACAAGAAGAAUACGAGAACGUACUGAGUUGCAGCUGCAGCGGCAGUGGUGUUGGUGUUGUCGUUGGAAAUGUUGUCGAAGAGGUGGUUGACGUCCGGGAAGAAGUCGUUGUCCGGGAAGAGGUCGUUGAUGUCCGUGAUGAAAGCCAGUAGUCGCGCGGAGUGCUCCCCAAAAACCUUAUCGCCCUUCUCCUGUACAGGGCCCAAAGGGACAGAGUUUCGGAGGCCUACUGUCCCGACCUACGGUGCACGCCGCAAGCCGGGAUGGGGAAGAACGUAGCAGCAACAUAGAGUUUGGAACCGGUGGCGAGAGGAAGUUCUGAUGCGUAUCUUUGGAGAGGAGCGACCUCUCUUUUAUAGGCGCAAGAGAAGGAGGCGAGAGGCCAACGACGGGAGCCGAAGAGAAUGAGGGAGACGAAACGAACAGACAGUAGCCGAAGGGUGCAACGUUCGUGUUCAAUAUCCACUACAGCAAAACGUUCAGCUUCCAAGUGACCUUUGUAUACCAGUCGUGCGUGGCAAAAAAAUAGUUAGGCUCCGCUCAUUCCCGCAACCCGCGGCGCGUCGUGACGAGGCGAGGCGGGCGGCGGAGAAGGAGGAGUGCGCGUGUAUGUCUCUCUUGUUCUCAUGCUCAUACAUGUGUGGAAACAUCCUCCCUUAUAAGGAGGUCCAACUCCAACUAAACUAGCAAUGUGAGACUACACUUCUCCACCUCUUGCCUUGCACAAAUGGGCUGCGUGGGCCUCUAUGAUUUAUUUGGAAUUCCUGAAAUUGUAUCUUGGGCUGGUCCAAAAUAGGUAAAAAUUCCAGCAAUCCCCCACCAGAACCCAGAGGCACACAAAAUUUGCCUUUGGUUUCAAAACACUGUUUUAUAUACCGAUACUGCAGUGGAGACUGUUGAGUUGAACUUCCACCUAGAACUCUAUGCUACACUAGUAAGCAACUUGGACAGUGGACUAGGCCUUGAACUGCAAGUUUUCUACGAAUCUAGCUUCACACAGAGCCUUGACCGAUACUAGGCUACCGUGGGACUUCCCUGCGGAUGGAGCUUAUGCGACAUACUCUGAGACCUUUCAUGAGUUUACUAGAGAGCACCCUACUCUCAUAGAUUGCGACGUUAACAAUCAGACUCAUAUAGGUGUGUUCUUCAAAAGAUGUUCUGCAGGACAACAUCUCUUCUUUAAUAAGCCACUUAGAACAUAUUAAGAUGUACAUCAACCUGCCAUGCAGUUUAGGAAAGUAUUGCAUCUUCAUGGAGUGGUAUUGUUAAUGAUAAGGAUACUUUCCCCUCAGUUGACUAACCUCAGUUGACUAACAGCUUGUCUUCCACAUCUAAUUCACGGGAUCUCCGAUCACAAAGAAUAGGUUACCACUGUGAACAACUCAUAUUGUGGGUCUCAUACCCAUCUCCCUCGAUGCAUCAUCUAUCACAUUACGUGAUAGACCCUUAGUAAAAGGAUGUGCCAGAUUUUUAGAUGUUUGGAUAUAAUCCAAUGCAAUAACUCCGGAGUUUCUCAUUUUCCUGAUAGAUUUUAACCUUCUCUGAACAUGUCUUGAUGACUUCAUGUUAUCCUUUGAGCUGCUCACUUUCGUGAUCACAGUUUGAUUGUCGCAGUUCAUAAGGAUACCCGGUACAGGUUUCUCAAUAACCGGCAAGUCACUCAAGAGUCGACGAAGCCAAUCUGCUUCGACCGUAGCUAUAUGUAGUGUUGUGAGUUCUGCUUCCAUUGUUGACCUUGUUAAGAUCGUUUGCUUGCAAGACUUCCAAGAAACAUCGCCACCUCCAUGAGUGAAUACAUAUCCGCUCGUGGCCUUUAUCUCAUCAGCAUCAAAGAUCCAGUUUGAAUCACUAUACCCUUCAAGCACCUUUGGGUGUCGAGUAUAGUGAAUUCCAUAAUUUCACUAUAGUGAAUGACGCAAAACUCUCUCUAGAGCUUUCCAAUGCACAUCGCCUGGUUUUGAGACAAACCGACUCAGUUUGCUAACAACAAAAGAGAUGUCAGGUCUUGUAGCACUGGCUAAGUACAUAAGCGAGUCAAUAAUCUGAGAAUAUUUCAAUUGGUCUCUAGCAAUACUUCGAUUCUUUCGAAGCAGCACGCUGGCAUCAUGUGGUGUUGGAGAGGGCUUGCAAUCACUAUAUCCAAAGCGACUCAAGAUCUUUUCCACAUAGUGAGAUUGAAGCAAUGUAAUCCCACCAUCAUCGUCUCUCAACAACUUGAUGUUCAAAAUGACAUCAACCACUCCUAAAUCCUUCAUCCCAAAACAGUGUGAUAGAAAAUCCUUGACCUCCUUAAUAACAUUCAAAUUUGUUCCGAAAAUCAGUAUGUCAUCAACAUACAAGCAAAGGAUAACUCCCUCGCCCCCACCAUGGCGAUAAUACAUACAUUUAUCAGCUUCGUUUACAACAAAGCCUGCAGUUGUUAAAGUUCUUUCAAACUUCUCAUGCCACUACUUGGGUGCUUGCUUAAGUCCAUAUAAAGACUUCAGCAACUUGCACACUUUUCCUUCCUGACCAUCUACUACAAACCCAUCUGGUUGUUCCAUGUAAAUUUCCUCAUCCAACUCUCCAUUUAGGAAAGCAGUCUUAACAUCCAUUUGAUGAACGAGAAGACCAUGUGAGGCAGCUAGUGAAAGUAGUACUCGAAUAGUGGUCAGUCGAGCCACAGGUGAGUAAGUAUCAAAGAAGUCUUCACCUUCCUUUUGGGUAUAACCCUUGGCUACGAGCCGUGCCUUGUACUUCUCGAUAGUACCAUCGGGCCUAAGCUUCUUCUUGAAUACCCAUUUGCAUCCUAUAGGUUUACACCCAUAAGGACGAUCAAUUAUUUCCCAAGUUUCAUUUGCCAAGAUGGAAUCCAUCUCAUUACGGAUUGCUUCCUUCCAGUAGUCAGCAUCUUCAGACGCAUAUGCUUCUGAAAUAGAACUGGGAGUGUCAUCUAUGAGAUACACAAGAAAGUCAUCACCAAAGGACUUUGCAGUCCUCUGUCUCUUGCUCUUGGUAGGAACAUCAUUGUUCUCCUCCACAGGAUUUUCAAAGUUUUCCAUCGAAAUGAUGGGUUCAGUAAUUGUAACUAAUUCAUGACUCGAUGAACUAGGCAUCUCCUGAUUAGAUGAGGUAGCCAUAUCUUUCAUGGGAAAUAUAUCUUCGAAGAAAGUCGCAUCAUUCGAUUCCAUGAUUGUACCGACAUGCAUGUCAGAUACCUCAGAUUUUACAACCAAGAAUCUAUAUCCAAUGCUAUGAAAGGCAUAUCUCAGGAAAACACAAUCCAUAGUUUUGGUCCUAGCUUGCGCUUCUUUGGAAUUGGCACAUUGACUUUCGCCAAACAACCCCACGAUCGUAGAUAAGAGAGUUUUAACCUUUUCUUCUCCCAUUCCUCGAAUGGAGUUAUCUCUUUGUUCUUUGUGGGAAUUCGGUUUUGGACAUGACAUGCAGUCAAUAUCGCCUCCCCCCACCAUGCCUUGGAGAGACCCGAUGUGUCUAACAUGGCGUUAACCAAAUCAGUUAGAGUACGAUUCUUUCUUUCGGCUACCCCAUUUGACUGAGGUGAAUAUGGAGGCGUCCUCAUGGAUUAUACCAUGUUCCGCAUAGAAAGAAUCAAAUUCAUUUGAGAAAUACUCUCCACCAUGAUCGGACCUAAGCCUCUUGAUCUUUCGAUCAAGUUGGUUUUCAGCUUCAACUUUAUAGAUCUUGAAAUAGUUCAAAGCCUCAUCCUUAGACUUCAGAAGAUACACUUGGCAAUAUCAAGUGGAGUCAUCAAUUAACGUCAUGAAAUAUUUAUUUCCACCUUUUGUCAAAAUGCCAUUCAUUUCACAUAGAUCUGAAUGUAUGAGCUCUAGCGGUGCAAGGUUUCUCGUUUCGGCAGUCGUGUGAGACUUACGAGGCUGCUUGGCUUGCACACAAACUUGACACUUAGAUCCCUUGACGGUGGUGAAACUAGGGAUUAAGUUCAAUUUGGCUAGUCGCGACAUGCAACCAAAAUUAACAUGACAGAGACGCGAAUGCCACACAUUUGAUUCACUAUUGUUGCAAACAUGAUUAACAACUUUACUGCAAACAUCUGUCAAGGAUAAACGGAACAGGCCUCCUGACUCGUAUCCUUUACCAACAAAAGUUCCAUACUUGGAUAUUACAAAUUUAUUCGACUCAAAGACAAGCUUGUAGCCAUCUCUACACAGAAGAGAUCCGCUAACAAGAUUUUUAUUGACGGAGGGGACAUAAUGCACGUUCUUUAGCCGCACGACCUUCCCCGAAGUAAACUUCAGAUCGACCGUGCCAACACCACGAACAGAAGCACUUGAACCGUUGCCCAUCAGCACGAUGGAAGUCCCUGUGGUCUGAUAAGACGAAAACAUGGAAAUAUCGCCGCAUACAUGCACAUUAGCACCUGUGUCAAUCAGCCAAUCGGGAAAAUGACAUACUGAAAGGAUAGUGGGAAAUGUACCAUACCCAGCAUCCUUCACGUCAGUGUCACCAAUGACAACAUUAGCGGUCUUGCCGCCUUUCCCAUGUUGACACUUGUCAUAACGGUUAGGGCAGUUAGGUGCCCAAUGAUCAGGAUCUCCGCACACAUGACAAACACCUUUCUUCUUGUCAUUCUUCUUCUUGAAGUUGGUGUGCUGUAAAGCCUUGCUUCCCGUCGAACUUUGCUUUGCCAUCAAACUUGCCCUUGUUCUUGAAAUUGUGGGGCUGGAAGUUUUUCUUCUGUACCAGAUUGGCACUAGGUCCUCCCUCAAUACCUCGAGCACGUGUGUCUUUUGCUCUCGCCUUUUCUUCCACAUCAAGAGUACCAAUGAGAUCCGGAACGGAAAACUCCUGCAUCUUAUGCUUCAGUAAGGUAGCAAAGUUCCUCCACGAAGGAGGAAGUUUAGUGAUGAUGCCUCCGGCAACAAACUUGUCCGGUAACAUGCAAUUGAAGUGCUCAAGUUCUCUAGCAAAUGACUGUAUCUCGUGAGCUUGCUCAACCACGGAGCACUCUUCAGUCAUCCUGUAGUCAUAGAAUUGUUCCAUGAUGUACAGCUCAGUGCCAACAUCCGAGACCCCAAACUUGGCCUCGAGUGCAUCCCACAUAUCCUUUCCAUUAUCAAUUGACGCAUAAGCAUCAACUAUGUUACUCACCAAGAACACUCAAGAGAGCAGCCUUAAACAAGGUAUCCAUUUUCUGAAAAGCUAGUUCCUGUUGAGCAUCAUGAUCUCCUUCAUGUUUGCCAAGAGUGGCGUCAUAGCAGCUCAUGGUUUGGAACCAUAGAACGGCUCUUACGCGCCACCUCUUAUAGUGGAUACCCUCAAACAUAGGAGGUCUCAUGGAAGCAGCAAAACCACUCGGGGUAAAUUGCCUAUAAUAAGGUUUUUGGAUUGUAAAUAUGAGCGAUUUACCAAGUGAUUUUACUAGCAGAAAUAAUAAAUAAAUCACGAUUACCAUAGCAAACAUAUGAUAAGCCAUGCAAUUAUAGAGAAAAUAUGAAAGUUGCAUUUGAAAAGACGAACAUGAACGGAACAUAUCUAGAAAAGAAACUACAACAAGAAGUUGAGGCAUGAACUCAAACAAGAAGAAUACAAGCAGCAGUGGUGUUGGUGUUGUCGUUGGACAUGUUGUCGAAGAGGUGGUCGACGUCAGGGAAGAAGUCGUGUUCAAUAUCCACUAUUGGUGUUGGUGUUGGUGUUGUCGUUGGACAUGUUGUCGAAGAGGCCAGCGACGGGAGCCGAAGAGAACGAGGGAGACGAAACGAACAGACAGCAGCCGUGUUCAAUAUCCACUACAACAAAACUUUCAGCUUCCGAGUGACCUUUCGUAUACCAGUUGUGCGUGGCAAAAAUUUAGUUCGGCUCGGCUCAUUCCCGCAACCCGCGGCGCGUAGUUGUUAGGAAAGCAACUUGUAUUCCCAUGAGGCCAUAGGCCGGUAUAUAUACAUGUACAGGUGGUGGACUAUAUGCAGGAAACCCCUUAUAUAUUGGGAUAAUUACAGAAGGAUACAUGACUUGUAUUAUAAACACCCCCCCUCAAACUCAUGGUGGAUGAACAACACUGAGUUUGGAGAGAUAAAAGCCAUGUUGUGCUCUAGUCUGGGCCUUCGUCAGGAAAUCCGCCAACUGUAACUCGGAAGGCACAUACUGAAGAGCAACAACCUGAUCCUGCACAGCAGCGCGCACAUAGAAAGCAUCAACACCAAUAUGCUUGGUGAGCUCAUGCUUCACAGGAUCGCGCGCAAUGCUAAUAGCACCUGUACUGUCAGAUAAGAGCAGAGUCGGUGUAGUGACAGAAACACCAAAAUCCUGAAGUAACCACCGUAACCAAGUCACCUCUGCCGUCAAAAGAGCCAUCGCUCGCAACUCAGCCUCUGCACUCGAACGGGAAACUGCAAUCUGUUUCUUCGUCUUCCAGGCAAUGAGAGAACCACCAAGAAAAACACAGUAAGCAGAAAGUGAACGGCGAUCUGAAGGAUCACUAGCCCACGUAGCAUCCGAAUAGGCCUGAAGCUGUAAAGAACUGGAGCGAGGAAAGAAUAGACGGUGAGAGAUUGUGCCCCGAAGAUAUCGGAGAACACGGAGGAGAUGACUAUAGUGAACCGAUGUGGGAGUAGAGACAAACUGACUCAGAAUAUGAACCGGAUAAGAAAUAUCCGGACGAGUGACAGCUAGAUAAACAAGACUGCCAACAAGAUGACGAUAGCGCGUCGGGUCAGGCAGGGGAUCACCAUCAGUAGCAGAAAGGUGAACAUUGAGCUCCAUAGGAGUCUCAACAAUGCGCUCAUCAGUAAGAGCAGCACGAGCAAGAAGAUCCUGGAUAUACUUUUCCUGGGAUAUAAAAAAGCCAUCAGAGGUAGAAGAGACUUCAAUCCCAAGAAAGUAGCGAAGAGGUCCAAGAUCAGACAUAAGGAACUGCUCACUAAGACGAGCCUUGACAAAGGCAAUAUACUCAGGGUCAUCCCCAGUGAUGACCAUGUCAUCAACAUAAAGAAGAAGAAGAGUCCGACCACGAGGAGAAAGGUGAAUAAAUAAUGCUGGAUCAUGAACACUUGGUGAAAAACCAGCGGCAGUCACCACAGAGGCAAACCGCUCAAACCAGGCUCGGGGGGCUUGCUUAAGGCCAUAGAGAGAGCGACGAAGACGGCAUACCAUGCCAUCAGGAACAUAAUACCCAGGUGGAGGCUGCAUGUACACCUCCUCACGCAGCUCACCAUUAAGAAAAGCAUUCUUAACAUCAAGCUGAGAGAUAGACCAGUGGCGUGUAGAGGCCACGGCAAGAAGUGUACGAACAGUGGUCAUAUGAGCCACAGGAGCAAAAGUCUCGUCAUAAUCACGACCAUGCUCCUGCUGAAAACCACGAGCCACAAGACGAGCUUUGUGACGCUCGAGAGAACCAUCGGAGCGAGUCUUUACCUUGUAGACCCACUUACAAGUGAUGGGAUGGACUCCAGGAGGAAGGGAGACAAGAUCCCACGUACCUGUGCGUUCAAGAGCAGCAAUCUCCUCAGCCAUCGCAAACUGCCAUUCAGGAUGAACAACAGCCUGAUGAUAAGUAGUUGGCUCAAGAACAGCAGCUCCAGCGGUGGAAAAGCCUAAGCGAUCAACAGGCGGACGAGGACGAGAACGCAAGCCAUAAGUAGGCUGAGACGAGGAUGACGGCACAUCCAGAGAAGCAUCCACAGAACGUGAACGACGAGUGUAACACUGAGGAAAAGAUGGAACAAUGGAAGGAGGAAUCGCUAAAGUAGAAUCGGAGAGUGGCGACGAAGAAGUCACCGGAGAGGAAGGUGUAGAAUCCGGUGACAUGCUAGACGAGGAGACCGUGGAAGAUGGUGGCGACAAAUCGACUGGAGGUGGAGAAGCAGAGGGAGCAGAAUGAGUAGGCAAAGGCUCAACGAGUGUGAUAGGCGUGUCAGGAAAAGUGAGAAAAGAGAUAUCCUCUACUGAAAAAGUCGAGGAAGAUGAGCGUGGGUAGAAGGGACGAGACUCAUCAAAAGUCACAUCCCGAGAGAUACGUAUCCGACGACCGAUAGGAUCCCAACAACGAUAGCCCUUAUGCUCAUCACUAUAGCCUAAGAAGACACACUCAACAGACUGAGCGGUCAGUUUGGUGCGUUCGGGGGGGGCAAGAAGAACAUAGCAAACACAACCAAACAAGCGAAGCGUCGAAUAAUCGGGAGACCGAUCAAAAAGACACUCGAAAGGAACACCACCCUGUAGAGCAGCGGAAGGCUGGAAAUUGAUGAGAUAGGUGGAGGUGGAGACGGCCUCAGCCCAAAAAUGCGGCGGGAGAGAGGCAGCAAUCAUUAAUGCACGAGCCGUCUCAAGAAGAUGACGAUGCUUGCGCUCAGCCACGCCAUUCCGAGCAUGAGCACCAGGACAAGAGAAUUGAGAGAGAGUCCCUUGCUCAGCAAGAACACCACGCAGCAUCUUAGAGAUAUACUCGCCAGCGGAGUCAGCACGAAACACACGAAUGGGAGAAGAGAACUGAGUAUGAACCAUGGCAGCAAAACGCUUAUAAAUGGACAACACCUCACUACGAGAAGUCAUGAAAUAAAGCCAUGUGUAACGAGAGAAGUCAUCUAUGAAAAUAAUAUAGUAUUUAUGACCCCCUUUCGAAUCGAAGGGAGCCAGACCCCAUACAUCGGAAUGGACUAAAUCAAAAGGACGCUUAGACACUGACUCACUAUGUGGAUAUGGUAACUGAAUCUGCUUGCCAAGACGACAACCCUGACACUCUAAGGAGGCAUCUCCUGAGACAGACCCCAGAAGACCUCGACGAACUAACGACGACAAACGAGAACCACACAGAUGACCAAGUCGAUGAUGCCAUUGCUGGAAAGAACCAGUAGCCGAGGCGACCAAAGCGGAAGAAUUGGCGAGAGAAUGGGCAGAGGAAGGAACAUGAAGCCAGUCCACCUCUCAAAGACCCUCAGAAUCACGGCGGCGAGGGCCAGCCCCAACCAGAGUGUGCGUGCGACGGUCCUGGACAGAACAAGCGUCAAGAUCAAGGAUGACACGACAACCAGAAUCAGCAAGUUGAGCAGCGGAAAACAAAUUCAUGGUAAGUCGAGGAACAUGAGCAACAUCAGGAACAGAAUAAGAAGGAGUGGUAAGAGUGCCUCUACUAACGACAGGAAGGGGAGUACCAUCAGCGGUGAGGACAUGAACAGGAGAAUCAAGCGAACGAAGAGAGGACAGAGUGGAAGAAUUAGAAGUCAUAUGAAAGGAAGCUCCAGAGUCCAGAACCCAUGGGGAUGUACCUGACUGUGUAGAAGGUGGUUGCUCAGUGCGGGAAGCCUCAGUCACAGAACCAGCAGUACCCGUUGAGGAAGAACCGGAAGCAGCGAGCAGACGCUUAAGUCUCAGAAUAUCCUGCUCAGUCAAAGCGAUGGCUGAAGCUGUCGAGGUAGAUGACGAAGUCGCUGGAGAUGGUGACCGCGCCUUGCGCAAGUGUUUCUUCUUCGUGUAACAGUGCGGCUCAAUAUGACCAUCAUUGUUGCAGUAGUUACAAUGUGGACGGGGGUGACCUGAGCCGCCAGAAGGAGUGGGCAAGAGCGGCGGAUCACUCGAGCGAGAAGGGGUCGGUGCAGCAGGUGGCGUAGAAAAAGUCCGAGCAGCGAGCACCGAGGGAACCUCCAGCAAACCAGCACCACGUAGGCGAGUCUCCUCAGCACGAAUCUCAGAAAGCGCCUCCAUGAGAGAAAUACGGCCACGAGCAAACAACUGAGCACGCCGGGGCUCAAACUCCUUACGGAGCCGAGACAGGAACUCAUAGACCCGAUGAAACUCCAAGUCGGCCUGGACGGCCUGGCAACAGGCGCAAGUACGACAACCAGCACUGCGAAGAGAAUCAAGCUGGCGCCAGAUAGCAGAGCUUUGUGCAUAGAAGGCAUCAACAGUAGAGUCACCCUGUUGAAGAGCAUGCUCCUGACGGACCACAGAGAGGUAUAAGGCAUCACCAGAGGGCUCAUAGCGCUGACGAAGGCGGGUCCACAUCUCAAAUACAGUAGGAAGGCCCAGAAACUCAGAAGGAAACUGAGGCAGAACACUAGCAGUGAGAACAGCGGCAACACGAGCAUCAUCAUCAAGCCACUGGGUGUAAGCAGACAGAGCACCAUGAUACAGCUGAAGAGCCUCCUCAUAAGCCAAGACCUUCUCAUCAUAAGCACUCACAGCGGCCUCAUCAGCAAGCGUAGUCGCAUCCUUUGCGGCCUGAGAAACAUCCGCAGGAAGAGCCGGUGGGGUCGGCGGAGUGGGAGCCACGGGAGGAACCGGACAUGGCGGACAAGAGACCUCGCCGGAAAGAAAACCCCAUAGGCGGAUGCCACGCAUGUGAAUGCGCAUGAAGCCAAUGAACUCGGUGUAGUUAGUGCCAUCAAAGAUCACCGGACACCGAGGAACAGCAACAUAGCCAGUAGACAUUUUUUUUUUNNNNNNNNNNNNNNNNNNNNNNNNNNNNNNNNNNNNNNNNNNNNNNNNNNNNNNNNNNNNNNNNNNNNNNNNNNNNNNNNNNNNNNNNNNNNNNNNNNNNNNNNNNNNNNNNNNNNNNNNNNNNNNNNNNNNNNNNNNNNNNNNNNNNNNNNNNNNNNNNNNNNNNNNNNNNNNNNNNNNNNNNNNNNNNNNNNNNNNNNNNNNNNNNNNNNNNNNNNNNNNNNNNNNNNNNNNNNNNNNNNNNNNNNNNNNNNNNNNNNNNNNNNNNNNNNNNNNNNNNNNNNNNNNNNNNNNNNNNNNNNNNNNNNNNNNNNNNNNNNNNNNNNNNNNNNNNNNNNNNNNNNNNNNNNNNNNNNNNNNNNNNNNNNNNNNNNNNNNNNNNNNNNNNNNNNNNNNNNNNNNNNNNNNNNNNNNNNNNNNNNNNNNNNNNNNNNNNNNNNNNNNNNNNNNNNNACCUCCACGUGCGGGACGAGGCCGGUACCAGCGGUGGGAAAGCUAGAUCGGAAAAGGCACGAGUUGCGCGUGCAAAAAAGACCUAGGCUCUAAUACCAUGUUAGGAAAGCAACUUGUAUUCCCAUGAGGCCAUAGGCCGGUAUAUAUACAUGUACAGGUGGUGGACUAUAUGCAGGAAACCCCUUAUAUAUUGGGAUAAUUACAGAAGGAUACAUGACUUGUAUUAUAACUCUAACAGUAGUGACGAGGCGAGGCGGGCGGCGGAGGAGGAGGAGCGCGCGUGUAUGUCUCUCUUGUUCUAAUGCUCAUACAUGCGUGGAAAAAUCCUCUUUACUCCCUUAGGAUUUAAGAGUAUUGAUGUUGUUCGGAUUACCCCAAACUUUUUUUUUGGCUCACUUGACUUGUCCCAAGUUUUACACCGUUCCCUUGACCUCUCAUUUUACAUGUAUUUUCCAUGGCACCGUCUUUUGUCCAUGUAUACACAUCCAAGUCUCCGCCCACAAACACCGUCUUUUGUUCAUGCAUGAGCUCAACAGCAGGAGUUCCUCUAAAUCACACAAAUGAACAUAUUAACAACCAGAUCAUACCACACGAGAAUUGUACCAAUUGCAGAAAUUGAUUGCCAUCAAACACACAGGUCUACAAGCUGUUGUACAUACAAGCCUUCUAACACUCAAACUUACCAUCAAACACACAGUCAGUUUCUUCCUUCUCAGAUCAGACUUGCUAGUUUUUUGCUGCCUUGGUAGUUGGUAGAGAUGGUGUUCAUGCAUUCUGUGUGAAGCCGGAGACAAUGUAGAGACGUAGAAUGGAGAAAAGGUAGAGACGUAGAACAAUGACAAGGUAGAGACGUAGAAUGGAGCCAAGGUGGUGGUGGAGACGGGGUAGCUAGAAGUGGGGGAGCAAGCUAGCCCAUGGAGGACAUAGGAGGUCCUGGAGCUGCAGUUGGGGCGGCGGCCAGUUUUUGUGGAGUCAAGAUUCGGGGAAGAGCUGGGCCGACGCAGAUCGGAACCGGGAAAGAGUGGUCGGUGCAGAGCAAGGGCGGAGCUGGCCAUCCUUGAGACCGGCGGCAUACAGGGGACCGGAAGUGCAGGAAGAGAGAAGGAAGGAGCAGAAAGUGGGUGCUUGAUGUGGGAAGUGAGGAGGCCGCGGCAGGGAAGAGGAGGGCUGACUAGUGAACAACUAUUCGGGGUUUCUCAGCUGGGCAUAGCUGAGGGCCUUUUUAGCAUGAGUUGGGCAUAGCUGAGGAGAGCCCAUACAUCCUACCAAACAGUUAAAAAUUGGUCGAGUUGGGAACUUUUAAGCCCCCACACCCUCCAUGCACCCUAACAAACACACCCUUAGUCCACUUAUGAUGCCACAUGCAUAAAAUCACGUUAGUUGGCAGCCACAUGGACAAAAUGACCAUAUAGAAAGUUUAAGGGUGAAGUAACAGUAUUAAUACUUGUGGAAGUAUACUGAGCAAAAAUAAUACUAGUACUGAUGGAUAUCCAAACAACACGGUUGUGAGUAGAAAUGGCUCCUAAGUAAAAUUAGAAUCACAUUAUCAUCUCCUAGUACAAUUUUGUAAUAAUAUGUGCAAUGUUCAGAAAAGCGGAAAGCUUAAGCGAAGCGGAAGGCCACAGCUUAGAGCAAUGGAUGCUUAAGCGCAGCUUAACCGCACUUAAGCGUUUUCUGAAAUUGGCUAGAAUUUGAUAGAUUUUGAAUAAUAUACACAGGAAAAUAGGAAACAUGGCACAUGUGUAAUCGAAUAGCCAUCUAAAAUACAGUUCAUACCAUAGCGAGUACACAUUAAGUUCACAUGGCAAGCAAAAUAACAACUAAAAUGCAGUUCAGUUCAAAUAGUCAUAGCCUAAUAGAGAUCACGUGGCCAUAAUUUUGUCAGCAUAUGAAGGAAAUAGUUCCCAAACAGAGCCUAGUAAUAAGAUAAAUGGGAUAUUGCCAUUAUUGCGCAAGCAGACAAGCAAAAGUACUUCAAAAACAGUCAAAUUCUGGCCAAAUUUAAAAAAAACGCUUAAUCUACCGCUUAGGGCAAAAGCGAAGCGCUUAGCGUCGCUUAAAAACGCUUUCUUGAACACUGAAUAUGUGACACCAUCAGUUAAUGUCACUAUGUUCUUACAUUCACGUACUGUAAGAUGUGAAUCCCCAUCAGUAUGAUGCCCCAUGAUGUCCCAUAGAUAAAGAGAACAAAAAGUGCAUGGAAGAGGUGUUUUUUCCUUGCAAAUAACUAAGGGCCUCUGUGAGGACACAAAUGGUUUUCUGUCUGAAAUAUAUGUACAGCUUGUUUGGCACCUCUCAUUUCAUUUCAUUUGGUAGAAAUGAAAUGAAACCUUUGUUAGAAUUUCAUUUGGUUGAAAUGGACAUCCUAUUGCAAAUUACAUGUUUCGCAGCCACAUGGAUUUCUGAAUUGAAAUGAUUUCUAUAUCAUGUAUGGCUGCCAUUUUGGCAUGAAUUGAUAAAUCCACACCAAGUCUGGCUUCAAAAAUGAGCUUUAUAAUAGACUAAAGUCAUCUUUCUAAAAUUUAAGAUUUAUGCCAAGAUAAAACAAGUUUAAACUCAUGGGUGGGAGGUAUCCAUGUCGUACUAAAUCUUCUAGACAGAAGACGAAAGACUACAACUUGGCAUAACCUGCCUUACUCCUGGGUGGGAGGUAUGCAUGUCGUACUAAGGGUUUGUUUGUUUCAGCUCUAAAGAGCCCGCUUCUACGGCUUCUCGGGCUGUAGAAGCCGUAGCCGCACCAAUGGGUCGUUUUCUAGGCCGGCUCCACGCAGCUGUGAGGCGGAGCGCUCCGCAGAAAUGGCCCAGAAGCCGAAGCAGCUAUUUUGGGCUGGAGCUCCUCGUAGCCGGCUCCAACCUGGACUUCUACCGAUUUAUCCUCCUGCAAAUCUCCAUAAUACAUCAACAAUGCCACAAAAUGUUUUGCCUCGUGUUUCCCCCCUCACCCCUCACCCUGACAGAAUGCCUGAGCCGCCUCUCGCGCGUGGUCGAAGCUGCUCAAUUUGCUGGAGCAGGAGGCCAGGUGUGAUGCAAGCGUCGAGUGGCAUCAGUGGCGAGAGGAAUCAAUAGCAGCAGAAGUGGGCUUGUGGCUCCAGACAGUGAAUGAAAAAGGGGAUCAGGAGAGACGACUAUGUGCGUAUGUGUGUGCUUUGUGCCAGCGACCAGCAACAACACGUGCACAUGCGUGUGUGUGCUUAAGUGUCGAGCAGCAACUUAAUCAUUUUAACCUCUCCAAAAGCUUGAAACGUGUCCUGUUAUGUGAUUUUAACCCCCUCCCUCCUUAUAUAGCAUGGCACAUGAUGCCAAGCGACAACCUUCGCUGCGAAACUCACGCCAGGUCUGAGUGCCGCGUGGAUCCCGGGCACGGGAAAUGAUGCAUAAUAAUAGCGAUGGAACAAAACCUUCAAUGGGACCGGCAUUGCCUGGGGACCAGUCCCUAGACAAGGUGGUUGGGAGGCGUGACCUCCGAUACCCUUAUCGGCAUUUGGCUUGGCUGAAGCCCGAGUUGCGGAAGCCAGAUAACUCCAUGAUUGGCUGAAGGAACCGACGGGCAAUAUGACCAACCACAAGGAGGAGAGCUCAUCAAGAUAUCAUCACGGCGACUCAAGACAAAGUUACAAUUGAAGGCUAAGCGGAACUCCUGACGAGCUUGGGGGCUACUAAUGGUGUAUGAUACCGGGGGUGGCCCGUCGGUUGGCAAGUUUCAUCAUUGUGAUGCAUCAAAUAGGCACAUGUCAUACGUGAGUUGCAGCCAAUAAAGGUCACAAAAUACUUUGCACUACUAACCGACACCACAAGACUUGUCCACAGAUCCGAGCGAAUAAGCAUGAGUGAGGUGAAUAAGAGAUAUAUUUCUAAGUUCCUUACUCACAUAAGACGUCAGUGUGUUUUGCAAACUCACACAUCACAUUUCAGCUUGUUCUUAUCUACUCGGUGCAUUACAUAAGGAAAUAACUUGUACAUUUUAUCAAAUGGUACAUGCCCCAUUCUGCAGUGAUGUUUCAUCGCCACGGACUCUCUUUCUUCCACAAUUGCCGCAAACACUGAGCCGCAUCUGACCAAGCCCCUCAUGGUCCAUGUCCCAGAAUCCUCUAUGCCUUAUUCCAGCCCCCAUCCUCCUUCCAGUCGGCCUGUCCUGAAUCAAGCACAUUCCUCUGUCAAGUGUUAUCCUACAGUCCACCUGUCGAUUAGAACACUAAGAGACAGCAGAUUGACCGGGAAAGCUGGCACAUGUAGGACCUAAGAUAACUUCCUAGCAGGUGUACAUUGAACUGUCCCAAUACCCUUAAUAGGCUGCAAUGUCCCACCAGAUGUACAUAUAGUGUUACUUGGAGAGGGAGUGUGCUGAUCAUAUGACUCAAAUUCCAUGAAGUCACCAGCAACAUGUUGAGAUGCACCAGUCCGAGUACCCAGUCUGGAUCAGUUCUGUGAGCAGCUAUUGUGGCCUUUUCAGUGUUGCUUAAUUUGUACAGAUAAAAUGAGCCAAACUUGGAAGACUAGCAUCCUCUUGGCUAUCUUGUUGUUCGAUCUCACCUGCAUCCUCUACUUCCUGCAUCAUUUCGCCGAGGGGAAACAACAAAGCACGCUGCCACAUACUUGCCGCACAUGUCCACAGCUCACAUCCGCCUGACACAUGUGUCCUCUUCAGGUCAUGGUCUCCUCUCAGCUUUUCAUCUCCUACAUGCCUUCCUCCUUCCUCCUCUGCGUCACACGGACAUCCAUCAUCUGGCCGUCCGAAUACGUGACCCUAGUCUGCUCUGCCAAGUCGUUGAACAUAUCCACGACCUCACCACCUGCCAUCUUCCUCCCAGGCAGCCACACACAGCAGCUAGCCCUCCUCUUCGAAUAACCGCACGCAGCAGCAACACCUCAAGCAGAAGCAGCAGCAACACAUGCACCACCAGCUCAUACUCUACACUUCAAGACAGCAGCAACAGUAGUUAAGCCCUCAGCAGUGCACACCACCAGCAGCAGCAAUAAAAGCAGCAGCAACUCCUCCUUUUUCUCCAAUCAGCACAACAGCAGCAGCACCAGUCACACUCGAUUUUACCUUCUCCACUGUUUUCCUUCUCCCUUCCUCAGCUGCUCCAGCAGCUCCUCGCGCACACACCACCGCUCCAGCAACAAGAAAAGUCAAACUCAAGCCACCGGAAAAGAGAAGAGGAGGAAGAUGUCGGGCCACGGCCACCAGUGUUUCCCCACAGCUCGCAUGCAGCAGCGCCGCAUGCUCCUCACCAGCCGCUCGCCCGAGCUUGCCUGCUGCAUGCCGCAGCUGCCCUGCCGUCACCCAAGUCCGCCGCCGCCUUCCCCCUUCUUGUCGGGCCCUGCUGUCACCGGCGACUAGACCGCCUCCUGGUCUGAUACCAUGUUGAGAGAGGAGAGGCGAACCCUGUGGCUUCAAUGUGGUGUAGCGGUGCUUAGCUCUAGACAAGAUUGAGUUCCUCUCCUUUUAGGUCGAAUAUGGACCUGGGAUAUGGACCUGGGCCUCCUGGGCCAACAGUGAUGGGCCACACAUUCAACAGUUUUUUUGUUUCGAAAAAAUAGCUUGCAGAGGUGUUGUGCUUUGAAUUUUGUAUGGGGUUGCUGUGCAUACAAAGGAAAAGGAUCCGAGAGAAGACCAAGGGAUUGAUCCAACAAAAUAUACUGCCAAGCAAACAAUUCAGCAUGAUGUGAUCGAAUUUCAACAAUGCCGCCACCCUGCAGCUUGAGGGCAUGCUGCUAGUCUGGGAAGGGUGUAGUGUUGUGGACACUAGUACAGUGGAUAAGCCAAGCAGGCUGGCAAGAGGGUCAGGGAUAUUGCAACAGCAGCAGGUCACGUGCCGGGGAAGGAAGGGAGAAGAGUCCUUUAGGUAAUAGCAUUGUAUUAUGACGUUUAAGACUAAAGUAGUAUAAUUCGUUAGGAAGUCACUAGCAAAAAAGCCCGUGCGUUGCAACGGAAGAGAAAAUAACACACGCUUUGAACGUAAUAUAUUUUCACAUGGCAUCACAUUUGUGUUGUCGACGAUGGCCUCAGUGCCCACACAACGAAAACGCGUUUGAAUGUACAAUCACUCGGAAUAAGAUGAGAAAUAUGUUGUUUCUCCCCACGAGAUUUUCCAAAGGUGUGCAUGUGUGGUUAACGAUGUAUUCUUUCCUCUCAAUUUGGUUUUAAUUUGAUAGAUAUUUAUUGCAAUUCGUAUGGUCGUCGGAAAGAGAGAAAAAAAAGACGUGCACUACAGAUUAAGUUUGCACCAAAAAUAAUAUUUAAGAAGUAUUCCACAGCUAAAAAUAACAUCCUAUUUAGAUUCUACACAUUUUUUCAAUCAAAUUUCAUAUAUAACAUGUUAAAAUCGGAGUUAUGGUUUAAAAGAUAUGGAUAAUUUUGUUUUAGAUAAAAUAUGGAUUGAUUAACUGAAAAGUCAGGUUUUUUUUGUUAAAACAAAAAAACGUUUCGGCUGACUUAAAUAGGGACGGCGGGUUGAUUACCUGAAACAUCAGGUUUUUUUUGUAAAAUGCAAAAAACGGGUCGGCUCUGACUAAGAGAUGGACCGCGGGUUGAUUAUCUAAAACUGUGAGGACUUUUAUGUAAAACGACAGAAAACGGUUCGUUCUGACUUAAAGUUGGAUUGCGUGUUAAUUAACUGAAACUGCGAGGGCUUUUUUGCAAAAGUGUCGACGACGGACGACAGAAGCGCUGCGCGCUUUAUUAUUAGGGGAGAUAUUGUGUUAGGAAAGGUCAAUGGCCUAAGCAUCUGCUAUAAAAGGAUGACAUGUGCCUAAGGUUAAGGCAAGCAAGAACAAUCAAUCUUAUCUCUCCAGUUUAUUCUCUUGUCCCAACCUACGGCAACCCAAUUUGUCGCAGCCAUGCCGCCUGGCUAUCUUCAACACUGUAGUUAUCCCACUGCGAAUCAAGGUUCACAAUGUUGAAGUGUAUAUGUGGAUUACCUAGCCCUUUCCACCAGUUCGGACUUUUGCUUGCGUUGGCUAGUGCAUGAAGCUUAACAUGGUAUCAGAGCUAAGGUCUUGAGCUUUUUUUUCGGGAAAACGCAAUGGACCUUUGCGUUUCAUUCCAUUGAGAAAAGAGAGUUAUGAAAUUACAGUCCUCCUAGGAGAUGGAUACACAUAUCGGAUGGCCACUAGUGCACACCCCAUGAAGCUGCCAGCACAACCCUAAGCCCUUCGGCACCAGCAGUGGCCCAAAGCCUGGCCUCAUCUUUGAUCCUGCCCACGAGUGUGUGGACGGACGGCUGCGCACGAUCGAAAAGGCAAUCGUUCCUAUGCUUCCAAAUCAUCCAAGGCGUCAGGACUCGGGAGCGUCACAGAUGCAAGUCCCUUGCGCAUCAGCUGAGGGGUGUCUUGCCUAGCAUGGUGCCACCAGUUGAGCAGGGAGCUUUCGUUGUCGGGCGGUCUGCAGGUCACGUGCAUCCAAGCAAGGAUCUCAUGCCAUACCUGCCGCAUGGAGGUGGUGCAGCGUCUCCGGGGCCUGGUCGCACAAGGGGCAUGCCGCAUGGUGCUGCAUUCCAUGCCGAGCGAGUUGAUCCGCCGUCCAGCAACGAUCUAAGCCGAUGAGCCAGUGGAAGAAUUCCACUCUCGGCGGCGCCCAACUCUUCCAGAUGAGCUUCCAGUCGUCGGAGGCGAUCGAUCCGUGGAAGGAUGCGUGGUAGGCAGAUCUAGCGAUGUAGGUGCCGGCCUCGUUCCACUUCCAAACCAUCUUGUCAGGCUCAAUGGAGAGUGACACGCUCUCGAGGAGACGCCAAAGCAGCAAGUACUGCCCGAUUUCAUGGACUCCUAGGACGCCGUGGAUGUCGCGCGCCCAAAGGUGGGCCUGCGAGCCCUCAACGACUGUCCUGUUCUUCCUACAUCGCUUGGGGAUGCAGGCGUGGAGCAGGGGCGCGAUCUCGUAGACGGAGCACCCAUUGAUCCAUCGGUCCUUCCAGAAUCUAGUGCUCUCGUCGUUCCCAAUGAUCGUGUGGGUGCUCGCGAAGAAGAAGGCUCGCUCCUCAGCAGAGAACUGGAGGUCGAGUCCAACCCAUGCACGACGGUCAUCGGUUUUGCUGAACCAUAGCCAACGAGUCCUCAGUGCCAUGCCGGUGCGCUCCAAGUCGUGCAACAGUGGGAGUUUCCUUCAUAACAUGCAACAGUGGGAGUUUCCUUCUCAUAUUUCACAUUGCAUUACUUGUAAAUAUAUGGAGUUAUGUUUUGAAACUGCUGAUGAGAGUAUUGCAUUGACGCUACAGGUGAGCAACAGUGACAAUCAAAGUCCAGGUAAUUGGUUUUCUCAAUACUGUGUCAUUUUCUAAUAUUCCUAUGUUUUCUCCAUCAAUUGAAUGGUUAAAAUUUGGCACCGUUGACACUAUUUGUAUUUGCAGGAUACGUUAAACAGGAUGCACUAAGUAUUGAAUUGGCUGAGCAGCAAAUUCUGGUAAUGUUAUGUUUCAAAUAAACUAUUCGAAAAUGUUAAGUAGGAAAUCGCUAGUAAAAUGUUGCAAAAAUCUUGUGGAUAUUAUAAAUUUCUAACCACUGUUCCUGUAUUUGGCUAUACGAGUGGAUUCUCUACCUGGUGGGUAGCUAAGCACGAGCUCUAUAUCAUUUGAUAUUCUCCGUCUCACAUUGGCAACUAACGACUACUUCAAGGUCUUGUUAUUGGUCAUGUGCAUGGGCCACGUGGCCACAGAGGGGAAGAGCUGGUCAUCAGCUGCAAUGUACAUAAAAAAGAUCAACUAAAAUGGCAUCAAGGAAAAAAUAGUCAAAUAGAACCUUGUCAGGAAUCCAUCACACAGCUUAAUUAAAUCAGCUGAACAAUCUAUCACACAUUCACUCAUAGCUAAUCCAAUCAAACUAUUGAAUUCAUGCACCAGCCAGUUACUAAAAGAUCCGAACUGAUAGAGAAUGGCAGGCAAUAUAUUUCAACACAAACAAGAUCCGGAUGAGCAGCCACGCACGGGUUGCCAGCAUGGUUCACAAGCUCAGCGUCUGCCCACCUAGUCCAGGACCGGUGCUGAGUCUGUGCUCACCAGGGCCUCAUUGGUGCACGCACCCCACCUUGCUUCCACCGUAGCUUCUGAAAGGUUAUGCUGGGUAGCUGCUACUUGGGCGGAUGCGGCUGGAGCUCGUUGGCUUUGGAUGGCAGCACCGAUGCCAAUUUCCUCUCCGGCUCACUCGAGCUCCAGCAAACUUCCAAGAAACCAAAGUCCAAACUAGUUACUUGUAUUUAAUUGGACAUUUGAUCUGUAAUGUUGCACCCUUGAGAUGGUGUCCUAAUGUCUUGCCCAUUCUUUCUUUUGAGUUACCCGUCCAACUUAUAACACCUUGCUAAUCAACUGGGAUAUGACAUCUCACAGGUUUCAGCUUACAAUUUGUAAAUUUCAGCUUCUUGCACGGCAACAAGCACAAAGGGAAGAAGAAUUGGGUCAGUCACAGAGGCAUAUCUUGGCGCUUCAAGUCAGUUUCAGCUUAGCAGACAUUUUCGGUUCUUCUGUUCUUUCCUUUUUGGUGUGAACUAUUUUUUUUUCUUUUCAUUGUUCAGCAAGAAAUUGAAGAUCUUGAGCGUGAAAACCGUCUUCAUGAUCAACAGGUGGCUACUUUGAAUCUUUCCCUUUUCGCACCUAAAUUAGUUGCGUCGCAUUGUUUGGAUGUGCUGAUUAAUUUAUACAUACAGUAUGAUCAUUCUAGUCAUGAUUUACUUUUGCAAAAUGUGUACAACUAUUUUCCAAAUAUAGUGUAGGGUAUGUGAGUUCACUAUUCAUGGAGUAAAAUCAGCAAAACUACGUCUAUAAUGAACUAUCGCAAAACUGCACAUAUUGAUGUUUUCAUUUCUGAAGCACAUAUCGAUUACAGGAUUUUAUUAGUCAGGGGCAAGAAUUGAAAUCACCUUAUUUGCGACCAUGCUAUAACAUAUAGUUUAAGGGGGAGGCAGCACAUGAGAGGGGUUAUUAAGGAGGACUCUCGGGAGGAAGGAGGUGAUGCAAACAGUAUGUGGAUGAAGAUGCCGACUUGCGUUUGGAAGGUAGCUGAAACAGCACAAAGUCGUGGAGGAGCAACUCCAACUUGCUUCUACGAAGUGUGCAACACUAGAGUUGAAGGAGCCACUUCAACGUGUUGCGCUAGAUAUCGCUCUAGAGGCUAAUAUGGCAGCAGGAGUUCAAUCCAAAACUCCUAGACCACACGAUCUAGUCCAAGAUCUUAGAUAGGAAGAACAAGUUCUAUUAUAGAUAGUGGGUACCACAAACUAAAGGCGAGGACCUCUAUUUAUAGGGCUUUGGGAAGCCUUCACAUACUUCUACUUAUGAAUAGAACACUCCAGAAAACAUUACUUAAGAUACACCAUUCUACUCAUGGCUACUCACAACUAGAGGACUCUAGAAAACAGUAGGCAGGUUAGAAAAGAAGAGAAAUACUACACUAGACUCGAGGUAUCUAGAAGUAGCCAAACAAAUAUGGCAUGUGUUUUUCUUUUUUCUUUUAUCCUCAACUAUUGUUCCUCAUCAUUCUCCCCUGGUUGUUUGGAACUUUGCCCUCGAGUUAUCUUCAUAGAGCGUUUCUUCUGGAUGGUAGAGGGUCAAGCCCGUAACAUUGAAAGUUUUGGACAUACCCAUGUCGCUUGGGAGAUCUAUCACAUAAACAUUAGCAUUUAUCUUCCUCAUGAUAGAGAAGGGCCCAUACCUUCGCUGCCUAAGCUUCCCUUUAACACCUAAAGGCAGCCUCUCUUUUCGAAGGUAGACCAUCACCUUAUCACCAACUUGGAAUGAUUGUGGCCUCCUUUUGCAGUCAGCAAGUUGUUUAUAUUUCUGAUUUUGUGCUUCCAAAACACCAAAAUCUCUUCAAAUAACUCAGUAUAAUUAUUGUUAAGUUUCAUGCACUAGCCAACGCAACCAAAAGACCGAACUGAUGGAAAGGUCUAAGGCAAUUCAUAUAUACAAUUCCAACACCCCCUCUCACGUGUGACGUGGAAAGUCAACACGUGAAUAGACUUAGAGGUAUGGCUCAAGAGGCCUAUACAUGGACAUAGAGGGAGCAACAACAAUCUUUGGACAUAAAUUGCGAAAGCCAUGACUUGAACUCAAGACCUUAAACUUUGAUGCCGUGUUAAGCUUCAUGCACUCCCCUGGUUGUUUGGAACUUGCCCUCGAUUUAUCUUCAUAGAGCGUUUCUUCUGGAUGGUAGAGGUUCAAGUCCGUAACAUUGAAAGUGUUGGAUAUACCCAUGUCGCUUGGGAGAUCUAUCACAUAAACAUUAGCAUUUAUCUUCCUCAUGAUAGAGAAGGGCCCAUACCUUCGCUGCCUAAGCUUCCCUUUAACACCUAAAGGCAGCCUCUCUUUUCGAAGGUAGACCAUCACCUUAUCACCAAAUCGGAAUGAUUUUGGCCUCCUUUUGCAGUCAACAAGUUGUUUAUAUUUGUGAUUUUGUGCUUCCAAAACACCAAAAUCUCUUCAAGUAACUCAGUGUAAUUAUGGUUAAGCUUCAUGCACUAGCCAAUGCAACCAAAAGACCGAACUGAUGGAAAGGUCUAAGGCAAUCCAUAUAUACACUUCAACACCCCCUCUCACGUGUGACGUGGAAAGUCAACAUGUGAAUAGACUCAGAGGUAUGGCUCAAGAGGCCUAUACGUGGACAUAGAGGGAGCAACAACAUUCUUUGGACAUAUUAGUAUUAGUAUUAGUAUGAAGGGGGGGGGGGGUUUAGGAAGUAUUAGUAUUGGUCUAGGAGUCCCUAUUAGUCUAUGUUUGCUUUCUUUCCACCUCAAGUCUUGUGUAAUAUAUAUAUGUCCCUUGGGCCUUCAAUAGAGAUAAGUUGCUUUCCUAACAAUAUGGAGGUUGACCAGAAAAGCUAUUUUCCGGGGUAUGACAACUUAUGGAGAGAUACAAGGAGCAAAAGAAGGACUGCUUACGAUGUUCAUUGACUUGGAGAAGGCCUAUGGUAAGAUGUAGCGAAAUGUCAUGUGGUGGGCUUUGGACAAACACAAAGUCCCAACAAAGUCCAAUAUCCUCAUCAAGGACAUGUAUGAUAAUGUUGUGACAAGUGUUCAAACAAGUGAUGGCAACAUUGAUGACUUGCCAAUUAGAAUAGGACUUGACCAAGGGUCAACUUUGACCCCUUAUAUAUAUUUUUUGCUUUGGUGAUGGAUGAGGUCAAAAGGGAUAUACAAAGAGAUAUCCCAUGGUGUAUGCUCUUUGCGAAUGUCGUGGGUGCUAGUCGAUGAUAGUCGGACGGGCGUUAAUAGAAAGUGAGAUGUGAAGACAAGACUUUGGAACUGAAAAAAUUUAGGCUUAGUAAAACUAAAACUUGACGUGCGGUUUCAGUGCUACUAGGCACGAGGAGGUUAGCCUUGAUGGGCAUGUGGUACCAUAGAAGGAUACCUUUUGAUGUUUGGGGUCAUUUCUACUGAAGAAUGGUGAUAUCAAUGAAGAUGUGAGCCAUGGAAUCAAAGCCGUAUGGAGCUAUUGGCUUCCUCCGUGACGAGAGCACCACAAAAGUGAUAUGUCCAACUAAAAGGUUCAACCUGCGAAUUUAUAUUACGCAGAAUGCUGGCCUACUAAAAGGCGAUUUGUCCAACAGUUAGGUGUAGCAGAGAUGAGUAUGCUGAGAUGGAUAUGUGGCCUCACAAGAAAAGAACGGUUUCGGAUUGAUGAUAUAUGUGAUAGAGUUGGGGUAACACCAAUUGUAGAGAAAUUUGUCCAACAUCAUCUGAAAUGGUUUGGGCAUGUACAACACAGGCCUCUGGAAGCGCCGGUGGAUAGAGGAAGGAUAAAGCAAGAGAGAUCAGGCUGGACCAAACUUGACAUAAGGGGAGUCCGUUACGAGAGACUUGAAGGAAUAUCACCAAAAACUAGGCCAUGGACAGGGAUGGGUGGAAGUUAGCUAUCCACAAGUAAGAGCCAUACUAGGUUUUGAGAUCUUAUGGGUUUCAACUCUAGCCUACCCCAACUUGUUUGGGAUUGAAAGGCUUUGUUGUUGUACAUCAUAACAUACCACAAUUGAUAUAGGAAAUAAUGGUUUUAAUAAACAAAGUUUCUUCAAUUCAUGCCACAACUUUUUUGCGAGUUUGAUUUAAUUGUCAAACAUUGCUCGUCUCCUAGUUAGCUGGAAUUCUGAUUACCGCAGCAAUAAAGCAAGCAGAAUAAAAAGCACAAUCAACAUAAUUGAGUUUGGCAUGAAUUAGCCUCAGAUGCAGGCCGAAGCCUUGUAGGCGGCACACUGGAUGUGCGAGUGGCAGUUUUCUGGCCAAGUGGUUUUAGUUCUUUGGAAUAUGACCUUCAAUAAGUAGUUUUCUGAAUAAAAUCUUCAUUCAUACUUUUGCGACAGUUUUCCAUCAUAUGUGUUAUUUUUUGUGGAAUUUAGUCAUAUUUAUACUGUUGUUCCUAAAUCUGAAAUACCGCUCAAGCCUAUUUGUCUCUAACAGUAGUUCUGCAGUAACUAUUACUCGUGUGCUGCACUCAACUGAGACAGAAGUCAUGCUCCUUUAUCAUCUGUUCCUUGAUGCUGUUCUGGUUAAAAUUUAUUUAUCUAACUAACCUUGCUGAAAUCGAUAGUGAAAACUUUGGUAUGAAUUGUUGUCACAUUAUUUGUGAUGAGUAUGUGAUUAAUUUUCAGGUCAUUAUUCUUCGUGAUACAUUCUUGAAAGUUCUAAAUAAGCCCUAUUCUUAUUUUAUCACGUGAACAUUAGGGUGCAGUUGGUUAAUAGAAGCUUCGUCUUUAAGCCAUUAAGUUGUGCAAUAUUCCUAGUUCUGUGGAAUUCUAACGGAAUCUAGCGAUGGGAGUUUUAUGAGUCAUCGAGUCCUGAACACGUAACAACAGUUUAUGUACAUGUGUUGUGUACUGUUUAAUCAUUUAUAAUUGAUUGAACAAGAUACAUGCUUCCUGCACUUUGAAAAUUUAUAUACACUUAGUUUCUGCUCCCCUUUCCCUUCUGUAUGUGGUCAAUGCAGUGAUGAGUUGAAUAAAAUACAGAACUAAGAUCUUGUAUUUAACAAAAAUAUCUUUCACGCUUUUUGUGUUCCGAUGAAAUUUGUAGGGUUUUUACAUAUAUGUCCCUAACUCGAACCCACUACUCAGAUUUACCCCUAAUUUUGAAGUGUGCUUAAAUUUGUUCCUCUUCUGUUAGUUCCUCUUAUAGAAAUGACCUUCCGUGCCGUCACCAUCCUGUCAACGGGUUUUGACCGUCUGGUGAACAGUAACGUGAUGAAUAGUAAAUAAAAAAAUAGCAAACAAAUUCAAAAAAAUCUGAAAAUUUGUGUGAUCGAAGGUACUUGGGUGCGCAAGGUGCGUGUAAAUUUAUAUGCUAUUUCGACAUUCUAGGAGCUCGUACCAAAGGAAAAAAUAAAAACUGUACGCCUGUGAACAAAAAAUUCAAAAAAAAGCAAACAGAUUCAAAAGAAUCUGAUUUUUUUUGGCGUCCAAGGUGCUUGGGUGCGCAAGGUGCUUGCAAUUUUUUGUAGUGUUUCGACAUUGUCGGAGCUCGUGGAGAAAAAAAGUAAAAUUUGGCUCGGAAAAAUCUUUGAAAAAAUGCACUAUGUUUUUUGCUAGAGCUCCUCACAUGUCAUUUGAUCACAAAAACUUGGAACCACCUUGCGCACCCAUGCCUCUUUGAUGCCAAAAAAAAUCAUAUAUUUUUGAAUUAUUUUGCUAUUUUUUCGAAUUUACUGUUCAUAGGCAUACAUAUUUUUUUCCUUUGGUACGAGCUCGUGGAAUGUGUAAAUAGCAUGAAAACUUGCACGCACCUUGCCCACCCAAGUAACUCUGAUCCCACAAAAUUUCAGAUUUGGUGUUAUUUUUUAUCGAACUGUUCACCGAGUUAUUGUUCACAAGACGGUCAAAGCCCGUUGACCGGACGGUAACGACAUAGAAGGGCAUUUCUAUGAGGGGCAAAUUUGAGUAGGUGGUUGUAGUUAGGGACAAAAAUGCAAAUGACCCAAACUUGUAAUUGUUAGGAAAGCAACCUGUAUUCCCAUGAGGCCAUAAGCCAGUAUAUAUACAUGUACAAGUGGUGGACUAUAUGCAGGAAACCUCUUAUAUAUCGGGAUAAAUACAAAAGGUACAUGACUUAUAUUAUAACUCUAACACCCCCGCCCCCCUCAAACUCAUGGUGGAUGAACAACACUGAGUUUGGAGAGAUAAAAGCCAUGUUGUGCUUUAGUCUGGGCCUUCGUCAAGAAAUCCGCCAACUGUAACUUGGAAGGCACAUACUGAAGAGCAAUGACCCGAUCCUGCACAGCAGCGCGCACAUAGAAAGCAUCAACACCAAUAUGCUUGGUGAGCUCAUGCUUCACAGGAUCGCGCGCAAUGCUAAUAGCACCUGUACUGUCAGAUAAGAGCAGAGUCGGUGUAGUGACAGAAACACCAAAAUCCUGAAGUAACCACCGUAACCAAGUCACCUCUGCCGUCAAAAGGGCCAUCGGUCGCAACUCAGCCUCUGCACUCGAACGGGAAACUGC